This 249870-nucleotide long non-coding RNA is filed under the name Hordeum vulgare. RNAcentral's name for it is "long non-coding RNA (HVUL_LNC002350)". Lineage: Eukaryota; Viridiplantae; Streptophyta; Magnoliopsida; Poales; Poaceae. The record is from RNAcentral.
AGCUGCUGACGACGAAGAAAUGAAACUCUAUUUGGAAAAUUGUGGUGAUGCUUGUGUCAAUUUCUGCAACGGUGAUGCUGGCCUCACAUCCCUUACUGCCUAAUGAUGUGUAUCCAUGGUCUGAGAUUUCACAGGGCAAGGUGUGUCUGACCUUUGCGUUCAAUAAAAUUGGAUCCCAUCGAGAGUAUCCAAACCAGUGUGUCAACCUGUUUUAUGUGUGUGUAUUUCCAUUCCUUGUUCGAAUAAAAGCCGUCAUAAUGAAUGCCAUGUUGCUGCCGUGAAGUACCGCCAUGACUGAGAUAAAAUGGUACAUGUUGUAUCAUUUGCCUGUGGAUAUAAACUUCAUGAGUACAUGCUUCAAGUAAUUUUCUCUAGUCCUUUUUUUAUUUAGGCUUGAGCACAAGUUCUGUGUUGUCGUGACGUAAGCCUGAAAUGGAUCAAUUUUUUUGCAUUUUUGGUGAGCAAUUCUCUGAGCUUUUAUUUUUACACAUGAGGCACAAGAUCUUUGACCCUUUUAUUAAUUAAGAAGCAGAUUUUGCUCGGUUAAUUAUGAAAAACCUGGCUAAAACCGAUACAAAGGUGAAGUCCACUCCCAAACAUUGAAACACACUGGGACAAGCCCACACCCGUCGACGAUGGGCUGAACACCAUAACAAACGCCAACCAUGCAAACACACAACAACGUGAAGCCCUCCUCCGCCAAGUGAGCCAACUGUCCACUGCCGCCGAAAAGAAGAAGUUAACAUUGUUAUGGGAGGAGCGGACUCAGACUCUCCCGCUGAGGUGAAGAGACAAGUACCCACAAAGACAUACAUCGGAUACACUAGAUGACAUGUCAAUGACCAACUUUGACGGCAACCUCAUCGCCCACACGAUUCUGAGAUCAAUGCAGUCCAAGCUGCCAAGCUAUCGGGGUCGCCACCCCGACAUCCACCUCUUCUCUCUACGCACUCAAUCAACACAGCCUUCCAGGACCGCCACCCCGACACAUCACCACUUUUCUCGAAUUGCAACACCUUAUGACCCAGCUGCCUACAGUCAACCGUCCAUAGACCACGUCCGUCGCACCACAUCCAUGGCCGCUGCCCCCACAUACCAUCCAACCGCCCCCGCUAGGAUGCGUCAAUCGAGCCGAAAACCCUAUUGCCCAUGCAGCCAAGGUUGUCAUCCAAGCCACGUCGAGCUGUAAACCUGCUUCAUGGAGCUGCCGCCGCAUUCUACGAGAAUGCACUUCACAUAUUAGUUUUGAUCUUUUGUUGAACUAUUUUUUGUUGAACUAUUUUAGGAUCGAGUGCAAAUUGUCAUAUGUCUAUCAUAUAAUCCAUAAUCUUUAGACUUUAAUGUUGGGGUUUUUCCUUUGGCACAUAUCCUGGUAAUAUUUAUGGCAUUCAACAAACAAGUUCGGGCUAGUACUACAUAUAAAAGCGCUAACUUCUCUACACUAUUACAUUAUUACAAGGACAUUUCGGUCGCACUCGAGCUGUCAUAGGACUCAAGUGAAUUGACUAGUCGAGUACCUACAAGACUAGUAUACACUAGUAGAAAAUGAGGCUUUCGGUCGGAGGCCCAAAUCCCAGUAGCCCUGGUCCAAGUGAAACCGAGACCAAUGUGAGGCAUUGGUCCUGGUUCGAGCUGCCAGAGCCUCACGGGGCAAUAGUCCUGAUUAGGUUCGAUGCAUUAGUCCCGGUUCGUCCCUAAAAUCAGGACUAAAGAUCCAGCGACUGACACGUGGCGUUCCGCGGAGCAUUAGUCUUGGUUGGGAGCUGGAACCGGGACUAAUGGUUAGUCUUCUGUCCCGGUUCCGGCCACAAACCGGGACCAAAGAGAUGCCUAUAUAUACCCGCGCCCUGCCCACCCUCUUCUUUGUUUUUUGGCCUAGGUCUGCAUGCAUGCCAUGCUCUUGUUGCCACCCUUCUAUGCAUGCACAUGAGGUGUUGGAUGACAUGCCCGAGACACACUUAAGCUUUCUCCUCUCCAAGCUCGACCUCGAAGCUCCAUUUUCCUUAAUAUUUGUCUAGGUUUGGCGGUGCACCAACUACACAAGUGUUUUAGAAGGUUAGCUACUUCAUCCUUUCAUCUCUCACUGCUAGUUUCGCUCAUUUCAAAUGCUCUAGAAGUAGAGUGGUUUGUGGGUUUUAGUGUAGGAGUGUAUGUGGGAUUUUGUUUUUAUUUAGAUGCAAAAUUUGAGCUUAAAUUAACUUCUUAGAGUCUGCACAUGUGUAAGGUACCGUCCCAUACCCGUCCUCACCAUCAUCGAUCGCCCGCACCGAUCUCGUCACCAGCACCACCGUGGUGAGCCUCUUGUUCUUAUCUUUUUUUUAAAACAAAAAAAAAUUCUCAUUUGUAUGAUUUAGAUAGAUACUUGUAUAAAUUACUUACUUUUAUUAUUUUUUGUAAUUAUAUAGCGCAAUGGUUUUGCUAUCCGCUCAUGUCGACCCUCGUUCGGCCUAUGAUUCGGACAUGGUAUAUUUUCUUUUAUCAUUAUUUGUUUCAUUUAGUGUUUAUGACGACAAUUAUGCCGACCAACGUGACAUGAAUAUUUUUAUCUAGGAUGUAUGUGAACCGGAAAUUCCAAUCGACCCUCUUGUCGAGAGGUAAAAUUUAGUUGAAAAAUAAAACAAUUAUUUGAAGAAAAAAUUGAAAAUAAUUGAGGAGAAGAAUAUGGAACUAGAGUUGCAUGUUGUCGAUGUCGUCGAUGAUCACAAGAUCAAGAUGGAUGCAAUGUGCUUGAAGAUGGAUGCAACGCGCUUAAAGAUUAGAAAUAUUAGAAAAUAUGUCAUUGAUAAAGAGGUUUUGUAUCAUUAAGUUGUUGGGUCAAUUGUUACCUUAGUUGCGAUUUUGAUCGCAUUUGUUAUUGCAUUUAAAUGUUUUACAUAGUUGUAUGUUGUUUUAUAGGAGAACUUUAUGUAUUUAUUUUUGUAAUAAUAACAUUUGAUCACUACUGUACUUUGGUUUUAAUGUGAUGAUAAACUUGUAUUAAUUUGGUCAUUUCUCUAUUCAUGAUGUUCUGCAAUGGUUUUUUGAUAUACUUAAUUUCAUAAUACAGAUGAACCGCCAAUGGAUGUACGGUGACGGACGCACUUCAGAGUACAUUACGAACCGGGACUAGUGUCCCUCCCCUGCCUAUAAAUAAACCCUCCCCACCCACUUAUUGUUUUUCUUUGCUACGCACAAGAGGUGUUUGAUGAAAUGCCCGAGUCACACUUAAGUUCACACAAAAUGGUAUCCUCGACCGAGGUUAGCAAACUUAUCAUUUUCAUCUAUAAUCGAUACAAAAAUAUUGCAUGUGUCCAUGUACGAUGGUCAUUUCACUAUUCAUGUAUGAUGUAGAUCAAUGCACGGAAGCGAUGGAUGUACGGUGAACGACGUGGUUCCGGAUUUAUUGCAGGCCUGCAUAAAUUUAUCGAUGUGGCUGAGGCAAAGAAAAUGGAUAAUUUUAUGCCUUGUCCAUGUGUUGACAGUCGAAAUGUCAGGGAGUACUCUGGCUCAAAAAUCAUUCAAGGCCACGUGCUUUGGAGAGGUUUCAUGCCCAGAUAUUAUUGUUGGACCAUGCACGGAGAAAGAGGGGUUAGGAUGGAAGACAAUGAAGAAGAAGAUGAUGAUGACAACUAUCCUAUGUUCACUGAAGAAUACAGUGAUACUGCAACGGAAGACAAUGAAGAAGAAGGAGGUGAAGAACAACCGGCAUCAGAUGAGCCCGCUCAUUUGUGAUGCAAAGCGAGAAUGCGUUACAGACAAGGAGAAGCUGAAGUUGGAGGCCAUGCUAAAGGAUCAUAAAAAGUUGUUUUACCCAAAUUGCAAAGAUGGCAGCACAAGGCUGGGCACCACACUAGAACUGUUGAAAUGGAAUGCAGAAACUGGUUUAUCUGACAAGGGAUUUGAGAAGUUACUGAAAAUAUUGAAGGCGAAGCUUCCAAAGGAUAACGAAUUGCCCGAGACUACAUACGAAGCAAAGAAGGCUAUCUGCCCUCUUGGAUUAGAUGUGCAGAACAUACAUGCAUGCAUUAAUGACUGCAUCCUGUACCGCGGUGAGAAGUACGAGAAUAUGGAUAAAUGCCCGGUAUGCACUGCAUGUCGGUACAAGAUCAGACAAGAUGACCCUGGUGAUGUUGAGGGCGAUGACGAGCCCCUCAGGAAGAAGGUUCCUGCUAAAGUUAUGUGGUAUGCUCCUAUAAUACCACGGUUGAAACGUCUGUUCAGAAACAAUGAGCAUGCCAGGUUGUUGCGAUGGCACAAAGAAGAGUGUAAGUAAGACGGGAAGUUGAGACACCUCGCCGAUGGGUCGUAGUGGAGAAAAAUUGAGAGAAAGUACCCGGACUUUGCAGGUGAUGCGAGGAACUUAUGGUUUGGUCUAAGUACAGAUGGCAUGAAUCCUUUUGGGGAGCAGAGCUGCAGUCACAACACCUUGCCCGUGACUCUAUGUAUCUACAACCUUCCUCCUUGGUUGUACAUGAAGAGGAAGUUCAUUAUGAUGCCAGUGCUCAUCCAAGGAUCGAGGCAACCCCGGCAACGACAUUGAUGUGUACCUAAGGCCAUUAGUUGAUGAACUUUUGUAGUUGUGGGCCAAACCAAGUGUACGUGUGUGGGAUGAGCACAAACAACGGGAAUUUGACCUACGAGCAUUGUUGUUCAUAACCAUCAAUUAUUGGCCUGCUCUUAGUAACAUUUCAGGACAAUCAAACAAGGGAUACAAUUCAUGCAGGCACUGUUUAGAUAAGACUAAAGGUACAUAUUUGUAAAAUCUAAGAAGGUUGUCUACCUAGGGUGUCGUCAAUUUCUUCCGACCAAUCAUCUCGUAAGAAAGAAAGGCAAGCAUCUCAACGGUGAGGCAAAUCACCGGAAGAAGCCUAACCUCCCUACUGGUGAUGAGGUAUUGGGUAUGGUCAAGGAUUUGGAUCAAAUAGUAAUCUUUGGAAAGGGUCCUGGCGGUCAAUCUGUUCUGAAAGACGUCGUUACCGGACACGUGCCCAUGUGGAAAAAGAAAUCUUUAUUUUGGGAGCUACCCUAUUGGGAAUACCUAGAGGUCCAGUCUUCAAUCAGCGUGAUGCACGUGACGAAGAAUCUUUGCAUGAACCUGCUAGGCUUCCUGGGCGUGUAUGGAAGAUAAAAGAUACACCAGAAGCACGGGAGGAGUAGCAACGUAUGAAAGACCUAUACGACAAGAAGAUCGAUAAAGGGCGUCAAUACUUAAGCAGCUACGCUCUUACCAAAGCAGAGAAGGAAAUCUUGUUCGAAUGCCUGAGCAGUAUCAAGGUCCCUGCUGGCUUCUUGUCUAAUAUAAAGAGAAUAAUAAAUAAGGCAGGGAAAAAAUUCCAGAACCUGAAGUCUCAUGAUUGUCACAUGAUUAUGACGCAGUUGCAUCCGGUUGCAUUGAGGAGGCUUCUACCGGAAAAUGUUCGAUUACCCAUUUUGAAGCUAUGUGCAUUACUCAAUGCAAUAUCUCAGAAGGUAAUUGACCAAGAACGUCUGGAAAGGCUACACAGGGAUGUGGUCCAAUGUCUUGUCAGUUUUGAGUUGGUGUUCCCCCGCCCUUCCUCAAUAUUAUGACGCAUGUCCUAGUUCACCUAGAACUAAAACAACUACGGGAACUAAAAUAACUACGAGAACUAAACCCUAAGCAACUACGCCAACUUUCAACCUUUUCAGAUCCCAUUUAUAGUGUUUUUCAAUUACAGGGUCAAUUAGCUCAAAGAAUAGCAAAAAGAAUGAAGUAAAAAGAAUCAACUAAAACAUUAACUCAAAAUAAUAAACUAAAAAGAAUCAACUAAAAUUAUCAAAGUGUUUAUUUGUUAUAAAGAAUCAAGUAAAACACUAACUAAAAAGAAUCAAAAACAUAUCAACUCAAAAGAAUUUUCAUAAAGUUUUCAGAGCCCAUUUGUAGUGCUUUUCAAUUUCAGGGUCUAUUAGCUCAAAGAAUAAACUAAUAGCAAAAAGAAUCAACUAAAAAGAAUGAACUAAAAAGAAUCAACUAAAACAUUAACUAAACAGAAUGAACUAAAAAGUAUCAACUAAAAUUAUCAAAGUGUUUAUUUGUUAAAAAGAAUCAAAAAAAUAUCAACUCAAAAGAAUUUUCAUAAAGUUUUUUUUGUUAAAAUAUUUAAUAGAAAACUAAAAUAAAAGAGAAAUAAUAUUUAAUAACAAAGAACUAAAAUAUAAACUGAGACUAAAAAUUAUUAAAGUAAAAAAAUGCCACCUACUAGGCCAUCACGGCGCGCAUAUGACUAGAAACCCUAGAAGCUAGAUGGGCUAGGAUGCAGGCCCACAGAAGACCGAGUAGGACCACAUGGCAAAGAGAGUGUGUUUAGGCCCGUAGGCCUACUUUUGAGAGAAGCUCAAGAGGGUUGGCGCAGCGGGGCUUAUAAACCACUCUCAGCUCCUCUCAACUAGCGAGGUGGGACUAAACAUUUGGCCGCGGCAUCACCCUCCUUUAGUCUCGGUUGGGGGCUUCAACCGGGACUAAAGCCCCCCUUUAGUCCCGGUUGGAGCCACCAACUGGGACUAAAGGAAGGUGCUUCCCGCCCUUCGGCCUGACGAAAAUGAGCUUUAGCCCCGGAUGAUGGCUCCAACCGGGACUAAAAGGGGGCCUUUAGUCGCGGUUAGAGCCCCAAACCAGGACUAAAGGUCUCUAUGUAUAAGCGGGAGUUGGAUUUUUUCCAAUCCAUCGCCAGUUCCUUCUUCCUCCUACCUCCGAUGCCGCUGGGCUUUCGGAGUCGCCGCCGCCCCCGAAGCCAUCCUCGUCGUCGCUGCCACCGACGUCGGCCGCCUACGCCUCCUCCCUCUGCCUGCGAUGAGUAGUUGUUGCGCCCCGACCCUCCUCUGCUCCCAUAGUGAGCUCGCCGACCCGCUCCUCCCUCUCCUCCCCUGUUUUCUACUAAUGCCCUAGCUCCGGCCGCUUCCUGUCGGGCUUCGCUCCGGCGACCCCUCCUCUCCCCACGCCGCGCUCCGGCACCCCCUCCUCUCCCCUCAUCGGUGCCGCGCACCCCCGCAACCCUCGCCGACAGAUUUAUUUUCUAAAUUACGAUGAACAAAUGUUUUCUUAUUAUUAUAAGGACAUAGUAAUGUAUCUAUGAGAGUGGUGAUGAUCAUCAUUAUUAUGAUGUGUUAUAUAUCCCUAUGCCAAUAUCCGUACUAAAGAGUAACACAUAUAGUACAAUUAGUAGCAGUGCAAAAAUUUGCAUCACAAACAAUGGAAGUGCUUAACCUGUAGAAAAAUCGACCAAGGCAAAAAUUUCCUGUGUUAGAUGAUUUUCCAUGAGCAAAUUUGUACUAGAUCAUGUAAUGUUAAGUUUGAUUAAUUUUAUCACCCUAGGUAAAUUUUCUUUUUUGUUAGUUUGAUACUGGUAUUUCUCUAUUAAUAUUUUAGAACUAUUUUAUCAAUAUUAAAUAGUUGUAAAAGUUUAGAAAAGUUUAUUAAAUAGUAGAAAUUUAAAUACUUGUAGAAUUGGUUCUCGGCGUCGACGUACGAUGCCUGGCCCGCAUCCUCGUCGUCGACUCGGUGGCGACCACCUGCUUGAGAGGUGCCAGCAUGUGCGGGACUGGGCUCCGCCGGGCUGGCACUGGGAGGAGCUAUCUUCCGGGGCGCGCAUCUUGGUGAGGAAGCGGGCUCCCAUCGUCGACCCGGAGCUUCUUUGGUGGUGGUUGCGUGGUCCACUUUCGGUGUUGAGGGUGCCGGCCCCCGAGGAGGAGGUACGUCGUCGUGUCACGGAGGAGGACGAGCACGUCCGUCGCUACAUGGAGGCGUUAGAUGCCAGGUUCUCCAAUACGUGGCAGGUUCUUUAGGGAUCUCACCCGAGCUAUGAUCCGGUGAUGGUUCCCGCUCUUUGGGUGUCCAUCGUACGCGCCUCAGUAUAGCGACAGCUCUUUGUAACACCCUGAUUUUUGCAACUUUUUCUUUCCAAAACCUUUUGAGUUUUUUACUUGCAAACCUGGUUGCUUUUCAAAACUUUUCAAACUAAUUUGGAUCGGUGAAUAUGUGAACUUUUCCAAGUAACCCAAAACCCUCCUCCUCUUGCCAAAACCUUUCCACACCUCUCUUGGAUUAAUUUCCAAUAUUAAACCCUUUCCAAUAAUUCUUUUCUUUAUUUGGGGAAUUAUGCCAUCACCAUGGGUUGUGAAGCAACAUAUAGUUUGGAUGAUCUAUAAAACCCCAAACUUUUUCCCCACCUUCUCAUCAUCAUAUGAUUCCAAUAUAUCCAAGAAUAUUCCAUUGCCCAAUGCAAAUAUUUUGGCCAGAAUAACUAUUUCUUUUCUGACCAGAAAUGCACCAUUGUGAAGAAACCCCAUCUUUCCUACCUUGGAAAAUUUCCAAAAAAUUUCUCAAGCUCCUAGGGAUCCUAUCUAGCCACAAUAUCCAAUAAUAUCAUUUGGUUCAGUAUAAUUUUUGAGCAGGAGAACUCUGUUAAUUUCCUGCUGAUUCUGAACCUUUGUGAAGGAAGUACCAGCUAGGGGUGCACAAAUGAUCUAUAAUUUUUUGGGCAUGUGUGCACUACCAAAUAACUCUCCUCCACCAAGUUUCGGCCUCAGCGGAGUAAGCAUGUGAGCACCUCAAGCUCAUCUCUAUUCUGGACCAGAAUAGUAGUUUCCAAAGGAGCUAUGCUCAUUUCUUCUUCAAAUUCUUUCAAACUUUGCCAGUUUUAAGUCCUUCCUAUGCUGAUAACCCCAGACACUCCAUUUAGCUCCAUCCCUAUCCCAAUUCAUCUCUAGAACCUUCCCAAGUUUGGAGUCAGGGAGUGUUGGUGAUGCUGCCUCUCAUCUGAGUGGCUUUCUGGGCAAGGCAGUGCCACGAGGGGACUCUACAGAGCACGAACGAUGCUCCGGACAAGGUGUGGUAGGCCAGCACGCGCCACCAGUGCCAGUGCACGCGGUGAGCGCGUAGCUAGCCUGCCAAAAUCGCGCUCUGGGCGCCGACAAACUCGGGUCUCGUCGAAGUGAGACGCCCGCGUGGCCAUCUCGUGCCAACUCGCUUCCCGACAGCUUCCUAGACCUUCCACACCCUUCCCCCUCGCUGGAGAAGCCCUCGCCGGCCACCACCGCAGCGCUGCACUGUAAAACCCGCGUGGUCACAGUGGCGUUCCCGCCGUCGUCUUCCCCCGCGAGCCGUCCCUUCGCACAUUGAAUGCCCCUUCUCUCUUCCAUCUCUUCGCCUCGCGUCGCGAUAGCCAGCUCACCGUCUCUGCUCCAGUGGCGUAGCCACGUCGCCGCCGUUCCAGCGAGAUCACCGCCCUCGCCUCCCGCCCAUUGAAAGCCCCGCGCAGCCCCUCCAAGCUCCUCACCCCUCCUAGCCACCCUCCAAUCGCCUCCAUAGCGCCCCAGUUAGAGCCGGGAGUUCGUCUCCCUCAACUCCAGCGAAGGCUCUGCCGCCCAAGCCCCUCCUAUCGCCAGCCACUUCCGGUCUGCCCCAGCCCCACCUGAGGCCGCCAUCGAGAUCACCUGGUCCCCCUGGACCUCCUAGAGCCCUCAGCUAGCCCACCCUUUGCCGGAUUCGACGCCGUCGACGACCACCGAAGUGCCCAUCCGCCGGAGAGGAAGGAGGUGACGUCAUCCGACCACCUCCGAAGGAACUGCGGGUACAGGGAGGACCGCCGUCGAGCACCCGAUCCAUUCCUCCCAUCUCAUAGCCCAACCGCCGUCCCCAUCACCGGUGAGCACCACCGGUGAGCCGCCUUUCCCCUCUGUCUCUCUCCCUCUCUCUGUUUUAAACAAACAUGCCCCAUGUGUCGGCGACAGGAGCCCGCGCCUGAAUCGAUAAGUGGAGGCGCCUCCUCCACUUUACGCCUUCGAUGUGGCCCCUCCUCUGUUUUCUAAAUUCUGUUUUAAAAUACAGAUUUAAACAGAAACUUUGAACCCUUCCAACUUUUUAUUUACAAGUCCAAAUCAAUUGAUUCUUUUUGCAUUGAGUUAAUACCGAGCCCCUGUAAUUUCUAAUAAAUUUUGGUAUUUUUCCUAUGCUCACAGAAUCUCUGUUUAACAAAAAGGUAUCAUAUGACAUUUUCUUUUUGCAAAUUCAAAAUGUUUUAGAAGCAAACUUUGGUGAAUUUGAAGACCAGGAGUGCUUGAACAACCCAACUGAGCAAGGCAAGCCAUGAUACCCAUGUUAUGUAGUAUUUCCAUAGCAUUGCAUACUUUCACACAUUAUGCUUAGUUAUUUGUUGUAGGAUAAAUUCAUAUUAAAUUAUUUAAAGUAAUUAGUUUCUCAUUAUUAUAAAUCACUAUAUUGGAAAUGACUUAGUGGUUGAUCUAGAGUCACCUGUCCGAGCUUAACCGUGCAACCACAUUUGCCGGUAUGGGACAACCGUGACUUGGGCUGAUCGCGUGACCUUUCACCGGUACCUCCAAAGAGGGAGGGUUAUGCACGCGUGCUACCCUGAUCAGGUAGGCGGUGAUAACCCUGUGAGCCUAGUUGAGUUGUUUUGGGCCCGUCCCCGUUUGGGACAGUUUAGUUUGGCCACGAUGGUGUCAAAUGUCAUGAGGACACAGGGGCCACCCAGGGCAGGACUCCGGGGGAGGAUGAAUGCCGGUGGUGUUGGAAAUAUGCCCUAGAGGCAAUAAUAAAUUGGUUAUUAUUAUGUUUCCUUGUUGUAUUGAUUGGAAACUCAAAUACAUGUGUGGAUACAUAGACAAAACACUGUCCCUAGUAAGCCUCUAGUUGACUAGCUCGUUUAUCAAGGAUGGUUAAGGUUUCUUAGCCAUAGACAAGUGUUGCCACUUGAUAACGGGAUCACAUCAUUAGGAGAAUGAUGUGAUGGACAAGACCCAAACUAUAAACGUAGCAUAUGAUCGUGUCAGUUUAUUGCUACUGUUUUCUGCAUGUCAAUGUAUCUGUUCCUAUGACCAUGAGAUCAUGCAACUCCCGGACCCCGGGGGAAUACCUUAUGUGUAUCAAACGUCGUACACUUAAGGCUCUGCAUGACAAAGGGAACAACAUACGUGAUUAAGUGAAUCCUUGACAUAGAGGUUCAACCGAUAAAGAUCUUCAUAGAAUAUGUAGGAGCCAAUAUGGGCAUCCAGGUCCUGCUAUUGGUUAUUGACCGUAGAAGUGUCCCGGUCAUGUCUGCAUAGUUCUCGAACCCGUAGGGUCUGCACACUUCAGGUUCGGUGACGUUUCGGUAUAGUUGAGUUAUAGGUGUUGGUAACCGAAAGUUGUUCGGGGUCCUGGAUGAGAUUCCGGACGUAACAAGGAGCUCCGGAAUGGUCCGAAGGUAAAGAUUGAUAUAUAGGAAGUUCUUUUUUGGUCAUCGAAAAAGUUUCGGGCUCAUCGAUAGUGUACCGAGAGUGCCGGGAGGGUACCGGGGACCAUCGGGAAGGGUGUCACGCCCCGAGGGGCCUUAUGGGCUAUGGGAGGAUACAAACCAGCGCCUAGUGGGCUGACAUAAGCUCCCACUAAGGCCCAUGAGGUUUGAGAGGCAAAAAACACAAAGGUGGAAAGGGUUUCCAAGUGGAAAGGAGGAAUCCUACUUCUAGUAGGAUUGGAGUAGGACUCCUCCACCUCCAAUUUCGUCCAAACCUUGAGGGUUUGAGGCUGCCUCCUCCCCUCCCUCCCUCCUAUAUAUACUAGAGGUAUUGAGGGUUUUUGAGACAGAGAAAAACAACCACGUGCUGCCCUUUCUCUAGAUCUGUUUCUCCUCUAGUCUAGUUUCAGCGGUGCUUAAGCGAAGCCGUGCUGGAAUAGCUCCACCACCACCACCACCAUGCCGCCGUGCUGGAGAACUCAUCUACCUCUCCGUCCCUCUUGCUGGAUGAGCAAGGUGGGGAUCUUCAUCGAGCUAUACGCGUGCUGAACGCGGAGGUGCCAUCUGUUCGGCACUAUAUCGGGAUGGAUCGUGAUGGGAUCGCGGGACGGAUCGUGAUGAGAUCGUGGGACAGGCUGCGAUUUGGAUCGCGAAGAUGUUCCACUACAUCAACCGCGUUAUAUACGCUUCCGCUUAGUGAUCUACAAGGGUAUGUAGAUUCACUCUCCCCUCUUGUAGAUGAUCAUCACGAUGGAUAGGUAUUGCUUGUGCGUAGGAUUUUUUUUGUUUCCCAUGCGAUGUUGCCCAACAGGUGAUACAAUGGGAGAGUCACGGGUCAGGCAGGUUUCGUUGGAGCAAUACUGAUCCACCCGAAUGGGAUCACGAGGUCAGUGCUCCAUGAUGUGGAUAAAGUGUGCAACCUCUGCAGAGUGUCAAACCUAUUCGAAUAACCGUGUCCACGGUAUUGGACAGCCCGUCCAGACCUCAGUAGGUGGUCAACCAUAUUAGUGUUGGUAAUGAUGGAAAAACUCUUCGCAUGAUCGAAGAUGCUCGAUGAGUAUUCUGGCUGUGGUGAGACAACCCAGAUGAGAGUAAGUUGGUAACUGGUACAAUUAGUAAUGUUGCUUAGUAAUUUAUCGUAUUGAUUGCCAUGCUAUUGUUUGCUGUAUUACUUGGUUGUUGUGAGAUUGCGAGUACAUUCAAAGUACUCAUCUGGCGUAUCAUGCUAGAUGCAGGAGAAGCCGAGGACGGAGGUCCUGAUGGUCCGUACUAGGAUGUGUCCACAACAGUGUCUCUGUGGAUGGAGUUGCCGCUAUGUUCCGCUACGCCGUAGUAGUAUUUAGUAGUCUCGAGGCCCCGCUAUGUUUUAUAAAUAAUGUAGAUACUCUCGCAGCACCGAGGGUGCCUUUGGCCUCGCUAUCGUUGUAAGAUAUGUGCUUGUACCGUAUGCCAUCAAUAAAGUCAGUUCAGUUCUGUUCCAAGUUGUUCUGUGUUGGUAAUCCGGUUCUCUGAGCCGGGGUGCCACACUCUUUGUUGGUUGAUCAGUUAGAUAUUAUUGGAGAGAUGUAUUACUGUAUUCGAGAGAUGUAUUAGUGAUGUAUUCCAGAUUAUAUAUUCGAUAAUAUUAAGUGGAUUAUUCAAUGAUACAUUAAUUAAGUGGAUUAUUCGAUGUAUAUAAGCGGGAGUUUUAGUUGUUUAGUUAAUUUAGUUUUUUUAUGUUUAAUUAAUUUGCAUAUACUAUGGAUCCAAUACACGGCAGAGAUGAAUAUCACGAAGACAUGAUGCAUAAUGUCAUCCGCGGGGAUGAUUUUAUUAUUGACGAUGUCAUCAAUCAGUUUCUGAACAAGUCCGGCGAGGUAGAUGAGUCUCUCAACACAUGAGGUAGAAGCUUCGAUGCCUCGGCCGAGAGAGGACUCAACGGCUCCGAUGAGGGAGAAGCCGACGCUCCGGCGAGGUGCAUAUAUGUAUUAAUAAAUUAAUCCUCUGCCAUCUAUAUCUAAGUAUUAACGCUCUUUCUUCUUUCAGCUUUUCGAAUCGAGCAAAACUUUAGUACGGACGAGACGAGGCCUGCUACCAACAGCCAAGAAAUGAAAAUCAAUGUGAACGUUGCGGUCGUGCUUGUGAUAGUUUCUGUAAUCAAGGAGGAUACUCACCUGGCAUCCCUUGAUGCGUAAUGAUGCAUAUCAGCAUAUGCAUGAUCUGAAAUUUCGCAGGCCAAUGUCAUGUCUCACCAUCCUGUUCAAUAAAACUGGAUCUCACUGAGAGUAUCCAAACCAGUGUGUCAGUUUGUUUAUGUGCUCGUGCGUAUUUUCUUUCGUUGCUCCAAUUAAAGAUUACAACGGUUACAGUGAUUGGCCAAUUUAGGAGCCGUCUACGGUCUAUCCACCUCAAUCUAAUGGUGAAAAAAUAAAAGUUACAAAGAGUUACGAGAUUGAAAUUACAAGAAAUUAGAAAUAACGGUGGGAUCAUUACAUAUUUUUGAUGGGAUCAGUUUUUCUUUCAAAGGGUAGAUUCGUCAAGGAAAUAUGUAACUCAGCACAUAGAGUUUUCUUGCAAAACUGCCGAACGACUCAGAUCGCCUCUCGCCUUGCUCGUGGCUUCGAUAUUUUUUUGCUGGCGUCCAUCUUCCCUGGCUCGCUGGCCUCGGCCCCGCUGAGCACCUUCGCUGACAGUGAGAUCAGCAACAGCCGGCAGCCGGACUUGUGAAUCGUCUCCAUCGGCCGUCGGCACACCGGACUUGACCUCGCGCGCCGCAGCAACGCCGAUGUCUCCCUAUCGUGUUAGAUCAGGUUACCUAGCGCGGUGGACGGACGAUGAGUCGGGACCGCGCACCGCAAGCACGCCUAACCCAAGGAUCCUUCUACCUGGUGAGGAAGUACACUAGCAUGAAGAGCCGAGGAAGGACGCCAUGAGGGUUCCCAUUCUCGUCAGCAGCAAUCAGUUACAAAUUCACUGAUUCAGUUUUAAUUUAACACCUUCUCUACUGGUAGGCUACAACACAGAGCACCCAACCGUCUGAUUCGAUAAAGGAAAACUAUGUGUCCAUGUCGUUUAUUUCAUCUCUGUACCAUAAGAGCAACUUCAACGGACCGACUCAAACGAACGACGACUUUGUUCGUUUUUUGUCCGUUUGGGUCGGUCUCCCGCCCAACGUCCGUCCUGUUUUAAAUAUCGAUCGGCAGUGCGUCCAACGUGUCGAUCCAUUUCAUGUCCGCAAUUAACAUUUAAUAAAAGGGCCUGCGGCCGAUCGUGCUAGCGGUCAUGUCUCAUGCCGGCACCAUGCCAGCACCGGCAUACAAUGCCAGCUUCAAAAAAUAACACCACAGUUUCAUGCUAGCGCACUCGCCAGCCGGCCGACACACAUGCCAGCACACAAAAGGGGUUGGACUUGAGUUCGACCACGCCAUCGCGGCCCCGUGGUCAUGCGAGUACACCUGACGGCAUACAAAAUGAUGGCUCUCGUCGCCAUAGAUCACUCCUCGUCGAACUUGAUCAUGUCGGCCUGCAUCUUCUCGAACCACGACCUCUUCCUUUGCGACACGGUGUUGAGAUCCACCUUCAUGAUCUCCACUCAGGUCUUCAUGCUCGCGAGAGCCAGCGGCCACCGGUGUAGCGUUGAGGUCGAUGGGCGCGGGCGCGAGCGUGGAAGGCGCGACCACGCUCACCUUGGGCGAGCACCCCUCGUGAGGCGGGAGGCCUGCGGGUAGACGUGGAAGCCGGGCACCGGGUUGCAAGUCGACGCGCGGGGCGAGUCGGGCAGCACCGUCCGAGGGAAGCCGGAUGAGCCGGUGCUGACCGCGGCGGCCACGGCGGCGUUGACGAGGUCGUGCUAGCUAGGGUUUAACCCAAGUAUGCAGAGCGCCUCCCUCGUUGCCGACGCGGCGGCGGCGGCUUCUUCCCUCGCGUCCGCCGCGUGCCUCCGGUCCUUCCUAUUGGAUGACUCCUUUGCCUGCUUUCAGCCGUCAGCACCUUCUUCGGCUUCGGCGCGGCGGCCUUCCGAGGGGCACGAGGUUUGCCGGAUGAGGCGACGGAGGCGGGGCCGGUGGCGGCGUCGAGGUCGAGGUCGUCGUCCAUGGCGGACGUGGGUGAGAGCGGGAGUGGGAGCGCACGAGGGCGGGAGGGUUUUUGAGGGAAAUGGUGGUGGAUGCCACCGACCGGCGGUCCCGAGGAGAGGAGUUGGCGCAGGCGGGCGUCCGUCUGUGUCCGCGCUGACGCAAAUCCGGCUCAAAAUUGGGCCGGGAAUGGGUCGCCAGGCGUACGCCAAGCGGACGUGCGUCCGUUUAGAUCUGCACGUUGGACCAUCUUUUUUUCCGCGCCGACCUAAACAAACGGAACGGACGAAAUGGAUCGCCCCAUUAAAGUUGCUUGGAGUUGCUCUAAGAAAUUGAUUCCAGUGAACAAGGUAAACAAUAAUAGGCAUGAAACAAGCCAUCAAUUAGCUAGCCAUUGUCUCACGUCAAGAUGAUUAGUUCUUGUCUGAACGCAAUCUGCCCAAUCCCAAUUCAUGGAGCACUAGCAUUCGUCCUAGUCUAAUUGAAACACCCACUAAAAUUAGCCCUGGUACUUGCAAUCCCGCUAGCCAUAAUAAAACAAGAAGCUAGCUAGAAGUUUCGACUAUUUACUCAUUCUCAAAUCAGUUUGCCGGGCUGGUACUAAGUACUCCCUCCGUUCCUAUUUUAAAGAUUUCACUAGGGACUACAUAUGAAGUAAAAUAAAUGAAUAUACACUUUAAAUUAUGUCUAUAUACAUCUGUAUGUAGUCUUCUAGUGAAACCUUUAAAAAUACUUAUAUUUAGAAACGGAGAGGAGGGAAGUCUGUUUUAGACCUUUAGAUUGUAGAGCCGGUCUGAAAUGAACCCUCACAUUCAGAUCCCUGAAGUCUGUACCCUGUACUCAUGAAUCACGGUCAAUCUCAACCUUGAACCCAGGGCCGGCCCUGAGGGGGGCAGGGGGGCGGCCGCCCCGGGCCCCCAAAAUCCAGCCCCCCCCAGGUAUGUAUGUAGAUUAGGGCCCAUAUUAUUAGAAGGAAAGGAUCUCUCGAUCGCUUGAUUUCAGCGACAUAACCUAGGGUCGUUAGAAAACGAAAAACAAGCAAUCUGACGAUUCCUUUACCGAGCCCUAGCUACUGUCCGCCGCCGACGUCGCCGUAGUGGCCGACUGGCCGUACGCAGCAGAAGCAGUCCUGCAGGAUAACAGGAGAGACCCUGGCCCUGUCUUCAGAACACAGCGCAGCAACGGGAGCAGCCCUGUAGGACAGCAGGACGCAGACGCUUGAAACUUUGAAAGUGAACAAAACGCCGGGUUGAUCUCGGAAGACAACAGGAGAGUCAGACGCAUCACGCGCAUGCUUGAGCCUUGAUCACGCAUGCAGCCAGCCUGUACUCGUCUACUCGCCGCCGUCCUCUGGUAAUUAACCGUUUUUUGAUUAAAACGAUUUCAGCAAGCCUACAUACUACAGAAAUUAGUAUGCCGUGCUUAAUUCCUUUCAUUCAUGUGCAGACCUGCAGAAUAUAGUCUACACAGUACACACACGUACAAUACAGAGUAUUUAAAAUCUGAAAUUUGGCCAUCAAGAUUCAGGAUCAGGUGAAUUCUUUUUUCAUUCAUCUGCAGAUUUUUUUUGGUUCACAGCUGGCACCGUUCAACAACUGAUGCAACAUUUUUUUGUUUUCAGCAUUGUGUCUGUUGUCAUGCCGGCCAACAAGAGGAAAUAUCCAUCGGGUAGCGACAAAAGGAAAAAAAAGAUGGCCGUGAAAAAAUUGAUAAACUCGCAACGCGUAGGUAUUCGACAAUUUCUCAAGCCAAGUAAUAUUGGUGCUUCGAGUACUUCGCCAAACCUAGAUGAUGCGUUGGCGAUUGUUGCCAUAGUGGAAGAGCAACCGACUAGUGAAAAUUCGGACUCUGAUCAGCAAGAAGAAAAUAUCAACUCCAACAUCGGCGAUAGCAAUGUAAGUGGCUUCGAGAAUGUAGGUAAUUCAUCAGAUGCACAUGUUAAAUCUGCUAGUGUUGAUGAGCAACCAGUUUAUACUGCCGAUAUUUAUGAUCCAAGAAAUUGGGACAAUCUUGAUAAUAAAGCAAGAGAUAUUUUAGUUGAGAAAGGGCCUGUCAGAGAGGAUAAAAUGGAAUACCAUGUAGAUGAUGACGAAAGACAUUUUUCGUGCACUCAUUAUCGUAGAAAAUUAAGCAAUGGAGAGGAACAUGAUAGGAAAUGGCUAGUUUAUUCAAAAGAUGUCAACAAAGUUUUUUGCUUCCGUUGUAAGAUCUUCAAGUCUAGCACCAACAGGAUACAAAGUUCCUUAGCACAUGAUGGAUUAGGACAUUGGAGGUAUAUUAGUGGGAAGCUUAAAGAACAUGAAAAUAGCAUCGAGCAUAUUAAUAACAUGAACAAGUGGAAUGAAUUGAGGGUUAGACUACGGAAAGAGGAGACAAUUGACAAGGAAUUGGAACAUCAAAUAACGAAGGAGAAAGAACGUGUCAGGCAAGUUCUGUUAAGAAUAAUAGCCGUUGUAAAAUAUCUUGGUAAACGCAGCUUGGCUUUUCGUGGAAAUAGUGAGAAGCUUUACAAGGAUGAUAAUGGUAAUUUCUUAGCUUGCAUUGAGAUGAUUGCAGAAUUUGACAUGGUAAUGCAAGAUCACCUUAGACGUAUUGAGAACAAAGAAAUCCAUUAUCAUUAUCUCAGUCAUAAAAUACAGAAUGAGUUGAUAUCUCUUUUGGCUUCUGACAUCACAUGUUCUAUCAUAAAGGUUGUUAAAGAGGCCAAGUAUUUCUCCGUUAUCCUAGAUUGUAACCCUGAUGUUAGUCAUAAAGAACAAAUGACUUUUUUAGUUCGAUGUGUUAAUCUGUCUGAUGGGAAAAUAAAAAUUGAGGAGUACUUUCUGGGGUUCUUGAAAGUGGAUGACACUUCUGGCUUAGGGAUUUUUAAAGUACUGCUUGAAUCUCUUGAGUCUUUUGGCCUAAAUAUUAAAGAUAUAAGGGGUCAAGGUUAUGACAAUGGUUCUAAUAUGAAAGGAAAAUAUCGAGGGGUACAAUCUAGGUUACUUGAUAUGAAUCCAAGAGCAUUAUAUAUGCCAUGUGCUUGUCAUAGUCUCAAUCUCACUCUUUGUGAUAUGGCAAAAUCAUGUGAAAAAGCUGUUUCAUUUUUUGGAAUUGUUCAGCGCAUAUAUGUAUUAUUUGCUGGCUCUACAAAAAGGUGGAAUGUUUUGCUUAAACAUGUUCCUAGUUUGACCGUGAAGUCAUUGUCCAAUACUCAUUGGGAGAGUAGAAUCAAAAGUGUUACAUCAAUAAGAUAUCAAGCCAGUGAGUUAAGAUCAGCUUUGUCUGAGUUACGCCAUGCUUCUGAAACUGAUCCUAAGGAUAAAAGUGAUGCAAAAAAAUUUAUUUGAUGUACUUGGUCGCUUUGAGUUUCUAGUUGGUAUGAUUAUUUGGCAUGAUAUUCUAUUUGCUGUAAAUAAAGUUAGCAAGAUGUUGCAAUCAUCAACCAUGUGCAUCGACUCCGCUUUGAAGCAAAUAAAAGGUAUAACACAAUAUUUUGAGAAGUACAGAGAUGAGGGAUUUUCUUCCAGUUUGAGCAUCGCUGAAGGUAUUGCAACUGAAAUGGGAAUAGAGCCAUUGUUUCCAGUGAAACGCCGUGUUACGAGGAAGAAGCAGUUUGACGAAAAUGAUUGUCAAGAAGAAAUUCUAGAAGGUGAGAAGGCUUUCCGUGUUAAAUAUUUUAAUGUUUUGGUUGAUAUGACGAUCAAUUCUUUGAAUGAUAGAUUUAAAGAACUCAUGGUGUUUAAAGAUAUAUUCGGAUUUUUAUUGAGCUCGGGCACCCUCAAGUCAUAAGUGACAGUGUACUUGAAGAAUGUUGUACGAAAUUUGCAGAAACUUUCUUUUUUAAUGGUUCAUCAGAUGUUGAGGUAUACAAUCUUAUUUCUGAACUGAAGAUUAUGAGAUUCACUUUGCCGGAUGGCGUAAUGUCCGCUAUGGAGAUUUUUGGGCAUGUGAGAGAAGUUGAUUGUUAUCCUAGUAUCUCCAUUGCCUAUCGCAUCUUAUUUACAGUGCCGGUGACGGUCGCAUCAGCUGAAAGAAGCUUUUCAAAAUUGAAGUUAUUAAAGAAUUAUUUAAGGUCAACAAUGACUCAAGAGAGAUUAAAUGGUUUGGCUACUUUAUGCAUGAAGAAAAAAUUAUUGGAUGAUAUUGACAUCGACCCAUCAUAAGUGACUUUGCAUCGAGGAAUGUUAGAAGAAAUUUUUAAGGUAGUACGUAUAAAUUAUUUACUACGCAUACAGAUUUUGGUUGCAUCUAAGUGUUACUGAUAAUAAUUUCUAUAUACAUUUUUAGACAACUAUAUAUAUAUAUGUAUUUCUGAGGCAAACUAUAUAUAUAUAUAUAUAUAUAUAUAUAUAUAUAUAUAUAUAUAUGUAUGUAUAUAUAUAUAUAUGUAUGUAUACAUAUAUUAUAAAGACUUAUAUAUUAAGGCCCUCAAUUUUUAGUUCGCCCCGGACCCCCAAAUUCUCAGGACCAGCCCUGCUUGAACCUAUCUAGGCCAAUUUGACGUGCUAGGAAAUCAAAUAUCCCGACCGGAAUCACACUUUAAUUUCACUGACUGGAUAAGCAGUAGCUAAACGAUCUAGCACCGAACGCUCAUAUAUGUGCUAACCAACUUAAUCAAUCUUGGCCUAGUGAUAUGAUUGAAUCUGUGCACAACGGGGACCAGCGUGUGGCUGCUAAGGAUGGAUUCAGCAUGUAUGAGGCGCUCUGCAUCUGCAACUUCCCGUUCGUCUCCGGCACCGUGCCGCGAGCUCAGCUGCGUUGGUCAGCGUGGUGGCCACGAACUACGGCCGCUCACACGCAGUGAGCUUGAAGCCGCGAAUGGCGAGAACGAAAUUGCAGAACCUGCUGUGCCAGCAAGAGUGUGACUCCAAGCUCGUCUCCGGCGGGCACUUGCUUGGUGAACACCCGUGAUGGCGCCGCCGUCCAGGGCUCUUGACUACACACCAUUGUUCGUUAACGACCCUCGAGGCGCGCAUUGUUGUUCUCUGCCUUGGUGGCGUCCAGGUGUCUGCGCUGAUUUGGAGAGAGAGAAGGAUGGAUCUAAAAUGUGGGAUGAGGAUGUAAGUUAGAGGUAGAGGAUUUUAAUCCCGGUCGGGAUGUUUCUUUUCCCAGGGCGCCAAACACGCCUAGGGUCCAGAUUGACCGGGAUAAAUAAGUACAGGAUAUAGAUUUCAGGUUUUUAAAAGUAAGGGUUUAUUUCUGACGAGCUGUAUAAAUUCAAGGUUUAAAAUAAACUUCAUCCAACGGAGGGAGUACUAACCACUAAUACCAUCAUGCAAUACAUAUCCAAUUAACCAUGGAUUAUUCUACUAUAUAUUUCUUAGAAACAAUGCAUCGCUAGUAAGAUUAGAGGAUCGCGUAUCAAAAGAAGAGACCAACCUAGAGCUUCAAAGCUUUAGGACCGCUGUGCGAGCAGGUCUCCAUCAGCGGAGCGGCUGCGGCUUCCAUGAGGUGCGGCCUGGGAGAGCCGCCAUAGCCCUCGAUUUGAGGAAUGGCUCGGAAGGCGCGUCUGGAAGGCGGCCCUCGACUCCGGUUCAUAAGAUGGUGUCGUUGCCCCAGGUCCUCGCGCCCACAGCGUCGCCUUCAAGUCCACAUGCCGUCGCCACCGUCUACGCACUCGUGAGAUGGGAUCCGCGAUAUGUGACAGUUACACACAAUGUUUCCAAGAAAAAGCCACAGACCAUAAUACCCUAUUUUAAAUACAAUAUUUUAAUUAACAUGCUAACCCAACAGUGGAAAACAAUCAAAAAAGGAGUUACACGAAAUUACAUUUCGUAACUCUCCAAUCACUGUAAAAGAGCUCAUAAAAGAUAUCAGGGUUGUUUAACGGGAAUAGAGGGAUUGGUGGAAUAAUUGUUGUAUUGCUUGAGCCUCGUGAGCAUAUAUAUAUGAGUACAUGAUCAUUUCAGAGUACAAGUCAAGGCAGGAACAAAUCCUAGUCUAUCUAUGCUUUUCUAAACAAUCACAUUACUCAACAUCCCCCCACAGUCACAACGAUAACGACGCAGACGGUGAGACUAGAGAAGAAUCCGAAGGUAAGCCGACACUCAUCCCCUCACAGUCGUAACGGUCGAUGCAUCACGGAAGUUGUGGCCGGAGUAGAAACCGACGAGGUUGCUCAAGCAAGGCGGUAGCCCUUUGUGCCAAUGUCGAGGUAGCCGAGAGCGUGGGGUGGCGUAGCCGUGGUCGAGGUAGCCGUGCAAAGAAUGCCAUGGUCGAUGUCGAGUCGGGUAGCCGGUGUCGAGGGUCGCCUUGGAGCCGCGGGCGCAAGGAGGCGCCGAGUUAGUCAUGGGCGCAGUGGUGUCGAAGUAGUGAUGCGCCGGAAAGAAGACGUAGUUGAGACACGUCGCGUCGAGUUUGCCAAGCCCGGGACACAUCAUGGACGAAGGCACGCAUCGGUGUUGCCAACACCGCGCAUGCGUAGACGGACGAAGUCGAUGUUGACGAUGCGUCGCUCCAAAUUUGCCAGGCCUGGGAACACACUGGAGACGAAGGCACACUACGCAAAACUUUAGUACGGACGAGACGAGGCCUGCUACCAACAUUGAAGAGAUGAAAAUCAAUGUGAACGUUGCAGUGAUGGUUGUGAUAGUUUCUGUAAUCAAGCAGAUACUCACUUGGCAUCCCUUGAUGCGUAAUGAUGCAUAUCAGCAUAUGCAUGGUCUGAAAUUUCGCAGGCCAAUGUCAUGUCUCACCAUCCUCUUCAAUAAAACUGGAUCUCAAUGAGAGUAUCCAAACCAGUGUGUCAGUUUGUUUAUGUGCUCGUGCGUAUUUUCUUUCGUUGCUCCAAUAAAAGAUUAAGUGUCAGUUCCUAUUUUUUCUAUGUUUUUAGCUUUUUUUUAGAUCUGAUUUUGAAACGGAGUCCAAACGGAAUAAAAUCUCCGAAAUGAUUUUUUCCCGAACGGAAGAAGAUCAGGGGGCCUGUGGGCCAAACCAGGAGGGCUCCAGGGAGCCCACAAGCCCCCACUCCGCCACCAGGGGAGGCGGCGGUGGCAGGGCUUGUGGCCUCCCUGAGCGCCCCCUGACCUAGAUCUUUGGCCUAUAUAUUCCCUAAAAUACAGCAAAAAAUCAGGGGAGCCUCGAAAAUACUUUUCCGCCGCCGUAAAUUUCCGUUUCCACGAGAUCUCAUCUGGAGACCCUUCCCGGCGCCCUGCCAGAGGGGACUUUGGAGUUGGAGGGCUUCUUCAUCAUCAUCAUCGCCCCUCCAAUGACUCGUGAGUAGUUCACUUCAGACCUACGGGUCCGUAGUUAGUAGCUAGAUGGCUUCUUCUCUCUCUUGGAUCUUCAAUACAAAGUUCUCCAUGAUCUUCAUGGAGAUCUAUCCGAUGUAAUCUUCUAUGGCGGUGUGUUUGUCGAGAUCCGAUGAAUUGUGGAUUUGUGAUCAGAUUAUCUAUGAUAUAUAUUUGAGUCUUUGCUGAUUUCUUAUAUGCAUGAUUUGAUAUCCUUGUAAGUCUCUCCGAGUCUUGGCUUUUGUUUGGCCAACUAGAUCUAUGAUUCUUGCAAUGGGAGAAGUGAUUGGUUUUGGGUUCUUACCAUGUGGUGACCUUUCCCAGUGACAGUAGGGGCAGCAAGACACACAUUGAGUGUUUGCCAUCAAGGGUAACAAGGUGGGCUCUGUCGUUGAUAUGAGAUUGUCCAUCUACAUCAUGUCAUCUUGCUUAAGGCGUUACUCUGUUCUUUUGGACUUAAUACACUAGAUGAAUGCUGAAUAGCGGUCGAUGUUGGAGUAAUAGUAGUAGAUGCAGACAUUAUUGGUCUACUUGUUUUGGACGUGAUGCCUAUAGAUACAAUCAUUGCCAUAGAUGACGUCACGACUUUGCGCGGUUCUAUCAAUUGCUCGACAAUAAUUUGUUCACCCACCAUCUACUUGCUUUCAUGAGAGAAGUCACUAGUAAACACUACGAUCCCCGAGUCUAUUCACAUCUAUCGUUUACACCUCCGCUUUUACUUUGCUUUGUUACUUUGUUGCUUUCAUAUCUCACUUUGCGAACAAUCUAUAAGGGAUUGACAAAUCCUUCAUAGCGUUGCGAGCAGGUUCUUUGUGUUUGUGCAGGCACUUGUGAUACUCCUUCACUGGAUCGAUACCUUGGUUCUCAAAACUGAGGGAAAUAUUUACCACCGCUACGCUACAUCACCCUUUCCGCUUCGAGGGAACACCAACGCAAGGCUCCAAGGCUGCGGGGAAAUCCUUUGCUUAUUUGCCUAGUAAGUCCCUAAAGGCGUAGCCGUAGCAGAAGGAUUCCUGAUGUCGUUGUUGAGGAGAAUCAAGACAAGAACAGUCUCCCGUCAGCACGUGUUUCUGGCGCCGUUGGAAGGUCAUUUGUUGCAGUAGCAAGCACAUAGAGCAAAAUUAUCUAGAUCAAAAGAUAUAAGUGAAGCACUAUGAGCAUUCUAGCAAAAUCACGAUGAGUGCAUGUCUCUCUCUAAAGGUGUGCAGCAAGGAUGACUGUGACACAACAAAAAGAAAAGACUCCUACGAUACAAGACGCUCUAAGCAAAACACAUAUCAUGUGAUGAAUAAAAAUAUAGCUCCAAGUAAUGUUACCGAUGGAUUAAAGACGAAAGAGGGGAUGCCUUCCCGGGGCAUCCCCAAGCUUAGGAUUUUUGGUGUCCUUUAAUUUGGCUUGGGAUGCCUUGGACAUCCCCAAGCUUGAGCUCUUUCCACUCCUUAUUUCUUUGUCCAUGAGAACAUCACCCAAAACUUGAAAACUUCACAACACAAAACUUAAACAGAAACUCGUGAUAACAUUAGCACAAGAAAACAAACUACCACCACUUUAGGUACUGUAGCAAUCUUGAUUCAUAUUUAUAUUGGUGUUAGAUUACUGUAUUCUCACUUUUCCAUGGCUAGUACCCCCCGAUACUAUUCAUAGUUUCAUCAAAACAAGCAACCAACUCAACAAAAACAGAAUCUGUCAAAAACAGACCAGUUUGUAGCAAUCUGUAUGCUUCGUAUACUUCUGUUACCUCAAAAAUUCUUAACUAUUACGACUGCCUGGGAAAAAGGCAUAUAAACUAGAAGCAAAAAGAAUCAACUCAAAAUCUCUUUCUGAAUAAAAAUAAAAAAUCAUCUCGUGAGAAAAAAGUUUCUGUCUUUUUCCAGCAGGAUCAAACAACCAUCACCAAGUCUAGUCAUAAAGGUUUUGCUUGGCUCAAACACAAAAAGAAACACAAAAGACACAAUCAUAGAAUUAUGAUGGUGUGGACGCAACAAAACAGAAAGAAAAAGAAAUAAAUUCAUUGGGUUGCCUCCCAACAAGCGCUAUUGUUUAACGCCCUUAGCUAGGCAUAAGGCGAUAGUAUCGUCGUCUUUGGUGCUCAAACCAUAAGUAGCGUGAUCACUUAUCAUCUUAAGGUUUUCAUCUUUCUUGCUAGAUGAUUCACCACUAUUUUUGGGAACAAAAAUAGACUUGGUGACCUUAUUGUGGGCAAAAUUUGGAGUAUUCUGCACAGCGGCAAAAGCGGAACCCAAGUUGGUUAUAACAUCCUCUAGUUUGCCAAUCCUAGCGGAAUCAUGACCUAGUUUUUCGUUAACUGUAGGUUCCUUCUCCUUUAAAUUUUUCAAAACCAUUCCCACCUUGGAUCCGUACCGAGUGAUUUGGUUGUGGAUCUUUUUAUCCAAAUUCUCAAUGAUUUCGAUCGUAGCAACUUUAUUUUCAAUGACGUCCAGCCUACGCAUCACAUGUUCCAGAGUUAAGGUAGUUCCAUUAACCAUGAGUGGGGGUGAGCCUGCCAAAUUUAUUACAGCUCCGUAAGAAUCAACGGUAUGGCUAUCUAAGAAAUUUCCACCUACGAUGGUGUCAAGAAUAUACUUAUGCCAAGGAGAAACACCCACAUAAAAACUGGGAAGCAGGACGGUAGUGGAUUGCUUAUGAGUAGAUCUACUCUGAGCAUUGCAAAUCCUAUACCAAGCGUCCUUUAAGUUUUCUUCCUCAAUUUAUUUGAAAUUGAGAACUUUGUUCUCGGGAGUAUCGUUCGAAGUGGUGGAUCUAGCAUGAGGACAGGUAGACUAUCCCACACAAAUGAACAGAAAGCAAGCGAGAGAAAAUGGCGAACAAAAAAUGCAAACGAAAAAGGCAAAUACUUUUUUGUAAAUUUUUGCUUUUCAGAAGUGGAGGAGAGGAAAACGAGAGGCAAAAAAGUAAAUGCAAGAGAUGAAUUUGCGACACUUACUUGGAUGAGUUCUUGACUUGAUCCUCCCCGGCAAAGGUGCCAGAAAUCCUUCUGGUACUUCUCAAACAACAGCGCCAGAAUUUGACACAUUGACGGAGACUUGCUUGCGUUGGUUUUUCCCUUGAAGAGAAAGGGUGAUGCAGCACAGGAGCAGUAAGUAUUUCCCUCAGUUUGAGAACCAAGGUAUCAAUCCAGUAGGAGAAUCCCGUCAAGUCCAGAGUACCUGCGCAAACACAAAAGAGCUUGCACCCAACGCUAUAAAGGGUUGUCAAUCCUUCAAGAUUUAUUGCAAAGUGAGAUCUGAAGGCGAAAAGUGCAACGAAGAAAAAGAGUAAGGCUGAAAAUAUGGUGUGGAGUAGACCCCGGGGCCAUAGUGUUCACUAGAAGCUUCUCUCAAAAUAGCAAAUAUUACGGUGGGUGAACAAAUUAGUGUCGAGCAAUUGAUAGAACCGCGCAAAGUCAUGACGAUAUCUAAGGCAAUGAUCAUACAUAUAGGCAUCACGUCCGAGACAAGUAGACCGAUACUUUCUGCAUCUACUACUAUUACUCCACACAUCGACCGCUAUCCAGCAUGCAUCUAGCGUAUUGAGUUCAUGACGAAUAGAGUAACGCCUUAAGCAAGAUGACAUGAUGUAGAGGGAUAAACUCAAACCAAUGAUGAAAACCCCAUCUUUUUACCCUUGAUGGCAACAACACGAUGCGUGCCUCGCUACCCCUUCUGUCACUGGGUGAGGUCACCGCACGGUAUGAACCCAAAACCAAGCACUUCUCCCAUUGCAAGAAUCAUAGAUCUAGUUGGCCAAACAAAACCCACAACUCGAAGAGAAUUACAAGGAUAUGAAAUCAUGCAUAAGAGAGAUCAGAAGAAACUCAAAUAAGAUUCAUAGAUAAUCUGAUCAAAAAUCCACAAUUCAUCGGAUCUCGACAAACACACCGCAAAAUAAGAUUACAUUAGUUAGAUCUCCAUGAAGAUCAUGGAGAACUUUGUAUUGAAGAUCCAAGAGAGAGAAGAAGCCAUCUAGCUACUAGCUAUGGACCCGUAGGUCUAUGGUGAACUACUCACGCAUCAUCGGAGAGGUCAUUGUGUUGAUGAAGAAGCCCUUCGUAUCCGAAUCCCCCCUCCGGCAGGGCACCAGAACGUGCCCCAGAUGGGAUCUUGCGGAGACAGAAGCUUGCAGCGGCGGAAAAGUACUUUCGAUGAUCUCCUGAUUUUUUCUGGGAUUUUAGGGAAUAUAUAGGCGAACGACCUAGGGCAAAGGUGCCUGAUGACCCACAAGUAUAUGGGAUCAAUCGUAGUCCUUUCGAUAAGUAAGAGUGUCGAACCCAACGAGGAGCAGAAGGCUCUGAUAAAAGGAUUUCAGCAAGGUAAUAACUGCAAGCACUGAAAGUAGCGGUAACAAGUGAUGGUGUAGCUAGGUGAAACGUAGCGAGCAAAAACUAACAAGUAACAAGUAGUAGCAACGGUGCAGCAAGUGGCCCAAUCCCUUUUGCAGCAAGGGACAAGCCUGAACAAAGUCUUAUAGGAGGAAAAAUGCUCCGGAGGACACACGGGAAUUUCUGUCAUGCUAGUUUCAUCAUGCUCAUAUGAUUCGCGUUCGUUACUUUGAUAGUUUGAUAUGUGGGUGGACCGGCGCUUGGGUACUGCCCUUACUUGGACAAGCAUCCCACUUAUGAUUAACCUCUCUCGCAAGAAUCCGCAACUACAGAAGAAGAAUUAAGACAAAGUCUAACCAUAGCAUUAAACUAGUGCAUCCAAAUCAGUCCCUCACGAAGCAACACAUAGACUAGGGUUUAAGCUUAUGUCACUCCAGCAACCCAUCAUCUACUUACUACUUCCUAAUGCCUUCCUCUAGGCCCAAAUAUGGUGAAGUGUUAUGUAGUCGACGUUCACAUAACACCACUAGAGGAAAAGACAACAUACAUCAUAUCAAAAUACCGAACGAAUAUCAAAUUCACAUGACUAUUAUUAACAUGACUUAUCCCAUGUCCUCAGGAACAAAAGUAACUACUCACAAAACAUAAUCAUAAUCAUGAUCGGAGGUGUAAUGAAUAGCAUCAAGGAUCUGAACAUAAACUCUUCCACCAAGUAAUCCAACUAGCAUCAACUACAAAGAGUAAUCAACACUACUAGCAACCUUACAAGUAUCAAUCGGAGUCGUGAGACGAAGAUUGGUUACAAGAGAUGAACUAGGAUUGGAGAGGGGAUGGUGCUGAUGAAGAUGUUGAUAGAUGCCUCCCCUCCGACGAAAGGAGUGUUGGUGAUGAUGAUGGCGACGAUUUCCCCCUCCGGGAGGGAAGUUUCCCCGGCAGGAUCGUCCUGCCGGAGCUCUAGAUUGGAUCUGCUCAAGUUCCGCCUCGUGGCGCUGGCAAAACCACGAAAAAGCUCCCCUCUGAUUUUUUCUGGACCAAGACGCUUCAUAUAGCAAAAGAGGGGGGCUAGUGGGCCGUCAGGGAGCCUACAAGCCCCCACUCCGCCACCAGGGGGUGGCGGUGUCAGGGCUUGUGGCGCCCUGGCAGCCCCCCUCCGGUAGUUCUUUCGCCCAGUAUUUUUUAUAUAAUCCCAAAAAAAUCCACGCAACUUUUCAGGGCAUUUGGAGAUGUGUAGAAUACUGGACUAGGAUUUGCUCCUUUUCUAGUCCAGAAUUCCAGCUGCCUGAAUUCUCCCUCUUCAAACAAACCUUGCAAAAUAAGAGAGAAAAUGCAUAAAUAUGGUACCACAAGUAAUAAAACAUCCCAAAACGCAAUAAAUAUCAACAUGAAAGCAUGAUGCAAAAUGGACUUAUCAACUCCCCCAAGCUUAGACCUCGCUUGUCCUCAAGUGAAAACCAAGUUCCAUAAACAUGUCCACAUGUUGAGGGACGAAGGUGUCGAUAAAACAUAAUACUGACAUAAGGGCAUCAUGAUCAUACAUAGGACAGCAAUACAUCAUAAAGAUUCUUAUGGGAAAGUAACAAUUCCUUCACAAAGCAAAGCAUCAAUCAAAAACCUUACCGUGAAGUAACCAACAAUAGUCCAUAGUCAUUGAAGCAAUUGCAAUUUAUCACAACAUCAGAAAGAGUCAAAUAAGAGCUUGUAAGGCAAACCCACAUACUCAAUCAUCUCUUUUGUUUUCCACAAUUGUUACAACUCACGUGGUACUCAUGGUGUCAAAGUUUCAGCUGGACACAGAGGAAGAUAGGGGCUUAUAGUUUUGCCUCCCAACCAUUUACCUCAAGGCUAAAGUCAACAACAAUAAAGCAUAAGUACUCAACUCCAAGUUGAUAUAUGAAUAUAGAUCUUUCCCAAGCAUGUGACGGUAGCCAAGACAAAGGCAAAGAUAGGGAAUUGGUGAUGAUCACCAUGACUCUUACAAGGGCAAAAAGUAAAGGUACAAGAUAGGCCCUUCGCAGAGGGAAGCAUAGGUUCUCAUGCGCUUUUGAGGUUUGAAUGUGUGUCCUCUUAGUGCGGAGGAACUUCACUUUAUAUUGCCUCCUGUGAUAAAGAACUUUAUUAUGCAGUCUGUCGCUUUUAUGUCUUCCUCAUCACAGGUUCGUACAAAGCUUAUUUUCCACACACUAAUAGAUCAUACAUAUUAGAUAGCAAUUUUUAUUGCUUGCACCGAUGACAACUUACUUGAAGGAUCUUAUUCAAUCCAUAGGUAGGUAUGGUGGACUCUCAUGGCAAAACUGGGUUGGAGGUUUAAGGAUUCACAAGUAGUAUCUCUACUUGAUGCGGGAGUUUUGGCUAAUAUGAGGUGGAAGAAAUCGUCACAUGCUAAGGGAUCUCUAAUCAUAUAACAUUGUUUGGAACCAAGCAAACACAAUUCAUUAUGUUGUCUUCCUUGUCCAACAUCUACUCCUAAGCAUGCAAUAGUUUGGUGAGUGCUCACAAUUGUAAAAAGUGUCUAAGAUGAUAUAUUUAUAUGUGAACCUCUCUUUCCUUAUUACUUCUUAUUAAUUGCAACAAUGACUGAGGUCUAUGUUGAUUUAUUCUCAACAAGUUUCAAUCAUCAUACGUGCCAUAUGUGAAGCUAUCACUUUCCAUAAGAUCGUCUCAUGAUCUUUCAUGCUAUCGUUCUUUUCACACUAUUGAUCAUGGCACAAAGCAAAGUCCUUGACUAAGACACUCUUUAUUAUAUAGCUCGUAAGUUCGAAUACAUCGGGAGAGACAAAAGCAAAAGAUUCAAACUAAACACUAAAGACUUAUUCCUCUAAGAGAAGAAAUAAAAACUGAAAAGGAAAGAACUAAAACAAAGGUAAAAGCAAAAGAUAUAAAGGUGAUACGAUACCAGGGAAACUCCCCCAAGCUUGGCAGAAGCCAAGGGGAUUGCCCAUACCAAUGCUUAGUUGUCUUCCUUUGUUGGUGAUGGUGGUGUUGUUGUCGCCUUUGAUUCCAAGAGAGCUAUCAAUCUUUGAUUUAUACCUUUGAGAUCUGUGACAUGGUUUUCCAGCAAAACAACUUCACGAGAAAGAGAAAUAUUGCGAGCACGAGUUGUUUCGCAAAACCUCAAGAGUUCAAUCAAGGAUGGAGACAACACAUGGAGGAAGGGUUGGAGAAAAUCUACUCCUUCAACGUCUUCAAUGUUGAACAUAGGUUGAACUUCCUCCCUAGCUUGGGUUUUCUCCUUAGCUUGGUCACUGGCUUCCGUGACUUCUACUCUUUUCAGAUCUGCAUGUACUUCAUCAUGAACUUGGUGAAGAUCAUUCUCCCCAACAGAUUCCUGAGACAUCUUUGCUGCAAAUCUGCGGCAGAAAACAAGCUCGAAACGAAAACAGAGGAAAACUACGCGAUACGGAGAUCAAAACCUUCGGGCGACUAUAUAUUGAUUUUUUCUGGGCCAGAAGGAGUCCUCGGCAAGAAAACAGAGUCCGGGAGGCACACGAGGUGCCCACAAGCUUGCCCUCCGCCACCAGGGGGUAGGGGGCGGUGGAAGGGCUUGUGGCCGCCUCGUUCGCUCUCCGGACUGCUUUUUAUUUUUCUAAUUUUCCAAAAAUUCCAAAACGGAAGAAAUUUCCUAUUGGAAAAUCAUCGGAGUGCAAUUUCUUACCGAAACAGAUACAUCUUCGUUUUCAAGGUCUGAAACAGGCUGAUAAACAUCCCUUAUAUACUCCUCUGGAGUUAUGACAUUGAUGACAUUGGUCUCAAUAUUUAUGGGAGUAUGAUGACCCACAAAUAUAGGGGAUCAAUCGUAGUCCUUUCGAUAAGUAAGAGUGUCGAACCCAACGAGGAGCAGAAGGCUCUGAUAAACGGAUUUCAGCAAGGUAAUAACUGCAAGCACUGAAAGUAGCGGCAACAAGUCAUUGUGUAGCGAGGUGAAACGUAGCAAGCAAAAAGUAAUAAGUAACAAGUAGUAGCAAUGGUGCAGCAAGUGGCCCAAUCCCUUUUGUAGCAAGGGACAAGCCUGAAAAAAGUCUUAUAGGAGGAUAAACGCUCCCGAGGACACACGGGAAUUUCUGUCAUGCUAGUUUCAUCAUGUUCAUAUGAUUCGCGUUCGUUACUUUGAUAGUUUGAUAUGUGGGUGGACUGGCGCUUGGGUACUGCCCUUACUUGGACAAGCAUCCCACUUAUGAUUAACCUCUCUCGCAAGCAUCCGCAACUACAAAAGAAGAAUUAAGACAAAGUCUAACCAUAGCAUUAAACUAGUGGAUCCAAAUCAGCCCCUUACGAAGCAACACAUAGACUGGGGUUUAAGCUUCUGUCACUCCAACAACCCAUCAUCUACUUACUACUUCCCAAUGCCUUCCUCUAGGCCCAAAUAUGGUGAAGUGUUAUGUAGUCGACGCUCACAUAACACCACUAGAGGAAAAACAACAUACAACAUAUCAAAAUACCAAACGAAUAUCAAAUUCACAUGACUAUUAUUAACAUGACUUAUCCCAUGUCCUCAGGAACAAAAGUAACUACUCACAAAACAUAAUCAUAAUCAUGAUCAGAGGUGUAAUGAAUAGCAUCAAGGAUCUGAACAUAAACUCUUCCACCAAGUAAUCCAACAAGCAUCAACUACAAAGAGUAAUCAACACUACUAGCAACCUUACAAGUACCAAUCGGAGUUGCGAGACGAAGAUUGGUUACAAGAGAUGAACUAGGGAUUGGAGAGGAGAUGGUGCUGAUGAAGAUGUUGAUGAAGAUGCCUCCCCUCCGAUGAGAGGAGUAUUGGUGAUGACGAUGGCGACGAUCUCCCCCUCCGGGAGAGAAGUUUCCCUGGCAGGAUCGUCCUACCGGAGCUCUAGAUUGGAUCUGCUCAAGUUCCGCCUCGUGGCGGCGGCGAAACCACGAAAAAGCUCCCUCUUGAUUUUUUUUCUGGACCAGGACGCUUCAUAUAGCAAAAGAGGGGGCUAGUGGGCCGUCAGGGAGCCCACAAGCCCCCACUCCGCCACCAGGGGGGUGGCGGUGUCAGGGCUUGUGGCGCCCUGGCAGCCCCCCUUCGGUAGUUCUUUCGCCCAGUAUUUUUUAUAUAAUCCAGAAAAAAUCCACGUAACUUUUCAGGCCAUUUGGAGUUGUGCAAAAUAGUGGACUAGGAUUUGCUCCUUUCUUAGUCCAGAAUUCCAGCUGCCUGAAUACUCCCUCUUCAAAUAAACCUUGCAAAAUAAGAGAGAAAAGGCAUAAAUAUGGUACCACAAGUAAUAUAACAGCCCAAAAGGCAAUAAAUAUGAACAUGAAAGCAUGAUGCAAAAUGGACGUAUCAACUACCCCAAGCUUAGACCUCGCUUGUCCUCAAGCGAAAACCAAGUUCCAUAAACACGUCCACAUGUUUAGGGAUGAAGGUGUCGAUAAAACAUAAUACGGACAUGAGGGCAUCAUGAUCACACAUAGAACAACAAUACAUUAUAAAGAUUCUUAUGGAAAAGUAGCAAUUCCUUCACAAAGCAAAGCAUGAAUCAAAAACCUUACCGAGAAGUAACCAACAAUAAUCCAUAUUCAUUGAAGCAAUUGCAAUUUAUCACAACAUCAGAAAGAGUCAAAUAAGAGCUUGUAAGGCAAACCCACAUACUCAAUCAACUCAUUUGUUUUCCACAAUUGUUACAACUCACGUGGUACUCAUGGUGUCAAAGUUUCAGUUGGACACAGAGGAAGAUAGGGGCUUAUAGUUUUGCCUCCCAAUGGUUUACCUCACGGGUAAAGUCAAAAACAAUAAAGCAUGAGUACUCAACUCCAAGUUGAUAUAUGAAUAUAGAUAUUUCCCAAGCAUGUGACGGUAGCCAAGACAAAGGCAAAAAGGGAAUUGGUGAAGAUCACCAUGACUCUUUCAAGGGCAAAAAGUAAAGAUACAAGAUAGGCCCUUCGCAGAGGGAAGCAGAGGUUGUCAUGCGAUUUUGAGGUUUGAAUGCGUGUCCUCUUAGUGCGGAGGAACGUCACUUUAUAUUGCCUCCUGUGAUAAAGAACUUUAUUAUGCAGUCUGUCGCUUUUAUGUCUUCCUCAUCACAGGUUCGUACAAAGCUUAUUUUCCACACACUAAUAGAUCAUACAUAUUAGAGAGCAAUAUUUAUUGCUUGCACUGAUGACAACUUACUUGAAGGAUCUUAUUCAAUCCAUAGGUAGGUAUGGUGGACUCUCAUGGCAAAACUGGGUUGGAGGUUUAUGGAUGCACAAGUAGUAUCUCUACUUGGUGCAGGAGUUUUGGCUAAUAUGAGAUGGAAGAAAUCGUCACAUGCUAAGGGAUCUCUAAUCAUAUAACAUUGUUUGGAACCAAGCAAACACAAUUCAUUAUGUUGUCUUCCUUGUCCAACAUCUACUCCUAAGCAUGUAAUAGUUUGGUGAGUGCUCACAAUUGCAAAAAGUGUCUAAGAUGAUAUAUUUAUAUGUGAACCUCUCUUUCCUUAUUACUUCUUAUUAAUUGCAACAAUGACUGAGGUCUAUGUUGAUUUAUUCUCAACAAGUUUCAAUCAUCAUACGUGUCAUAAGUGAAGUUAUCACUUUCCAUAAGAUCGUCUCAUGAUCUUUCAUGCUAUCGUUCUUUUCAUACUUUUGAUCAUGGCACAAAGCAAAGCCCUUGACGAAGACACUCUUUAUUAUAUAGCUCGUAAGCUCGAAUACAUCGGGGGAGAGACAAAAGCAAAAGACUCAAACUAAAAACUAAAGACUUAUUCCUCUAAGAGAAGAAAUAAAAACUGAAAAGGAAAGAACUAAAACAAAGGUAAAAGAAAAACAUAUAAAGGUGAUACGAUACCAGGGCAACUCCCCCAAACUUAGCAGAAGCCAAGGGGAUUGCCCAUACCAAUGCUUAGUUGUCUUCCUUUGGUGGUGAUGGUGGUGUUGUUGGAGCAGUCUUGAGCUUGUCUAAUUUCCACUUGAGCAAAAAGUUCUGCUCCCUUAGAUCGUCAUUUUCCUCCUCAAGUUUCAAAACUCUAUGGCAAAGCUCCUGCUUACUCUCCUGCAAGAAACGAGAAGGGAUAAACAAGGUCUUAGGCUUCUUCCUAUGGUCAGGGAGGCUUGACUUCUUGAACUCCACAUGGGUGUUUGCUGGUUGAGGUAGAGGAGCCUCCUCUUCAUCGUAACUCGUUUGCUCCUUCCCUUUGGGCUUAUAGUCCUCUUCCUCAUCAGUGGUCCAGCCAUAUGGUUCCAAGUCCCCAUAGACCUUGGGGUUAGCAAGGUAGUCAGCCACAUAGCUCUCUCCCUUUGAAUCUUGAGAAUACAUCUUGACCUAGAUCUGCGGCAGAACAAGCUCGAAACGAAAACAGUGGAAAACUGCGCGAUACGGAGAUCAAAACCUUCGGGCGACUAUAUAUUGAUUUUUUUUUCUGGGCCAGAAGGAGUACUCCGCAAGAAAACGGAGUCCAGGAGGCACACGAGGUGCCCACAAGCUUGCCCUCCGCCACCAGGGGGUAGGGGGCGGUGGCAGGGCUUGUGGCUGCCUCGUUCGCUCUCCGGACUGCUUUUUAUUUUUCUAAUUUUCCAAAAAUUCCAAAACGGAAUAAAUUUCCUAUUGGAAAAGUAUCAGAGUCCAAUUUCUUACCGAAACAGAUACAUCUUCGUUUUCAAGGUCUGAAAUAGGCUGAUAAACAUCCCUUAUGUACUCCUCUCGAGUUAUGACAUUGAUGAUAUUGGUCUCAACAUUUAUGGGAGUACCAGAGAUGUAAUGCUUGAUUCUUUGCCCGUUUACCACUCUAGGAAAAUUUCCUUCCGUGUUAUCGAUUUCGAUGGCACCGGAACGAUAUACUUCCUUGAUAACAUAGGGACCUUCCCAUUUAGAGAGAAGCUUGCCUGCAAAGAACCUCAAACUAGAAUUGUAUAGCAAGACAUAAUCACCUACAUUGAACUCUCGUUUCUGUAUUCGUUUGUCGUGCCAUCUCUUAACCUUUUCCUUGGACAACCUGGCAUUUUCAUAUGCCUGGGCUCUCCAUGUUGGAAUUAUGCCCUAGAGGCAAUAAUAAAUGUAUAGUUAUUAUUAUAAUUCCUGUAUCAAGAUAAUAGUUUAUUAUCCAUGCUAUAAUUGUAUUGAAUGAAGACUCAUUUACAUGUGUGGAUACAUAGACAAAACACCGUCCCUAGCAUGCCUCUAGUUGGCUAGCCAGUUGAUCGAUGAUAGUCAGUGUCUUCUGAUUAUGAACAAGGUGUUGUUGCUUGAUAACUGGAUCACGUCAUUAGGAGAAUCACGUGAUGGACUAGACCCAAACUAAUAGACGUAGCAUGUUGAUCGUGUCAUUUUGUUGCUACUGUUUUCUGCGUGUCAAGUAUUUAUUCCUAUGACCAUGAGUUCAUAUAACUCACUGACACUGGAGGAAUGCUUUGUGUGUAUCAAACGUCGCAACGUAACUGGGUGACUAUAAAGAUGCUCUACAGGUAUCUCCGAAGGUGUUAGUUGAUUUAGUAUGGAUCAAGACUGGGAUUUGUCACUCCGUGUGACGGAGAGGUAUCUCGGGGCCCACUCGGUAAUACAACAUCACACACAAGCCUUGCAAGCAAUGUAACUUAGUGUAAGUUGCGGGAUCUUGUAUUACGGAACGAGUAAAGAGACUUGCCGGUAAACGAGAUUGAAAUAGGUAUGCGGAUACUGACGAUCGAAUCUCGGGCAAGUAACAUACCGAAGGACAAAGGGAAUGACAUACGGGAUUAUACGAAUCCUUGGCACUGAGGUUCAAACGAUAAGAUCUUCGUAGAAUAUGUAGGAUCCAAUAUGGGCAUCCAGGUCCCGCUAUUGGAUAUUGACCGAGGAGUCUCUCGGGUCAUGUCUACAUAGUUCUCGAACCCGCAGGGUCUGCACACUUAAGGUUCGACGUUGUUUUAUGCGUAUUUGAGUUAUAUGGUUGGUUACCGAAUGUUGUUCGGAGUCCCGGAUGAGAUCACGGACGUCACGAGGGUUUCCGGAAUGGUCCGGAAACGAAGAUUGAUAUAUAGGAUGACCUCAUUUGAUUACCGGAAGGUUUUCGGAGUUACCGGGAAUGUACCGGGAAUGACGAAUGGGUUCCGGGAGUUCACCGGAAGGGGGCAACCCACUCCGGGGAAGCCCAUAGGCAUUUGGGGGGUCACACCAGCCCUUAGUGGGCUGGUGGGACAGCCCACCAAUCCCCUAUGCGCCAAGAAAGAAAAAAUCAAAGGAGAGAAAAAAAAAAGGAAGAAGUGGGAAGGGGGAAGGACUCCCUCCCACCAAACCAAGUAGGACUCGGUUUGGGGGGGAGAGUCCUCCCCCCUGGCUCGGCCGACCCCUUGGGGAUCCCUUGGACCCCAAGGCAAGGUCCCCCUCGCUCCUCCUAUAUAUAUGGGGCUUUUAGGGCAGAUUUGAGACGACUUUCUCAUGGCUGCCCGACCACAUACCUCCAUAGUUUUUCCUCUAGAUCGUGUUUCUGCGGAGCUCGGGCGGAGCCCUGCUGAGACAAGAUCAUCACCAACCUCCGGAGCGCCGUCACGCUGCCGGAGAACUCUUCUACCUCUCCGUCUCUCUUGCUGGAUCAAGAAGGCCGAGAUCAUCGUCGAGCUGUACGUGUGCUGAACGCGGAGGUGCCGUCCGUUCGGCACUAGAUCGUGGGACUGAUCGCGGGAUUGUUCGCGGGGCGGAUCGAGGGACGUGAGGACGUUCCACUACAUCAACCGCGUUCUCUAACGCUUCUGCUGUACGAUCUACAAGGGUACGUAGAUCACUCAUCCCCUCUCGUAGAUGGACAUCACCAUGAUAGGUCUUCGUGCGCGUAGGAAAAUUUUUGUUUCCCAUGCGACGUUCCCCAACAGUGGCAUCAUGAGCUAGGUUAAUGCGUAGAUGUCUUCUCGAGUAGAACACAAAAGGUUUUGUGGGCGGUGAUGUGCGUUUUGCUGCCCUCCUUAGUCUUUUCUUGAUUCCGCGGUAUUGUUGGAUUGAAGCGGCUUGGACCGACAUUACUCGUACGCUUACGAGAGACUGGUUUCAUCGUUACGAGUAACCCCCUUUGCUCAAAGAUGACUGGCAAGUGACGGUUUCUCCAACUUUAGUUGAAUCGGAUUUGACCGAGGAGGUCCUUGGAUGAGGUUAAAUAGCAACUCAUAUAUCUCCGUUGUGGUGUUUGCGUAAGUAAGAUGCGAUCCUACGAGAUACCCUUGGUCACCACGUAAAACAUGCAACAACAAAAUUAGAGGACGUCUAACUUGUUUUUGCAGGCUAUGAUUGUGAUGUGAUAUGGCCAAUGAUGUGAUGUGAUAUAUUGGAUGUAUGAGAUGAUCAUGUUGUAAUAGAAAUAUCGACUUGCACGUCGAUGGUACGGCAACCGGCAGGAGCCAUAGGGUUGUCUUUAUACUAACAUAUGUGCUUGCAGAUGCGUUUACUAUUUUGCUAGGAUGUAGCUUUAGUAGUAAUAGCAUAAGUAGCACGACAACCCCGAUGGCAACACGUUGAUGGAUGAUCAUGGUGUGGCGCCGGUGACAAGAAGAUCGUGCCGGUGCUUUGGUGAUGGAGAUCAAGAAGCACGUGAUGAUGGCCAUAUCAUGUCACUUAUGAAUUGCAUGUGAUGUUAAUCCUUUUAUGCACCUUAUUUUGCUUAGAACGACGGUAGCAUUAUGAGGUGAUCUCUCACUAAAAUUUCAAGACGAAAUUGUGUUCUCCCCGACUGUGCACCGUUGCGACAGUUCUUCAUUUCGAGACACCACGUGAUGAUCGGGUGUGAUAGACUCAACGUUCACAUACAACGGGUGCAAAACAGUUGCACACGCGGAACACUCGGGUUAAGCUUGACGAGCCUAGCAUGUGCAGACAUGGCCUCGGAACACAUGAGACCGAAAGGUCGAGCAUGAAUCGUAUAGUUGAUAUGAUUAGCAUAGAGAUGCUUACCACUGAAACUAUUCUCGACUCACGUGAUGAUCGGACUUGAGAUAGUGGAUUUGGAUCAUGUACCACUCAAAUGACUAGAGAGAUGUACUUUUUGAGUGGGAGUUCUUAAGUAAUAUGAUUAAUUGAACUAAUUGUCAUGAACAUAGUCUAAUGGUCUUUGCGAAUUACGAUGUAGCUUGCGCUAUAGCUCUACUGUUUUUAUAUGUUCCUAGAGAAAAUUUAGUUGAAAAUUGAUAGUAGCAACCUUUGCAGACUGAGUCUGUAAAACCGAGGAUUGUCCUCGUUGCUACGCAGAAGGCUUAUGUCCUUAAUGCACCACUCGGUGUGCUGCACCUCGAGCGUCGUCUGUGGAUGCUAUGAACAUCCGACAUACACGUUACUGAUGACUACACGAUAGUUCAGUGCAAGAUACUUGAUGGCUUAGAAGCAAGGCGCCGAAAACGUCACGGAACAUAAGUGAUGUUCCGAAGAGAUGAAAUUGUGAUUUCAUGCUUGUGCCCUUGUUAAGAGGUACGAGACCUCCAAACAAGAAUCUUUGUCCACAAAGUAAAAGAGAAAAGCUCAAUCGUUGAGCGUGUGCUCAGAUUGUCUGAGUGCGACAAUCGCUUGAAUCAAGUGGGAGUUAAUCUUCCAAAUGAGAUAGUGACGGUUCUCCAAAGUCACUGCCACCAAGCUAUGAGAGCUUCGUGAUGAACUAUAACAUAUCAAGGAUAGAUACUAUGAUCUUUUGAGUGAUUCGCGAUGUUUGACACUGCGAAAGUAGAAAUCAAGAAGGAGCAUCAAUAGUUGAUGGUUAGUAAAACCACUAAGUUUCAAGAAAGGCAAGGGCUAGAAGGGAUACUUCGUGAAACGGCAAAACAGUUGCUGCACUAAUGAAGAGACCCAAGAUUAAACCCAAACCCGAGACUAAGUGCUUCUGUAAUGAGGGGAACAAUCACUGAGGCGGAGCAACUCAAGAUACUUGGUAGAUAAGAAGGCUGGCAAAAGUCGAAAGAAGUGUAUUUGAUAUACAUGAUGUUGAUGUGUACUUUACUAGUACUCCUAGUAGCACGAGGGUAUUGGAUACCGGUUCGGUUGCUAAGUGAUUAGUGACGCGAAAUGAAAGCUACGGCAUAAACGGAGACUAGCUAAAGGCGAGGUGACGAUGCGUGUUGGAAGUGUUUCCAAGAUUGAUAUGAUCAAACGUCGCACGCUCCCUCUACCAUCGGGAUUGGUGUUAAACCUAAAUAAUUGUUAUUUGGUGCUUGCAUUAAGCAUGAACAUGAUUGGAUCGUGUUUAUUGCAAUACGAUUAUUCAUUUAAAGAGAAUAAUGGUUACUCUAUUUUCUUGAAUAAUCACCUUCAAUGGUUUAUUGAAUCUCGAUCGUAGUGUUACACAUGUUCAUGAUAUUGGUGCCAAAAGAUACGAGUUGAUGAUGAUAGUACCACUUACUUGUGGCACUGCCGCUUGAGUCAUGUUAGUAUAAAUUGCAUGAAGAGGCUCCAUGCUGAUGGAUCUUUGUACUCACCUGAUUUCGAAUCACUAGUGACAUGCGAAUCAUACCACAUGACCAAGGCCUUGUUUUCAUUGAGAUGAAAUAAGAUAGUAACUUGUUGGAAGUGAUACAUUUUGAUGUAUGCAGUCCAAUGGGUGCUGAGGCACGCAGUGGAUAUCAUUAUGUUCUUACUUCACUGACGAUUUGAGUAGAUACUAGAGUAUUUACUUAAUGAAUCACAAGUUUGAAAUAUUGAAAAGUUCAAUUCUGUUUCAGAGUGAAGUUCGUCGUAAUAAGAGGAUAAACUGUCUACGAUAUGAUCAUAGAAAUGAAUAUCUGAGUUACGAGUUUUGGUACGCAGUUAAGACAAUGUGGAAGUUGUUUCGCAGUUCAUGCCACCUGGAACAUCAUAGUGUGAUGAUGUGUCUGAACAUCAUAGCCACGCACUAUUUGGUAUGAUGCAUAAUAUGAUGUCUCUUAUCGAAUUACCACUAUCGUUUAUGGGUUAUGCAUUAGAGACAACCGCACUCACUUUAAAUAGGGCACCGCGUAUUUCCGUUGAGAUGACACAGUAUAGACUGAGGUUUAGAGAAAUCUAAACUGUCGUUUCUUGAAAGUUUGGGGUUUCGACACUUAUGUGAAAAAGUUUCAGUCUGAUAAGCUCGAACCCAAAGCGGAUAAAUGCAUCUUCAUAGGAUAUCCAAAACAGUUGGGUACAUCUCCUAUCUCAGAUCCGAAAGCAAAGUGUUUGUUUCUAGAAACGGAUCCUUUCUCGAGGAAAGGUUUCUCUCGAAAGAAUUGAGUGGGGGGGGGGGGGUAGUAGAACUUGAUGAGGUUAUUGAACCAUCACUUCAACCAGUGUGUAGCAGGGCGUAGGAAGUUGUUCCUGUGGCGCCUACACCAAUUGAAGUGGAAGCUGAUGAUGGUGAUCAUUGAGCUUCGAAUCAAGUUACUACAAACCUCGUAGGUCGACAAGGUCGCAUACUGCUGCAGAGUAGUACGGUAACCCUGUCUUGGAGGUCAUGUUGUUGAGCAACAGUGAACCUACGAGUUAUGGAGAAAGCGAUGGUGGGCCCAGAUUCCGACAAAUGGCUGGAAGCCAUGAAAUCCGAGAGAGGAUCCAUGUGUGAAAACAAAGUGAAGACUUUGGUAGAACUACUUGAUGGUCAUAGGACUAUUGAGUGAAAAUGGAUCUUUAAAGGAAGACAGACGAUGAUGGUGAUAAGUCACUAUUAAGAAAGGCUAGACUUGUCGCAAAGAUGUUUUCGACAAGAUCAAACAGUUGACUCUGAUGAGACUUUCUCACUCGUAGCGAUGCUAAAGGUCUGUUAGAGUUAUGUUAGUUGUUGAUGCAUUGUUUAUGAAAUAUUGCACGUAGGAUAUCAAAACAUUGUUUUCUCGACGGUUUCCUUGAGCAAACAUUGUAUGUGAUACAACCAGAAGGUUUUGUCGAUCCUAAAGAUACUAGCAAGUAUGCGAGCUCCAGCGAUCCUUCAAUGGACCGGUGCAAGCAUCUCGGAGUUGGAAUGUAUAUACUUUGAUGAGAUGAUCAAAGAUUUUGGGUUUGUACAAGGUUUAUGAGAAACUUGUAUUUCUAAAGAAGUGAGUGGGAGCACUAUAGAAUUUCUGAUAAGUAUAUGUGGUUGACAUAUUGUGGAUGAGAAGUAAUGUAGAAUUUCUGUAAAGCAUACAAGGUUGUUUGAAAGGAGUUUUUCAAAGGAAAUACCUAGAUUGCGCUACUUGAACGUUGAGCAUCAAAGAUCUAUGGAGAUAGAUUGAAAGCGCUUAAUAGAAGUUUCAACAAGAUGCAUGCCUUGACAAGUUUUUGAAGGAGUUCAAAAUAGAUCAACAAAGAAGGAGUUCUUGGUUGCGUUGUAAGGUGUGAAUUUGAGUAAGACUCAAAACCCGACCACGGCAGAAUAAAGAGAAUAGACGAAGGUCGUAUUCUAUGCCUUAGCCGUAGAAUCUAAAGUAUGCCAUGCUGUGUACCGCACCUGAUGUGUGCCUUGACUCAAAGUCUGUUGAGAGGUACAGAGAGUGAUCCAUGAUUGAAUCACUAGCAGCGGUCAAAAUUUAUCCUUAGUAACAAAUGGACUGAGGAAUUUUUCUCGAUUAUGGAGGUGGUUAAAGAGUUCGUCGUAAAGGGUUACGUUGAUGCAAGCUUUGACACUAAUCCGAAUAACUAUGGGUAGUGAAACGGAUUCAUACAGUAGAGUAGAUGUUUGGAGCAUUUCCGAAUAGCACGUAGUAGCAGCAUCUAUAAGAUGACAUAAAGAUUUGUAAAGAACGCACGGAUCUGAAAGUUUCAGAACCGUUGACUAAAAACCUCUCUCACGAGCAAGACGUGAUCAGACCCCAUAACUAUACGGGUGUUGGAUUCGUUGGAAUAACAUGGUGAUGUGAACUAGAUUAUUGACUCUAGUGCAAGUGGGAGACUGUUGGAAAUAUGCCCUAGAGGCAAUAAUAAAUUAGUUAUUAUUAUAUUUCUUAGUUCAUGAUAAUCGUUUAUUAUCCAUGCUAUAAUUGUAUUGAUUGGAAACACAAUACUUGUGUGGAUACAUAGACAAAACACUGUCCCUAGUAAGCCUCUAGUUGACUAGCUCGUUGAUCAAAGAUGGUCAAGGUUUCCUGGCCAUAGGCAAGUGUUGUCACUUGAUAACGGGAUCACAUCAUUAGGAGAAUCAUGUGAUGGACUAGACCCAAACUAAUAGACGUAGCAUGUUGAUUGUGUCAUUUUGUUGCUACUGUUUUCUGCGUGUCAAGUAUUUAUUCCUAUGACCAUGAGAUCAUAUAACUCACUAACACCGGAGGAAUUCUUUGUGUGUAUCAAACGUCGCAACGUAACUGGGUGACUAUAAAGAUGCUCUACAGGUAUCUCCGAAGGUGUUAGUUGAUUUAGUAUGGAUCAAGACUGGGAUUUGUCACUCCGUGUGACGGAGAGGUAUCUCGGGGCCCACUCGGUAAUACAACAUCACACACAAGCCUUGCAAGCAAUGUAACUUAGUGUAAGUUGCGGGAUCUUGUAUUACGGAACGAGUAAAGAGACUUGCCGGUAAACGAGAUUGAAAUAGGUAUGCGGAUACUGACGAUCGAAUCUCGGGCAAGUAACAUACCGAAGGACAAAGGGAAUGACAUACGGGAUUAUACGAAUCCUUGGCACUGAGGUUCAAACGAUAAGAUCUUCGUAGAAUAUGUAGGAUCCAAUAUGGGCAUCCAGGUCCCGCUAUUGGAUAUUGACCGAGGAGUCUCUCGGGUCAUGUCUACAUAGUUCUCGAACCCGCAGGGUCUGCACACUUAAGGUUCGACGUUGUUUUAUGCGUAUUUGAGUUAUAUGGUUGGUUACCGAAUGUUGUUCGGAGUCCCGGAUGAGAUCACCGACGUCACGAGGGUUUCCGGAAUGGUCCGGAAACGAAGAUUGAUAUAUAGGAUGACCUCAUUUGAUUACCGGAAGGUUUUCGGAGUUACCGGGAAUGUACCGGGAAUGACGAAUGGGUUCCGGGAGUUCACCGGAAGGGGGCAACCCACUCCGGGGAAGCCCAUAGGCAUUUGGGGGGUCACACCAGCCCUUAGUGGGCUGGUGGGACAGCCCACCAAUCCCCUAUGCGCCAAGAAAGAAAAAAUCAAAGGAGAGAAAAAAAAAGGAAGAAGUGGGAAGGGGGAAGGACUCCCUCCCACCAAACCAAGUAGGACUCGGUUUGGGGGGGAGAGUCCUCCCCCCUGGCUCGGCCGACCCCUUGGGGAUCCCUUGGACCCCAAGGCAAGGUCCCCCUCCCUCCUCCUAUAUAUAUGGGGCUUUUAGGGCAGAUUUGAGACGACUUUCUCACGGCUGCCCGACCACAUACCUCCAUAGUUUUUCCUCUAGAUCGUGUUUCUGCGGAGCUCGGGCGGAGCCCUGCUGAGACAAGAUCAUCACCAACCUCCGGAGCGCCGUCACGCUGCCGGAGAACUCUUCUACCUCUCCGUCUCUCUUGCUGGAUCAAGAAGGCCGAGAUCAUCGUCGAGCUGUACGUGUGCUGAACGCGGAGGUGCCGUCCGUUCGGCACUAGAUCGUGGGACUGAUCGCGGGAUUGUUCGCGGGGCGGAUCGAGGGACGUGAGGACGUUCCACUACAUCAACCGCGUUCUCUAACGCUUCUGCUGUACGAUCUACAAGGGUACGUAGAUCACUCAUCCCCUCUCGUAGAUGGACAUCACCAUGAUAGGUCUUCGUGCGCGUAGGAAAAUUUUUGUUUCCCAUGCGACGUUCCCCAACACCUUGGUCACCACGUAAAACAUGCAACAACAAAUUAGAGGACGUCUAACUUGUUUUUGCAGGGUAUGAUUGUGAUGUGAUAGUAAUAGCAUAAGUAGCACGACAACCCCGAUGGCAACACGUUGAUGGAUGAUCAUGGUGUGGCGCCGGUGACAAGAAGAUCGUGCCGGUGCUUUGGUGAUGGAGAUCAAGAAGCACGUGAUGAUGGCCAUAUCAUGUCACUUAUGAAUUGCAUGUGAUGUUAAUCCUUUUAUGCACCUUAUUUUGCUUAGAACGACGGUAGCAUUAUGAGGUCAUCUCUCACUAAAAUUUCAAGACGAAAUUGUGUUCUCCCCGACUAUGCACCGUUGCUACAAUUCAUCGUUUCGAGACACCACGUGAUGAUCGGGUGUGAUAGACUCAACGUUCACAUACAACGGGUGCAAAACAGUUGCGCACGCGGAACACUCGGGUUAAGCUUGACGAGCCUAGCAUGUGCAGACAUGGCCUCGGAACACAUGAGACCGAAAGGUCGAUCAUGAAUCAUAUAGAUGAUAUGAUUAGCAUAGGGAUGCUUACCACUGAAACAACUCCCGACUCACGUGAUGAUCGGACUUGGGAUAGUGUAGGUGGAUCAUGAACCACUCAAAUGACUAGAGAGAUGUACUUUUUGAGUGGGAGUUUAGCAUAUAAUUUGAUUAAGUUGAACUCUAAUUAUCUUGAACAUAGUCUAAGUCCACUUUGAAUAUAUUUGUGUUGUAGAUCAUGGCUCACGCAAGUGUCAUCCUGAAUUUUAAUACGUUCCUAGAGAAAGCUAAGUUGAAAGAUGAUGGAAGCAACUUUGUAGACUGGGCUCGUAAUCUUAAGCUAAUCUUACAAGCUGGGAAGAAGGAUUAUGUCCUUAAUGCUGCGCUAGGAGAUGAACCGCCCGCUACGGCUGAUCAGGAUGUUAAGAACGCUUGGUUAGCGCGUAAGGAGGACUACUCAAUAGUUCAAUGUGCAGUCUUGUAUGGCUUAGAACCGGGACUUCAACGUCGCUUUGAGCGUCAUGGAGCAUUUGAGAUGUUCCAGGAGUUGAAGUUUAUCUUUCAGAAGAACGCCCGGAUCGAGAGGUAUGAGACCUCCGAUAAAUUCUAUGCUUGCAAGAUGGAGGAAAACUCGACUGUCAGUGAACAUGUGCUCAAAAUGUCUGGGUACUCAAACCGUCUAGCUGAACUGGGGAUUGAACUCCCGCAAGAAGCUAUCACUGACAGAAUCCUUCAAUCACUGCCGCCAAGCUAUAAAGGCUUUGUGUUGAACUACAACAUGCAAGGGAUGAACAAGUCUCCCGGCGAGUUGUUUGCGAUGCUGAAAGUCACAGAGUCGGAACUCCGUAAAGAGCAUCAAGUGUUGAUGGUGAGCAAGACCACUAGUUUCAAGAGAAACGGCAAGGGCAAGAAGGGCAAUUCGAAGAAGAGCGGCAAGCCUGUUGCCAAUCCGCCGAAGAAACCCAAGGCUGGACCUAAGCCUGAAACGGAGUGCUUCUAUUGCAAGGGUAUGGGUCACUGGAAGCGCAAUUGCCCCAAGUAUCUGGCAGAUAAGAAGGCGGGCAAAGAAAAAUCAGGUAUAUUUGAUAUACAUGUUAUUGAUAUGUACUUAACCGGCCCUCGUAGUAGUGCCUGGGUAUUCGAUACCGGUUCUGUUGCUCACAUUUGCAACUCGAAACAGGAACUACGGAAUAGACGAAGGCUGGCGAAAGACGAAGUGACGAUGCGCGUAGGAAACGGUUCCAAGGUUGAUGCAAUCGCCCUCGGCACCGUGUCACUUCAACUACCAUCGGGAUUAGUGAUGAACUUAAAUCAUUGUUAUUUAGUGCCUGCGUUGAGCAUGAACAUUAUAUCUGGAUCUUGUUUAUUGCGAGACGGUUACUCUUUUAAGUCUGAGAAUAAUGGUUGUUCUAUUUCUAUGAGUAACAUCUUUUAUGGUCAUGCACCGAAUGUGAGAGGAUUGUUCAUAUUGAAUCUUGAUAGCGAUACGCAUAUACAUAACAUUGAGACCAAAAGAGUUAGAGUAAACAAUGAUAGCACCAUAUUUUUAUGGCACUGCCGUUUGGGUCAUAUUGGUGUAAAGCGCAUGAAGAAACUCCAUGCUGAUGGACUUUUGGAGUCACUUGACUUUGAUUCACUUGACACGUGCGAACCAUGCCUCAUGGGCAAGAUGACUAAGACUCCGUUCUCCGGAACAAUGGAGCGUGCAAGUGACUUGUUGGGAAUCAUACAUACCGAUGUGUGUGGUCCAAUGAGCGUGGAGGCACGCGGCGGAUAUCGUUAUUUCCUCACCUUCACUGACGAUUUAAGUUGAUAUGGUUAUGUCUACUUAAUGAAGAACAAGUCUGAAACAUUUGAAAAGUUCAAGCAAUUUCAGAGUGAAGUAGAAAAUCAUCGUAACAAGAAGAUCAAGUUUCUACGGUCUGAUCGUGGGGGUGAAUAUCUGAGUUUCGAGUUUGGUACUCACUUAAGACAAUGUGGAAUUGUUUCGCAGUUAACACCGCCUGGAACACCACAGCGUAAUGGUGUGUCCGAACGUCGUAACCGUACUUUGUUAGAGAUGGUGCGAUCUAUGAUGUCUCUUACUGAUUUGCCGUUAUCAUUUUGGGGUUAUGCAUUAGAAACAGCUGCAUUCACUUUAAAUAGGGCACCAUCAAAAUCCGUUGAGACGACACCAUACGAACUGUGGUAUGGCAAAAGACCAAAGUUGUCGUUUCUUAAAGUUUGGGGAUGUGAUGCUUAUGUCAAAAAGCUUCAGCCUGAAAAGCUGGAACCCAAAGCGGAGAAGUGCGUCUUCAUAGGUUACCCAAAGGAGACAGUUGGGUACACCUUCUAUCUCAAAUCCGAGGGCAAAGUGUUUGUUGCUAAAAACGGAACUUUUCUCGAGAAGGAGUUUCUCUCGAGAGAAUUGAGUGGGAGGAAGAUAGAACUUGACGAGGUUGUCGAACCUCUCAUCCCUCUGGAUGGUGGCGCAGGGCAAGGGGAAACCUCUAUCGUUGCAACACCGGUUGAGGAGGAAGUUAAUGAUGAUAAUCAUGAAACUCCAGUUCAAGUUUCUGUUGAACCACGCAGGUCGACGAGAUCACGCGCUGCUCCAGAGUGGUACGGUAAUCCCGUCUUGUCAAUCAUGUUGUUAGACAACAAUGAACCUGCGAGUUAUGAAGAAGCAGUGGUGGGCCCAGAUUCCAACAAAUGGCUAGAAGCCAUGAAAUCCGAGAUAGGAUCCAUGUAUGAGAACAAAGUGUGGACUUUGGAGAUACUACCUGAAGGCCGCAAGGCUAUUCAGAACAAAUGGAUCUUUAAGAAGAAGACGGACGCUGACGGUAAUGUGACCGUUUAUAAAGCUCGACUUGUGGCAAAGGGUUUUUCACAAGUUCCAGGAGUUGACUACGAUGAGACCUUCUCACCCGUAGCGAUGCUUAAGUCCGUCAGAAUCAUGUUAGCAAUAGCUGCGUUUUUCGAUUAUGAAAUCUGGCAGAUGGAUGUCAAAACGGCGUUCCUUAACGGUUUCCUUAAGGAAGAGUUGUAUAUGAUGCAACCCGAAGGUUUUGUCGAUCCUAAAAAUGCUGACAAGGUGUGCAAGCUCCAGCGAUCCAUUUAUGGACUGGUGCAAGCGUCUCGGAGUUGGAACAAACGCUUUGAUGAGGUGAUCAAAGCAUUUGGGUUUAUACAAGUGGUUGGAGAAUCUUGUAUUUACAAGAAAGUGAGUGGGAGCUCUGUGGCGUUUCUAAUAUUAUAUGUGGAUGACAUAUUACUGAUUGGAAACAACGUAGAGCUUUUGGAGAGCAUAAAAGGUUACUUGAAUAAAAGUUUCUCUAUGAAGGACCUAGGAGAAGCUGCUUACAUUCUAGGCAUUAAGAUCUAUAGGGAUAGAUCAAAACGCCUGAUAGGACUUUCACAAAGCACAUACCUUGAUAAAGUUUUGAAGAGGUUCAAAAUGGAACAGUCGAAGAAAGGGUUCUUGCCAGUGUUACAAGGUACGAGAUUGAGUAAGACUCAGUGCCCAGCAACUGAUGAAGAUAGAGAGCAUAUGCGCUCCGUCCCCUAUGCUUCAGCCAUAGGCUCUAUCAUGUAUGCAAUGCUGUGCACUAGACCGGAUGUUAGCCUGGCCAUAAGUAUGGCAGGUAGGUUCCAGAGUAAUCCAGGAGUGGAUCACUGGACGACGGUCAAGAAUAUCCUGAAGUACCUGAAAAGGACUAAGGAGAUGUUUCUCGUGUAUGGAGGUGACGAAGAGCUCGCCGUAAAAGGUUACGUCGAUGCAAGCUUUGACACAGAUCCGGACGACUCUAAGUCGCAAACCGGAUACGUAUUUAUUCUUAAUGGGGGUGCAGUAAGCUGGUGCAGUUCCAAGCAAAGCGUCGUAGCAGAUUCUACAUGUGAAGCAGAGUACAUGGCUGCCUCGGAGGCGGCUAAGGAGGGUGUCUGGAUGAAGCAGUUCAUGACGGAUCUUGGAGUAGUGCCAAGUGCACUGGAUCCAAUAACCUUGUUCUGUGACAACACUGGUGCCAUUGCCUUAGCAAAGGAACCAAGGUUUCACAAGAAGACCAGACACAUCAAACGAUGCUUCAACCUCAUCCGCGACUACGUCGAGGAGGAGGACGUAAAUAUAUGCAAAGUGCACAUGGAUCUGAAUGUAGCACACCCGCUGACUAAACCUCUUCCACGGCCAAAACAUGAUCGACACCAGAACUGUAUGGGUGUUAGAUUUAUUACAAUGAAAUUCACAUGGUGAUGUGAGGGCUAGAUUAUUGACUCUAGUGCAAGUGGGAGACUGUUGGAAUUAUGCCCUAGAGGCAAUAAUAAAUGUAUAGUUAUUAUUAUAAUUCCUGUAUCAAGAUAAUAGUUUAUUAUCCAUGCUAUAAUUGUAUUGAAUGAAGACUCAUUUACAUGUGUGGAUACAUAGACAAAACACCGUCCCUAGCAUGCCUCUAGUUGGCUAGCCAGUUGAUCGAUGAUAGUCAGUGUCUUCUGAUUAUGAACAAGGUGUUGUUGCUUGAUAACUGGAUCACGUCAUUAGGAGAAUCACGUGAUGGACUAGACCCAAACUAAUAGACGUAGCAUGUUGAUCGUGUCAUUUUGUUGCUACUGUUUUCUGCGUGUCAAGUAUUUAUUCCUAUGACCAUGAGAUCAUAUAACUCACUGACACUGGAGGAAUGCUUUGUGUGUAUCAAACGUCGCAACGUAACUGGGUGACUAUAAAGAUGCUCUACAGGUAUCUCCGAAGGUGUUAGUUGAUUUAGUAUGGAUCAAGACUGGGAUUUGUCACUCCGUGUGACGGAGAGGUAUCUCGGGGCCCACUCGGUAAUACAACAUCACACACAAGCCUUGCAAGCAAUGUAACUUAGUGUAAGUUGCGGGAUCUUGUAUUACGGAACGAGUAAAGAGACUUGCCGGUAAACGAGAUUGAAAUAGGUAUGCGGAUACUGACGAUCGAAUCUCGGGCAAGUAACAUACCGAAGGACAAAGGGAAUGACAUACGGGAUUAUACGAAUCCUUGGCACUGAGGUUCAAACGAUAAGAUCUUCGUAGAAUAUGUAGGAUCCAAUAUGGGCAUCCAGGUCCCGCUAUUGGAUAUUGACCGAGGAGUCUCUCGGGUCAUGUCUACAUAGUUCUCGAACCCGCAGGGUCUGCACACUUAAGGUUCGACGUUGUUUUAUGCGUAUUUGAGUUAUAUGGUUGGUUACCGAAUGUUGUUCGGAGUCCCGGAUGAGAUCACCGACGUCACGAGGGUUUCCGGAAUGGUCCGGAAACGAAGAUUGAUAUAUAGGAUGACCUCAUUUGAUUACCGGAAGGUUUUCGGAGUUACCGGGAAUGUACCGGGAAUGACGAAUGGGUUCCGGGAGUUCACCGGAGGGGGGCAACCCACUCCGGGGAAGACCAUAGGCAUUUGGGGGGGUCACACCAGCCCUUAGUGGGCUGGUGGGACAGCCCACCAAUCCCCUAUGCGCCAAGAGAGAAAAAUCAAAGGAAAGAAAAAAAAAAGAGGAAGAAGUGGGAAGGGGGAAGGACUCCCUCCCACCAAACCAAGUAGGACUCGGUUUGGGGGGGGGGGGAGAGUCCUCCCCCCUGGCUCGGCCGACCCCUUGGGGAUCCCUUGGACCCCAAGGCAAGGUCCCCCUCCCUCCUCCUAUAUAUAUGGGGCUUUUAGGGCAGAUUUGAGACGACUUUCUCAAGGCUGCCCGACCACAUACCUCCAUAGUUUUUCCUCUAGAUCGCGUUUCUGCGGAGCUCGGGCGGAGCCCUGCUGAGACGAGAUCAUCACCAACCUCCGGAGCGCCGUCACGCUGCCGGAGAACUCUUCUACCUCUCCAUCUCUCUUGGUGGAUUAAGAAGGCCGAGAUCAUCGUCGAGCUGUACGUGUGCUGAACGCGGAGGUGCCGUCCGUUCGGUACUAGAUCGUGGGACUGAUCGCGGGAUUGUUCGCGGGGCGGAUCGAGGGACGUGAGGACGUUCCACUACAUCAACCGCGUUCUCUAACGCUUCUGCUGUACGAUCUACAAGGGUACGUAGAUCACUCAUCCCCUCUCGUAGAUGGACAUCACCAUGAUAGGUCUUCGUGCGCGUAGGAAAAAUUUUGUUUCCCAUGCGACGUUCCCCAACACUCCAUUCAUCUAACGAGCUGAUAUCAAGCAACCGCUUCUCACUGGCAAGUUUGAAAUCAAAGUUGAUCUCUUUGAUUGCCCAAUAAGCUUUGUGUUUCAGCUCAAGAGGUAAAUGACAGGCCUUACCGUAAACCAUUUUAUACAGUGACAUGCCCAUAAUAUUCUUAUAAGUAGUCCUAUAAGCCCAUAGUGCAUCGUCAAGUUUGCUAGACUAGUUCUUUCGAGAUCUAUUGACGGUCUUUUGUAGGAUCAACUUGAUCUCCCUAUUACUCAACUCCACUUGACCACUAGACUGAGGAUGAUAAGGAGAUGCAACUCUAUGGUUGACAUCAUACUUAGCUAGCAUCUUGCGGAAAACACCAUGAAUGAAGUGUGAACCGCCAUCAGUCAUCAGAUAUCUAGGGACUCCAAAUCUUGGGAAUAUGACUUCUUUAAGCAUCUUAAUAGAGGUGUGGUGAUCAGUAUUUUUAGUGGGGAUAGCUUCUACCCACUUAGUGACGUAAUCCACAACAACUAAGAUGUGAGUGUACCCAUUGGAACUCAGGAAGGGUCCCAUAUAAUCAAAGCCCCAGGCAUCAAAUGGUUCAAUGACAAGUGAAUAGUUCAUAGGUAUUUCCUCAUGCUUACUGAUAUUCCCUAUCCUUUGGCAUUCGUCACAAGACAAGACAAACUUACGAGCAUGCUUGAAGAGAGUGGGCCAAUAGAAACCUGAUUGCAAUACCUUAUGGCCAGUUCUAUCUCCAGCAUGGUGUCCUUCGUAGGCUUCGGAAUGACACUUCUGCAAGAUCUGUCCCUGUUCAUGUUCAGGCACACAACGUCUAAUAACACCAUCUACUCCUUCCUUAUAAAGGUGAGGAUCAUCCCAAAAGUAGUGUCUCAAAUCAAAGAAGAAUAUCUUCUUUUGCUGAUAGGUGAAACUGGGUGGUAUGUAUUUGGCUACGAUAUAAUUUGCAUAAUCGGCAUACCACGAUGCACUAUGUGAAGUGUGGAUGACAUUUAAUUGCUCAUCAGGAAAGCUGUCGUCAAUAGGUAGUGGGUCAUCAAGGACAUUCUCUAGCCUAGGCAAGUUAUCUGCUAUAGGGUUAUCAGCACCCUUUCGGUCAACGACGUGCAAAUCAAAUUCCUGUAGCAGGAGAACCCAUCUGGUCAGCCUAGGUUUAGCGUCCUUCUUCUCCAUGAGGUACUUAAUAGAAGCAUGAUGAGAGUGAAUAGUGACGUUGGAGUCAACUAUGUAAGAUCUGAACUUUUCACAUGCAAACACGACUACUAAAAAUUCCUUCUCCGUAGUGGCAUAGUUUCUUUGGGCACUGUCUAGAGUUUUACUAGCGUAGUGAAUAACAUUCAACUUCUUGUCAACUCUUUGUCCUAGACCAGCACCAACAGCAUAAUCACUAGCGUCGCACAUGAUUUCAAAGGGCAAGUUCCAGUCAGGUGGUUGAACAAUAGGUGCGGUUAUCAAAGCCUUCUUAAGUAUUUCGAAAGCUUCCUCACAAUCCUCAUCAAAAACAAAAGGAACAUCCUUCUGCAAGAGGUUGGUAAGAGGCCUAGAAAUCUUAGAGAAGUCUUUAAUGAACCUUUUAUAGAAACCAACAUGACCUAGGAAACUUCGUAUACCUCUGAUAUCUGUGGGGCAAGGCAUUUUCUCAAUUGCAUCAACCUUAGCCUUAUCAACUUCAAUGCCUCUUUCAGAGAUUUUGUGUCCUAAGACGAUACCUUCAUUAACCAAAAAGUGGCACUUCUCCCAAUUCAAGACGAGGUUGGUUUCUUCGCAUCUCUGUAAGACUCGAUCAAGGUUGCUGAGGCAAUCAUCAAAGGAAGGCCCGUAAACGGAGAAGUCAUCCAUGAAAACCUCAACGAUCUUUUCACGAAAGUCAGAGAAUAUAGCCAUCAUACAUCUUUGGAAGGUGGCAUGUGCAUUACAUAAGCCAAAAGGCAUACGUCUAUAGGCAAAGGUACUGAAAGGGCAGGUGAAAGUGGUUUUCUCUUGAUCAGAUUGUGCAACAGGUAUCUGCGAGAAACCUGAAUAACCGUCUAGAAAGCAGAAGUGAGUGUGCUUUGAUAGCAUUUCUAGCAUUUGGUCGAUGAACGGCAAAGGAUAAUGAUCUUUCCUGGUUGCCUUGUUCAGUUUCCGGAAGUUUAUCACCAUUCUAUAGCCGGUAAUAAUCCUUUCUGGGAUUAGUUCAUCCUUAUCAUUAGGAACGACGGUGAUACCUCCCUUCUUAGGUACGCAAUGUACUGGACUUACCCAAUCACUAUGAGCAACAGGAUAAAUGAUUCCUGCUUCCAGAAGUUUUAAUAUUUCUUUUCUAACGACCUCUUUCAUCUUAGGAUUUAAUCUCCUUUGAUUAUCAGCAACUGGUUUAAAGUCAGGAUCGGUUUUAAUCUUGUGCUGACAUAGGGUAGGACUAAUACCCUUAAGAUCAUCAAGAGUAUAUCCAAUAGCAGCGCGGUGCUUCCUCAGAGUUGUUAGUAACUUCUUCUCUUCGCGCUCUGAGAGGAGGGCACUAAUAAUGACAGGAUAUAUCUCCUUCUCAUCAAGAUAGGCAUACUUAAGAGUAUCCGUCAACUGUUUAAGCUCGAACACAAGAUCACCCUUUGGUGGGGGAGGAUCCCCAAGCAGUUCAACAGGCAGAUUAUUCUUGAGAAUAGGAUAUUGUUCUAAGAUAAUUUUAGCUAUCUCAUCUCUCUCCUCCAUAUGCACAUCAUUUUCAUGCUCAAGUAGAUAUUGCUCUAAAGGAUCCGUAGGAGGUACGGCAAUAGAGGCAAGAGCAAUGAUUUGAUCCCUACCAGACGACUCUCUUUCAUGGGUUUGUCUUUCAAAUUGGAGAAGUUAAAUUCGUGAGACACACCCUCAAAACUUACUGUGACAGUCUGCUUAAUGCAAUCAAUGUGAGCGUUGACAGUGUUGAGAAAGGGUCUACCAAAUAUGAUGGGACAAAAGCUAUCUUGUGCAGUACCAAGGACGAGGAAAUCAGUAGGAUACUUCGUCUUACCACACAGGACUUCUACGUCUCUCACAAUUCCCAAAGGGCAGAUAGUGUCUCUAUUAGCUAGCGUAAUAGUGACAUCAAUGGGUUCUAACUCAUCAGGUGCAAUCUCAUCUUUCAUUUCAUCAUAUAGAGAACGGGGUAUUGCACUAAAACUAGCUCCCAUAUCACAUAAACCAUGGUAACAGUGAUCUCCUAUCUUAACAGAAACAACGGGCAGGCCAACUACAGGUCUGGCGCGCCCAAGAUGCGACCCUAUCCUCAAUUUGGCACGAAGGCCUCGUCAGGGAUAGAAGCGCAUCUCGUCGUGUCGCAAGAAUGGAUAUCGUCACAAGUACAUGUACUGAAAAGAAGAGUUAUAUAUACAGAGUUGGCUUACACUCGCCACAAGCUACAUCAGAGUCACAUCAGUACAUUACAUAAUCAUCAAGAGUAAGAGCAGGGCCCGACUAUGGACGAAAACAAACGAGAAAAAUAAGAACGACGUCCAUCCUUUCUAUCCCAGGCUGCCGGCCUGGAACCCACCCUAGAUCGAUGAAGAAGAAGAAGAAGAAGCAACUCCAAAUGAACAAUCAACGCGCUCACGUCAAGUAACCUUUACCUGUACCUGCAACUGGUGUUGUAGUAACCUGUGAGCCACAGGGGACUCAGCAAUCUCAUUUCCAGAGGUAUCAAGACUAGCAAAGCUUAAUGGGUGAGGUAUGGUUAAGUGGUGAGGUUGCAGCAGCGACUAAGCAUAUAUUUGGUGGCUAACUUACGAGUACCAGAAAUAAGAGGGGGAAGAUCUACGCAUAACGGACGUGAACUACUGAUGAUCAAAUGAAUGAUCCUGAACACCUACCUACGUCAGACAUAACCCCACCGUGUCCUCGAUCGGAGAAGGAACUCACGAAAGAGACGAUCACGGUUACGCACACAGUUGGCAUAUUUUUAAUUAAUUAACUUCAAGUUAUCUAGAACCAGUGUUAAACAAGGUUUCCAUGUUGCCACAUAACCGCGGCCACGGCUUUCCGAAAGGUUUAACCCUGCAGGGGUGCUCCAACUAGUCCAUCACAAAUUACCACAAGCCGCAUAGAAAUCCUCAAUCACGAAGCUCGCGAUCUCGUCGGAUUCCCUAGUGGAAAACCUCAACUCUGAGAUUACCCAAAGCAUCACCGGAAUCCCGAUGCACAAGAUAUCUCGUCAAAGGUAAAACUAAUCCAGCAAGGCCACCCGACGUGUCGACGAUCCCGAUAGGAGUCGCGUACCUCGUUCUCAGGACACGACGGAUGAGCAAUGGUUACCACACCAAACGCCGAGUUGCCCCGGGUAGCGUUAAUAAGCUGCUCUGUUUUGGACCAACACACAUGAGGAGCACUGGCCCAGGGGUUGAUUAAAAUAGUCCGCGGGUGCCGGCGGGUCCCUAUGCAAUUUUAUUAGGUGAUUAGGAAAAUGUAGUACCAAUGUUGGGCCUUGCCAGACCAGCUUUAAUCUAAAACGAAUUAUCAAGGGGGUCCCCAUAACAACCCCGAUCGUGUUAGGAGCGCUCAUUUAUGGAACAUAACACCGGUAGCCGGAAACUAAGGGGGCAAAGGUGGAACAAAACACCAGGCUAGAAAGGCCGAGCCUUCCACCUUUUACCAAGUAUAUAGGUGCAAUAAAUUAAAUAGCAUUUAAAUAUGGUGGUAUAACAAGGAACCCAUGUUUUCACAUGGAAGAAACUACAGCUGCAACUAGCAACGCUAACACAGGGUCAAGCAAGCAGUAACAUAGCCAAUCAUUGGUUUGCUAGGUUGAACAGGUUGAAGAUUAAGAUGGCAUUGUUGAGAGGCUGAUAUUUAACAAGUGGUAGGCAACGAGACAUAAUCGAUAGCAUCGAAAUAACUAGCAUGGCAAUGAUACUAAUGGUAUCUGGGGACAUGAUCAUCUUGCCUGAGAUCCCGCUUGGAAGAAGAAUGCCUCCGUGAAGCAGACGAACCGAUGUAGUCGAACGGGUCCUCACAAUCCGGCACGCUGCGGAACUCUAGCGAGACGAAGCCAACCGGAAACACAAAUCAACACACGAAAUUCACCACACGAUGCACAACACAUAUGAUGCAUGAGCAGCUGAAUAUAUGCAAGUCACGGCAUGAAAAUUCACACAAUCAAACACUACACAUUAAGUGAAGUUCAAUAUGCAACGAGUUACAAAUUGACGAAACUCCACGUUAAUUUAUUUAGUUCUAUCCCAAUUAAAUACACGGCAAUAUUAAAUGUGGUUAAACAUGGCAAGAGGUGAAGCGUGAUUAAUCUACCUAUCUAGGCAUUUUAAAUGAGGUCGGAUAUGACAUAUAGCAUCUCCGAGAUGACCUCACUUGUUAAUUUACGAUUCUGUCCAGAUCUGAACUAAUGCAUUUAAUUGGUUGUUAAACAGCAAAACAAAUAGGUUCACAUGAUUCUACGCGUCAUGGCAAGCAAUCUACACAUAAAGAACAUCUCCAACGGAGCUACGGGUCAAAAGUUACAAGCAUCGCAAGAUAUGAUGGCAUGAAUGCAAUAUGUGUGCAACGACGGCUACGAGCACUUCAAAACAUACAAACAGCAAGAGAAAAUGAAACUACACAAGAUCCUAAGCAAGUUUCAUGUAGGACACGAUCAAAUCAGAGCUACGGUUCAACAACUACGAGCAAAACAAGAAAUCUUCACAAUCUGCCAAAAUCAGCCACAUGGCAUUUUAUACGCCUCACAACUUCGGCUACACAACUCCGAUAAGCUCAAGCAAGGCAUGGCAUGGAAGAGGACAAGAAUCACUACUACGAACAACUAACAACAACUAGCAUGGCAGCAAGGAGCACUAGGAAAAGAAGACACAAAAUGGCAUCUCACACACUAUUUCAGACUUAGUGAAAAUUACACCUCAUGAAAGUGCAGUUUUCGAUCUGAAGCAAUGUUGACAGCAGCAAAACCUAUAGCUACAGGAGUCCAAAUGGCAUGAAAAUUAACAGCAUGCUAGAGAAUCACAAGGGGUAGAACUAACUCCAUUGGACCAACCUCAAAAGAGCUACAGAUCACAAGAUGCAAGCAAGACAAGAUAGCAACAAAAUAUAACAGAUUCCAGACUUAGAAAUAUUUCAGCACGUCUAAAACAGCACUAUUUCUAGCAACUUGAGGGCUAUCGAAACACACCUAAACAUGCAUUUCUAUUGCAACCAAAAAUACCAGGGGCUAAUCAAAACAUCCAAGAUCAACUCUCUAGUUGACAACUCCGUCAAACGACGUACGGAAUAAAUCCUACGAAUUAAUCAAAAGGGCAACAUAGCAAAAUAUCUUGCGAACUAACUUGCUCUAAUGCUAAAAAUAAUUGCACAGAAAAAUCCAUGGGAUUUUGCUACCCCGAAAACAUAUAAAAUAUGUGGGGUUUGCAACACAAAAUAAUGCCACACAUUAAUGCGAGAAAAUAACCUAUAUACGGGAAAAUAAACUACCGGCAAUCCAUACACGCAAAAAUACAAAUGACAGGUCUAAAAAACAUGAUAAAAUGGUCCCUAAAAAAUAGACAUUUUAUCUACGUCAUACGGGCAACCCGGUCUUGCACGAAAAAUAAAUACAGGUCGAAACCUAUUAGGACAGCACACUUAUCUAGGCAAACAGCAUGCUAAACAACGUCAAACAAAUGUGCAAGUUUUAAAUUCGGAUUCUACGCGAAAAGUUACACGAGAUACAUAUCUAAAUCUUCGCGAUCCGACUUACGGAUAAUAUUCUGCGGGCAUUCUAAUAUAGUCUGAUUACUGGAAUUAAUUAAAUUCCUAAAAUUCCUAAAUGGGCCGAACAGGUGGGCGCGAGGUAACAGGUCAGUGCAUGGGCGUAGAAUAGUGGCUUGGGGGGUGCUCACCUCGGGCCUUGGCCCGGCUGGAGGAGCAGGCCGAGGGGCGCGCUGGGCCUGGCUCGGGCGCUGGCCAGGCGCUAGCUGGGCCGCGACGCUCCUGGGCCUGGGGCGACGCAGCUGGACGAAGGGGGCCUGGGGCGCGGGGAAGAGUGGCUGGGCCUCGGGGGCGCUCUGGGCCGAUGCGGGGCCCACGGGGCGGCGCUCUGGGUCUCCUCGUCGCCCUCCUCUGGCCUACCGCACGAGGCAUGGCGGCGCCGACCUGGAACCGCCGGAGGGCGCUGACCACAGGGCGGAGACGGUCGGGACGGGGCCGGGGUCGGCCGGAUCUGGCCGGCCUUCGCCAGAUCUGGCCGCCGGCGGGGGCGAGGCAGCAAGGGCGGCGGUGCUGGCGGGUCAAGGCAGCAAGGGCUCGGCCGACAGGGAGAGCGCGGCGCUCCGGCGGCUGCCGAUGGCCGGCGGGAGGCGGCGGGACCGAGUGUAGCAGGAGCUGCGAGGCUCCCCGGCGAGGGGCUGGCCGGCGGCGCAGGAGGCUCCGGUCAAGGAGGUGCGGCGGCUCCCGGGAGGAGGAGGCACGGGCAGGGAGGUCGAACGGGGCGGCGGCGUGAUGCGGGCUCGGGUGGGCUCCAGAUGGGCCUGGCAUGCCCACGGCGGCUGGGGCUGGGGAGAGAGAGGAGAGGUUGUGGCGGCUAGGGUUAGGUUUAGGUGGGGCGCGGAAAACAAGGCAGGUUAGGGAUGGGUGUCCGAAAAUUAGAAGGGGUCUAUAUAUAGACAAACGGGGGGGCUCGGUUAACCGGAAUCGCGCUCCGGAUCCAACCGCGGGGUCGGAUUCGGACGAUUCCGCACGAGGGAAUGGGUACGCGGCCGUGUAGAGGGGAUAUCCGGAGAUGAGAGGGAGAACGGGCGAUGCGGCACGAAUUUUAAAAACACCGACAGACGUCCGACGGUGGACCGAAUACGGUGCCGCUACGGUCGACCGUUCGGGUACCAGACGGACUCCGAUCGCGACGAAAUUCGACAAGCGGCCUAGCUAUAACUAAUCACGACCGCGUGCCAAGUCUCACCUUGAUCAGAGAAAGUUUUAACCGCGCUUUUAAAACAGGGUUUCGACGGUGCCGCGGGCGUGUGCGAGUGCGGUCGGGCUCAGAACGGACGACGACGCGAACCGGCAACUAACAACGGAUGCAAGUUUUGAAAACUGGCGGCAACGGAGAUGCCGAUGCGAUGCAGAUGAUGCGCAUGAUGCGAUGAUGAUGCGACAAAUAACAUAAAUAACACGACGAAAACGGAAAGGAAAGGGAAUCUUCUGGAACGUCGGCAUCGGGCUGUCACAACUCUCCUACACUACAAGAAGAUCUCGCCCCGAGAUCCAAGAAUGAAAGGGGGAGAGGAUGAGAAAGAACAAGAGGUAAAACUUAGUCGCUUCUUGACAAACGAGUGAAACCAACGAUCCUUGAAGGUUGCAAGGCAAUGAGAAAAGAUAUGAGAGGAAGCAAGAAUUCACGGAAAAUUUCGACAGCACUUCGGUAGGAAAAUGGGACAAAAAAUUCGAUAAGAUGGUAGAAAUAGACAAUAUACAUAACAAACAACUAAAUAGAACAAGGGAACACCAUGAUCUUGAUAGAACAACACAAUAUAACCAAAAGAGCAACAUCACAAUGCCUCCGGAACAAUAGAAUAGGAACUAGCUCAAGCGAAAGAAGAGAAUGAAGAAAGAAAUGACAACUAUCAACUCCAAUGAACUUGGCAAGCAUGCUUGCAAGAAAAAUUGAACGAAGUUGUUGGAAAAACAAUAACGAAAAGAACAAGAUAGUAGUGGGCUUAUGGAAAUCAUCUCAACAAAUAUGAGGUGACAACCAACCACUAAAAGAAAGAAGGAUAGAUUGGGAGAAACAAGAUAUGAACAAUUCUUACACCAAGAGGAUGCAUUGAGAACUUAGAUUAAAGACAAGCACCAUGAUAGUACAAUCCCUAGGAAAAGCUUUAGGUGAAAUCCAACCCAAGAUAGCUCAAAGGAGAAAUCAUGGGUUGAAAUAUCUCAUGAUCAUAGAAUUGGUGGGUUUAAUUAUCUCAUUCUUGAAAGGAAAAUUCUCUGAGGCUCCUACACUAACAAGAAGGCUAUAAUACCACCUCAAAGGAAAAGGAAUAACAAAUGCACUUGGGAAUGCAAGAGAACGGAUACUUGAGGAAAGAAUUGAUAUGAUGAUGAACCACCAUGAAGGACCUCCGUAAGAAUGAUGCAACGAUAAGAAGGUAGAAAAGGAUAAGAUUAUGACCUUGCCAAGAUUUAGAUGAAGCCUCACAGAGAGAAACUUGAUAGAACUUGGAACUCCGGAAAGAAAUAUAGGCACUUGAGAAAAGAAUUUAUAUCAUGAGUCCUCCGGAAGAAGAAUUGAAAUCUCUUGGAAGGAGGAAGGACAAUAAUAAGAAUUAUGUUAUGCUCAUCCUUCAUCAAGUUUAAUUGAUGACAAGCAACGGAUUUAGCAUACAACUUAUUCUUGUAGAAAAGAUUGAGGAGAGAUAUGAGCACAAACUAGAAGAAGUCUUGAAGGAGACACCGGUGAGAAUUUAAAUGAAUGAGGCAACCAUGAAUGACUCAAGAAAGAUGAGAAAGAUGAGAUCAUGAACCACCUAACAGAAAACUUGAAUAAGGCACCGGAAUAAUCGAGAGACGAACGAAGAGACAACAAUUGAGAAGAAUUGAGGAUGAAAGCCGAAAGCUGAGAACGAAGAAUCUUCUAAAAUGAUGGCCUUCGGAGGAACGAGAAAUAAAAACGACUCAGAGAAGCACCGGAUAGCACGAAAGGGAUUACCCACGAUUGGGAAUAAUUCAAGAUGAUGCCAGAAGGCUGAAACGAUGAAUCAUGAAGAUAAUGGGCCAAGAUUGAGAGAAACACUCCUUCAAAUGCAAGCUGAGAAUGAUGACGAUAACAACGCCAAGAAUUACUAAGACACUCCGGAAUAAAGAAGAAUGAAAGGUUGAGCCAAAGAAUGAAUUAAUUCAAAUAGAACUUGAAGAAGUAAUAUGACUGAUGGAAAUCAUACUUACGUCAUAGUUGAAAGAUUUAAUGAUCUCCGGGAAAAGAUUAAAAAUGCCAGGAAAGAUCCUGGGAAAGAACCAGUGGGUUAUGGGCCCACUCAAAGAAACCACCGUUAGAAAAGAUUGCUAGACCGAGAGAUAUUGCACCGGUAUGAAGAGAACUAGAUGAGGUUAGCACCUCGAAAUAAUUAAAGAAUUGAGAACAAGAAUUCUGAGAUAACUUCAACGCUCCGGAUAGAAUAGAGAGAAAUAACAACAAGAAAAUAGACUAAUAAAAAUUUCCAACAUAGGAAAUAAUUACAAGGAUGAAAAGGAUAUGAUGAACACAGACAACUGAAUUGAAUUCACCGGUAAGGAUGACAAAAAUGAACAAAGAGGAACACGAAGCUCCUGAGAAUCUUCACAAUGAAUCAUCGGCUACGAAAGGAAGAAGAGAUAGCGGAAGCACAAUGAAAUGAAUGCGCUUGGAUGAAAUCCAAUCACCGAAGAAAAAGGGCGGGAGGGCGGGAAAAAAACAAAGACAACUUGGGACAGAUGAGAUGAACUCCGGAUGGAAUAAAAGAAUGCUAUCGACAAUCCACUUGAGGAGAAGCACACCGGUUGGAAAAGAAAAAACAUGACGACUCCGGUCGACAAGAAUUGAUAAGACAACUGAUUAAGCAAAAGAAUUAGCAUUCACGUAAAAAUAUGAGAACACAGAUUAGGAAAGAUCUGAAAUCACCACUUGACAUCGAAGCAACACAAAUUACCAUAUUCAACAAAACAAAGGGUGAGGCUUAUGAAACAAGCCAGAACAAACUCAUGAGAAAGAUUUCGUCCGAUAUUUUCAUGGACAGAUCGCACGGGCUCGAUUUUACAGUAGCCAUCAAGUGCAAGGUAGUGCACCCGACAUACGAAGUAUCCCCGAGUCGUAGCAAGCUACAAGGACUCUUUAAGACACAACGUGUACCGCUGUAAGUCGACCGUGAACAAACGAAUCCACUAGAUGUCGAACCCCAACCUAACAACAUGCAUUUGUUGGAAGAUUGUCCUAUAAGCAACUACUUGAAUUCUCACCUAUGAACUCCCGAAAUAUCUGGUCAUGUAAUCUGGUACACGGAUACAAGGAGUAAUAUCACACAACUCCUAUACUAACCCGUCACUUGUAUCACAUCCGUCAACACACGACCAGAAUCUCGGACCUUCAUCUACUACAGACCCUCGUGAUCACAACGAUACAGAGUAUGGCAGUACUCCCGAACAAUCUGCACCAGUACCGGGGAUAUCGGGGUUAUCUCGCCACUACUAGUAUUGAAGCAAUUACGAACAUCCUUCGUUCUGAGAUACUAAGAAAUCUGAAUGAUAACGAUGUGCUGAAGAAUCCCCUGGAGCUCAACUCCCCGGAAGAAGAUCAAGUCAGACAGGAGGCACCAAGACAGAACUCCGUCACAUCGGCAUCAUAUAGAUUCCAAAAAUAUCUGUGUGAUCCUAAAAAAAAAUUUGAGUGAGAAGAGGAGUAGAAUAAAUUAUUACGUCAAGAUUCCUCACGAGAGCAUAGAAGAGGAGAAAAAAGAAUCCUACUCUCCGAUAUAUAACUAGACUCAAAGUAUUUUUACUAGACUCGACUCGGUCAAAUUUGAUUAAUGAAGGGGGCUCCUAGGUCGGUACUGGUCUGAUACCAACUUGUCACGCCCAAGAUGCGACCCUAUCCUCAAUUUGGCACGAAGGCCUCGUCAGGGAUAGAAGCGCAUCUCGUCGUGUCGCAAGAAUGGAUAUCGUCACAAGUACAUGUACUGAAAAGAAGAGUUAUAUAUACAGAGUUGGCUUACACUCGCCACAAGCUACAUCAGAAUCACAUCAGUACAUUACAUAAUCAUCAAGAGUAAGAGCAGGGUCCGACUACGGACGAAAACAAACGAGAAAAAUAAGAACGACGUCCAUCCUUGCUAUCCCAGGCUGCCGGCCUGGAACCCACCCUAGAUCGAUGAUGAAGAAGAAGAAGAAGCAACUCCAAAUGAACAAUCAACGCGCUCGCGUCAAGUAACCUUUACCUGUACCUGCAACUGGUGUUGUAGUAACCUGUGAGCCACAGGGGACUCAGCAAUCUCAUUUCCAAAGGUAUCAAGACUAGCAAAGCUUAAUGGGUGAGGUAUGGUUAAGUAGUGAGGUUGCAACAGCGACUAAGCAUAUAUUUGGUGGCUAACUUACGAGUACCAGAAAUAAGAGGGGGAAGAUCUACGCAUAACGGACGUGAACUACUGAUGAUCAAAUGAAUGAUCCUGAACACCUACCUACGUCAGACAUAACCCCACCGUGUCCUCGAUCGGAGAGGGAACUCACGAAAGAGACAAUCACGGUUACGCACACAGUUGGCAUAUUUUUAAUUAAUUAACUUCAAGUUAUCUAGAACCAGUGUUAAACAAAGUUUCCACAUUGCCACAUAACCGCGGCCACGGCUUUCCGAAAGGUUUAACCCUGUAGGGGUGCUCCAACUAGUCCAUCACAAAUUACCACAAGCCGCAUAGAAAUCCUCAAUCACGAAGCUCGCGAUCUUGUCGGAUUCCCUAGUGGAAAACCUCAACUCUGAGAUUACCCAAAGCAUCACCGAAUCCCGAUGCACAAGAUAUCUCGUCAAAGGUAAAACUAAUCCAGCAAGGCCGCCCGACGUGUCGACGAUCCUGAUAGGAGUCGCGUACCUCGUUCUCAGGACACGACGGAUGAGCGAUGGUUACCACGCCAAACGCCGAGUUGCCCCGGGUAGCGUUAAUAAGCUGCUCUGUUUUGGACCAACACUCAUGAGGAGCACUGGCCUGGGGGUUCAUUAAAAUAGUCCGCGGGUGCCGGCGGGUCCCCAUGAAAUUUUAUUAGGUGAUUAGGAAAAUGUAGUACCAAUGUUGGGCCUUGCCAGACCAGCUUUAAUCUAAAACGAAUUAUCAAGGGGGUCCCCAUAACAACCCCGAUCGUGUUAGGAGCGCUCAUUUAUGAAACAUAACACCGGUAGCCGGACACUAAGGAGGCAAAGGUGGAACAAAACACCAGGCUAGAAAGGCCUAGCCUUCCACCUUUUACCAAGUAUAUAGGUGUAAUAAAUUAAAUAGCAUUUAAAUAUGGUGGUAUAACAAGGAACCCAUGUUUUCACAUGGAAGCAACGGCACCUGCAACUAGCAACGCUAACACAGGGUCAAGCAAGGAGUAACAUAGCCAAUCAUUGGUUUGCUAGGUUGAACAGGUUGAAGGUUAACAUGACAUUGUUGAGAGGCUGAUAUUUAACAAGUGGUAGGCAACGAGACAUAAUCGAUAGCAUCGAAAUAACUAGCAUGGCAAUGAUAGUAAUGGUAUCUGGGGAAAUGAUCAUCUUGCCUGAGAUCCCGCUUGGAAGAAGAAUGCCUCCGUGAAGCAGACGAACCGAUGUAGUCGAACGGGUCCUCACAAUCCGGCACGCUGUGGAACUCUAGCGAGACGAAGCCAACCGGAAACACAAAUCAACACACGAAAUUCACCACACGAUGCACAACACAUAUGAUGCAUGAGCAGCUGAAUAUAUGCAAGUCACGGCAUGACAAUUCACACAAUCAAACACUACAGAUUAAGUGAAGUUCAAUAUGCAACGAGUUACAAAUUGACGAAACUCCACGUUAAUUUAUUUAGUUCUAUCCCGAUUAAAUACACGGCAAUAUUAAAUGUGGUUAAACAUGGCAAGAGGUGAAGCGCGAUUAAUCUACCAUCUAGGCAUUUUAAAUGAGGUCGGAUAUGACAUAUAGCAUCUCCGAGAUGACCUCACAUGUUAAUUUACGAUUCUGUCCAGAUCUGAACUAAUGCAUUUAAUUGGUUUUUAAACAGCAAAACAAACAGGUUCACGUGAUUCUACGCGUCAUGGCAAGCAAUCUACACAUAAAGAACAUCUCCAACGGAGCUACGGGUCAAAAGUUACAAGCAUCGCAAGAUAUGAUGGCAUGAAUGCAAUAUGUGUGCAACGACGGCUACGAGCACUUCAAAACAUAUAAACAGCAAGAGAAAAUGAAACUACACAAGAUCUUAAGCAAGUUUCAUGUAGGACACGAUCAAAUCGGAGUUACGGUUCAACAACUACGAGCAAAACAAGAAAUCUUCACAAUCUGUCAAAAUCAGCCACACGGCAUUUUAUACGCCUCACAACUUCGGCUACACAACUCCGAUAAGCUCAAGAAAGGCAUGGCACGGAAGAGGGCAAGAAGCACUACUACGAACAGCUAACAACAACUAGCAUGGCAGCAAGGAGCACUAGGAAAAGAAUACACAAAAUGGCAUCUCACACACUAUUUCAGACUUGGUGAAAAUUACACCUCAUGAAAGUGCAGUUUUCGAUCUGAAGCAAUGUUGACAGCAGCAAAACCUAUAGCUACAGGACGCCAAAUGGCAUGAAAAUUAACAGCAUGCUAUAGAAUCACAAGGGGUACAACUAACUCCAUUGGACCAAUCUCAAACGAGCUACAGAUCACAAGAUGCAAGCAAGACAAGACAGCAACAAAAUAUAACAAAUUCCAGACUUAGAAAUAUUUCAGCACGUCUAAAACAGCACUAUUUCUAGCAACUUGAGGGCUAUCGAAACACACCUAAACAUGCAUUUCUAUUGCAACCAAAAAUACCAGGGGCUAAACAAAACAUCCAAGAUCAACUCUCUAGUUGACAACUCCGUCAAACGACGUAUGGAAUAAAUCCUACGAAUUAAUCAAAAGGGCAACAUAGCAAAAUAUCUUGCGAACUAACUUGCUCUAAUGCUAAAACUAAUUGCACAGAAAAAUCCAUGGGAUUUUGCUACCCCGAAAACAUAUAAAAUAUGUGGGGUUUUCAACACAAAAUAAUGCCACACAUUAAUGCGAGAAAAUAACCUAUAUACGGGAAAAUAAACUACCGGCAAUCCAUACACGCAAAAAUACAAAUGACAGGUCUAAAAAACAUGAUAAAAUGGUCCCUAAAACAUAGACAUUUUAUCUACGGCAUACGGGCAACCCGGUCUUGCACGAAAAAUAAAUACGGGUCGAAACUUAUUAGGACAGCACACUUAUCUAGGCAAACAGCACGCUAAACAACGUCAAACAAAUGUGCAAGUUUUAAAUUCGGAUUCUACGCGAAAAGUUACACGAGAUACAUAUCUAAAUCUUCGUAAUCCGACUUACGGAUAAUAUUCUGCGGGCAUUCUAAUAUAGUCUGAUUACUGGAAUUAAUUAAAUUCCUAAAAUUCCUAAAUGGGCCGAACAGGUGGGCGCGAGGUAACAGGUCAGUGCAUGGGCGUAGAAUAGUGGCUUGGGGGGUGCUCACCUCGGGCCUUGACCCGGCUGGAGGAGGCGGCUCGAGGAGCAGGCCGAGGGGCGCGCUGGGCCUGGCUCGGGCGCUGGCCAGGCGCUAGCUGGGCCGCGGCGCUCCUGGGCCUGGGGCGACACAGCUGGACGAAGGGGGCCUGGGGCGCGGGGAAGAGUGACUGGGCCUCGGGGGCGCUCUGGGCCGAGUCUCACCUUGAUCAGAGAAAGUUUUAAACGCGCUUUUAAAACAGGGUUUCGACGGUGCCGCGGGCGCGUGCGAGUGCGGUCGGGCUCAGAACGAACAACGACGCGAACCGGCAACUAACAACGGAUGCAAGUUUUGAAAACUGGCGGCAACGGAGAUGCCGAUGCGAUGCGCAUGAUGCGAUGAUGAUGCGACAAAUAACAUAAAUCACACGACGAAAACGGAAAGGAAAGGGAAUCUUCUAGAACGUCGGCAUCGGGCUGUCACAAGGUCCGUGUUUGUCUUUCGCGUGAGGUUUACCAAUUCUAGCGGAGUCCUCACAGAAUUUGAUAACAUGCCCAUCUAUGUCUUCGGCUAAGAGAUCUUUGAUAAUAGCAACACUAGGUAUCACAGUUGGUCCAAGUGGUCUAAUGUAACCCCUACGUAUCACAGUUGGAGCUUUAGAAUAAUCCUUUAUCCUAGCAGGGUAUGGUGGUUUCUCAGUGUAAGCACAAGGAACAACAGGAUCACUAAAAGCAAUGACUUUCUCCUCAACUAGAUUGGUUUUGGCUAUGUUGCUUUCUACAGGAGGAUGAUAUUUAAACCACUUCUCUUUGGGAAGAUCAACAUGAGCAGCAAAAGAUUCACAAAGAGAAGCUACUAUCUCAGAGUCAAGUCCAUACUUAGCGCUAAAAUCUCUAGAAGUGUUUGUCUCAACAAAAGAUUUAACGCAAUCAAACUGGAAAUUCAUACCUAACUCCUUACCUUCCUCCGGCUCCCAAUCUUCAGAGUUGCGUUUGAUUCUCUCCAAUAAAUUCCACUUGUGAUCAAUAUCCUUCUUCAUAAAAGAACCGGCACAAGAAGUGUCAAGCAUGGUACGAUCUUCAUGACAAAGCCGAGCAUAAAAGUUUUGAGUGAUGAUUUGCCUCGAGAGCUCAUGAUUGGGGCAUGAAUAUAGCAUUGAUUUAAGCCUCCCUCAAGCUUGAGCUAUGCUUUCCCUGUCAUGAGGCCAAAAGUUACAAAUAAAGUUCUGAUCACGAUGUACUAAAUGCAUAGGAUAGAACUUUUGAUGAAAUUCCAAUUUCAACCGAUUGUAGUCCCAUGAUCCAGUAUCAUCACAUAGCCUAUACCAUGUCAACGCCUUAUCCUUCAAAGAUAAAGGAAAGACUUUCUUCUUUACCUCAUCCUCGGGCAAACCUGCAAGCUUAAAUAAACCACAAACUUAAUCUACAUAGAUUAGAUGCAAGUGUGGAUGUGAAGAUCCAUCUCGUGUAAAAGGAUUAGCCAGCAGUUUCUAAAGCAUACCCGAAGGAAUUUCAUAAAAGAUAUUUUCAGUAGGUACCUCAGGUUGAGGAGCAACUCCUCGUGCUUCCGUUCAUGGUGAAGAUACCCCGAACAAACUCCUCAAAGGAACAAUUUCCAUAGUGACAAGUGACAAUAAAUUUCAGCAAAGUAUAAAAAUGUUUCCUUACCAAUUUCCACUUACCAAAGGCACUUCACUCCCCGGCAACGGCGCCAGAAAAGAGUCUUGAUGACCCACAAGUAUAGGGGAUCAAUCAUAGUCCUUUCGAUAAGUAAGAGUGUCGAACCCAACGAGGAGAAGAAGGCUCUGAUAAACGGAUUUCAGCAAGGUAAUAACUGCAAGCACUGAAAGUAGCGGUAACAAGUGAUUGUGUAGCGAGGUGAAACGUAGCAAGAAAAAAGUAACAAGUAACAAGUAGUAGCAACGGUGCAGCAAGUGGCCCAAUCCCUUUUGCAGCAAGGGACAAGCCUGAACAAAGUCUUAUAGGAGGAAAAACGCUCCCGAGGACACACGGGAAUUUCUAUCAUGCUAGUUUCAUCAUGUUCAUAUGAUUCGCAUUCGUUACUUUGAUAGUUUGAUAUGUAGGUGGACCGGCGCUUGGGUACUGCCCUUACUUGGACAAGCAUCCCACUUAUGAUUAACCUCUCUCGCAAGCAUCCGCAACUACAAAAGAAGAAUUAAGACAAAGUCUAACCAUAACAUUAAACUAGUGGAUCCACAUCAGUCCCUCACGAAGCAACGCAUAGACCGGGGUUUAAGCUUCUGUCCCUCCAGCAACCCCUCAUCUACAUACUACUUCCCAAUGCCUUCCUCUAGGCCCAAAUAUGGUGAAGUUUUAUGUAGUUGACGUUCACAUAACACCACUAGAGGAAAAGACAACAUACAACAUAUCAAAAUACCGAACGAAUAUCAAAUUCACAUGACUAUUAUUAACAUGACUUAUCCCAUGUCCUCAGGAACAAAAGUAACUACUCAAAAAACAUAAUCAUAAUCAUGAUCAAAGGUGUAAUGAAUAGCAUCAAGGAUCUGAACAUAAACUCUUCCACCAAGUAAUCCAACUAGCAUCAACUACAAAGAGUAAUCAACACUACUAGCAACCUUACAAGUACCAAUCGGAGUCAUGAGACGAAGAUUGGUUACAAGAGAUGAACUAGGGAUUCGAGAGGAGAUGGUGCUGAUGAAGAUGUUGAUGAACAUGCCUCCCCUCCGACAAGAGGAGUGUUGGUGAUGACGAUGGCGACGAUUUCCCCCUCCGGGAGGGAAGUUUCCCCGGCAGGAUCGUCCUGCCGGAGCUCUAGAUUGGAUCUGCUCAAGUUCCGCCUCGUGGCGGCGGCGAAACCACGAAAAAGAUCCCCUCUGAUAUUUUUCUGUACCAAGACGCUUCAUAUAGCAAAAGAGGGGGGCUAGUGGGCCGUCAGGGAGCCCACAAGCCCCCACUCCGCCACCAGGGGGUGGAGGUGUCACGGCUUGUGGCACCCUGGCAGCCCCCCUCCGGUAGUUCUUUCGCUCAGUAUUUUUUAUGUAAUCCCAAAAAAACCCACGUAACUUUUCAGGGCAUUUGGAGAUGUGCAGAAUAGUGGACUAGGAUUUGCUCCUUUUCCAGUCCAGAAUUCCAGCUUCCUGAAUUCUCCCUCUUCAAAUAAACCUUGCAAAAUAAGAGAGAAAAGGCAUAAAUAUGGUACCACAAGUAAUAUAACAGCCCAAAAAGCAAUAAAUAUCAACAUCAAAGCAUGACGCAACAUGGACGUAUUAGUGUCCCAGGGAGCCCACAAGCCUAGGAGGCGCGGCCCCCCUAGGCGUGGCUAGGGGACUUGUGGGGUCCCUGGUGCCCCCUGUCCUGAUUCUGAGGCUUCCCGAUCUUCUUCUGUUUCGGAAAAAAUCUUUUUGGAAGUUUCGUUCCGUUUGGACUCCGUUUAAAAUCCUCCUCUGAAAGGGGUCAAAAACAUGGAAAAAACAGGAACUGUCACUUGGCACUGAGUUAAUAAGUUAGUCCAAAAUAAGAUAUAAAAGGUAUACAAAACAUCCAAAGUUUGACAAGAUAAUAGCAUGAAACCAUCAAAAGUUAUAGAUACGUUGGAGACGUAUCAGGUUCCCCCUCAUGUGUUCUUCUAGGGUUCAUGCUGGGCUAGAUCCCCUUCAUGUGUUCUUCUAGGGUUCAUGGGGCUAGGGUUAGGGUUCAUGCUGCAGCACGAUAUGUCAGUUGUACUCGGGUUAGGGUUAGGGUUCAUGGGGUAAAUAUGUCAGUUGAAUAUAGAAUGACAUAGUUGUUUUGAUCUGCGUAGAGAAGCAAGUCGCAUUAGGCCGUGUGAUGGGUGGCGGUGGCUGGGUAGAUGCGGAUGCUAGAGCUACCAUUGUAAUGAGCUAAGUUGUAUGCUUCUUCUUUUGGUGAUGGUAUUUCCCUGCAAGGCCAGAUACCCAUCUAUUUAUUACAACUGUUAUGGUGUCUUCAAAGUUAAUACUACUAAGAGCUAGAGCUUGUGUUUUUCUUUGGAAACAGUCAGUGGUGAUGCUGAUGCUAGGUGUAGGUGAGCUAUUCAGACUUCAUUGUUGGUGUUUGGCUUGGCUUGGCUUGACUUGACUUGAGUAGUAGUGAUUCUAGGUGUAGGUGAGCUAUUCAGACUUCAUUGCUGGUGUUUGGCUUGGCUUGGCUUUAGUUGACUUGAGUAGUAGUGAUGAGUCUGGAUAUAGGUGGCUUGUUUUAAUUUUUUCUGAACAUAAUUUGUUGUUCAUUUGAAAUAACAUGGCAUAAUAUAUUCUGUAUGCUGUUUCGAUGAUGGGAAGAACAUUUAUCUUGCUGAAGCAUGCGAUUAAUUCUGCUGUGCUUUUUUUUCCUUCCAAAAAGAGGAUUAUCACGGGCCUCUGCAUCAAGCGAUGAACACUGUCAUAUAGUUGUGUUGUGCUGCAUGAAUGAAUGCGGAAUGAUUCGGUGGCAGUGAAAAUCAUGAUUGUAUAGACAACAUUUGGCUAGAGUCUUAACACAUAAAUUUUGAGUAGAAUCCUAUUAAUUUCUUGUUAGUGUGUCUUACUUGAGCGGUGCUUUAAGUGAAUGAUGUUGGGCAACCAGUUAAUGCAUAUGUUUGCCACCAUUAGGGAAUACAGUUGAGUAAUUACUUUGCUUAUAGAUGAUUGCAGGUACAUGGAUAAAAUUUCAAGUUAAAACAUAAAAGCAAUUGUUGUAAAUAGUUAAUGCAUUGCUUCACAUAUAUAGUUUUCUUCAACUAUCGGUUUAGUACAUUACUACCUCUUGUUUCACAUGUAUUAAUACUAAUACAUUGCUACACUUGUAUGUGCAUGCUGGUCCAAGUGCUUCAAUUUAGUUGCUUGCUUCAACUAUCAGUUUAGUACUGAUGCAUUAACUGUAUGUGCAUUGCUACACGUGUAUGUGCAUGUUGGUCCAAGUGUUUUACAUGUAUUAGUACUGAUGCAUUAACUACAUCACCAUAUUGUUGAUCCAACAAGUUUGCUUCACAUGUAUUACAUGUAUAUGCAUGCUCGUCUAAAUGAUUUCCUUUAUUGAUAUAAGUGCAUCAUUUUACUUUAUCCCUGUUGUAUCUGAUUGUUGUUUAUUCUAUUUUGCAAGCACCACCUCAAGAUCAUCCAUGGCAAGGAUGACAAGGUCAAACCCGAGGCAACCCAUUGGUGUGCAAGUUGCUCCUUGUGGUUAUACUGUCAGAUUUAUAAAAUGUGUCUUAAUAUGCUAAGUGAAAUGUAAUAUGCUAAGUAAAAUAUCUUGGAGGGUGGUGAUGUAAAAUAUUGUCAGAUUUUAUUAUGCAAAUGUAUUGCUGUAAUCUGAAUUAGCUGGCUUAGCUGUGUGUGUGUGUUGGUACUCUUCCUUAGCUGAAUAAGUAUUAAAUGAUAAUAAAAUAUCAUAAGAUAUGUUUGGCUGUCUAUCUAUGCAUUCCAACAAUUAACCUAAUAAUUAUGUUUCCUUUGCCUUGCAAAGAUGAGCAUCCUCUCACCGAGUACGAGAAGGUUAGGGCUAGAAAUAUGAUGAGGAACAAUCGGAUAUUCGAGUUCCUUGGCAUUGGUGCAAUAGCGUCAAUGAUUAGGAAAACAAAUGAUGUACAAGAAGGUAGAACUAAUGAGGUUCAAGAAGGUAGUGGAGUUAUCAAUGAUGACCUAGAGUACAAUCCUGAGGAUGAAGUUGUAGUGCACAAGAAUGUUAAGGUGCAAACUCUCUCUUGCUUGGAGGGUUCGGGUUCUUGUAUGCUCUCUGUUUCCUUGUCCUCACAUAUUUAUCUUGUGAUCUAUUGUUUAUUCUGUGUUAUUUAUAUAAGGCACCGAAGGAAUCUAGAACAAAGAGGCCUGGUGUUAAGAAGACAGCCAGCAAGAAGAGGAAGAGCUGAGAAGCAUCUGCUGCAAUGCAUCCAGGAAGGGUGAUGGCCCCACCUCCAGGACAAACAAAGAGGAUCCUGGAACCUGAUGAACCUGAUAGAGUCACAAGGCAGAAAGCAACUAUGGCGGCUGUGACGGACCAUCAGGAAAGUCCGCUGGGCAUGGACUUUGAGAGCUCGGUGGAAAUGUCUGAUGAGUUUUCGCCCAUGGAUGAAGAAACCACUCUCUGCAUGGAUGAAAGCGGCACUGCCUGCCUACGCCUCAGGCGUGGUGCACCUUCUAUUGACAGGAAUGAUGUCGUCAGUGAAGAAGAACAGCAACUUGUGCUUCAACCAGGCAAGUUCACCUUCUCUUUUACUAGUGCAUUUUGCAAAUGGAAGUGAUCAUGUAUUCUUACCUGUUUAGCAGACCCAUUCCUGCAUUUGUCGAUUUCUCUUCUAAUUUACGAGUUCAAUUUCAUUUUCAGAUGCAAUGACUAACAAGCAUAGACUUAGAAAGGGCAAAGGGCUAGAGAGAAUUACCAAGUCGCUUGGCACAAAGGUGCCUAUCCAAAUUGCCCAAGGGAUGAAGCGUCCAGAGAAGCCUCUACAGGCAGCAAAGUUUGCUUCUGAGUGUGGACUCGUUGCAAGAAGCCAUCUGCCGGUUCUUCCUCACUUCAAGGAAUACAAAAAUAAUGCUACUCUAGUGGAGGACUACAUUGGGAAAGUUGAUGUAAGCUACUUGUUUUAUAGUUAAUGUGCUACUCUAUUUUCUGUUUUGUAGUUAAUGAUCACUAAUGUUGUUCCUUCCUUGUUUGUUGUCUUGGUAGGCAAAUUUUGAGAUGAACACACACUCGGAGACCAUCAAGUACGCGCGCAAGGAUGUUCUGCAGAAAAGUUCAAAGAAUCGACGCCAUAAGAUCAAGAAGUAGUAUUUUGAUACCGUAGCAGCAAACAAAGUGAGCACCAAGUCUCCGGUGUCAGAUCUGACGGACGGUGAAUGGCAAGCUCUGGUGCAGAUGUGGUCUACCCCAAGACACAAGGUUUGUAUAUGCUCUGUUUGCUGAUUUAUGUUCUGCACAUCAGGAUGGGAAUGGGCCAUGGUCCCCUUCUUCCUCUUCCAUGUUUCUGAUCAGAGUAGGAACAAUAGAGAGCAUCAACUUUCAAAAUCAACACCAUAUGUAAUACACUGACUCUUAUAUAGUACUAGUUGUUCAUGUACUUGUGCUAGUGCAGGAUAACUGAAAUAUUUCCAAAUCGAAUAUGCUCAGACUCGUAUUGUCCUACUAUACUACUGCCUAUUCGACUUUCUUUCAACUUGGCAAAUAACAUUGUGCUUUUUUGUAGGAAACCUGUGUGUCGAACAAGAUUAAUCGAGAAAAGGUCGUGUACCAACAGAGAAUUGGUUCCAGGCACUACACAGAACACAUUUUUGCCACUGUGAGUACCUUUUUCUAAAGACCUUACCAUUUGAUCCUCGUUGAAUAUCAUUUCUUAUUCUUGCUGAAUAACAUUUUGAUUUUUGUUAAAAAACAUUUCAGAAAGAAGAGCAUAAGGGUGAGGAGUUGUCUGCGAUUGACUUGUUCAAGGCCACCCACAACAGCAAGAAGCACGGGUUUUCGGAGCCAGGCAAGAUUGCUAUAGUAAGUCACUCCAUGCUUUUGUCCAGCUAGUUCAAAGUUUUGUCUAUAGACCUCAGCCCUGUUUGAUUCACAACCAGCAAGAACACACCCUAGAUUUGAUGUUGUUUGCUAGAGCCAAUGAUAGGUUUGGUAUCUCAACAAAGAUAUCAGAAUUUGUUGUACAGUUCUCAACAAAGAUAUCAGAACUUGCUGUAGCUAUUUGUUGCAUUUUUAUGAUAUGAUGAAAAUUGAUCUGAAUGUUAGUUCUCAACAAAGAAGCCAUAUUAUAUAGAACCACCAUAUUGUUCCGAUUGCAUGUCUCUAGAUCACAUAAGUGUGUACACUUGUUGUAGCCAGAUUCAAAUAAUGCUUUAAGUUUAGUAGCUAUCAUCUACUUCUGUUUGAGUUUGAGUAAAAUAUCUACAUAUAGAUUUUGUGUGCUGGUUUGAUUACUUCAAAUAAUCCAUUUCUUGGUCUGGUUUGGUGGCAUUCUUGUUUGGUUUCUCUUGCAGAAUGUGAAAUAGAUAUGCCACUAAUGUCUAUCAUUUUCCUCCAUAUGCUAGCUUAUGUGUACACUUGUUGUAGCCAGAUUCAAAUAAUGCUUUAAGUUUAGUAGUUAUCAUCUACUUCUGUUUGAGUUUGAGUAAAAUAUCUACAUAUAGAUUUUGUGUGCUGGUUUGAUUACUUCAAAUAAUCCAUUUCUUGGUCUGGUUUGGUGGCAUUCUUGUUUGGUUUCUCUUGCAGAAUGUGACAUAGAUCUGCCACUAAUGUCUAUCAUUUUCCUCCAUAUGCUUGCUUGAGAUGGAAAAAAUGAAGGGCGCGCCGGUGUUACUGCAACAAAAGACCUUCCAACGGCGCCAGAAAUAGGUGUGUCAAUGGCACCAGGAAUCCUUCUGCUACGGCUACGCCUUAAGGGACUUCCUAGGCAAAUAUGCAAAGGAUUUCCCCCGUGGCCUUGGAGCCUUGCGUUGGUGUUCCCUCGAAGUGGAAAGGGUGAUGUAGCGCAGCGGUGGUAAGUAUUUCCCUCAGUUUGAGAACCAAGGUAUCGAACCAGUGAAGGAGUAUCACAAGAGCUUGCACAAACACAAAAAGCUUGCUCCCAACGCUAUAAAGGGGUUGUCAAUCCCUUAUAGAUUGUUCGCCAAGUGAGAAGUGAAAGCAACAAAGUAACAAAGCAAAGUAAAAGCGUAAGUGGAAACGAUAGGUGUGAAUAGACCCGGGGGCCGUAGUGUUUACUAGUGGCUUCUCUCAUGAAAGCAAAUAGACGGUGGGUGAACAAAUUACUGUCGAGCAACUGAUAGAACCGCGCAAAGUCGUGACAUCAUCUAUGGCAAUGAUUAUAUCUAUAGGCAUCAUGUCCAAAACAAGUAGACCGAUACUUUCUGCAUCUACUACUAUUACUCCACACGUCGACCGCUAUCCAGCAUGCAUCUAGUGUAUUAAGUCCAAAAGAACAGAGUAACGCCUUAAGAAAGAUGACAUGAUGUAGAUGGACAAUCUCAUAUCUACGAUAGAGCCCACCUUGUUACCCUUGAUGGAAACUACACGAUGUGUGCCUUGCUGCCCCUACUGUCACUGGGAAAGGUCACCACACGGUAAGAACCCAAAACCAAGCACUUCUCCCAUUGCAAGAAUCAUAGAUCUAGUUGGCCAAACAAAAGCCAAGACUCGGAGAGACUUACAAGGAUAUCAAAUCAUGCAUAUAAGAAAUCAGCAAAGACUCAAAUAUAUAUCAUAGAUAAUCUGAUCACAAAUCCACAAUUCAUCGGAUCUGGACAAACACACCGCCAAAGAAGAUUACAUCGGAUAGAUCUUCAUGAAGAUCAUGGAGAACUUUGUAUUGAAGAUCCAAGAGAGAGAAGAAGCCAUCUAGCUACUAACUACGGACCCGUAGGUCUGAAGUGAACUACUCACGAGUCAUUGGAGGGGCGAUGAUGAUGAUGAAGAAGCCGUUCAACUCCAAAGUCCCCUCCGGCAGGGCACCGGGAAGGGUCUCCAGAUGAGAUAUCGCGGAAACGGAAGCUUGCGGUGGCGGAAAAGUAUUUUCGUGGAUCCCUUGAUUUUUUGCUGUAUUUUAGGGAAUAUAUAGGCGAAAGAUCUAGGUGAGGGGGGCGCCAGGGAGGCCACAAGCCUGCCCACCGCCGCCCCCUGGUGGCGGAGUGGGGGCUUGUGGGCUCCCUGUAGCCCUCCUGGCUUGGCCCACAAGCCCCCUGAUCUUCUUCCGUUUGGGAAAAAAUCAUUUCGGGGAUUUUAUUCUGUUUGGACUCCGUUCCAAAAUCAGAUCUGAAAAGAGCCAAAAACACAGAAAAAACAGGAACUGGCACUUGGCACUGAAUUAAUAAGUUAGUCCCAAAAAAGAUAUAAAAGGUACAUAAAACAUCCAAAGAUGACAAGAUAACAGCAUGAAACCAUAAAAAAUUAUAGAUACGGUUGAGACGUAUCAGCCGGUACCAGAAGGUGAAGAACCAAAGUCUGAUGCUGAGAUUGUUGAAGAAGUGCUCAAGACCGAAGUCAAGCAAAGCACAUUCCUCAGGAAUGUUGGGCUCAAGUCAUCUAGUAACAACUUUGGCAAAGGAACUGCUGUUGUGGCUGCUCAUGUUCGUGAUCUUGAGCAGAAACUGGAGAGGUCGGAGCUUCAAGCUGAAGUGGUGCAAGAAGAAAUGGCAGCAAUCAAACUAAAGGCGGAAGAAUUUGAAGCUGCACGCGACAAGGAACUUGAGCUGCUGUGCAAGAAGUCUCAAGAACAGGAACAGAAGUUAGCCCACUUGAUGGCUCUCUUCUACGCUAAAGCAUCGUAGAAGUUGAACAUGUCGUAGAACUUGUCCUAGAAACAGUGAAGUGGGCUAACUUCUCAAGAACCUCAUGAAGUUAGCCCACUUGAUUGGUCAUUCUGGUGAUGAAACAGUGAAGUGCUCUAUUUGAACCUGUGAAGUAUUUUGAACCUGUGAACCUGAUGAAGUAUUUUGUGAAACAGUGUCUUGCUCUAUUUGAACCUGAUGAAGUAUUUUGUGAACCUGAUGAAGUUGUCAAUUAUUUGAGUUUUGUUUGGACCAUUUGGUUUGGUCACUAAAGUUAGUUUGGACUGCAAAAAGGCUGAGGCCCAAACAAGAAAUAGACUAAAAAGGCUUGCGCCUAAAAAAAGAGUAGGCCAAGGCCCAAAUCAGAAUUUGUCUAAAAAGCUUGGGCCUAAAAAAAGAGUAGGCCAAGGCCCAAACAAGAACUGGACUAAAAAGAGUAGGCCAUGGCCCAAAAGAAAAGUGGCCUAAUAAAAAACAUGCUUAGUAAAAGAUUCUAUCCUAGAAAAUAAAAGGCCAAAUUAUUGGGCCCGGCCCAUGUAGAAGAUCGGAAUGGACCGGGCUGAAUCUAAUUUACGACCUUUUCAUUUGGUCUUAAUUCUGCCACAUCAGCCUGCCACGGUGGAUCUGAAGUGGUGUAGGCGGAUUGCAAGUGACCAAAUCAGUUGGUCGUUAAACCUACGACCUUCUGUUUGGUCGUAAAAUCCUACGACCAAUCUAGGAAAAAUGUCAUUAUAGUUCAUUAGAGACCCUCAGCUUUUGACCGUCUGUUUUUGGUCGUAAAAAGGUCACAAAUGGAAAUCAAUGACCAUUCGGUGACCAAUAUUGAAGGUCGUUAGUUGACAUAUUUCUUGUAGUGCCUCUCCGUCACACGGAGUGACAAAUCCCAGUCUUGAUUCAUACUAACUCAACGGACACCUUCGGAGAUACAUGUAGAGCACCUUUAUAGUCACCCAGUUACGUUGCGACGUUUGAUACACAUAAGGCAUUCCUCCGGUGUCAGUGAGUUAUAUGAUCUCAUUGUCAUAGGAAUAAAUACUUGACACGCAGAAAACAAUAGCAAUAAAAUGACACGUUCACAUGCUACGUUUAUAGUCUGGGUCUAGUCCAUCACAUGAUUCUCCUAAUGAUGUGAUCGAGUUAUCAAGUGAUAACACUUGCAUAUAGUGAGAAAACCUUGACUAUCCUUGAUCAACUCGCUAGCCAACUAGAGGCUUGCUAGGGACAUUGUUUUGUCUAUGUAUCCACACAUGUAUCUAUGUUUUCUUUCAAUACAACUAUAGCAUGGAUAAUAAACGAUUAUCUUGAAACGGGAAAUAUAAUAAUAACUAUUUUAUCAUUGCCUCUAGGGCAUAUUUCCAACACUUACCUUUACGGAAGAGUCAUGGUGAUCUUCACCACUUCGUAUAUUUCGCCUUUAUCUCUUGGCAAGCAUCAUGUGGUGGGGAAAGAUCCAAGCAUAUAUGGCCAUUCAAAUAUAUUUGAUCAUGAAUUAUUAUUGUUGACAAUUAUCCGUAUGAUAAAUAAGUUGGGAGGCGAAACAUUAAGCCCCUAUCUUUCUCUGUGUUCGAUGGAUGCUAUCUGUUCUAAAAAUAUGCUUUGAGUGUUAGCAAUCAUGGAAGACUACAUGAUAGUUGAGUAUGUGGAAUUUGCUAAAUCAAAAGCUUUUACAUAUACCCUUCCUGAAAAUAAGACGAAUUGCAAUUGUUUGGUGACUGAAAGCAUGGUUUAUUAGUUUUCAAAAAAAAUUAUGGUCUUCACUUUAACAUGUGAAUAGAUUAUUACUUUAUCAUGAGAUGUUUUAUGAGAUGAGCUACAGUUUAUGGUUUAUAUUGAUGCUAGAAAAAAGUGUUUGGGAGUAUCAUUGAUCAAACUUGUGCACUAUGCUAGCAUUCACACUUCAUAAAUUAUAUCUUUUAUCAUUUACCUAUUCGAGGACGAGCAUGAAUUAAGCUUGGGAAUGCUCAUACGUCUCCAACGUAUCUAUAAUUUAUGAAGUAUUCGUGCCAUGUUUACAAUAAUUUUAUAUGAUUUUGGUAUGAUUUUAUUAGAACUAACCCGGACUGACGUUGUUUUCAGCAGAUCUACCAUGGUGUCGUUUUUGUGUGGAAAUAGAAGUUCUCGAAAUGGGCUGAAAAGUUACUGAGAAUAUUUUUGUAAAAUAUAAAAUAUACUGGAGCAAAGAGCUGGGCCAGGAAGUGGACCAGGAGGUCACAAGCCUGCCACUCAAGACCACCCCCUAGGACGCGCCUGUGUGGCUUGUGGACUCCUCGAGCACCUCCUUGACAUGAGACUGGCGCCAAAAAUUCCUAUAAAUACCAAAACCCCCAAAAAGAAACCUAGAUCGGGAGUUCCGCCGCCGCAAGCCUCUAGAGCCACAAAAACCAAUCGGGAGCCCGUUCCAGCACCCUGUCGGAGGGGGGAAACCAUCAUCGGAGGCCAUCUUCAUCAUCCGGUGGUCUCCAUGACCAGGAGGGAGUAGUUCACCCUCAUGGCUAAGGGUAAGUACUAGUAGCUAUGUGUUCAAUCUCUCUCUCUCUCUCUCUCUCUCUCUCUCUCUCUCUCGUGUUCUUGAGAUGGCACGAUCUUGAUGUAUCACGAGCUUUAUUAAUAUAGAUUAAUCAUAUGGAGUUUUCUCCUCUCUAUCUUCUUGUGAUGAAUUGAGUUUUCCCUUUGAAGUUUUCUUGUCGGAUUGAGUCUUUAAGGAUUUGAGAAAACUUGAUGUAUGUCUUGUGAUGGGAUAUCUGUGGUGAUAGUGGGAUGUUCUAUUGAUUCACUUGAUAUAUGUUUUGGUGAUCAACUUGUGAAUUCCGUGACCUUGGGAAUCUAUGCAUAGGGGUUGGCACAUGUUUUCGUCUUGACUUUCCGGUAGAAACUUUGGGGCACUCUUUGAAGUUCUUUGUGUUGGAUUGAACAUGAUGAAUCUUAAAUUAUGUGAUGCAUAUCGUAUAAUCAUGCCCAUGGGUACUUGUGGUGACAUUGGAGUAUCUACGUGACAUUAGGGUUUUGGUUGAUGUGUAUCUUAAGGUGUUAUUUUAGCACGAACUCUAGGGAUGUUCGUGACACUUAUAGGGAUAGCUCAUAAGGUUGAUUAGAAAAGAUAACUUUGAGGUGGUUUCGUACCCUACAAUGAUUUCUUCGUUUUUUCUCCGCUAUUUGUGACUUUGGAGUGAACUCUUUGUCGCACGUGGGGGAUUUAUAUGUUAGUAUUGUUGAGAGAACUUGCACUAGUGAAAGUAUGGACCAUAGGCCUUGUUUCCAAGCAUUUAUACAACGUUUUGCUUUGAUGUUUACUAUUUGUUACCUUGCUGUUUUAUAUUUUCAGAUUACGAAAACUUAUAUCUACCAUCCUUAUUACACUUGUAUCACCAUCUCUUCGCCGAACUAGUGCACCUAUACAAUUUACCAUUGUAUUGGGUGUGUUGGGGACACAAGAGACUCUUUGUUAUUUGAUCGCAGGGUUGCUUGAGAGAGACCAUCUUCAUCCUACGCCUCCCACGGAUUGAUAAACCUUAGGUCAUCCACUUGAGGGAAAUUUACUACUGUCCUACAAAACUAUGCGCUUGGAGGCCCAACACGAGCCUACAAGAAGAAGGUUGUGUAGUAGACAUCAGCCAGCCAUGAGUCCUAAAGAUCACACAAUGAGUUCUCACUGAAUGCACCAAUGUCGGUGUCAAAACCGGCAGAUCUCGGGUAGGGAGGGUCGAGUUGUGAGAUCGGAUCGACGGUAACACGAGGCAACGAACACGAGCUUUUUACCCAGGUUGGGGCCCUAACGAUGGAGGUAAAACCCUACGUCAUGCUCUUGUUGUAUUGAUGAUGUAGCGAUUAUAGAGUUGAUCUACCUCAAGAUUGUGAGUUUGUGGGCUAAACCCUAGGAGUUAUGAUGUUGUGUAUAUGAUUGUCCUCUACGGGCAAACCCCCACAGUUUAUAUAGGUACUUGGGGUACUAGGGUUACAUGACUGUCGAUUAUCGUCUAUGGGUUACAUGUCAAACGGGUCAUCCUUUCCCUGGAGUGCACGAUAACUCUUUGGUAGAAUCCGUGAUAUUCUCACAAUCCUUUAUUGGGCCUCCGAAGUCCUUCCUCCAAGGUGGGCCUCUUGCUCAGCACAUGGACUAGUCCACCUCGGAUGGGACCACUUGGUCGAGGACUCCCGCUCCCAGCUACCAAGAAUGGCUUUUUUGUAUAGGAAGAAUGGGUCCUCCAAAAUGAAUGUGGAUGUUGGUAUUUCCAGGCCAGGCUUAUAUGUUACUGAUGUUGCAGUCUGUAGGGAUGAUCAAGGAUUAUAUUGGACACUUUAGCUCUUGUCUUAUCGGAGAUUAGUGAUCCUGUAGGCUUGGAAUCUAUUGCUUCUCCCGAAGGCAUUGCAUUGGCUAUAGACUUGAAUCUCCACAGGGCGCAUAUUGUGAUGGAUUGUCUAAACGCGGUCAAUCACAUCGCCACUUUACAAGAUGGUAAAUAUGAUGUGGUUUUCAGUGAUAUUAGUGCUUCUAGGUCUUCUUUCACCUUAUGUAAUUUCUUCCAUGAGAGAAGAGGCUCAAAUUAUGAAGCCCGUAGUCUAGCUAGGUUGGGAGACACACAUGGCUUGGUCUGCCCCAUGACACUCUUUGUAUUCCAAUAAUUAUUAAUGAAUAAACCUAGUGGAUUGUGCUAAAAAAGGAAAAUUGUUCAAGCAGCUCAAAAUAGUGUCAGUAUACUUUUUAUACAAAUUUCAUGACACUUACCAACAAUUUUCACUAAUUUAUAAAAAUAUCCGUGAUAUUUAAAAAAUGGUUGUACCAUCCAGCAAAAACUCGUUUCAAAAAAUUUCAUGAAAUAUAAAAAUGUGCUCACUCAAUUUUUAAAACAUGUUCGUGACUUAUAGAAGUGCUUAUAACCAUUUAAAAAUGAUUUUAGCAUUUGUAAAAAUGUUCAUGAAAAUGUAAAAUAUAGUUCGUGUAAAUUUUGGAGAAUUUUCACGGCAUACAACAACAUGUUCAUGAAAAAUGUGAAAAUUUGUUCAGACACUUUUUUUAAAUGUUUAUGCCAUAUAAAGAUGCUCACUCUUUUAUUUUACAAAUAACAUGAAAAACAAAAAUGGAAAAAUAAGGAAGAAAUUCAACUGAACAAAGAAAUAUAAAAUAUAAUAAUCGCUAGAGAAUAAAGAAAGAAAAGAAAAGAAAAAGAUGCAAGCUUCCAGAAACCGCAUAAAAGGUUCGCAAAACCUGUCACUACCGUACAUAGAAGCUUCUCAAAAUGGCACAUGGAAGGUUCUCAAAACCGAAGUUGGGUUGGCGCACUUGAAUCAGCAACGUAGGCGAAUGCUCAUUUCAUCUCAGAGUAAGCCAGAUUCAACAUUUGCGUGCUAUCCCUUGUAUCAACCUCUUAUUUGAUUUUCUGCUCCAACACAUGCCACUCCUAUCUCUUCCCACAUCAUCAGAUUUGUGAAAGAUUCAUUGUUAAAUUUUUUUCAACAAAAUUGUAUUAUCUCAUCGUACAAACUUUCCCGAUCCCAGGUAGAGGUCAAUUGCGUUCUAGAACAAAGUAAUGGUGCUCACUCAUGAGUGAAUCUACCAUCGAUGCGACACCUUAUGUUAGACAUUUGUAUACGAUGACUUUGUAUUAAAAAUGGCAUCUUAGAUACCUUAGUUUGUGCUUUGCUGGGCAUUCUAGAGGUUUUUGGAUCCACCACAGGUGCUUAGACAAGGUGCUAAGUGCAUCGAAGGACUUAUGAACUAAAUUCCCCUAUGCAUGUAUAUAUGCUUAGCUUUUUCUAGCUAAGAUUUCUCCAUUUUAUUGUUUAGCAACAAAAAUUCCGCAUGCAUACGUGUUUUGCAUAGAUUCACUCGUUUGACAUUGUUGUUUCUUCCUUGGGUCUUCAUGCUUUCUCUUCUUCUUAAUUGCUUUGCUACGUCAACUUUUUGCCGAUGUGGCAUUCUUAGCACCGUGGAGGGUUGAAAAGGCCCUAAAGCACAUAAGGACAAGAACUAGCUAACUGCCAAAAGUUUCGGUUUUGAGGGAUUCAUUACCAACACUUAAGUAAUAUACCAUGUGAACUGCGGUCGCAGAUGGUUUAAUACAAACAUGUUCACGUGCACGUAUCUCACAACCAUCAUCUUUAUCAUACACACAUGAUUAUAACCAAAUUUCUCUUGGGAUGGAUGACAGUCAUAAGGUCGCCUUUUUGCCAUUGCCGCCUGUGAUUAAAGACACUUUGUUGUCAUUGCCAAAGUCGGCUCCUUGGCAAGGCAAGAAGGACAAGGUCCAAUAUUUGUCCAUAAGCUAUUUUAAAAAGUAUCAUGUUUAAGGAGUGAUUUUUUUUUUAGAAAAGGAGGAUGACCCCCGGUCUCUGCAUCUGGGAGAUGCAUGCGACCAUUUUAUUGAUUAUUUCCGAGGACCUUACAAAGUAGUACAACAAUAUGUCUGAAUCCGCCAUCUUGGCAACAUUUGCCGCUACUCCUAUCCAUAUGAUGAAGGGGUGCAAGCUGAGCCAAAUACCCAGACCUCUCACCUAAGCCUAACAUCUAAAGCCGGAGGCCCCGACCGAGCCACAUACCGGGUCAGGGGCACAAACCGGUCUGACACACUCACAUGUGUCGCCGUCACCAUCUUCCACUGGUUCAUCUUCAGAGCAGAUUGAGGUACCAGCCUUGGCAGGUGCCUCCGCCAUCGACGCCACCAUGACGCCAAACGACGACCUCCACCAACGCGAGUCCAUCUCCAAGCAGCGGACAUAGAUCCAUGCUAGGAUAGGGUCGCACCACCGCCGUCGCCCACCACCCACAAGCACCAGCCAGCCCAAGGUUCCCAAAGCGGCGCCUUCAAGAAGGGAACGACGCCGUGAGCGCCGCCGCUGCCCAACAAAGUUAGGGCUUUCGCCCGGGAGACCUAGGGGAAGGGGAAGUGAGGGGAUCAGUCCAUACCGACGCCUCCAAGGAGGGGAACGGCGCCCUCAGGCGUCGCCGUCGACGCAGUCGGCCAUGGCCGGCCAGGGAUUUCGCCCGAACUAGAUCCCCAUCAUCAGCAGUGCCUCCUGUACAGAACCGGCGACCCAAGGAAGCACGGUCCGACCAUGCUAGCCCGCACGCCGAACAUGGGAGGAGGGGAUGCGCCAGAUCGCGCGCACCGACCACCGCAGAAGCUGCCGCCGGCCGGCAACGACCACUGGAUCCCGCCGCCCGCGCGGCUCGAACGCGAGAUCCACCGUCCGCACGACUGCUAGCUUGUCGUGCCUCAUCCAUGGAGCCGCCGCUCCAGAUCCGGAGUUCCCCACACAGAGGCAGGGCAGCCAAGGCCCCGCCGCCACGAUCCUUGGCGCCCCGGGCUUGCCCGACGGCUGCCUCACGCGGCGGCGAGGAAGGGAGGGGGAGGGAGUUGGGCGGCUAGGGUUGGGAGGGGGAGGGAGUUGGGCGGCUAGGGUUGGGAGGGGAAGGGGAUGUUUAAGGAGUGAUAUGCAACUAGAAACUGAUUUUGUCAUUGUCACGUGUGGAUAAUGAUUGUGAGUGGAGUUUAGAAGUGGAGUGAAGUAGAGUUUAGAGGUGGAGUGUACCCCUUCAAACACACUCGUAGUUAACAGCUAGGAGCUUUUGUUUUCGUCCGGCUGGCAUGAACACGUAACAUUUACAACAACCAUCACUUGGACAUACCAUGUGCCACAACCACCAUCUCCUAUAACUAAGAGCCAUCCAAGCCCAGUCUCAAUACUCCCAUCAACCAAAGCCUGUGUUCUGCAAGAUAGCCUGCCAGCCAUGGGAAGCAAGGGCCUCAAGGGUGUGAUGGUGUGUUUACUCAUACUGGGGUUGGUUCUGGAACAUGUGCAAGUAGAAGGCAAGAGUUGCUGCAGGAGCACCCUAGGAAGAAAUUGCUACAACCUUUGCCGCGUCCGUGGUGCUCAGAAGUUAUGCGCAAACGCCUGUAGGUGUAAACUCACAAGUGGCCUAAAAUGCCCUUCAGGCUUCCCGAAAUUGGCCCUUGUGUCAAACUCAGGUAAAGGGAAUGAACUCCUUCUAUUCCAUAUUACUAGUUCUUUCUAAAAUAAGAUGUCAUCAUAUAAAGCGUAUGGCCAGUUCGAGUUUUCUAAGUUUUCCGAAUAAUAUAAUGAACUUUUUUUAAAAAAAAUCCGAUGAUAUUUGUAUGAUCAGUUUUUCAUGAAUAAUGUUUCCAUAAAUAUAAGUUUUCUUAACUUUUUACCAACAAGUAAAUUUUUUUGAAAGGCGGUCUCUUAGGGUCCGGUUCAUCAAAAAAGUUAGAGAAAAGUUGCCUGGUUACCAACAAGUAAUUGUGAAAUGACUAAUAAAAAGCGAAUGAUGGAGACGAUGCCAAUAUCGAAGAUGAUAAUCGUAUUGUAACAGAGGAAUUGUUUGUCUUAGAUGCGAUUAUAUUUACAUGCUAGAUAUUUUAUUUUGACAGAUGAACCAGACACCAUCGACUAUUGCAACUUGGGGUGUAGGGCUUCCAUGUGUGACUACAUGGUCAACGCAGGUAAAUAAAAUUGAUCUGGUAUCUGUAUUCCUGUAAACUAAUUGAAAAGGCUAGUUCUUGACACAUAAUAUGCUAUAUAUUUGGGCACCAGCUGCUGACGACGAAGAGAUGAAACUCUAUGUGGAACAUUGUAGUGAUGCUUGUGUCAAUUUCUGUAACGGUGAUGUUGGCCUCACAUCCCUUACUGCCUAAUGAUGUGUAUCCAUGGUCUGAGAUUUCAAAGGGCAAGGUUGUAUCUCACCUUUGCGUUCAAUAAAAUUGGAUCCCAUCGAGAGUAUCCAAACCAGUGUGUCAACCUGUUUUAUGUGUGUGUAUUUCCAUUCCUUGUUCGAAUAAAAACCAUCAUGUUGGAUGCCAUUUUGCUUCCCUGAUGUACUACCAUGACUGAGAUAUAAUGGUAUAUGCAGGCCCUGGGUAUAUGUUGUAUCAUUUGCGUGCGUGUGGAUAUAAACUCUAUGAGUAAAUGCUUCAAGUAAUAUUCUUUAGUCCUUUUUAUUUAUUUUAGUCUGUGACACAAGCCCUGAAAUGGAUCAUGUUUUCUUUUGCAUUUUUGCUGAGCAAUUCUCUGAUCUUUCUUUUUAUGACACACAAGGCAAAAUAUUUGCCCGUUUUAUUAACUAAGAAGAAGAUUUUCCCGUUAAUUAUGAAAAACUUGGGUAAAACCGAUACAAAGGUGAAGCCCACUCCCAAACAUUGAAACACACUGGGACAUGCCCACAUUCGUCGACGGCGGGCUGAACACCAUACCAAACGUCAACCAUACAAACACACAACAACAUGAAGCUCUACUAGCCAAGUGAGCCAGCCAUCCACCACCGUUAAAAAGAAGUCAAGACAACUAUGGGAGGACCAGACUGAGACUCUCCCGCGGAGGUGAAGAGGCAAGCACCCACAAAGACAUGCAUUGGAUACCGUAGAUGAAAUGUUGACGACUAACUUUGGGGGCAACCUCAUUGCCCACACGACUUUGAGAUCAAUGCACUCGAAGCUGCCAAGCUCUCGGGAUCGCCACCCACUCAACCGACACAACCUUUCAGGCCCACCACCCAGACACAUCACCACUCUCCUCGAAUUGCAACACCGUACGACCUAGCUGCUUGUAGUCAACCAUCCAUAGACCACAACCGUCGCACCACAUCCAUGGCCGCUGCCCCGACAUACCGUCCAUCCGCACGCACGAGGAUGCGUGAACCGAGUCCACAACCCUACUGCCCAUGCAAGUGUUGUGAGAAGAUAAUAGGUCACUAUGAUCAAGGGAUAUAUGGGUGCGGAUAUAUGGGAAAAAUGAUGAUCCCCAAAUAUGUGGGUGGCCUGGGGUUUAGAGAUAUCGAUAUUUUCAACCUGGUGUAUUAGCAUGUUAAGCAUAGGAUAUUCUGGAGAACUCCAAGAGGCUGAUUGGUCAUAUAUUAAAAGUAGUGUACUUCCCUGUAAUUCUUUUUGGAUGUUAUAUAGUGGGACUCGACCAUCCUAGAUUUGGCGGGCAAUUGUGGAAGGUAGGGAUGUCUUGCAAACUAGCCAUUACGCAUAACUGAGAAUGGCCACACAAACAUAGAUAUGGAACCAACACCGGAUCCCGAGAGCAUAAUAUUAAGAUAAGUGGUUGACCUUUCUGAUUACCCAUCAAUUCUGGUCCCGAGAACACGAGCAUGACGAAGAGCAUUAUCUCCUCCAUGAGAGCCUGAACCUGGGUAAAAACCCUUGCCUCUGUUAUCAUCGUGCCAAUCGCCUAGCUAGGAUACCCCAUAGAGGGAUCUACUGGAGUUGUCGCAUGGUGUGUGCCGCAGGGGCUUGCAUCCUGCUCGCAGUUGCGGCCUACUCUGGACCUGCCGGCACACCAUUGCUCAGAUUGGGCGGUCGGCGGCGCUGCUCCAGGUGUUGUUCUGGUGACGUGGUAGGCCGUGUGGGAGGCAUCAAUGUUGCACGACGGUGGUUUCUCACGCUCUGACUCGAAGGGCUCAAAUCAAGGCAACACCCGAUUUGACGCUCCGUCUUUGGAGGUGACCUCUUCGGGUUGAUGAUGGCGUGACUACACUUUUCGCUCUGCAGGAUGACUCUAAUGCAGUGAUGCGUGUGUUAGUGCAUCGCGUGGCAACACGGUGGUGUUGUUGGUGGGCGUCAUCGGUGUGCUUUGGUUGCGGCUACUCAAGCAACAUGCUAGAGUGUUAGUUUGUGACGAGGCAGUGUUAGUUGGCGGCGAGAUUGUCCUCCGGUGAACGCACGGAUGAGUAUGGCUACGAGGUGGUUGCUGCAUUUUGGCUUCAAGGGUCCUCGUAGUAGUGGUGGUGUUGACACCUAUGCAGGCGGCCCUUCAUGGUGUAGUGGAGGCCCCGAUGUUUCUUUUUUUCCUUUUGGUUUGGUUCGCCGUUGUUGAUCUUAGUAAGGGCCUGCCCCUACCCUGGGUCAAAGGUGGCGAGGCAUAAGGCUGUUGUCAAAAUCCAUAUUCUUUGAUGGGGGUCGUUGCUGGUGAUGUUAGCGCCCGUAGGCGUCCUUCUCCUCUCGGAUAUAUUGUUGAAGAUUACCUUUUCACACUAAUUUGCGGCUGGUCGGCAUGGAGUGUGGCGUUGGAGGCCGAUGGCUAGGCUUGAUAUUUUCCAAUGUUUGGCGGGGCCGUCGUGCAUGUUAGGUGGUGUUGGCAUGUUUGUUUUGGUGUUAGUGUUGGUUCAUGUUGGUUUUUGGCCUUGUUUUACUUUUAAACCGAUGAAGCAUGUAUUUGCCUUUUUUCUCUCUUAAUGAAAUCGACAAAGCUCCUGCUUUGCUCAUAAAAAUGAAAGUCAUUUACAAUGGUGCGUUUAGUGGAUAAUGCAUGGGAUGGAAUAAACAAGACGCGGAACACAUUUACGGAGAUGCCUACUUAAAAACACCAAACCUGACCGGGAAGUGUGUAAAGAUCAAAUUAAUAGCUGAAGAGUACCAACAUAGGAAAAUUAAAACCAGUAGUGUCGAAGUCAAACUACUAAGUACAUCACCGCUGUUGAUCUUCAAAUUUUCUUCUGCAUGUGUCUACGGAGAGGUGGUACCAAUUAGCGGACACAUAUGCUGUAGACAGUAAUCCAAUGCUAUCGCAUAUGUCCGGUUUCAUUUUGGAAGAACUCUAACAAAAAUUGAACAAAUUUGAUAAACAUUUGAACACACCAGACAAUAUUCAUUCAUAUGUGGAUGAUUUUACAUAAAACCGGAGCAAAUUCAUUGCACUUAGACAUAUUUCAAAUAAACCGGACUCUAAACCUAUACUAAAAUAACCACCAACGCUCGUUCCCCAUCUUCGGCGGGCCAUGAACCCCGGAAAAUAAAGUCCCGCCUCCUCCUCAGCUAUUAAGGACAGUAAAACUAGACCUAAAAGGAGCUCUCUCGUGCACUCACGAUUUUGGCCGUCGGAUUACCAAUUUAUAUCAUUUCUGGCUGUCAGAUCAUUGUUUAAGGCCGGUUUACCACGAUUGGGCAGACUGUCCUGAUGGUCAGCUACUCUGGAGACUUUUUUGAAGGCAUUUUUUUCAUUGGGCCCAAUGGCCCAUUAUCUAACUUGCAAACUACAGAAAAAUCGAUGCUUCGUUGGCCCAUUUAUCAUCUGCAUCUGCGUCGGCUGAGAUAAGCCGAGGCGACGCCAGCGAAGGAACCGGCGAUCGAAGGGGUUCAGCGGAGGCCAGCCAUAAGCGCUCAAGGAGCCGAUGCGACCCACGCGAGCAACCGACGGUCCAGGGGAUCUAGCCACAGCAAGGCGCCCAAGGGGAUCCGGCGCUCUAGCGGCUGCCUCCAGGCUAGUUCGGUGAUCCUCCCCUUCUCUUUCAGGCCCUGAAAAUCUCUAGCCGCGCUGGCGGCAGCGGCAACGAGCCGACGGCGCCUCCGACGAGGUUGCAGCGAUGGAACCCGCAUCAAGGCAGGGCGAGCGUGCGGCAUGGGCCACUGGCCUUUGGAGCGAUGGCGGAUGACAUCUCAUCUCCUAGCCGGCGACGGUCGAUCAAGGCUGCAACAGCGCACACGGCCCCCUCCUCCACAUCUUGGUGACGCUGUCAUGGCCUCCUCAUUCAUUGAGAGGCGCUCAACCAACUCAAGUUCUGAACUCUAGUUAUUUUAAUGCUAAUGAUAUCCUCCUUUUCUUUUUGGCACAUGGAACUCUUGGUGGGAAAUCUGUUCUUCUCCAUGGUGCUCCAGCAAGUGCACAACGAGGUUGGGCCUCUGAGAUUGGUGUCCUCCAGAAUUCAGGUUUGAGGUAAAGGUUAUGCAGGAAACUGUACAAGAGAGGACAUAUCUAUGAGGAACAACAUACACCAGGUCCCCCCAUAUUUCUUUGUGUUUCAUGUACGAUUCCUUCUUCCACCAAAUAAUUUAUUUGUCCUCGCAUCCUUCCAAUCCAAUUUGUACAUACAGGUAAUGUUUUGGCGGUGGUCAGUUGAGUCGCCAAUGGAGAGAGCAUCUGAGAGGAGAUGAGUAGAUGUUCUAGAGGCUUUUGUACAUCGAGCAACUUCCUCUUCAUAUAUCUGAUCUAUUCUUCAAAAAGUCGAGCGACUCGAUUUAUACACUUGUCCGUUAGAGUCAAUAGGCCAGUUCACUGAUCCUCCCCCUUCUCUUUCAGGCCCUGAAAAUCUCUAGCCGCGCUGGCGGCAGCGACAACGAGCCGACGGCACCUCCGACGAGGUUGCAGCGAUGGAACCCGCAUCAAGGCAGGGCGAGCGUGCGGCAUGGGCCACUGGCCUUUGGAGCGAUGGCGGAUGACAUCUCAUCGUGCUCCUAGCCGGCGACGGUCGAUCAAGGCUGCAGCAGCGCACACGGCCCCCUCCUCCACAUCUUGGUGACGCUGUCAUGGCCUCCUCAUUCAUCAGAGGCGCUCAACCAACUCAAGUUCUAAACUCUAGUUAUUUUAAUGCUAAUGAUAUCCUCCUUUUCUUUUUGGCACAUGGAACUCUUGGUGGGAAAUCUGUUCUUCUCCAUGGUGCUCCAGCAAGUGCACAACGAGGUUGGGCCUCUGAGAUUGGUGUCCUCCAGAAUUCAGGUUGGAGGUAAAGGUUAUGCAGGAAACUGUACAAGAGAGGACAUAUCUAUGAGGAAUAACAUACACCAGGUCCCCCCAUAUUUCUUUGUGUUUCAUGUACGAUUCCUUCUUCCACCAAAUAAUUUAUUUGUCCUCGCAUCCUUCCAAUCCAAUUUGUACAUACAGGUAAUGUUUUGGCGGUGGUCAGUUGAGUCGCCAACGGAGAGAGCAUCUGAGAGGAGAUGAGUAGAUGUUCUAGAGGUUUUUGUACAUCGAGCAACUUCCUCUUCAUAUAUCUGAUCUAUUCUUCAAAAAGUCGAGCGACUCGAUUUACACACUUGUCCGUUAGAGUAAAUAGGCCAGUUCGCUGAUCCUCCCCCUUCUCUUUCAGGCCCUGAAAAUCUCUAGCCGUGCUGGCGGCAGCGGCAACGAGCCGACGGCGCCUCCGACGAGGUUGCAGCGAUGGAACCCGCAUCAAGGCAGGGCGAGCGUGCGGCAUGGGCCACUGGCGUUUGGAGCGAAGGCGGAUGACAUCUCAUCGUGCUCCUAGCCGGCGACGGUCGAUCAAGGCUGCAGCAGCGCACACGGCCCCCUCCUCCACAUCUUGGUGACGUUGUCAUGGCCUCCUCAUUCAUCAGAGGCGCUCAACCAACUCAAGUUCUAAACUCUAGUUCUUUUAAUGCUAAUGAUAUCCUCCUUUUCUUUUUGGCACAUGGAACUCUUGGUGGGAAAUCUGUUCUUCUCCAUGGUGCUCCAGCAAGUGCACAACGAGGUUGGGCCUCUGAGAUUGGUGUCCUCCAGAAUUCAGGUUGGAGGUAAAGGUUAUGCAGGAAACUGUACAAGAGAGGACAUAUCUAUGAGGAACAACAUACACCAGGUCCCCCCAUAUUUCUUUGUGUUUCAUGUACGAUUCCUUCUUCCACCAAAUAAUUUAUUUGUCCUCGCAUCCUUCCAAUCCAAUUUGUACAUACAGGUAAUGUUUUGGCGGUGGUCAGUUGAGUCGCCAACGGAGAGAGCAUCUGAGAGGAGAUGAGUAGAUGUUCUAGAGGUUUUUGUACAUCGAGCAACUUCCUCUUCAUAUAUCUGAUCUAUUCUUCAAAAAGUCGAGCGACUCGAUUUAUACACUUGUCCGUUAGAGUAAAUAGGCCAGUUCGCUGAUCCUCCCCCUUCUCUUUCAGGCCCUGAAAAUCUCUAGCCGUGCUGGCGGCAGCGGCAACGAGCCGACGGCGCCUCCGACGAGGUUGCAGCGAUGGAACCCGCAUCAAGGCAGGGCGAGCGUGCGGCAUGGGCCACUGGCGUUUGGAGCGAAGGCGGAUGACAUCUCAUCGUGCUCCUAGCCGGCGACGGUCGAUCAAGGCUGCAGCAGCGCACACGGCCCCCUCCUCCACAUCUUGGUGACGCUGUCAUGGCCUCCUCAUUCAUCAGAGGCGCUCAACCAACUCAAGUGCUGAACUCUAUUUAUUUUAAUGCUAAUGAUAUCCUCCUAUUCUUUUUGGCACAUGGAACUCUUGGUGGGAAAUCUGUUCUUCUCCAUGGUGCUCCAGCAAGUGCACAACGAGGUUGGGCCUCUGAGAUUGGUGUCCUCCAGAAUUCAGGUUGGAGGUAAAGGUUAUCCAGGAAACUGUACAAGAAAAGACAUAUCUAUGAGGAACAACAUACACCAGGUCCCCCAUAUUUCUUUGUGUUUCAUGUACGAUUCCUUCUUUCACCAAAUAAUUUAUUUGUCCUCGCAUCCUUCCAAUCCAAUUUGGACAUACAUGUAAUGUUUUGGCGGUGGUCAGUUGAGUCGCCAACGGAGAGAGCAUCUGAGAGGAGAUGAGUAGAUGUCCUAGAGGCUUUUGUACAUCGAGCAACUUCCUCUUCAUAUAUCUGAUCUAUUCUUCAAAAAGUCGAGCGACUCGAUUUAUACACUUGUCCGUUAGACUAAAUAGGCCAGUUCGCUGAUCCUCAACCUUCUCUUUCAGGCCCUGAAAAUCUCUCGCCGUGCUGGCGGCAGCGGCAACGAGCCGACGGCACCUCCGACGAGGUUGCAGCGAUGGAACCCGCAUCAAGGGAGGGCGAGCGUGCGGCAUGGGCCACUGGCGUUUGGAGCGAUGGCGGAUGACAUCUCAUCGUGCUCCUAGCCGGCGACGGUCGAUCAAGGCUGCAGCAGCGCACACGGCCCCCUCCUCCACAUCUUGGUGACGCUGUCAUGGCCUCCUCAUUCAUCAGAGGCGCUCAACCAACUCCAGUUCUAAACUCUAGUUAUUUUAAUGCUAAUGAUAUCCUCCUUUUCUUUUUGGCACAUGGAACUCUUGGUGGGAAAUCUGUUCUUCUCCAUGGUGCUCCAGCAAGUGCACAACGAGGUUGGGCCUCUGAGAUUGGUGUCCUCCAGAAUUCAGGUUGGAGGUAAAGGUUAUGCAGGAAACUGUACAAGAGAGGACAUAUCUAUGAGGAACAACAUACACCAGGUCCCCCCAUAUUUCUUUGUGUUUCAUGUACGAUUCCUUCUUCCACCAAAUAAUUUAUUUGUCCUCGCAUCCUUCCAAUCCAAUUUGUACAUACAGGUAAUGUUUUGGCGGUGGUCAGUUGAGUCGCCAACGGAGAGAGCAUCUGAGAGGAGAUGAGUAGAUGUUCUAGAGGCUUUUGUACAUCUGAUCUAUUCUUCAAAAAGUCGAGCGACUCGAUUUAUACACUUGUCCGUUAGAGUCAAUAGGCCAGUUCGCUGAUCCUCCCACUUCUCUUUCAGGCCUUGAAAAUCUCUAGCCGCACUGGCGGCAGCGGCAACGAGCCGACGGCGCCUCCGACGAGGUUGCAGCGAUGGAACCCGCAUCAAGGCAGGGCGGGCGGGCGGCAUGGGCCACUGGCGUUUGGAGCGAUGGCGGAUGACAUCUCAUCGUGCUCCUAGCCGGCGACGGUCGAUGAAGGCUGCAGCAGCGCACACGGCCCCCUCCUCCACAUCUUGGUGACGCUGUCAUGGCCUCCUCAUUCAUCAGAGGCGCUCAACCAACUCAAGUUCUGAACUCUAGUUAUUUUAAUGCUAAUGAUAUCCUCCUUUUCUUUUUGGCACAUGAAACUCUUGGUGGGAAAUCUGUUCUUCUCCAUGGUGCUCCAGCAAGUGCACAACGAGGUUGGGCCUCUGAGAUUGGUGUCCUCCAGAAUUCAAGUUGGAGGUAAAGGUUAUGCAGAAAACUGUACAAGAGAGGACAUAUCUACGAGGAACAACAUACACCAGGUCCCCCAUAUUUCUUUGUGUUUCAUGUACGAUUCCUUCUUCCACCAAAUAAUUUAUUUGUCCUCGCAUCCUUCCAAUCCAAUUUGUACAUACAGGUAAUGUUUUGGCGGUGGUCAGUUGAGUCGCCAACGGAGAGAGCAUCUGAGAGGAGAUGAGUAGAUGUUCUAGAGGCUUUUGUACAUCGAGCAACUUCCUCUUCAUAUAUCUCAUCUAUUCUUCAAAAAGUCGAACGACUCGAUUUAUACUCUUGUCCGUUAGAGUCAAUAGCCACAGCCUCUUGCGUAUUCAGGUCCCCCACUCCGCCAAUAUGUGUAUUUCAAAAUAUUCAAGCCCUUGGUUCUCUUUCAUGUGACCGCCUCUUUGUGAUUUCCGACUCAACAAUUCAUGGCAUUUACAUGAAUUAGUAGUAGUGAUAAGUAGUAUGGAUGCCAUAGGAUUAUUUUCCUUCUCACAUUCAAGUACUGUAUUAGUUAUUGCGAGCUUCUUCUCUAUAGUUUGGUAAACCUACUAACAUCAGUUAAUUGUUUUUCUUUUUCUUGUGCUCAACUUGCAGGUAACAAUUACUUGAAAAGUCUAAUAUGCAUCCUUUCACUCAAAAACCUUGAAAAUAAAAUGACAAGAAUUUGGUAUACAUUUCUGGAAUUAAAUUUCUUUCUUAUAUUGCAAUUUAUAUUAUCAAUGAUUUUUGAUGAAUUAAAUUUCCUUUGCUUGAAAGCAAAGCCACCUUUUUCUAACACGGUAAAGCUAUGCUUACAAGUAUUCACUAAUUAGCUUGUGAAGAUAUCAGACACAAGGUCACUCACUAUUAAAAAUAAGGAAUGGAUCUGUACAAUAAUGAGUUGGUACUUUCUUUUAAUUUGAGUUUCAUAAUUUGGACAGUGUUUUUUCUCAAUUGAACUAUGAUUAUUAUUGUUGUUCCAUGCAUUUGUUAUGAACUAAUGUCCCAUCUUAUGUUACUUGACAAUAUUGCAAAGCAUAUGUUUUGGUGGAGCUAUUUGAAUGACUAUGAUUUUACCUUCUUUACUAUUUUCUGUUGAUACUACCAUUUGGAUAGAAAAUUCAUAUGUGAUUAGUAAGUUUGCAUUUAGAUUUUUCAUUUAUAUUUCAUGUGUUUCCUCAAAGAUUUAUUUCACAAGGUAAUAUCAUUUGCAAGAGACCUACUCAUCGCCUCCAGACAUUUGUCUCUCUGUAAGUAAUAAAGUGGUUUGGAAAUUUUGAUUUGUGGUAUGGUUAGGAUGUCAUCAUCAUUUUUUGUAUGAUAGUAUUAUCCGAUAAUGGGAAAAUGACACUUUUUUCAUUACCACAUAUGUUGUCUUACCAUUAACUGUACUAAAUCUGAAAUAAUGUUAAUUGGGGCUUCAAGUACUCCACUACCUACUAGCUUUUGGAGAGGAAAUCAUAACUGACCAAAUUUGCAUAUUUUCUGAAAAAUUCCAUGGUAACGAGGGAUAAUGUUCAUAGCUACAGCCCAUAGCUAGAAAAAAAGUACCUUCAUAUUUUAUUUGGUGUCGUGACUGUUGCAAAUAUUGUCAUCCAGUCAAUGUUCUAGGCUACUUGCAUACAAGGUCUUGCUUCUUAGAGUGGUUUUGUAUUAGGAAAUGACCUAUUAUCACAUAUAAUAUUUUGACAUGCCCUCACUAAACUAACUCGUUACCUUCUCAUACCGCAUUUUUUUUGAAAAGAUGCAAAGUGUUGUUUCUCACGUGUGAUUCACAACUACUUUGAGAUUUCUAAUUCAACUCAUGCCUGCCUCAGCAUAAAUUUGUAUGCCAGUGCACUUUUCAAUUUAUUCCCAAUUUAAACAGAAUGGGCAAAGUAGCUCCCUUAUGUAUAGCGUAUUACGUUAUUAUGGACCGACUAUUAACAUUAUUGUAUUUUUCACUGAAUGUAGUAUCGAGUGUACAUAUUGUACUACCAUUAUUUAUAUAUACAUAAUUAUACUAUAUAGAUUUUUUCAAAUAUUUAUAUUAUUCUUUUAUCAGAAUGGACGAGUGUGCGAAUAGAUUCUAUGACUGAACUUACAUUUAUAGAUAUAUGGGUCACUAUGUUAUUCUCCUACAUUGUUUAUCCUAAAAGUACUACUCUCAUUGUUUUGUGGAAUCAUAUAUACUAUUGCAAUUCCUAUCAUUCUAUUGGUAAAAUCGACGGACGCAGCAACGCGCACCAUGAAUGAUCUAGUGGGUACAGAGAACUGAAGCUAUAUCCGCCUCCUCCACAACCAUGAGCCCCGGGAAUUGAAGCUAUCCACCUCCACGUCACCGCCAAGCGUCUAAUCGAUCGACGAUAUUAAGCCCACCAAGCUUCUCUUCAAUGGAAGGGAAAGAUUGGUGGCCUUCAUGGGAUAUAAGCAUCCACGACCUGUUAUGCACUACUCUUCCUCAUUCCCGGCAGCGCUCGCGAACGUGUCGGCUUCGUGGUCGUGGCGGCGGGGCGCUGCCAGGAUAGAGUUGACGAUGUCCUUGUCGCCGUCGAACACCUCAUCCACUGCCUCGUCCAUCUUCUCGUAGUCUGACUGUAAAUCCGCUUGAUACUGUAUGUACCGCCGACGGCCGCAACGGAUUUCACAAGAGGUGAUAUAGGAGUCUAUCAGCGCCUCUGAGGGAGUCCAGGACUAGGGGUUCUUGGGCCACCAGUCUAUCUCCGGAUAGGUGGGCCGCUCUGUGACUAUUACGGAAGGCCCGAGCUAUAAGACAACACCUUCUUCAGGAUGGAAACAUGUGAAGUCUUGGUGUGUGCUUGAAGUCAAGAUGGUAGAAUCGGCAUGUUUAUUCCCUCAUGGUAACCGAUGAUAUGUAACCCUAGGUACCACUAGUGUCUAUAUAAAUCGAAGGGUUUUAGUUCGUAGGAGACAAAAUCAUUCUCCGACCCAUCUAGGGUUUAGUUCAUCUGAUCUCGUGGUAGAUCGACUCUGCAAUCGUCAUAAACACAUCAAUAUAAUCAAGCGGGAUGUAGGGUUUUACCUCUUUAAGAGGGUCCGAACCUAGGUAAAUAUUGUCCCUGUUUUUUUCUUUUUUUUCCCCAUUAAUGCAAGAUCCACAACUCGGGACCUGUUGGGGAUAUUCCCCAUGGUUUGGCCCGGCCAGGAGGUAAGACCCGGCCCAUCAUUUGGCAGCUCAUGGGUCACCUAGAUUACCGGGUCGAACGAGAUGACAAGGCCUAAGGCCCAGUGUGCAACCCGAUGAAUGACAGCUCAUAGAGAGGUCUUGAGGGCCGCCUCGCACAGAAGGUCCAAGGAGAGGAAAAGUUCCUUGAGAAGAGAAGCAAGACCCGGACUAAAAUUUAGCUUGUUUUCCUUUUAAACCGAUGAAGCAUGUAUUUGCCUUUUUUUCUUUCUUAAUGAAAUCGACAGAGCUCAUGCUUUGCUCGUAAAAAUGAAAGUCAUUUACAAUGGUGCUUUUAGUGGACGUGUAAACAUGGUAGAAUUGUUCUCCGUAAAAGUUAAUAUUAUCGGUUUUAAAAGUUUAGAAUGCAACUUUUCUGCUUUUGAAGUUGAAGGACUAAAUCUAGACUUUGUCAAGAGUUAAGAUACGAAAACUAUAUUUUUUUCUAAUCUCUAAAAUAUAUGAGCAGCAUAGGGAAAAAAAGAGCUCCAAUUUAGAUGUCAUAUAAAGCCAUGUGUGUGCACACGAAAAACCUCCCGCGGCAAGCGUGAUCAACAAUCUACAAAUCUCACACACGAAAACCAACGUGGCAUUGGGAACACGUUGUUUGAUAUAUGUGUAUAACAAAGAGAUGUUUUUCCGGCAUGUACAUAUUGUUCCCAACAACAAAAAAAGUGUUUUGACGGCAUAUAAUAUGGCAUUCCCCUUCUAUCCCACACACACAUGUCAUUUUGCAAACCAAGCCGUGGUUGGAUGGUUAGUAGGAAUGUGGUAUCUCCUGCUCAUCAGAUCAAAUUUCAGAUUUAAUAUUGGUGCUUACAUUUUUCUGGAUUUAUUUCAGGUCUUUUGACGAUUUCCUUAAGUGGGAGCAGACGUUCCCAUCGACUACAAAGGUGUCUGUGGCGACUUCAUUAAUCUCAAGAUGAUGUGUCGGCUCUCCUGAAUAUCCUCAUAGUGAUAGAAUGUGCGUGUGUGCGUUCAUAGGGAUGAGUGUAUCUUCGUGUUUAUGAGGAACUUCGAUUGUACUCUGCUAAAAAAACACAUGUCAUUUUGACAAAAAAAUGUAUAUUAUCCAAGCUCCCCCCAUUAGUUGUAUUCUCGGACAAAAUAGGACCUGCUAGAGCGGAGUCGGAUUUUUAAAGUUUUGAAAAGAAAAAUCCAAACAAAACGUGCUUGUGCUAGAGUGGACUACUUUAUUUUUUAUGUGUAGCUCACGUCAAAAACGUAUUUCAUCAUACAUAUUCUUUAGAAAAUGUAGAGAAAAAACGCACCGGCUUGCGCUUUUUCUUUUUGAGAAGGAGGAAGCGAGCCCCCGGCCUCUGCAUCAAUCGAUGCAUGCAGUCAUAUUAUUAAAAAUAGUUCAAAGUAACAUCUUAGGUCCACAAAGCUCUGAAGCUCGAAAUGAAAAGCAAAGCAAAAAUGAUAUGAAGGAAAAACUGCCACAUCCGGCAUAACUAAUAGCAGACUACGAUGCCUAUACACCUAGUCUAUUAUUAGCACGCCAUCCAAACCGGUUGAAGAUAACCCGUGCGACCAUCUCCCAUCAGUUGCACCCAAUAUCCAUAAGCUCCCUGGAGUCCGCAUGGCUGAGUAACGACCACGUACGGAUCCAAGAUGUUGCUCUGAAGAUAACCUGUAAAAAGUUGUUGAAGUUCUUGCCAUUAAAAAUCAUGUCAUUCCUGGUAUUCCAUAUAGCCCAAAAUAGAGCACAUAUCCCAAUUCUAAUAAGUUUCGAUAUUUUAACGUCGACUCCAUUAAGCCACGUUGUAAAUAUGGAGGUAAUACAUGUAGGUGGGAUAACAUUAAAGGCUAUAUCAACAGUGCGUCAUAGUAGUUUUGCAAGAGGACAGUCCAGAAAAAUGUGUCUUAUUGUUUCAUUUUGCUCACAAUAGCAACAAUUAGAUCUACCUCUCCAACUACGUUAAAUUAAGUUAUCUUUGGUUAAUACCACACCUUUGUGUAUAAACCACAUGAAAUUUUUAAUCCUUAGCGGCACUUUGAUAUUCCAAAUAUGUAAAGAUCUGGAUAAGGGUCCCGUGUUUAUUAAAUCCGUAUACAUGGACUUUACUGAGAAUACUCCAUUCACAGCUAAAAUCCAGCGAACACUAUCUGGCUCAUCAGAUAAUUGCACUUGCAUUAGUCUUCUGACCAAAUGCAACCAUGCCUCCCAGCAUGCUCCCACUAAAGCUCGUCUGAACUGCAUAUUAAGAGGUACCGAUUGUAGUACCGUGGACGCAUAGUCCUCUUUACGUUGUGCAAUAUUAUAAAGCAUGGGAUAUUGAAAUGCUAGAGGUGUGCCCCCAAGCCAAGUAUCCUUCCAAAAUCUUGUUGAGGCACCAUCACCUACUAUAAAUUUCACCCUCUGGAAAAAAGUCACCUUUAUCUUCAUUAACCCUUUCCAGAAAGGUGAGUCAUUUGGUCUACUUGUAACCUGGGCUAAAGUUUUUGAAUUUAGGUAUUUAUUCUUCAGUAUUUGAAUCCACAUUCCUUCGGUCUCCGUGGAUAGCCUAGAUUUUCAAUGCCCAAACCCCCCUGGUCUUUCGGUCUACAUAUAAUAUCCCAACGUGCCAAUCUGUAUUUCUUCUUAGCCUCAUCACUUUGCCAGAAGAAACGAGAUCUAUAAAAAUCUAGUAUUUUCCGUACCCCUACUGAUAUUUCAAAAAAAAGACAAGAGGAACACGGGUAGGCUUGUUAACACGGAGUUUAUUAAUACAAGCCUCCCUCCAUAUGACAUAAGCUUNNNNNNNNNNNNNNNNNNNNNNNNNNNNNNNNNNNNNNNNNNNNNNNNNNNNNNNNNNNNNNNNNNNNNNNNNNNNNNNNNNNNNNNNNNNNNNNNNNNNNCAUAUCAAAAUACCGAACGAAUAUCAAAUUCACAUGACUAUUAUUAACAUGACUUAUCCCAUGUCCUCAGGAACAAAAGUAACUACUCAAAAAACAUAAUCAUAAUCAUGAUCAAAGGUGUAAUGAAUAGCAUCAAGGAUCUGAACAUAAACUCUUCCACCAAGUAAUCCAACUAGCAUCAACUACAAAGAGUAAUCAACACUACUAGCAACCUUACAAGUACCAAUCGGAGUCAUGAGACGAAGAUUGGUUACAAGAGAUGAACUAGGGAUUCGAGAGGAGAUGGUGCUGAUGAAGAUGUUGAUGAACAUGCCUCCCCUCCGACAAGAGGAGUGUUGGUGAUGACGAUGGCGACGAUUUCCCNNNNNNNNNNNNNNNNNNNNNNNNNNNNNNNNNNNNNNNNNNNNNNNNNNNNNNNNNNNNNNNNNNNNNNNNNNNNNNNNNNNNNNNNNNNNNNNNNNNNNNNNNNNNNNNNNNNNNNNNNNNNNNNNNNNNNNNNNNNNNNNNNNNNNNNNNNNNNNNNNNNNNNNNNNNNNNNNNNNNNNNNNNNNNNNNNNNNNNNNNNNNNNNNNNNNNNNNNNNNNNNNNNNNNNNNNNNNNNNNNNNNNNNNNNNNNNNNNNNNNNNNNNNNNNNNNNNNNNNNNNNNNNNNNNNNNNNNNNNNNNNNNNNNNNNNNNNNNNNNNNNNNNNNNNNNNNNNNNNNNNNNNNNNNNNNNNNNNNNNNNNNNNNNNNNNAGUUCCGCCUCGUGGCGGCGGCGAAACCACGAAAAAGAUCCCCUCUGAUAUUUUUCUGUACCAAGACGCUUCAUAUAGCAAAAGAGGGGGGCUAGUGGGCCGUCAGGGAGCCCACAAGCCCCCACUCCGCCACCAGGGGGUGGAGGUGUCACGGCUUGUGGCACCCUGGCAGCCCCCCUCCGGUAGUUCUUUCGCUCAGUAUUUUUUAUGUAAUCCCAAAAAAACCCACGUAACUUUUCAGGGCAUUUNNNNNNNNNNNNNNNNNNNNNNNNNNNNNNNNNNNNNNNNNNNNNNNNNNNNNNNNNNNNNNNNNNNNNNNNNNNNNNNNNNNNNNNNNNNNNNNNNNNNGUCCGACGGCCACCUUCAUGGAUAUGUUCUUGAAUUUCUAAUGGAGUUCACAUGAUGUUGACUCCUUGAUUCCAUCCACGGGGUAGCCGGGACCGCCCUCUAUCAUUCUUCGUUCAUCGUCGGGCGGGGCCUCAGAUUCAGCCACGCUGCUUUUCCGCUUAGAUGGGGCGCCGGUAAUAUCAAGUGCAGGAUCUUCCUGGCGCGGUACUCCUCUAAGCUCAUCAAUCUACUUCUGUUGCUCGUUAAUCCUGGCAAGCAACUGGUUGAACUUGUCAUUCUCCUCAUCCUGCUGCCGCUUCUUUGCUCUCUCUCGGCUUCUGUAAGUGUCUUGCCCUCUGGCAAACCCAAGCCACCACGGGUAAGAAGGACCGAAGCCUCGCGUUCGUCCUCCAUGUUCGUCAUUGCCGAGGACCAGUGUGAGCAAAUCUUUAUCUCUAUCUGCAGUGAACUUUCUUUGUCCCUCCUUAAUUUCUUUCACUAUCCUUUUCCAAUUGUCCCUGGGUAUCCUAAGAUUGUCAUUGCAGAUGAGGUCCCCUGUUGUUUCGUCGUACGACCCACCAUGCGCAAGGAACCAAUUUCUUGCUCUCAAGUCCCACUCAUCACGGAGUGGUUCAGGUACGAUGCCUUUAUCUAUCAUAUUGUGUAGAAACACAGGACCGAGAAUUCUAAUCUCUUCGACUAGGUGAACUAGGAGGUGUGUCAUUAUAUUGAAGAAGGAUGGAGGGAACAACAACUCAAAGCUGACCAGACAUUGGACCACAUCAAUUUGUAACCCUGAUAGACUUUCUCGAUCGAUUACCUUCUGAGAAAUUGCAUUGAGGAAUGCACAUACCUUCACAAUUGCCAGGCGAACAUUUUUCGGUAGAAUUCCCCUCAAUGCAACCGGAAGCAAUUGCGUCAUAAGCACGUGGCAGUCAUGAGACUUUAGGUUUUGGAAUUUUUUGUCUUUCAUAUUUACGAUUCCCUUUAUAUUCGACGAGAAGCCAGUCGGGACCUUGAUACUGAAAAGGACUUCAAAGAAGAUUUCCUUCUCUUCCUUAGUAAGAGUGUAGUUGGCACGCCCUUGAAACUGCCCUGGAUGCAUGCCAUCUCUUCCUUUAUGACGUUCCUGGUCCUCCCGUGCUUCCGGUGUAUCUUUUGACUUCCCAUACAAGCCCAGGAAGCCUAGAAUAUUCACGCAGAGAUUCUUCGUCAGGUGCAUCACGUCGAUUGCCGAGCGGACCUCAUGGACUUCCCAGUAGGGUAGCUCCCAAAAUAUAGAUUUUUUUCUUCCACAUGGGUACGCGCUUAUCAGGGCCGUUAGGAACAGGUUGGCUGCCGGGACCCUUUCCAAAGAUUACUUUUAAAUCUUUGACCAUAUCAAAUACUUCAGCACCAGUACGGAUGACAGGCUUCCCCUGGGGUUCUGCCUUGCCAUUGAAAUGCUUGCCUUUUUUCUUUAAGGGAUGCUUGGGCAGAAGAAAACGACGAUUGUACGGAUACACAUUCUUCCUACAGUUGUCGAGAUAUAUACUUUCUGUCUGAUCCAAACAGUGCGUGCAUGCAUUGUAUCCCUUGUUUGAUUGUCCUGAAAUGUUACUAAGAGCAGGCCAAUCAUUGAUGGUUACGAAAAGCAACGCUCGAAGGUCAAAUUCCUCUUGUUUGUGCUCGUCCCACACACGUACACCUGGUUCGGCCCACAGCUGUAAAAGUUCAUCAACUAAUGGCCUUAGGUACACAUCAAUAUCGUUGCCGGGUUGCUUUGGACCUUGUAUAAACACUGGCAUCAUAAUGAACUUCCGCUUCAUGCACAACCAAGGAGGAAGGUUAUAGAUACAUAGAGUAACGGGCCAGGUGCUGUGACUGCAACUCUGCUCCCCAAAAGGAUUCAUGCCAUCUGUACUCAGACCUAACCAUAAGUUCCUUGCGUCAGCUGCAAAUCUCGGGAACUCUCUCUCGAUUUUUCUCCACUGCCGACCAUCAGCGGUGUGCCUCAACUUAUCGUCUUUCAUACGAUCUUCCAUGUGCCAUCGCAACAACUUCGCAUGAUCUUUAUUUCUGAACAGACGUUUCAACCGUGGUAUUAUAGGAGCAUACCACAUCACCUUGGCAGGAACCCUCUUCCUGGGUGGCUCGCCCUCAAUAUCACCAGGGUCAUCUUUUCUGAUCUUAUACCGCAAUGCAGUGCAUACCGGGCAUUUAUCCAUAUUCUCGUACUUCUCACCGCGGAAGAGGAUGCAGUCAUUAGGGCAUGCAUGUAUCUUCUCCACGUCUAAUCCUAGAGGGCAGACAAGCUUCUUUGCUUCGUACGUGCUGGCGGGCAAUUCGUUCUUUCUUGGAAGCAUCUUCUUCAUCAGUACCAGCAACUUUUCGAAUGACGAGUCAGUCACACCGGUCUGUGCCUUCCACUUCAGCAAUUCCAGUGUGCUACCCAGCUUCUUCUGGCCAUCUUCACAAGUUGGGUACAACAAUUUAUUGUGGUCCUGUAACAUCUGCUCGAACUGCAACCUUUCCUUUUCUGUGUCGCAACCUCGCCGUGCAUCAGAAAUGACCCGACCAAGAUGAUUAGCGGGCUCAUCUGGUUCCCGUUCUUCAUCCUGAUCUUCUUCUUCAUUGUCUUCCAUUGCAGUAUCAGCAUACUCAGGGAACAUAGAUCGGUAGUUGUCAUCAUCGUUCUCUUCUUCUUCAUCAUCGUCUUCCAUCAUAACCCCUCUUUCUCCGUGCUUGGUCCAAACAUUAUAGCCCGACAUAAAACCGGACCGAAGCAGGUGGCUCUGAAUGACUCUUAGGAAGUGUAAUCCUUCUCAUUCCGACAUUCAACACAUGGACAAAACAUAUAGCCACCACCAUGCUUGUUCAUAUCGGCUGCAUCUCGAAAAGAAUGCACGCCUUCUCUGUAAGCGGUUGUGCGUCGAUCACUGUACAUCCAUGGAUGGCUCAUCUGCGUUAUACGACAGUAUAUCAAAUACAAUCACGAUCCUAAAAAUUAGUACCGCACGGUCUAAACGAGGAAAUAUAGUUGCUAACCUUUUAGAAUAAGUAGAAAUAAAGAGGAAGAUGUUUAAGCGUGGCUCAGGCAUCUCAUAUCGUAGUUGUGUUCAGUGAACUGAAGCGGCAUCGCUCUAACACACAUUUCAACAAACACCUCUAGUGCAUCAAAAAAAGUGGAGAGCAAGCACCCACCCACAAUCCUCCAUCCAAGAAAAAUGCAACGAAGAGGGGAGAGGGGGGCUGUGCUAUAUAUAGGCAGAGGACUUUAGUCCCGGUUUGAGACACAAACCGGGACUAAAGGUGGCGCACAUGUGGGCUGCACACCGCGUAGCCCUUUAGUCCCGGUUUGGGACACGAACCGGGACUAAAGGCUCCUUACGGGCCGGGACUAAAGCCUCGAGGGAGGAUAUGAGAAUUGGGGCGACGUGGCCGGGCCUUUAGUCCCGGCCCAGAGGCAGGCCGGGACUAAAGGGUCCCGGCCAAAGGCCCGUUUUCCACUAGUGUAUGUUCUAAGAUUGAUGUUGCUACUACUUUGUUAUGCUUAAUGCUUGUCACUAGGGCCCGAGUGACAUGAUUUCGGAUCUGAACCUAUUAUGUUGUCAUCAAUAUAUGUGUGUUCUUGAUCCUAUCUUGCAAGUUGUAGUCAUCUACUAUGUGUUAUGACCCCGCAAUCCCGGAGUGACAAUAGCCGAUACCACUCCCGGAGAUGACCAUAGUAUGAGGAGUUCAUGUAUUCACUUUAUGCUAAUGCUUUGUUCCGGUUCUCUAUUAAAAGGAGACCUUAAUAUCCCUUAGUUUCCAUUAGGACCCCGUUGCCACGGGAGGGAUGGACAAUAGAUGUCAUGCAAGUUCUUUUCCAUAAGCACGUAUGACUAUAUAUGGAAUACAUGCCUACAUUAUAUUGAUGAACUGGAGCUAGUUACAAAUCACCCCAUGUUAUAACUGUUACAUGAUGAAUGUCAUCCGACAUAAUUAUCCAUCACCGAUCCAAUGCCUAUGAGUCUUUUCCUACUGGUCCUUGCUAAGUUACUUUACCGCUACUACUGUCACUGCUGCUACUGUUACCGCUAUUGUUGUCACUGCCGCUACUGUUACCGUUGCUACCAUUGCUAUCACACUACUUUGCUAUUAAAACUUUGCUGCAGAUACUAAGUCUUUCAGGUGUGGUUGAGUUGACAACUCAACUGCUAAUACUCGAGAAUAUUCUUUGGCUUUCCCUUGUGUCGAAUCAACAAAUUUGGGUUGAAUACUCUACCCUCGAAAACUGUUGCGAUCCCCUAUACUUGUGGGUUAUCAAUCACUACUGUACUUUGGGUUUAAUGUGAUGAUGAACUUGUAUUAAUUUUGUCAUUUCUCUAUUCAUGAUGUUCUGCAAUGGUUUUUGAUAUACUUAAUUUCAUAAUACAGAUGAAGCGCCAAUGGAUGUACGGUGAACGAUACACUUCGGAGUAGCUACUGCCGAGUUCCUUGUUUAUCAGUAGCGCAUAUUAUGAGGCCCGCGCUACUGCUAAGGACAUUAGCAGUAGCGCUGGGAGGCAUCCAGCGCUACUGCUUAAUAGUAGCAGCGCUUUCUACUUUCCAGCGCUACUAAUAGGCUCCUACCUAUAAGGUUUUUCCUAGUAGUGCUUAUCUCUAUUGUGUUCCAUCUCCUCUCCUCUUCAAGGAAAAACUCAAUGCAGUUUACGAGUAGCACGCUGCCACAUCUUUACCAUCUCCACAUAAGUGCCCUUCACCCACACCGCUUUCUAGAGUUUGUGAUCAUCGCCCCGCCGCAUUCAGCGAGAGGUCACCACCUCCGCCGCGGCCGCUGCCACCACUCUAGAAUGUAUCUUGCUGCUCAAAGGUCGUUGUUGGUAGACAGGCCUACCUUUGAAGGGCCUCAUCUCCCCUUCAGAUCUGCAUCUGCCAUUGAAGUGGAAAAGCUCGAGCGGGGUGGUCUGUGUCGCUGGAAGUAGAGGAUGUUUUGAUGCAGGAGCAGAAAGGAAGCAUGGCAGAGAAGGUAUUAACGACCCUGGGUCUUUACAGGCUGGUGGAAACAUGAAUGGUCCACUUAACCGCUCCGAUAAGAUCUUCAUGUUUCAGCUCAAUCGAGCCGUUGUGGACAUGUGGGGUCUAACACUCAAUUAAUGGUGUCCCGCGAAAUGCGGGGCACGAUCUUUGUUUUGAUAAGACUUGCCAAGAGUUGCCUCAAAUCGUUGUUCGAGUAAGUUAUGACUGAUAUGCACAAUGUCAUUAACAUGAUGAUUCGGGAAAAGUUAUCAGUACCUUGUUUCAGGAUUGGUCUAUGGUUUAGUCCUCGGUGCUCUGGUAACCACUUUGGGCAAAAGAAGGUGCCACACAGAUGACUAGAGAACUGUUGAACUCAUUUGUCGAGCCGAAAUCUGAAGAAGAUUGUUCGAUAAAGAACCUUAUGCUCGGCAUCGAAGACUAGUUCAAGGGAUACUCAAGAAGUCCUGGACUAAGGGGUCCCACUUGAGGUGGUCUAGUCCCUAGACUGAGCUCGAGGCCCACCGUGGAGGAAGGAUUUCGGAGGUCCACUAAAGGAUUGUGAGCAUAUCAGAUUCUACCAAACACUUGGCGUGCACUCCAGGGAAAGGAUGAUUCGUUCGACAUGUAAUCCAUAGAUGGUAUCUGAUACGUCUCCAUCGUAUCUACUUUUCCUAACUCUUUUGCCCCUGUUUUGGACUCUAAUUUGCAUGAUUUGAAUGGAAUUAACCUGGACUAACGCUGUUUUCAGCAGAAUUGCCUUGGUGUUAUUUUUCUGCAGAAAUCAAAGUUCUCCAAACGUCCUGAAAAUUUACGGAGAUCAUUUGUGGAAAAUAUGAAAAAUAUCUGCGCGAAGUUACACCUGAGGGGGUGGGCCAGUGGGCCACAAGCCCCGGCUCCGCCACCACCCCCCUGGUAGCGGUGGGCAAGCUUGUGGGGCCCACACGGCUCUGACGCCCCCAAUUCCAGCUCUGUAAGUUCACUUUCGUCCCAGAAAAAAUAAAAAGAGAAGUUUUCAUCGCGUUUGUGAUACGGAGCCGCCGCCACCACCUGUUCUUCAUCUGGAGGGCAGAUCUGGAGUCCGUCUUGGGCUUCGGAGAGGGGAAAUCGUCGCCAUCGUCAUCAUCAACCUUCUUCCCUCUCCAAUUCCAUGAAGCUCUUCGUCGUUCGUGAUUAAUCUAUUCGUAGGCUCGCUGAGCGGUGAUGAGUAUGAUGAGAUCUAUCAUGUNNNNNNNNNNNNNNNNNNNNNNNNNNNNNNNNNNNNNNNNNNNNNNNNNNNNNNNNNNNNNNNNNNNNNNNNNNNNNNNNNNNNNNNNNNNNNNNNNNNNNNNNNNNNNNNNNNNNNNNNNNNNNNNNNNNNNNNNNNNNNNNNNNNNNNNNNNNNNNNNNNNNNNNNNNNNNNNNNNNNNNNNNNNNNNNNNNNNNNNNNNNNNNNNNNNNNNNNNNNNNNNNNNNNNNNNNNNNNNNNNNNNNNNNNNNNNNNNNNNNNNNNNNNNNNNNNNNNNNNNNNNNNNNNNNNNNNNNNNNNNNNNNNNNNNNNNNNNNNNNNNNNNNNNNNNNNNNNNNNNNNNNNNNNNNNNNNNNNNNNNNNNNNNNNNNNNNNNNNNNNNNNNNNNNNNNNNNNNNNNNNNNNNNNNNNNNNNNNNNNNNNNNNNNNNNNNNNNNNNNNNNNNNNNNNNNNNNNNNNNNNNNNNNNNNNNNNNNNNNNNNNNNNNNNNNNNNNNNNNNNNNNNNNNNNNNNNNNNNNNNNNNNNNNNNNNNNNNNNNNNNNNNNNNNNNNNNNNNNNNNNNNNNNNNNNNNNNNNNNNNNNNNNNNNNNNNNNNNNNNNNNNNNNNNNNNNNNNNNNNNNNNNNNNNNNNNNNNNNNNNNNNNNNNNNNNNNNNNNNNNNNNNNNNNNNNNNNNNNNNNNNNNNNNNNNNNNNNNNNNNNNNNNNNNNNNNNNNNNNNNNNNNNNNNNNNNNNNNNNNNNNNNNNNNNNNNNNNNNNNNNNNNNNNNNNNNNNNNNNNNNNNNNNNNNNNNNNNNNNNNNNNNNNNNNNNNNNNNNNNNNNNNNNNNNNNNNNNNNNNNNNNNNNNNNNNNNNNNNNNNNNNNNNNNNNNNNNNNNNNNNNNNNNNNNNNNNNNNNNNNNNNNNNNNNNNNNNNNNNNNNNNNNNNNNNNNNNNNNNNNNNNNNNNNNNNNNNNNNNNNNNNNNNNNNNNNNNNNNNNNNNNNNNNNNNNNNNNNNNNNNNNNNNNNNNNNCCCAGUUACGUUGCGACAUUUGAUACACACAAAGUAUUCCUCCGGUGUUAGUGACUUAUAUGAUCUCAUGGUCAUAGGAACAAAUACUUGACAUGCAGAAAAACAGUAGCAACAAAAUGACACGAUCAACAUGAUACGUUUAUUAGUUUGGGUCUAGUCCAUCACGUGAUUCUCCUAAUGACGUGAUCCAGUUAUCAAGCAACAACACCUUGUUCAUAAUCAGAAGACACUGACUAUCUUUGAUCAACUGGCUAGCCAACUAGAGGCUUGCUAGGGACAGUGUUUUGUCUUUGUAUCCACACAUGUAAAUGAGUCUUCAUUCAGUACAAUUAUAGCAUGGAUAAUAAACGGUUAUCUUGAUACAGGAAUUAUAAUAAUAACUAUAUUUAUUAUUGCCUCUAGGGCAUAAUUCCAACAACUCUACCCUCGAAAACUGCUACGAUCCCACGCGCUGGUGGGUCGUCAACAACAUUCUUCUCGUUUCAAUUGCCGGAGAGUGCUAGCAGCAUUCUUUUGGUGCCGUUGCAAGGGGAAGCACAGUUGACAUCAAGCAUUUUUCUGGCAUCGUUGCCGGGGAGGUAUUGCUAUAUUCUCUGAGUCACUUGGGAUUUAUAUCUGCUGAUCACUAUGAAGAAUCUGAAGGAUCCGAAUACCAAAGUCUUGCCCUCAACUACCUGGGGAGGAAAGGAACUUCCAUCUAGCUCUGCACUUGAUUCACCUUCAGUUAUGAGUAAGUUUGCGACAUCACCUCCUGCUAGAAAUCUUGAUAUAUCGCAUGUGCUUGAUGAUGCCUAUGAUGCUAUUGCUAGAGAUGCUAUGCUUGAUACUAUGGCUGAUGAUACUAUGCUUGAUACUAUGCCUGAUGAUGCUAUGCUUGAUACUGCUAGAGAUGUUAUGCCUGAUACUGCUUUGCCUGAUGAUGCUAGAGAUGCUAUUUUGCCCGAUGAUGUUAUGCUUGAUACUUCUAGAGAUACUACUUUGCCUGAUGUUCCACUAGGGGUGUUCCUUGAUGCUCAUAUUGCUAGAGUUACUGCCAAUGCUCGUGAUGCUUCUGAAAUUGCCGAUACUAUUGAGAUAGAACCUGCUUUUGCUCCUGUUAGAUCUAGCUCUCCUAGAAAUGAAUUGCGUGAUAUAUCUGAGGGUUGCGUUAUGGAGGGAGAGAUAGCUGAGGAUUUUCUUGCGUGUAAGGAUGCCUAUGACGCUGAGAAAUUACUUCUCAACUGGAAGGAAAAAUCUCUAGAAGCUAGGAUGAAAUACGACCCGGAGUUUGCCACUUCACCUAUCUUUAUCACCGAUAAGGAUUAUGAAUUCUCUAUCGACCCUGAGAUAAUCUCUCUAGUCGAAUCUGAUCCUUUUCACGGUUAUGAGUCUGAGACGGCCGUAACCCAUCUUGUCAAACUACACGAUAUAGCCACCCUUUUCACUAAUGAGAAGAAGCUCUGCCACUACUAUAUCCUUAAGAUGUUUCCUUUCUCUCUAAAGGAUGACGCUAAAGCCUGGUUCACCUCUCUUGCUCCUGGAUGUGUGAGUAGUCCCCAGGAUAUGGUCUAUUACUUCUGUGAGAAAUAUUUCCCUGCCCAUAAGAAGCAAGUUGCCUUGCAAGAAAUAUACAACUUUGGUCAACUCCAAGAAGAGAGUCUUCACAAGCUUGGGGGAGGCUCGUCCAGCUACAGAAUGCUUUGCCUGAUCACCCUCUUAAGAAGAACGAGAUACUUGAUAUCCUCUAUAACGGACUUACCGAUGCCUCUAGAGACCACCUAGAUAGUUGUGUCGGUUGUGUUUUUAGGGAACGAACUGUAGAACAAGCUGAGACCCUACUGAAUAACAUCUUGAUCAACGAUAAUGCUUGGACUAUUCCCGGACCACCUCCUAAGCCAACUCCUAAGAAAAGAGGUAUUCUAUUCCUCAGUCCCGAAGAUAUGCAAGAAGCCAAGAAAUCUAUGCAAGAGAAAGGCAUUAGAUCUGAAGAUGUCAAAAAUCUACCACCUAUCGAAGAGAUCCAUGGUCUCGAUAACCCGAUACAGGUAGUAGAAGUGAAUUCUGUGUGUAGGUUUGAUGAGAGUGAUAUUCCUUUUGAUAAACCUGCUAGCCUAUGCUUUGAUGAAUUUGACAACUUUGUUGCCAAACAACAGAGUUUCAAUGAUUAUGUUAGCAGACACUUGGAACAAAGUACUCGUAUGCUUAGCCAUUUAAGUGCUUUUGUAGACAGAAAUAUCAAUGAUCUGAAGCUUCUGAGUAAACAUGCCUCUAUGAUUACUACUCGGGUAGAACAAGUACUUAAAGCUCAGAAUGACUUGCUCAAUGAAUUAAAUGACAACUAUGUCAGAGUCAUUACUAGAGGAGGUAAAAUUACUUAGGAACCUUUGUAUCCUGAAGGUCAUCCCAAGAGAAUUGAUCAAGAUUCUUAAGGAAUCAAUGCUGAUACACCUAGUCAUCCUAAGGAGAAGAAGAAGGAUGACAGAAACCUACAUGCCAGUUCACCAAAUACUGUCACACUUGAAGAACCUAAUGAUAUUUCUACGUCUGAUGCAUAAACACAAUCUGGUGAUGAACAUGAACCUGGUGACAAUAUGGACAGUGAUGUACAUAAUAAUGCUCAACCUAGCAAUGAUGAGGAUGUGGAGAUUGAACCUACGAUUAAUCUUGAUAACCCACAGCCUAAGAAAUACGAUAAGAAUGACUUCACUGCUAGGAAGCAUGGUAAAGAAAGGGAGCCAUGGGUUCAGAAAUCUAUGCCCUUUCCUCCUAAGCCAUCCAAGAAAAAGGAUGAUGAGGAUUUUGAGCGCUUCGUUUAGAUGAUAAGACCCAUCUUUCUGCAGAUGCAGUUAACUCAUAUGCUCAAGAUGUCUCUGUAUGCCAAGUACAUGAAAGAUAUCGUGACUAAUAAACGGAAGAUACCAGAUCUUGAGAUCUCCACCAUGCUUGCCAAUUACACUUUCAAAGGUUGAACUCGUAAGAAACUUGGUGAUCCCGGAGUGCCCACUAUACCUUUCUCCAUUGAAGGAAACUACGUAAGAACUGCCUUAUGUGACCUUGGAGCCGGUGUUAGUGUUAUGCCGCUCUCUCUUUAUCGUAGACUUGAAUUGGAUAAGUUGACACCCACUGAAAUUUCUGUGCAAAUGGCCGACAAAUCAACUGCUUUCCCUAUCGGCAUUUGCGAGGAUGUGUCUGUUGUGGUUGCUAACACCACUAUCUUAACAGACUUUGUUAUCUUGGAUAUUCCCGAGGACGAUGCCAUGGCUGUCAUCCUCGGAAGACCCUUUUUAAACACUGCAAGGGCUGUUAUAGAUUGCAACAAAGGCAAUGUCACUUUCCAUGUCAACGGUAAUGAGCACACAGUGCACUUUUCGAAGAAACGAUGUCAAGUACAUUGCAUCAAUGCUAUCGAAAAGACUUCAUUGAUUCUCUUUGGGAGCUUUGAAUGCCCUAUUCCUUGUGUCAAGAUGAAGUACGAUUUGCAUGUUGGGGAGAUACAUAUCCCCAUUGAGGUGACUUAGUGGCUAUUAGAAAAUUCUCCGUUCUCUCUUGCGAUUCGAGAAGGUUUUGUCAUGAGGACUUGAUCAACCCCAUUGACGGAUUUCUUUCGAUGACCAUGAAAUGGAUGAAUCAAAGAGUCACAUACCUCUGUUUUGAACUUUCAUUUUCUUUUGCUUAGAAGAAAAAUGAUAGAUUAGUUUAGUUUUUCCUGUUUUCUGUUUUAGCGUCCCGGAGAAAAAUACCUCGAAAAUAAAAGUUCUCCGAUGGUCCUGAAAAUUUAGUAUGAUUUUUUCUGGAAUUUUUGAAAAUUACUGGGCCUGAGAGCUGGCCUGGGGGCCAGACCAGUGGGCCACAAGCCCUGCCACCGCCACACCCCCCUGGUGGAGGAGNNNNNNNNNNNNNNNNNNNNNNNNNNNNNNNNNNNNNNNNNNNNNNNNNNNNNNNNNNNNNNNNNNNNNNNNNNNNNNNNNNNNNNNNNNNNNNNNNNNNACUUUAAAUAGGGCACCGCGUAUUUCCGUUGAGAUGACACAGUAUAGACUGAGGUUUAGAGAAAUCUAAACUGUCGUUUCUUGAAAGUUUGGGGUUUCGACACUUAUGUGAAAAAGUUUCAGUCUGAUAAGCUCGAACCCAAAGCGGAUAAAUGCAUCUUCAUAGGAUAUCCAAAACAGUUGGGUACAUCUCCUAUCUCAGAUCCGAAAGCAAAGUGUUUGUUUCUAGAAACGGAUCCUUUCUCGAGGAAAGGUUUCUCUCGAAAGAAUUGAGUGGGGGGGNNNNNNNNNNNNNNNNNNNNNNNNNNNNNNNNNNNNNNNNNNNNNNNNNNNNNNNNNNNNNNNNNNNNNNNNNNNNNNNNNNNNNNNNNNNNNNNNNNNNNNNNNNNNNNNNNNNNNNNNNNNNNNNNNNNNNNNNNNNNNNNNNNNNNNNNNNNNNNNNNNNNNNNNNNNNNNNNNNNNNNNNNNNNNNNNNNNNNNNNNNNNNNNNNNNNNNNNNNNNNNNNNNNNNNNNNNNNNNNNNNNNNNNNNNNNNNNNNNNNNNNNNNNNNNNNNNNNNNNNNNNNNNNNNNNNNNNNNNNNGGGGGGGGGGGGUAGUAGAACUUGAUGAGGUUAUUGAACCAUCACUUCAACCAGUGUGUAGCAGGGCGUAGGAAGUUGUUCCUGUGGCGCCUACACCAAUUGAAGUGGAAGCUGAUGAUGGUGAUCAUUGAGCUUCGAAUCAAGUUACUACAAACCUCGUAGGUCGACAAGGUCGCAUACUGCUGCAGAGUAGUACGGUAACCCUGUCUUGGAGGUCAUGUUGUUGAGCAACAGUGAACCUACGAGUUAUGGAGAAAGCGAUGGUGGGCCCAGAUUCNNNNNNNNNNNNNNNNNNNNNNNNNNNNNNNNNNNNNNNNNNNNNNNNNNNNNNNNNNNNNNNNNNNNNNNNNNNNNNNNNNNNNNNNNNNNNNNNNNNNGGAGAGGUAGAAGAGUUCUCCGGCAGCGUGACGGCGCUCCGGAGGUUGGUGAUGAUCUUGUCUCAGCAGGGCUCCGCCCGAGCUCCGCAGAAACACGAUCUAGAGGAAAAACUAUGGAGGUAUGUGGUCGGGCAGCCNNNNNNNNNNNNNNNNNNNNNNNNNNNNNNNNNNNNNNNNNNNNNNNNNNNNNNNNNNNNNNNNNNNNNNNNNNNNNNNNNNNNNNNNNNNNNNNNNNNNNNNNNNNNNNNNNNNNNNNNNNNNNNNNNNNNNNNNNNNNNNNNNNNNNNNNNNNNNNNNNNNNNNNNNNNNNNNNNNNNNNNNNNNNNNNNNNNNNNNNNNNNNNNNNNNNNNNNNNNNNNNNNNNNNNNNNNNNNNNNNNNNNNNNNNNNNNNNNNNNNNNNNNNNNNNNNNNNNNNNNNNNNNNNNNNNNNNNNNNNNNNNNNNNNNNNNNNNNNNNNNNNNNNNNNNNNNNNNNNNNNNNNNNNNNNNNNNNNNNNNNNNNNNNNNNNNNNNNNGAGGGGGACCUUGCCUUGGGGUCCAAGGGAUCCCCAAGGGGUCGGCCGAGCCAGGGGGGAGGACUCUCCCCCCCAAACCGAGUCCUACUUGGUUUGGUGGGAGGGAGUCCUUCCCCCUUCCCACUUCUUCCUNNNNNNNNNNNNNNNNNNNNNNNNNNNNNNNNNNNNNNNNNNNNNNNNNNNNNNNNNNNNNNNNNNNNNNNNNNNNNNNNNNNNNNNNNNNNNNNNNNNNNNNNNNNNNNNNNNNNNNNNNNNNNNNNNNNNNNNNNNNNNNNNNNNNNNNNNNNNNNNNNNNNNNNNNNNNNNNNNNNNNNNNNNNNNNNNNNNNNNNNNNNNNNNNNNNNNNNNNNNNNNNNNNNNNNNNNNNNNNNNNNNNNNNNNNNNNNNNNNNNNNNNNNNNNNNNNNNNNNNNNNNNNNNNNNNNNNNNNNNNNNNNNNNNNNNNNNNNNNNNNNNNNNNNNNNNNNNNNNNNNNNNNNNNNNNNNNNNNNNNNNNNNNNNNNNNNNNNNNNNNNNNNNNNNNNNNNNNNUCCGGUGAACUCCCGGAACCCAUUCGUCAUUCCCGGUACAUUCCCGGUAACUCCGAAAACCUUCCGGUAAUCAAAUGAGGUCAUCCUAUAUAUCAAUCUUCGUUUCCGGACCAUUCCGGAAACCCUCGUGACGUCGGUGAUCUCAUCCGGGACUCCGAACAACAUUCGGUAACCAACCAUAUAACUCAAAUACGCAUAAAACAACGUCGAACCUUAAGUGUGCAGACCCUGCGGGUUCGAGAACUAUGUAGACAUGACCCGAGAGACUCCUCGGUCAAUAUCCAAUAGCGGGACCUGGAUGCCCAUAUUGGAUCCUACAUAUUCUACGAAGAUCUUAUCGUUUGAACCUCAGUGCCAAGGAUUCNNNNNNNNNNNNNNNNNNNNNNNNNNNNNNNNNNNNNNNNNNNNNNNNNNNNNNNNNNNNNNNNNNNNNNNNNNNNNNNNNNNNNNNNNNNNNNNNNNNNCGGUAGCAUUAUGAGGUCAUCUCUCACUAAAAUUUCAAGACGAAAUUGUGUUCUCCCCGACUAUGCACCGUUGCUACAAUUCAUCGUUUCGAGACACCACGUGAUGAUCGGGUGUGAUAGACUCAACGUUCACAUACAACGGGUGCAAAACAGUUGCGCACGCGGAACACUCGGGUUAAGCUUGACGAGCCUAGCAUGUGCAGACAUGGCCUCGGAACACAUGAGACCGAAAGGUCGAUCAUGAAUCAUAUAGAUGAUAUGAUUAGCAUAGGGAUGCUUACCACUGAAACNNNNNNNNNNNNNNNNNNNNNNNNNNNNNNNNNNNNNNNNNNNNNNNNNNNNNNNNNNNNNNNNNNNNNNNNNNNNNNNNNNNNNNNNNNNNNNNNNNNNNNNNNNNNNNNNNNNNNNNNNNNNNNNNNNNNNNNNNNNNNNNNNNNNNNNNNNNNNNNNNNNNNNNNNNNNNNNNNNNNNNNNNNNNNNNNNNNNNNNNNNNNNNNNNNNNNNNNNNNNNNNNNNNNNNNNNNNNNNNNNNNNNNNNNNNNNNNNNNNNNNNNNNNNNNNNNNNNNNNNNNNNNNNNNNNNNNNNNNNNNNNNNNNNNNNNNNNNNNNNNNNNNNNNNNNNNNNNNNNNNNNNNNNNNNNNNNNNNNNNNNNNNNNNNNNNNNNNNNNNNNNNNNNNNNNNNNNNNNNNNNNNNNNCCUGAAUUUUAAUACGUUCCUAGAGAAAGCUAAGUUGAAAGAUGAUGGAAGCAACUUUGUAGACUGGGCUCGUAAUCUUAAGCUAAUCUUACAAGCUGGGAAGAAAGAUUAUGUCCUUAAUGCUGCGCUAGGAGAUGAACCACCCGCUACGGCUGAUCAGGAUGUUAAGAACGCUUGGUUAGCACGUAAGGAGGACUACUCAAUAGUUCAAUGUGCAGUCUUGUAUGGCUUAGAACCGGGACUUCAACGUCGCUUUGAGCGUCAUGGAGCAUUUGAGAUGUUCCAGGAGUUGAAGUUUAUCUUUCAGAAGAACGCCCGGAUCGAGAGGUAUGAGACCUCCGAUAAAUUCUAUGCUUGCAAGAUGGAGGAGAACUCGUUUGUCAGUGAACAUGUGCUCAAAAUGUCUGGGUACUCAAACCGUCUAGCUGAACUGGGGAUUGAACUCCCGCAAGAAGCUAUCACUGACAGAAUCCUUCAAUCACUGCCGCCAAGCUAUAAAGGCUUUGUGUUGAACUACAACAUGCAAGGGAUGAACAAGUCUCCCGGCGAGUUGUUUGCGAUGCUGAAAGUCNNNNNNNNNNNNNNNNNNNNNNNNNNNNNNNNNNNNNNNNNNNNNNNNNNNNNNNNNNNNNNNNNNNNNNNNNNNNNNNNNNNNNNNNNNNNNNNNNNNNCCAGUUACGUUGCGACGUUUGAUACACACAAAGUAUUCCUCCGGUGUUAGUGAGUUAUAUGAUCUCAUGGUCAUAGGAACAAAUACUUGACACGCAGAAAAACAGUAGCAACAAAAUGACACGAUCAACAUGCUACGUCUAUUAGUUUGGGUCUAGUCCAUCACGUGAUUCUCCUAAUGACGUGAUCCAGUUAUCAAGCAACAACACCUUGUUCAUAAUCAGAAGACAGUGACUAUCUUUGAUCAACUAGCUAGCCAACUAGAGGCUUGCUUGGGACAGUGUUUUGUCUAUGUAUCAACACAUGUAAAUGAGUCUUCAUUCAAUACAAUUAUAGCAUGGAUAAUAAACGAUUAUCUUGAUACAGGAAUUAUAAUAAUAACUAUAUUUAUUAUUGCCUCUAGGGCAUAAUUCCAACAGUCUCCCACUUGCACUAGAGUCAAUAAUCUAGCCCUCACAUCAUCAUGCGAAUUACAUUGUAAUAAAUCUAACACCCAUACAGUUCUGGUGUUGAUCAUGCUUUGCCCGUGGAAGAGGUUUAGUCAGCGGGUCUGCUACAUUCAGAUCCGUGUGCACUUUGCAUAUAUUUACGUCCUCCCCUUCGACAUAGUCGCGGAUGAGGUUGAAGCGUCGUUUGAUGUGUCUGGACUUCUUGUGAAACCGUGGUUCCUUUGCUAAGGCAAUGGCACCCGUGUUGUCACAGAACAAGGUUAUUGGAUUCAGUGCACUUGGCACCACUCCAAGAUCCGUCAUGAANNNNNNNNNNNNNNNNNNNNNNNNNNNNNNNNNNNNNNNNNNNNNNNNNNNNNNNNNNNNNNNNNNNNNNNNNNNNNNNNNNNNNNNNNNNNNNNNNNNNGUAUGUGCUUUGUGAAAGUCCUAUCAGGCGUUUUGAUCUAUCCCUGUAGAUCUUAAUGCCUAGAAUAUAAGCAGCUUCUCCUAGGUCCUUCAUAGAGAAACUAUUAUUCAAUUAAUCCUUUAUGCUCUCCAAAAACUCUACGUUGUUUCCAAUCAGCAAUAUGUCAUCCACUAGUAUAAACCACUUGUAUAAACCCAAAUGCUUUGAUCACCUCAUCAAAGCGUUUGUUCCAACUCCGAGAUGCUUGCACCAGUCCAUAAAUGGAUCGCUGGAGCUUUCACACCUUGUUAGCAUUCUUAGGAUUGACAAAACCUUCGGGUUGCAUCACAUACAAUUCUUCCUUAAGGAAACCGUUAAGGAACGCAGUUUUGACAUCCAUCUGCCAGAUUUCAUAAUCGAAAAAUGCAGCUAUUGCUAACAUGAUUCUGACGGACUUAAGCAUCGCUACGGGUGAGAAUGUCUCAUCGUAGUCAACUCCUUGAACUUGUGAAAAACCCUUUGCCACAAGUCGAGCUUUAUAAACGGUCACAUUGCCGUCCGCGUCCGUCUUCCUCUUAAAGAUCCAUUUGUUCUGAAUAGCCUUCCGGACCUCAGGCAGUACUUCCAAAGUCCACACUUUGUUCUCAUACAUGGAUCCUAUCUCGGACUUCAUGGCUUCUAGCCAUUUGUUGGAAUCUGGGCCCACCAUUGCUUCUUCAUAAUUUGCAGGUUCAUUGUUGUCCAACAACAUGAUUGAUAAGACGGGAUUACCGCACCACUCUGGAGCAGCACGUGGUCUCGUCGACCUGCGUGGUUCGACAGAAACUUGAACCGGAGUUUCAUUAUCAUUAUCAUUAACUUCCUCCUCAACCGGCGUCGCAACGACAGAGGUUUCCCCUUGCCCAGCGCCGCCAUCCAGAGGGAUGAGAGGUUCGACAACCUCGUCAAGUUCUAUCUGCCUCCCACUCAAUUCUCUCGAGAGAAACUCCUUCUCGAGAAAAGCUUCGUUUUUAGCAACAAACACUUUGCCCUCGGAUUUGAGAUAGAAGGUGUACCCAACUGUCUCUUUUGGGUAACCUAUGAAGACGCACCUUUCCGCUUUGGGUUCCAGCUUUUCAGGCUGAAGCUUUUUGACAUAAGCAUCACAUCCCCAAACUUUAAGAAACGAUAGCUUUGGCCUUUUGCCAUACCACAGUUCGUAUGGUGUCGUCUCAACGGAUUUUGAUGGUGCCCUAUUUAAAGUGAAUGCAGCUGUUUCUAAUGCAUAACCCCAAAACGAUAACGGCAAAUCGGUAAGAGACAUCAUAGAUCGCACCAUCUCUAAUAAAGUACGAUUACGAUGUUCGGACACACCAUUACGCUGUGGUGUUCCAGGCGGUGUCAACUGUGAAACAAUUCCAUAUUGUCUUAAGUGAGCACCAAACUCGAAACUCAGAUAUUCACCCCCACGAUCAGACCGUAGGAACUUGAUCUUCUUGUUACGAUGAUUUUCAACUUCACUCUGAAAUUGCUUGAACUUUUCAAAUGUUUCAGACUUGUGCUUCAUUAAGUAGACAUAACCAUAUCUACUCAAAACGUCAGUGAAGGUGAGAAAAUAACGAUAUCCGCCGCGUGCCUCUACGCUCAUCGGACCACACACAUCGGUAUGUAUGAUUUCCAACAAGUCACUUGCAUGCUCCAUUGUUCUGGAGAACGGAGUUUUAGUCAUCUUGCCCAUGAGGAAUGGUUCGCACGUGUCAAGUGAAUCAAAGUCAAGUGACUCCAAAAGUCCAUCGGCAUGGAGUUUCUUCAUGCGCUUUACACCAAUAUGACCUAAGCGGCAGUGCCACAAAAAUAUGGCGCUAUCAUUGUUAAAUCUAACUCUUUUGGUCUCAAUGUUAUGUAUGUGUGUAUCGCUAUCAAGAUUCAAUAUGAACAAUCCUCUCACAUUGGGUGCAUGACCAUAAAAGAUGUUACUCAUAGAAAUAGAACAACCAUUAUUCUCUGACUUAAAAGAGUAACCGUCUCGCAAUAAACAAGAUCCAGUAUAAUGUUCAUGCUCAACGCAGGCACUAAAUAACAAUGAUUCAAGUUCAUAACUAAUCCUGAUGGUAACUGAAGUGAAACUGUGCCGACGACGAUUGCAUCAACCUUGGAACCAUUUCCUACGCGCAUCGUCACUUCAUCUUUCGCCAGCCUUCGUCUAUUCCGCAGUUCCUGUUUCGAGUUGCAAAUAUGAGCAACAGAACCGGUAUCGAAUACCCAGGCACUACUACGAGAGCCGGUUAAGUACACAUCAAUAACAUGUAUAUCAAAUAUACCUGAUUUUUCUUUGGCCGCCUUCUUAUCAGCCAGAUACUUGGGGCAAUUGCACUUCCAGUGACCCAUACCCUUGCAAUAGUAACACUCUGUUUCAGGGUUAGGUCCAGCUUUGGGUUUCUCCGUCGGAUUGGCAACAGGCUUGCCGCUCUUCUUUGAAUUACCCUUCUUGCCUUUGCCGUUUCUCUUGAAACUAGUGGUCUUAUUCACCAUCAACACUUGAUGCUCUUUACGGAGUUCAGACUCUGCGACUUUCAGCAUCGCAAACAACUCGCCGGGAGACUUGUUCAUCCCUUGCAUGUUGUAGUUCAACACAAAGCCUUUAUAGCUUGGCGGCAGUGAUUGAAGGAUUCUGUCAGUGAUAGCCUCUUGCGGGAGUUCAAUCCCCAGCUCAGCUAGACGGUUUGAGUACCCAGACAUUUUGAGCACAUGUUCACUGACAAACGAGUUCUCCUCCAUCUUGCAAGCAUAGAAUUUAUCGGAGGUCUCAUACCUCUCGAUCCGGGCGUUCUUCUGAAAGAUAAACUUCAACUCCUGGAACAUCUCAAAUGCUCCAUGACGCUCAAAGCAACGUUGAAGUCCCGGUUCUAAGCCAUACAAGGCUGCACAUUGAACUACUGAGUAGUCCUCCUUACGUGCUAACCAAGCGUUCUUAACAUCCUGAUCAGCCGUAGCGGGUGGUUCAUCUCCUAGCGCAGCAUUAAGGACAUAAUCUUUCUUCCCAGCUUGUAANAUUCCGGAAACCCUCGUUACGUCCGUGAUCUCAUCCGGGACUCCGAACAACAUUCGGUAACCAAACAUAUAACUCAAAUACGCAUAAAACAAUGUCGAACCUUAAGUGUGCAGACCCUGCGGUUUCGAGAACUAUGUAUAUAGACAUGACCCGAGAGACUCCUCGGUCAAUAUCCAAUAGAGGGACCUAGAUGCCCAUAUUGGAUCCUACAUAUUCUACGAAGAUCUUAUCGUUUGAACCUCAGUGCCAAGGAUUCAUACAAUCCCGUAUGUCAUUCCCUUUGUCCUUCGGUAUGUUACUUGCCCGAGAUUCGAUCAUCAGUAUCUGUAUACCUAUUUCAAUCUCGUUUACCGGCAAGUCUCUUUACUCGUUCCGUAAUACAAGAUCCCUCAACUUACACUAAGUCACAUUGCUUGCAAGGCUUGUGUGUGAUGUUUGUAUUACCGAGUGGGCCCCGAGAUACCUCUCCGUCACACGGAGUGACAAAUCCCAGUCUCGAUCCAUACUAACUCAACGAACACCUUCGGAGAUACCUGUAAAGCAUCUUUAUAGUCACCCAGUUACGUUGCGACGUUUGAUACACACAAAGUAUUCCUCCGGUGUCAGUGAGUAAUAUGAUCUCAUGGUCAUAGGAACAAAUACUUGACAUGCAGAAAACAGUAGCAACAAAAUGACACGAUCAACAUGCUACGUCUAUUAGUUUGGGUCUAGUCCAUCACGUGAUUCUCCUAAUGACGUGAUCCAGUUAUCAAGCAACAACACCUUGUUUAUAAUUAGAAGACACUGACUAUCUUUGAUCAACUGGCUAGCCAACUAGAGGCUUGCUAGGGACAGUGUUUUGUCUAUGUAUCCACACAUGUAUAUAAGUCUUCAUUCAAUACAAUUAUAGCAUGGAUAAUAAACGAUUAUCUUGAUACAUGAAUUAUAAUAAUAACUAUAUUAUUAUUGCCUCUAGGGCAUAAUUCCAACAGGACGGGCAUGGGACGACACCUUACACAUGUGCAGAAUCUAAGAAGUUAAUUUAAGCUCAAAUUUUGCAUCUAAAUAAAAGGAAAUCCCACAUACACUCGUACACUAAAACCCACAAACCACUCUACUUCUAGAGCAUUUGAAAUGAGCGAAACUAGCAGUGAGAGAUGAAAGGAUGAAGUAGCUAACCUUCUAAAACACUUGUGUAGUUGGUGCACCGCCAAACCUAGACAAAUAUUGAGGAAAAUGGAGCUUCGAGGUCGAGCUUGGAGAGGAGAAAGCUUAAGUGUGUCUCGGGCAUUUCAUCGAACACCUCAUGUGCAUGCAUAGAAGGGUGGCAACAAGAGCAUGGCAUGCAUGCACACCUAGGCCAAAAAACAGAGAAGAGGGUCGGCAGGGCGCGGGUAUAUAUAGGCAUCUCUUUGGUCCCGGUUUGUGGCCGGAACCGGGACAGAAGACUAACCAUUAGUCCCGGUUCCAGCCCCCAACCGAGACUAAUGCUUCGUGGCACGCCACGUGUCAGUCACUCGAUCUUUAGUCCCGAUUUUAGGGACGAACCGGGACUAAUGCAGCGAACCUAAUCAGGACUAUUGCCCCGUGAGGCUCUGGCAGCUCGAACGAGGACCAAUGCCUCACAUUGGUCUCGGUUUUACGUGGACCGAGGCUAAUGGGAUUUGGGCCUCCGACCGAAAGCCUCAUUUUCUACUAGUGUAUACUAGUCCUGUAGGUACUCGACUAGUCAAUUCACUUGAGUCCUAUGACAGCUCGAGUGCGACCGAAAUGCCAACUAGAACACUCGCCUAAGCUCUUCAUUUGGACGAUAUUUCAACUCUGACAAAAACGACUUAUGGUGGAAAGUGCUUCUUUCUAUGGCAGGUAGGACUCUAAGGAGUUCGCCAAAGUUUUCCAUGACACAGGCGAGGAAGGGGGGCAUCGAGCUGGAGGAGCCCCUUAUCAAGGAUCAACUCAUGGAGUUGUGGAUGUAUAUGACUAACAUCUAUUUUGACUCGUGGUUCCACAGUUUCUUAGGACAUGUAAGCUAUAUAUGUUCAAUUUAAUUUUGGCACCAUCAUUGGAGUAAAUCAAUGAGACCUAAAAAUGAAAUUUAUCUUAAAGGCAUGUGACAAAAAUAGGUGCGACAAGAACGGUGAUGGGAUGCUCAUUGAAGACAAGGUCAAGGAGGUGGAUACGACGAUGAUGUCUGAUAUGUCUCCAACGUAUCUAAUUCUCCAAACUCUUUUGCCCUUGUUUUGGACUAUAAUUUGCAUGAUUUGAAUGGAACUAACCUGGACUGACACUGUUUUCAGCAGAAUUGCCUUGGUGUUAUUUUUGUGCAAAAAUCAAAGUUCUCCAAACGUCCUGAAAAUUUACGGGGAGCAGUUUUGGAAAAUAUCAAAGAUAUAUGCGCCAAGUUCCACCUCAGGGGGUGGGCCAGUGGGCCACAAGCCCCUCCUCCGCCACCACCCCCCUGGUGGCGGUGGGCAGACUUGUGGGGGCCACAGGCACCUGCCGCCCCCAACUCCAGCUCUAUAAGUUGUCUUUCGUCCCAGAAAAAAUAAAAAGAGAAGUUUUCAUUGCGUUUUCGAUACGGAGGCGCCGCCACCACCUGUUCUUCAUCUGGAGGGCAGAUCUGGAGUCCGUCUUGGGCUCCGGAGAGGGGAAAUUGUCGACAUCGUCAUCAUCAACCUUCUUCCCUCUCCAAUUCCAUGACGCUCUUCGUCGUUCGUGAGUAAUCUAUUCGUAGGCUCGCUGGGCGGUGAUGAGUAGGAUGAGAUCUAUCAUGUAAUCGAGUUAGUUUUGAUGGGGAUUGAUCCCUAGUAUCCACUAUGUUCUGAGAUUUGAUGUUGCUACUACUUUGCCAUGCUUAAUGCUUGUCACUAGGGCCCGAGUGCCAUGAUUUCGGAUAUGAAAUUAUUAUGUUGCCACCAAUAUAUGUGUGUUUUAGAUCCGAUCUUGCAAGUUGUAGUUACCUACUAUGUGUUAUGAUCCGGCAACCCCGGAGUGACAAUAACCGGAACCACUCCCGGUGAUGAUCAUAGUUUGAGGAGUUCAUGUGUUCACCAAGUGCUAAUGCGUUGGUCCGGUUCUUUAUUAAAAGGAGAACCUUAAUAUCCUGUAGUUUCUUUUUGGACCCCGCUGCCACAGGAGGGAUGGACAAUAGAUGUCAUGCAAGUUCUUUUCCCUAAGCACGUAUGACGACACACGGAAUGCAUGCCUACAUCACAUUGACGAACGGGAGCUAGCCACAUAUCUCUCAGUGUUAUAGCUCUUGCAUGAUGAAUAUCAUCCAAACAAAUCACCGACCCAUUGCCUACGAGUUUGUCCUACUGCUGUUACUUGUCUUGCUCUGCUGCUGCUACUACUGUUGCUACUGUUGUUACUUGUCUUGCUCUGUUGCUGCUACUAUUGUUGCUAUUGCUGUUACUUGUUUUGCUCUGCUACUAUUGCUACUACUGUCGCUUGCUACUGUUGCUACUUGCUACUGCUGUCACUACUGUUGUUCCUUGCCACUGCUAUUGCUCGUUACACUGCUACUACCUGCUACACUGUUGAUUCGCCAGACCGUUGACGGGAAUUGACAACUUCCGUCGACGCGGCAACGGAGGCGCCAUUGAUACAAUUGUUAGGAAUAGUCUGCCGUCAACAGAUCGUUUCUGACACUGUUGUUAUCAUACUACUUUGUUGUUACUACUGUGCUUGCAGAUACUAAUCUUUCAGGUGUGGUUGAAUCCGACAAAUUCAGCUGCUAAUACUUGAGAGUAUACUCUCACCUCCUGACUGGCUUACCUACAAAUUUGGGUCGAAUACUCUACCCUCGAAAACUGCUGCUAACCCACGCGCUGGUGGGCCAUCAACAACAUUCUUCUAGUCUCAUUACUGGGGAGUGCUUUCAGCAUUCUUCUGGUGCCGUUGCAGGGGAAGGUUUGUUGUCAUAAGCAUUCGUCUAGCUAACGCCAGAGAUUGCAGGAUCAACCCUUUUCUGGAGCCAUUGCCAGGGAAGCACAGCUGACGUCAAUGUCUUCAUACAUGUAUUCAUAAGCCGAUUGUGGAUCUUGGAAGUUUACAACAAUUCAAGAACUGUGCAUGCAUAGAGAUACUAUGACAAGAAUCUCAAGCUAAGAUUUAGUUUUGGUAAUAAAUUUUGUUGCAUGUAGCAAUGCAUGGGCUUUUGACUAGUAUAUAUACCAAAAGUGCUAGCCCAGGCAAGCAUGCGAGUUAAAGACAAGUUAUCUACUAGUGGUAGAUGGUGACAUGAUAGAAAUAUGGCGGACUGAACACAUGCACUUGACUAGAGCGCUCACUCCAGACNNNNNNNNNNNNNNNNNNNNNNNNNNNNNNNNNNNNNNNNNNNNNNNNNNNNNNNNNNNNNNNNNNNNNNNNNNNNNNNNNNNNNNNNNNNNNNNNNNNNUUCCCCGGCCUAUCCCCGUGCCGUCGUCGCCGCCCGCGCCCCCCGGCAACCGUUCAGGCGCUUCCCCGACUAUCUCCGCUGUCGCCGCCGGCCGCGCCCCCCGGCGAUCGUUUAGGCGCUUCCCCGGCCUCCCCGCGCCGUCGCGCUUCCGCCCCACCCCCUCCUAGUCCCGCCGGCCCUCGCGCGCCCCCGUCGUCCGAGGAACAGCGCCCGAGCGCUCGCUGCCGCAGCGCGCCCGCAAGGUGUUCGACAAAACGCCUACAAGGUAUGUAUUGCUCAAACUUAUGAAUUUGGUGCAUGUUUUGAAUUGUAGUUUUUAUAGUAUAGUAUUGAACAUUGUAGAUGAGUUCGUCGUAUGAUUCUUCCGAAGAAGAAUUUGAUAUGGAAGAGGAGGAGGAUCUUGCAAUGAUCCUAGCUAUGCAUAUCAAUAAAAAACCGAAGCACGGUGGUUCGGUUAUGGGUUGGGAGAAAAUUUGGAGAGAUAGGAUUGAUGCCCAUAACAGAUUGAUGAAGAACUAUUUUGUGGAGAAUCCCACAUACCCGGAGUCGUAUUUUCGUCGCCGGUUUAGGAUGAGCACUCACUUGUUCAAGCGCAUUGCAGAGAAACUAGCGAGCCAUGACCGGUUUUUCCAGCAAAGGAGGAAUGCCGCCGGAGAGCUCAGGCAUAGCACCUUUCUGAAGGUGACAGCCGCUUUGCGUAUGUUGGCAUACGGUAUCCCGGCUGAUCUAGUUGAUGAUCACUUGGCUAUGGGUGAGGGCCAAGCCAUCAUGUGUGUCAAGCGCUUUGCAGUGGGAAUUGUGCAAGUGUUUGGCGAGGAGUAUUUGAGAUCUCCCACUGCUGAAGACGUCACAAGGCUAUUGGCGAUGAACAAGGCUCGCGGCUUUCCUGGCAUGCUUGGCUCAAUAGAUUGCAUGUAUUGGAGUUGGAAGAAUUGUCCAAAGGCAUGGCAUGGGCAAUUCCACGACCAAAAAAGGGUUACACUAUAAUCCUUGAAGCGGUGGCCGAUUAGGAGACUUGGAUUUGGCAUGCAUUCUUUGGAAUGCAUGGAUCUUUGAAUGAUAUCAAUGUUGUCAACCGGUCACCACUGAUGAAUAAGAUUGCAGAUGGUGAGUUGCCACCGGUGCAGUUUGUAGCAAAUGGUCGUACGUACAACUAUGGCUAUUAUCUAGCGGAUGGCAUCUAUCCAAAGUGGCAAACCUUUGUGAAGCCGUUGAAAAAGCCGGAGGGUAAGAAAAAUCUUGAUUUCCACAAUGUUCAGGCGGCGGCUAGAAAAGAUGUGGAGAGAGCAUUUUGGAUUUUGCAAGCCCAAUUUGCUAUUGUGAGAGGACCGGCUAGAUUUUGGGAUCAAAAAUGCUUUGGUACAUCAUGCACGCUUGUGUGAUCAUGCACAACAUGAUCAUCAAGAAUGAGCGUGGCCAAGAUUUAGACUACUCACAGUAUGAGCUCUUGGGACAUCCCGUGCGAGUGCGACGGAGGGCUAAAAGGGUAGCCCGUUUUGUUGCCUCCUAUGAUGCCAUUCGGCGCCCCACAACGCACAAUAAACUUUAGAAGGAUCUGAUUGAAGAGUGGUGGGCAUGGCAUGGACGAGAAAGAGCAUGAUUUCUGCAUUCGACAUUGUAUUGUUCAUGAACUAUUGGUUGUGUUUAUUGCAUUAUUUGUUGUACUAAACGAUAAACUAUUAGUUUGAGUUGUAAUGACUAUUUAUUGUUGAUUUAUUUUGUUUAUUUGAUCAUUUUUGCAUCUAUUUUUUGAAAUGUAUAUGUGGUUUGUGCGUGCUGCGCGCGCUGUAUUUUUGGGCGCUGCUGGAGCGGCGCGCGCGCUGCAUUAUAGCGCGGCCGUUGGAGCCAGCGCCUAUCCCCGCGCUAAAUCAGCCGAAGCGCGCGCGGCAAACACAUUUUUUGGGCGCAGCGCGAAGCGCGGCUGUUGGAGAUGCUCGAGGCAUGGUCACUACUACGUCCACCAUGCUAGAGCGGCGGGCUAGCCGUGUCGGUGGUUGGCCAUGGUACGGACUCUAUGGAUAUGGGGCUCCUGAUUGAAUGCGUCCGGCAAAACGGAGCUCGUCGGGACCUAAAGAGGAGGAGAUGCCGCUGGUGGAAGCGGAGGGAGUGUGGCGUAUGGGGGUCAGGGAGGUCUCGCUGCUGGGUCACGGCUGCUGCAACACGAGGAGGAAAGAAUGUUUCGACGCACGGAGGCCCGCGGAAGUGGCGGCUGUUGCACCCUUGCUUGAGGAUCAGGUGAAGUCAAGGUCGUUCUCCCUCAUCCAGAUAGCCAGUACCAUCGGAUCCGCUCGCCGGGUUGGAUCACCCCCGGAUGUGCACAUGGAGUUGCGAGGGGUCUGUCGUCGCUGGCCUCGCCGCCGUCGCUUGCCUAGCGUGAGGCUUUCCCUCUGCUAGGGUUGGUCGCAUGGAGGGUUGUGGGCCGUUUGUUCUAGGUUUUCAUCGGAGGGAGCCCGGGGUGUUGGAUGGGAGGCCCAACCAAGUUUUGGUUUUUGUUUCAUGGACUUAGCGGCUCGGCCUGCCUUGAUGACCCGUGAAGCGCAGCCAACGGUGGCUGAUGCCACCGAUCGCUUCCUUAAGUGGUGGUGGGUGUCUAGGGAUGGCCCAUCCACUCACUUAUGGUUUGAAGCCGCAAUCAGAGACAUCGGGAGAGGAGCUAACACCGCUCACAAGAUCCACUGUUCUCGCGCGCUCAUCCUCGAGGCCUCGCUCGCGGCCAUGGAUGUGAUAGGGCGGCUGGCAAGCAUGCGUUCGAGGAGCAUCAUGCUGAUUACGUGACCUACACAUGGAGAGGGAUAUGUUGAAUUAGAUGUUGGGGGUAGAGGGCAGCCGCAAGAGGGGUCGAGAGGACGUGUUCCCCUUCUUCCAGGUGAUCAAUGCCCAUGGGAUCCCGAGGACAACGGUUGCUUCCUGGUGCCCUCCUUGCGCCACUUCAGGCGGUUGAGGUGUCCAGAGAGGGGCGACAAUGACUCGCGUUGGUCGGACUAGGCCCAAUAAAGAGAUGCCGGGGACACUGCUUGGGAUAGGGAUAAAGGGAGCCUUGAGGACGACCAGUGUGGGAAGGGGGAUUUGGAUACUCCAAAUGUGCUUCCCCUCACGACGACACAUUGUUGGAAAUAUGCCCUAGAGGCAAUAAUAAAUUAGUUAUUAUUAUAUUUCUUAGUUCAUGAUAAUCGUUUAUUAUCCAUGCUAUAAUUGUAUUGAUUGGAAACACAAUACUUGUGUGGAUACAUAGACAAAACACUGUCCCUAGUAAGCCUCUAGUUGACUAGCUCGUUGAUCAAAGAUGGUCAAGGUUUCCUGGCCAUAGGCAAGUGUUGUCACUUGAUAACGGGAUCACAUCAUUAGGAGAAUCAUGUGAUGGACUAGACCCAAACUAAUAGACGUAGCAUGUUGAUCGUGUCAUUUUGUUGCUACUGUUUUCUGCGUGUCAAGUAUUUGUUCCUAUGACCAUGACAUCAUAUAACUCACGGACACCGGAGGAAUGCUUUGUGUGUAUCAAACGUCACAACGUAACUGGGUGACUAUAAAGAUGCUCUACAGGUAUCUCCGAAGGUGUUCGUUGAGUUAGUAUGGAUCAAUACUGGGAUUUGUCACUCCGUAUGACGGAGAGGUAUCUCGGGGCCCACUCGGUAAUACAACAUCACACACAAGCCUUGCAAGCAAUGUAACUUAGUGUAAGUUGCGGGAUCUUGUAUUACGGAACGAGUAAAGAGACUUGCCGGUAAACGAGAUUGAAAUAGGUAUGCGGAUACUGACGAUCAAAUCUCGGGCAAGUAACAUACCGAAGGACAAAGGGAAUGACAUACGGGAUUAUACGAAUCCUUGGCACUGAGGUUCAAACGAUAAGAUCUUCGUAGAAUAUGUAGGAUCCAAUAUGGGCAUCCAGGUCCCGCUAUUGGAUAUUGACCGAGGAGUCUCUCGGGUCAUGUCUACAUAGUUCUCGAACCCGCAGGGUCUGCACACUUAAGGUUCGACGUUGUUUUAUGCGUAUUUGAGUUAUAUGGUUGGUUACCGAAUGUUGUUCGGAGUCCCGGAUGAGAUCAAGGACGUCACGAGGGUUUCCGGAAUGGUCUGGAAACGAAGAUUGAUANNNNNNNNNNNNNNNNNNNNNNNNNNNNNNNNNNNNNNNNNNNNNNNNNNNNNNNNNNNNNNNNNNNNNNNNNNNNNNNNNNNNNNNNNNNNNNNNNNNNGAGAUUCCAGAUGGCGAGUUGCGGCAAGGACAUUGUCCACCAAGUUGGAAAAGUGGCCUUGAGGCGUCCGGAAUCGGGGAAUGCGAUCCUCAGCCGGCUGAACCGGCGGGUUAGGUGGGCGACCCGGCCCUCCCCCCGGGGCGGCUCCCGACCCAGGGGUUCAUGGAGUGUCGAACAGGCAGGUCGGGUUAAGGUCAUGGGGCAGGCGACCCUGGUGUCUCCGUUGAUGGACGGCGUCAGAUGCGCGCUGCUGUCUCUCGAGCCGCCAGUUGUUAAUGUUUAAACGCAUCCUUUCGGCCGUAAUUUGAGCUUGCCGAGUCUCGAUCCUGGCGGUCUCCACCUCGGCGUCCCGAUGAGCCUUUGCCACUGCCUCUUUGAGUUUCGCCAACUCCGUGUUUAUCUCCUCCUGGUUUUCUGGUGUAAGGGGAGUCGCCAUCAGCCUUGUGAUCUCCGCCGCUAAAUCCACCAGGACUGCGGCCGGGCUUCUGGACGUCUCGCCGGCUCCCUUGCCUCCGGUAGGGUUUUGUGUGGGUUGAGUCGCCCCUGCCAUGUAGAUGGCGAUCUGGCGGCGGGUUCGGUCAAGGACUUCGGGGUCCAUGGCCAGCGACAAGCCCCCAAGACAAUCCCCAUGCAGAGACCGGAUUGAAUCUGAAUCGCCCAUGGAUGAUUCGUCAUCAGAGUUGACCGGUGUAGUUUCCUGAGUCGCUGAGCGCUCUGGCUUGUCCGAUCCCUGCGUGAACCCCACAAAGACCGGGCGAGUCAGAUUUUGCGUUAUCACUGGGUGGACGUACCUGGCCGGCUCGACGAUGUCGGUGGAGAUGUCCGGCUCACGCACGGAUGAUCCGAUCAUGCCGAUGAAGAUGUUGAUCUUGCCGAAGAGGACCCUGUAACCAGAUUCAAUUGAAUCCGCUUCAGGCCCCCAUCGCUGGUUGUCGAUGUAGGUUUUCCCGCGGCGGCUCCGUGUCAUGAGUCCCAUCACGUAACUCCCAAACCCUGGUAGAGCUCCCUUUGAGAACUCAACUCCACCGUGUGUAGGCCCCACGGUGGGCGCCAACUGUCGUGGUUUUGUCACGGCAGAUGUCCUCGUGAAAGGACUUAGUACUGGAGCCAUCGCACCUUGGUGGCGACUCAAAGGGGUUAAGCGGGAGAGACACGACGAUUUACCCAGGUUCGGCCCCUCGUGAGGAGGUAAAAGCCUACGUCCUGCUUUGGUUUGUAUUGAUGUGGUUUCGAUUACAAGGAGGGCGUAACUCGCUGAACCUAGCACUCGAUGAUUUCUAACUUGCCCUCUCCUGCCCUAGGACUCGCCUUUAUAUACAGGUCGAACCCUUAGGGUUUACAAGGAUACUUUCCUUCCUGCAAAUCGUGACCCCUGUGGUCUCUAAGUCGCCCUCUUUCAAAGCUUGGAGACCUUCCAGAAAUCAUAAACAGCCAUACGGCCUUGAUCCCGCCAGGCCAAGGCCCAAACCACUGUUUAGGUGAAUCGCCUGAUUGGUGACCCGGCCCAACUAGGGCGGGUUAUUAACAGGUAAUAUCCCCAACACCAAGUGCUAAUGCGUUGGUCCAGUUCUUUAUUAAAAGGAGAACCUUAAUAUCCCGUAGUUUACUUUUGGACCCCGCUGCCACGGGAGGGAUGGAUAAUAGAUGUCAUGCAAGUUCUUUUCCCUAAGCACGUAUGACGACACACAGAAUGCAUGCCUACAUCACAUUGACGAACGGGAGCUAGCCACAUAUCUCUCCAUGUUAUAACUGUUGCAUGAUGAAUAUCAUCCAAACAAAUCACCGACCCAUUGCCUACGAGUUUGUCCUGCUGCUGCUACUACUGUUGCUACUGUUGUUACUUGUCUUGCUCUGCUGCUGCUACUACUGUUGCUAUUGCUGUUACUUGUCUUGCUCUGCUGCUACUGUUGCUACUACUGUCGCUUGCUACUGUUGCUACUUGCUACUACUAUCACUACUGCUUUUCCUUGCCGCUGCUAUUGCUCGUUAGACCGUCGUUACUCGCUACUUUGUUGUUACUACUUUGCUUGCAGAUACUAAUCUUUCAGGUGUGGUUGAAUCUGAAAAUUCAACUGCUAAUACUUGAGAGUAUUCUCCCACCUCCCGUCGUGCGAAUCAACAAAUUUGGGUCGAAUAAUCUACCCUCGAAAACUGCUGCGACCCCAUGCGCUUGUGGGCCGUCAACAACAUUCUUCUAGUUUCGAUUGCCAGGGAGUGCUAGCAGCAGUCUUCUGGUGUCGUUGCAAAGGGGAAGAACAGUUGGCAUCAAGCAUUUUUCUGGCGCCGUUACCGGGGAGGUAUUGCUAUAUUCUCUGAGUCACUUGGGAUUUAUAUCUGCUGAUUACUAUGAAGAAUCUGAAGGAUCCGAAGACCAAAGUCUUGCCCUCAACUACGAGGGGAGGUAAGGAAUUGCCAUCUAGCUCUGCACUUGAUUCACCUUCAGUUAUGAGUAAGUUUGCGACAUCACCUCCUGCUAGAAAUCUUGAUAUGUCGCAUGUGCUUGAUGAUGAUUANNNNNNNNNNNNNNNNNNNNNNNNNNNNNNNNNNNNNNNNNNNNNNNNNNNNNNNNNNNNNNNNNNNNNNNNNNNNNNNNNNNNNNNNNNNNNNNNNNNNAAUCGAGUUAGUUUUGAUGGGGAUUGAUCCCUAGUAUCCACUAUGUUCUGAGAUUGAUGUUGCUACUACUUUGCCAUGCUUAAUGCUUGUCACUAGGGCCCGAGUGCCAUGAUUUCAGAUAUGAAAUUAUUAUGUUGUCACCAAUAUAUGUGUGUUUUAGAUCCGAUCUUGCAAGUUGUAGUUACCUACUAUGUGUUAUGAUCCAGCAACCCCGGAGUGACAAUAACCGGAACCACUCCCGGUGAUGACCAUAGUUUGAGGAGUUCAUGUGUUCACCAAGUGCUAAUGCGUUGGUCCGGUUCUUUAUCAAAAGGAGAACUUAAUAUCCCGUAGUUUCAUUUUGGACCCCGCUGCCACGGGAGGGAUGGACAAUAGAUGUCAUGCAAGUUCUUUUCCCUAAGCACGUAUGACGACACAUGGAAUGCAUGCCUACAUCACAUUGACGAACAAGAGCUAGCCACAUAUCUCUCCGUGUUAUAACUGUUGCAUGAUGAAUACCAUCCAAACAAAUCACCAACCCAUUGCCUACGAGUUUGUCCUACUGCUGUUGUUACUUGUUUUGCUCUUCUGCUGUUACUACUGUUGUUGUUGCUGUUACUUGUUUUGCUCUGCUGCUGUUACUACUAUUGCUGUUUCUGUUACUUGUCUUCCUCUGCUGCUGUUACUACUAUUGCUACUGAUGUUACUUGUCUUGCUCAGCUGCUAUUGUUGCUACUACUGCCGCUUGCUUCUGUUGCUACUUGCUACUGCUGUCACUACUACUUUUCCUUGCCGCUGCUAUUGCUCGUUACACUGCUGCUACUUGCUACAAUUUUGGUUCGCUGGUCAUUGACGGGAACUAACAAUUUCCGUAAACGAGGCAACUUGGCGCCAUUGAUACAAUCGUUAGGAAUAGUCUGUCGUCAACAGAUCGUUUCUGACACUGUUGUUAUCAUACUACUUUGUUGUUACUACUUUGCUUGCAGAUACUAAUCUUUCAGGUGUGGUUGAAUCUGACAAAUUCAGCUGCUAAUACUCGAGAGUAUUCUCUCACCUCUUGUUUGGCGAUCAACAAAUUUGGGCCGAAUACUCUUGUUGGGAACGUCGCAUGGGAAACAAAAAAUUUCCUACGCGCACGAAGACCUAUCAUGGUGAUGUCCAUCUACGAGAGGGGAUGUGUGAUCUACGUACCCUUGUAGACCGUACAACGGAAGCGUUAGUGAACGCGGUUGAUGUAGUGGAAUGUCCUCACGUCCCUCGAUCCGCCCCGCGAACCGUCCCGCGAUCAGUCCCACGAUCUAGUGCCGAACGGACGACACCUCCGCGUUCAGCACACGUACAGCUCGACGAUGAUCUCGGCCUUCUUGAUCCAGCAAGAGAGACGGAGAGGUAGAAGAGUUCUCCGGCAGCGUGACGGCGCUCCGGAGGUUGGUGAUGAUCUCGUCUCAGCAGGGCUCCGCCCGAGCUCCGCAGAAACGUGAUCUAGAGGAAAAACCGUGGAGGUAUGUAGUCGGGCUGCCGUGGAAAACUCGUCUCAAAUCAGCCCUAAAACCUCCGUAUAUAUAGGUGGGAGAGGGGGAGCCUUGCCUUGGGGCUCAAGGAGCCCCAAGGGGGUCGGCCGAGCCAAGGGGGGAAGGUCUCCCCCCCCCCAAACCGAGUCCUACUUGGUUUGGUGGGUGGAGUCCUUCUUUCCUUUCCCACCUCCUCCUUUUUUUUAUUUUCUCUUUCAUUUUUUUCUAUGGCGCAUAGGGCCUUCUUGGGCUGUCCCACCAGCCCACUAAGGGCUGNNNNNNNNNNNNNNNNNNNNNNNNNNNNNNNNNNNNNNNNNNNNNNNNNNNNNNNNNNNNNNNNNNNNNNNNNNNNNNNNNNNNNNNNNNNNNNNNNNNNGCUAAACUCCCACUCAAAAAGUACAUCUCUCUAGUCAUUUGAGUGGUUCAUGAUCCACUUACACUAGCUCAAGUCCGAUCAUCACGUGAGUUGAGCAUAGUUUCAGUGGUAAGCAUCCCUAUGCUAAUCAUAUCAUCUAUAUGAUUCAUGAUCGACCUUUCGGUCUCAUGUGUUCCGAGGCCAUGUCUGCACAUGCUAGGCUCGUCAAGCUUAACCCGAGUGUUCCGCGUGCGCAACUGUUUUGCACCCGUUGUAUGUGAACGUUGAGUCUAUCACACCCGAUCAUCACGUGGUGUCUCGAAACGACGAACUGUAGCAACGGUGCACAGUCGGGGAGAACACAAUUUCGUCUUGAAAUUUUAGUGAGAGAUCACCUCAUAAUGCUACCGUCGUUGUAAGCAAAAUAAGGUGCAUAAAAGGAUUAACAUCACAUGCAAUUCAUAAGUGACAUGAUAUGGCCAUCAUCACGUGCUCCUUGAUCUCCAUCACCAAAGCACCGGCACGAUCUUGUUGUCACCGGCGCCGCACCAUGAUCUCCAUCAACGUGUCGCCAUCGGGGUUGUCGUGCUACUCAUGCUAUUACUACUAAAACUACAUCCUAGCAAAAUAGUAAACGCAUCUGCAAGCACAAACGUUAGUAUAAAGACAACCCUAUGGCUCCUGCCGGUUGCCGUACCAUUGACGUGCAAGUCGAUAUUAUCUAUUACAACAUGAUCAUCUCAUACAUCCAAUAUAUCACAUCACAAGCAUACCCUGCAAAAACAAGUUAGACGUCCUCUAAUUUUGUUGUUGCAUGUUUUACGUGGUGACCAUGGGUAUCUAGUAGGAUCGCAUCUUACUUACGCAAACACCACAACGGAGAUAUAUGAGUUGCUAUUUAACCUCAUCCAAGGACCUCCUCGGUCAAAUCCGAUUCAACUAAAGUUGGAUAAACUGACACUUGCCAGUCAUCUUUGAGCAACGGGGUUACUCAUAGCGAUGAAACCAGUCUCUCGUAAGCGUACGAGUAAUGUCGGUCCAAGCCGCUUCAAUCCAACAAUACCGUGGAAUCAAGAAAAGACUAAGGAGGGCAGAAAAAUGCACAUCACCGCCCACAAAAACUUUUGUGUUCUACUCAAGAAGACAUCUACGCAUGAACCUAGCUCAUGAUGCCACUGUUGGGGAACGUCGCAUGGGAAACAAAAAAUUUCCUACGCGCACGAAGACCUAUCAUGGUGAUGUCCAUCUACGAGAGGGGAUGUGUGAUCUACGUUGUAGACCGUACAGCAGAAGCGUUAGUGAACGCAGUUGAUGUAGUGGAACGUCCUCACGUCCCUCGAUCCGCCCCGCGAACCGUCCCGCGAUCAGUCCCAUGAUCUAGUGCCGAACGGACGGCACCUCCGCGUUCAGCACACGUACAGCUCGAUGAUGAUCUCGGCCUUCUUGAUCCAGCAAGAGAGACGGAGAGGUAGAAGAGUUCUCCGGCAGAGUGACGGCGCUCCGGAGGUUGGUGAUGAUCUCGUCUCAGCAGGGCUCCGCCCGAGCUCCGCAGAAACGCGAUCUAGAGGAAAAACCGUGGAGGUAUGUGGUCGGGCUGCCGUGGAAAAGUCGUCUCAAAUCAGCCCUAAAACCUCCGUAUAUAUAGGUGGGAGAGGGGGAGCCUUGCCUUGGGGCUCAAGGAGCCCCAAGGGGGUCGGCCGAUCCAAGGGGGGAAGGUCUCCCCCCCCCCAAACCGAGUCCUACUUGGUUUGGUGGGUGGAGUCCUUCUUUCCUUUCCCACCUCCUCCUUUUUUUUCUUUUCUCUUUGAUUUUCNNNNNNNNNNNNNNNNNNNNNNNNNNNNNNNNNNNNNNNNNNNNNNNNNNNNNNNNNNNNNNNNNNNNNNNNNNNNNNNNNNNNNNNNNNNNNNNNNNNNACUGUAAUCCAUAUUCCACUCAACAACAAGCUACCAAGAGCACUGAGACGUAGGGCUUUUACCUCCGCCGUAGAGGGGCCUGAACUCAUACAACCUCGCCGUAGCUAAGGCUCUGCCCAUCCUUUCAUACCCUACACAUCUACUGUUAGACUUAUACCCACGACAGUUGGCGCCCACCAUGGGGCAGGCGUCUAAGCGACUUUUCGGUGAGUUUGCGACUACAUCUUUUCGUCAUGUCGUCCGGUGGUGAUUUGAGCAUGUGUCGUGAGAUCCUCUUCGGCACUCUCUCCUUCAUCGUCGACGAUUCGGCAUGGCUUCGGGAUGCCCGUCUUGACGUCGAGGCGCUCCCCAGUCGCGGGGCUACGCACUUCCGUGCCGGCGCCCGCGGCAUCCUUCUUUUCCAGCAGUCGGCUCCGGUGUCGACCUUCCCCCCUGUCACGCGCCGCAACAAGCGGUCUCGCCGUCCUCGGCUCCAGCGUUGGGUGCAACACGCCCAGGCGCGCCAGAGCGCGUCUUCACAAGUGGCGGUCCUCGAGUCGGUUGUAGUUGCGCCGCCGUCCUAGUGCUCGGACUCGGUUCCGACUGAGUUCCCUUCCUAGUAUGUGGGUCGCGGGCCUGCAGCCGAAGUGCACAUGGCCAACUCCCAUGAAAGCCCCCGCCCAACCGGCCGGAACGAGCACGAGGUCGGUGAAACCUCCGGCGCUCGCCGUCAACCCCGCCGUUCUGCCAGUCGGCGCACUCGUCAGAGCAACAUGGAGGUGUUCCGCACACCCGUCCUCAACCUGGCUGCCGCCGCCAAGAUAGCCGAUUCCCUCUCACCGACCGAUUCAGAGGCUAGCAGAGGGAUCGAGCAGAUCCGUGCCCUGCUGCACACGGCGCAGCAGCAAAAUUCGGCGGUCUCCCAGUCGCACAACAGGAUCCACAAUAGUUCUGUUCAUGCGAAGACGCAUCGGUCAGUUCACAACCCCGGUUCUCAUGAGCGACACAGGGGAGGCAGUUGUUCCAUAAAUCCCGAAGAUCGUCGUCGUUCACGCACCCCUCCGUGGGGUGGGCCCUACGGGCCCCGACAUCCUGAUGAUCGGCGUUCAGUCAAUGACACUUAUGAUCCAAGGCCCGACGCAAGAGGGCAUAUCGCUCAGAGUAGGGUCGACAGGGGCCGGGCCCACCGCGAGGAUCACGAUAUGGGCCGUCCGAGUGGAAGCAGGACCAUCGUCUCUGGUCCCGAGUGUUUCAGCCGAGCCAUCCGUUCGGCUCACAUCCCUCCCAACUUCCGAUUGGCGACGGGGAUCAGCAAGUUUACAGGAGAAUCCAAGCCAGAAACGUGGCUGGACGACUACCAAGUGGCACUCCAGAUCGGAGGAGGGGACGACCACGUCGCCAUGAAACACCUUCCUCUGAUGCUUGACGGCUCGGCACGUGCAUGGCUGAACCAGUUGGCCCCCUCAAGCAUCUACAGCUGGGCAGAUCUGGUCCAAGUCUUCAUCAGGACCUUCGAAGGGACGUGCAAACGCCCUGCUGGCCUCGUGGAGCUCCAGCACUGUGUCCAGAAGCAGAAUGAGCCCCUGCGUGAUUUCAUUCAGCGUUGGACGACCCUCUACCACACGGUGGAGAACGUCACAGAGCACCAAGCAGUCUGCACCUUCAAGGCAGGCGUGCGGUACAGAGAUUUGUACCUGAAGUUCGGUCGAACAGGCGACGUCUCCAUGAGUAAGAUGAUGGAGAUAGCGACACGCUAUGCAAAUGGCGAAGAAGAAGACCGCAUUCGGAGCGGCAAGCACAAAGCAGUCGUCGAUGGAGAUGGGAACAACACUCGGAAGCAGAAGCAGAAAGCUCCGUCCACUCUGCAUGUAGAGGCCGCAGCCGUUACCAAUGCCAAGUUUAAGGGCAAGGGGAAGGCUCAGUUCACCCCCAAGAAGAAGCAGUUCGGAAACCCCAUCCUGGACCAGCCAUGUCAGAUUCACACGAAGAUGGAUGAAGAGGGCAACGCCAUAUAUCCGAAGCAUACCACUCGGCAAUGUCGCCGCCUGAUCUAGGGGUUCGGCGAAGGGCAACCGAGUGAAAAGGGCAAUGAACAGGAUGAGGAGGACAAGGAGGAUCCGUUCCCCAAAGUCCAUGCAACACUGAUGAUUUUUGCUGACGUUGAGAGUAAGAGUCGACUGAAGCUGGUGAACAGGGAGGUGAACAUGGCCACGCCGAGCAACCCCACGUUCCUCAAAUGGUCUUAGACUGCGAUCACCUUUGACCAGUCGGAUCAUCCAGCACACGUACCCACCCCAGGGAGGCAGGCUCUGGUCGUCGACCCGGUGGUGGAAGGAGUCCGACUGCGCAAAGUCCUCAUGGACGGCGGCAGUGGUUUGAACAUCAUGUACGCUGACACUCUCAAGGGGAUGGGCAUUCCGAUGUCCAAACUUAGCGAGAUCAGCAUGCAGUUCCAUGGAGUCGUCCCUGGAAGAAAGGCCAAGUCACUCGGCCAGAUCGCGUUGGACGUCGUCUUCGGCUCCGACAAGAACUUCCGCAAGGAAAAGUUGACGUUCGAGGUGGUGGACUUCCAGAGUGCGUAUGACGCAAUUCUGGGCCGCCCGGCGUAUGCGCGUUUCAUGGCCCGUCCAUGUUACGUGUACCUGAAGCUAAAGAUGCCAGGCCCGAAAGGUGUGAUCACUAUCACAGGCAAUCGGCAGCGGGCCGAGGAGUGUCUGCAGCAGGGAUCGAGGAUCGCCGAUCAGCAGAUGGUUGUCCUCGAGCUUGACGAGUACAAGAAGACAGUCGACCCCGCUGACUUGAUGCAUUCGAAGAAGCCAGCUUCGGAAUCCGCAUUCCAGUCAGCGGGAGAGACGAAGAAGGUCAUCAUCCAUCCGACGGACGACACCGCUGCCCCGACGAACAUCUCCACCACCCUCGAUCCUAAAUAGGAAGCCGAGCUCAUCCAAUUCCUCCGUGAGAACUAGGACAUCUUCGCAUGGAAGCCCUCUGACAUGCCAGGUGUACCCAGGGAGUUGGCUGAGCACCGACUGCAUGUGGAUCCCGCCGCUCGGCCUGUCCGAGAACGCCUGCGUCGGUCCGCCGCGCACAAGAGGAAGGCAAUCGUAGAAGAGGUGGCCAAGCUUUUGGCAGCCAACUUCAUUCUUGAGGUACACCACUCCGAGUGGCUCGCCAAUGUUGUCAUGGUGCCCAAGAAGGACAAGUCGCUCCGAAUGUGCAUCGACUUCAAGCAUCUCAAUAAGGUCUGCCCGAAAUACCAUUUUCCGAUCCCCCGCAUCGAUCAAAUUGUCGAUUCGACUGCGGGUUGCGAGCGUUUGUCAUUUCUUGAUGCCUACUCGGGCUAUCAUCAGAUCCGUCUGUAUGGCCCCGACGAAUUAAAAACAGCCUUCAUCACCCCAUUCGGGUGCUUCUGCUACAUCACUAUGCCAUUUGGUUUGAAGAAUGUAGGAGCAACCUUUAUGCGCAUGAUCCAAAAAUGCCUCCUCGACCAGAUCGGUUGGAAUGUGGAGGCGUAUAUGGAUGAUAUCGUAGUCAAGUCACGCAAAGGUUCCGACCUGCUGACUGACUUGGCAGAAACAUUCGCCAACCUUCGUAGGUACGAUAUCAAGCUCAACCCAGCCAAGUUUUCAUUCGGCGUUCCGAGCGGAAAGUUACUCGGUUUCUUCGUUUCUGAACGAGGUAUCGAUGUCAACCCCGAAAAGAUCGGGACCAUCGUCCGAAUGGAGCGCCCGGUCAGAAUACAUGAUGUUCAAAGGCUCACAGAUUGCCUAGCGGCUUUGAGCAGGUUUAUCAGUCGACUCGGCGAGAAGGCGCUUCCUCUGUACCGCCUCAUGAAGAAAUCAGAUACUUUUGAGUGGACAGACGAAGCCCAAGUCGCAUUCGACGACCUCAAAGUCCUACUUUCCACCCAGCCGGUUCUUACUGCUCCGCUCAGUAAAGAGCCCCUUCUUCUGUACAUCGCGGCUACAAAUCAAGUCGUCAGCACUGUUCUCACAGUCGAACGGGAAGAAGAAGGCAAAGCAUACAAGGUUCAGCGGCCAGUGUAUUAUGUCUCCGAAGUCCUGACUCCUUCCAAGCAGAGGUAUCCCCACUAUCAAAAACUUAUCUACGGGAUUUACAUGACUGCGAAGAAGGUGGCUCAUUAUUUCCAAGACCACUCGGUGUCUGUCGUUUCUGAUGCUCCGUUGUCGGAAAUCCUCCACAAGGGGGAUGCAUCGGGCCGAGUUACGAAGUGGGCAAUGGAGAUGUUGUACUGCGACAUCAAGUUCGAGGCCAAGAAAGCUAUAAAGUCUCAAGCUGUGGCUGACUUCAUAGCAGAAUGGGUAGAACAACAGCAACCGACCCACAUCUACUCGGCUCAUUGGACAAUGUUCUUCGAUGGGUCCAAGAUGUUGAAUGGCUCCGGCGCUAGCGUUGUGAUCAUAUCGCCAAAGGGUGAGAAACUCAAGUAUGUGUUGCAGAUACACUUUGAUUCCUCCAACAACGAGGCAGAGUAUGAAGCUCUCCUCUAUGGACUGCGCAUGGCCAUCGCACUCGGCGUUCGUCGCCUGAUGGUCUAUGGCGAUUCGGAUUUGGUGGUUAAUCAAGUGAUGAAGGAGUGAGACGUCAGAAACCCCACCAUGACCACAUACUCCAAUGCAGUGAGGAAGCUCGAGAAAAAGUUUGAAGGUCUAGAACUCCACCAUGUUCCGCGACUGAAAAACCAAGCAGCUCAUGAGUUGGCAAAACUCGGAUCCACUCGGAGACCAGUCCCGAGUGACGUCUGCCUCGAGCACCUCCACCUUCCCUCAGUUAAAGAAGAUCCUGUCACAGAGGAACCAGUACAACCAAAGAGCUCNNNNNNNNNNNNNNNNNNNNNNNNNNNNNNNNNNNNNNNNNNNNNNNNNNNNNNNNNNNNNNNNNNNNNNNNNNNNNNNNNNNNNNNNNNNNNNNNNNNNGCAUUAAUGGCAAGACUGAGCAUUGUCACCUCUGUGCACCCGACCUUAGUAUCCUUAAGAGCGCGGUGACGGGUGACAAAAGCUUCAACAUGGGAGCUAUAAUAGCAAGGAGGCUGAAUAAGAAUGCUAAUGAAGGGGAUUUCUUUGGUGGGAUCUAUGCCACUCGCAUAGCAAAUUUUCUUGGAGUACCCAUCCGCGAAGGAGAUCCCCCGCUCCAUACAGCUUUCCUUGACCGCAUCGCUUUGACACGCUACCAGUUCCUUGAGAGGGAUGCCGAAUCCCUCCUAUACCGUUUGAUAUUUAACCGGCAGUGUNNNNNNNNNNNNNNNNNNNNNNNNNNNNUUUGAUAUUUAACCGGCAGUGUGUUUUUCAUAUUAGCCUUCCUGCUCCUGCCUUCUUUGACUUCCAGGUAAAACGGAUAUAUUGCAUAACCAGAGGAGAGACAGAGGAGUAUGAGAGGGAGGCAAAGGCUGCUCGUCUCCAUGAGGAAGCUAUUCAGGCAGUGGUUGCAGCGCUCCCGUAUAACCCUCAUUAUGAUUUUGGGUGUCGCUAGGACCAUCCUUGGGAGUAGACCAACUUAGGCCAAAAGCCUAAGCUUGGGGGAGUAUGUGUUCUCGCCGACUUUACAUUCUUGCUUAUGCUUUCACUUUGUUAGCCGGUGUUCACACUUUGCCACUGUAUCAUCCAUGCUAGUUUAUUUUCUUUUUCUCGUUUUCUUUUCGUGUGUCUGUCUAGUUUGAGAAAAAACCAAAAAGAUUUUCCUUUUCUUCUUUUGCUUGUUGGGAGCUUUCCCGUGUAGAUAGUUUUCUUUUUCUUUGGGUCAAGGUAGAAGACCAUGGUUACAAUGUUUAGUGGCUCUUGCAUGCAUACCUAUUUAGCUUUCAAAGAGCCAUAUUACCUUGUCUUCUCCUUUGUGUUUGCCCGCAGAUUCCAGCUUUAGUCCAAUGCACGAGGACUCUUAUUAUUGUUCACAUCAUUCGGUCGUGCAAGUGAAAGGCAAUAAUGAAGAUAUAUGAUGAAGUGACUGAGCCUGGAAAAGCUGGUAUGAACUCGACCUAUUUUGNNNNNNNNNNNNNNNNNNNNNNNNNNNNNNNNNNNNNNNNNNNNNNNNNNNNNNNNNNNNNNNNNNUAAAUAUGACUAGCUCAUCAUGCCUGAUUCAGAUUUGUUGUGAGAGAAACAUGUUUGCAAUGACAACUUAGAGAUAAUAGUUUCUUAUGCCAUGCUUACUUAGCUAGGAGCUUAUAAUGGUCUGUCUUGGUUGCCAACAUGAAUGUUGAGAUGACUAUGAUGUAGUUUGAUAGGAUGGUAUCCUCCUUUGAAUGUUUCAAGUGGCUUGACUUGGCAUAUGUUCACGCAUGUAGUUGAAACAAAAUCAACACAGCCUCUAUGAUGUUCAUGUUCAUGGUGAUUUAUGUCCUACUCAUGCUUGCACUCAAUGUUAGUUAAUCUCAAUGCAUUUUGAUGACUGUUGUCGCUGUCUAGUUGGUCGCUUCUCAGUCUUUUGCUAGCCUUCACUUGUACUAAGCGGGAAUACUGCUUGUGCAUCCACUUCCAUAAACCCAAAGUUGUUUCAUAUGAGUCCACCUAUGUGCGGUAUCUACCUACCUGUGACAACCCGAUGCCGACGUUCCAAAAGAUUCCCCUCUCUUUCCGUUUUCGUCGUGUGGCUUAUUUUAUUUGUCGUGUCAUCAUCGCAUCAUGCGCAUCAUCUNNNNNNNNNNNNNNNNNNNNNNNNNNNNNNNNNNNNNNNNNNNNNNNNNNNNNNNNNNNNNNNNNNNNNNNNNNNNNNNNNNNNNNNNNNNNNNNNNNNNCAUUCAGGACAGGCCAAGGGGGAUUCACACAUCUGUUGGUGGCAGUCGACAAGUUCACAAAGUGGAUUGAAGCCAAACCCAUCAAGAAGCUCGACACCCUUACGGCCAUCAAGUUUGUCACGGACAUCAUCUCCAGAUUCGGGGUACCUCACAGCAUAAUCACUGACAACGGAACAAACUUUGACUCGGACAGAUUCAAAAGUUUCUGUACAGGCCAAGGUAUCCGAGUGGAUUUUGCAUCUGUGGCGCAUCCCCAAACAAACGGGCAAGCAGAGCGGGCGAAUGGACUUAUUCUGCAAGGUUUGAAGCCUCGACUCCUGCGAGAAGUGGGACAUGCCACCGGCGCACGGGUCACUGAGCUACCUUCGAUGCUUUGGGGUCUUCGCACAACCCCAAAUAGAUCUACAGGGCGAUCCCCGUUCUUCCUCGUUUACGGAGCAGAGGCAGUCCUUCUGAGUGACUUGCUUCACAAUGCUCCAUGAGUUGAACUCUUCUCCGAAGCUGAAGCAGAGAAAGCAAGGCAAGACGGUGUGGAUCUUCUAGAGGAGGAGCGCGAGAUGGCACUGACACGCUCAACCAUUUACCAACAAGAUCUGCGGCGCUUUCACGCGCGACACGUCAGGAGUCGUACAUUCCAAGCAGGCAACCUGGUGCUCCGAGUGGAUCAGCAGAGACCUCACAAAUUGGCUCCCGCCUGGGAAGGACCCUUCAUCAUCUCCAAGGUGCUGAACAACGGAGCNNNNNNNNNNNNNNNNNNNNNNNNNNNNNNNNNNNNNNNNNNNNNNNNNNNNNNNNNNNNNNNNNNNNNNNNNNNNCGGGCGGGAAAACAGGGGAGCCGCGAGCAUGGAACGGAGAUCUCCUCAAGCGCUUCUACACGUGACCGUCGACUGAAGCAAUGUAAAGAACAAGUAUCGGUGAAGUAAUACAAAGCAGAUUGAGUUUUUGCAGAUUCAAAAUUCUUCCGCGGUCGCAGACUCCGGUAUAAAAAAAAACUUAGCUGCGAACCAGAAUCGCCUAAGUAUUAACUUUCUCNNNNNNNNNNNNNNNNNNNNNNNNNNNNNNNNNNNNNNNNNNNNNNNNNNNNNNNNNNNNNNNNNNNNNNNNNNNNNNNNNNNNNNNNNNNNNNNNNNNNGCGCUCUUUUUUAGUACGUACACACAUAUGGAAGUAGAAUGUUUUAUCCUCCAUUUCAGAAGAAGAAUGUUUUAUCCCUCCCGUGGUUGCACGCUUGCUUCCACUUGAUCCUGUGCGGCCUAUAAAUUGCCGUGAGCCGAACCUCCUGAACAUAACUCAUCGUGCACUGCCAACGGGUCGUGUGAGAAGAUAAAGCGCACAUCGCUCUAGCUGCUCGAAGCAACACUUGUUUGUUCAACUCAGCUAGCUACUAGCAAUGGCGGGUGCCAGCUUUGUAGUCGGUUCAUGUGCCCUGGUCAUCAUGGCUUUCAUGUCCGCGGCAACGGCAGCGUCCGUGCCGGCAGUGUACGUGUUCGGCGACUCGCUGGCCGACGUCGGAAACAACAACCAUCUGCUGACGGUGCUCAAGGCGGACUUCUCGCACAACGGCAUGGACUACCCGGGCGGGAUGGCCACCGGCCGCUUCAGCAACGGCAAGAACUCCGCCGACUUCCUAGGUGAGUUGCCUACUCAUUUCACUCCAUCGAAUACCAAUCAAUAGAUUUUUUUUUUCUUGCUUGUUUGCUACUACUCUCUCCGUUCCUAAAUAUAAGUCUUUUUAAAGAUUUCAUCAGAAAACUACAUACAGAUGUAUAUAGAGUAUAGACAUACUUUAGAGUGUAGAUUCAUUCAUUUUACUCCGUAUGUAGUCCCUUAGUGAAAUCUUUUAAAACAAUUAUAUUUAGGAACGGAGGGAGGGAGUAGUUUGUACGGCCGGAGCUAGGUUAGUUACUUAGUUAAAUAAAAUUAAAUAAAUGAUUGUCACGUUCAGUGUCAAUCUGUUAUUGAAGAUAUAUCUUCUGCUACAGAAAAAGUGUAAUCUACACNNNNNNNNNNNNNNNNNNNNNNNNNNNNNNNNNNNNNNNNNNNNNNNNNNNNNNNNNNNNNNNNNNNNNNNNNNNNNNNNNNNNNNNNNNNNNNNNNNNNUUAAAUAUAACUUGAGAAAGUGUACGACUUUUCACUAUAUCCAAGUUGUAGCAACUAUGACUUGGCCAGCUAGCAUAUAUAUCUACGUGCAGAUUUGGCGGCCAUAAGAAAGUAUAUUCUUUUUGUAGACGUUGAUAUCUUUACCCAUGUCUUUCAUCCCAAUUAGCUAGCAAUUGGUACCAUGCAAAAAAAAAAGCCUAGCAAUUGGUGAGUUCAGCCACAUUUAGUCGAAUUUGUUGCCACACAACAUUUCCUUAUUGAAGGAGCAUAUAUAUAUAUGCUGAUCAACAUACAUGCAUGUGAUGUAAGUACGUGUUCUCCGACUUUGUUGUUAAUGGAUGACUUGAAUUACAGCCGACAAGCUUGGGCUGGCGACCUCGCCACCGUACCUGGCCCUGUCCUCAAGCAGCAAUGCCAACUACGUGAACGGCGUCAGCUUCGCUUCCGGUGGCGCAGGGGUCUCCAACGCCACAAAUACNNNNNNNNNNNNNNNNNNNNNNNNNNNNNNNNNNNNNNNNNNNNCCAACGCCACAAAUACAGACCUGUGCAUCACAUUUGACAAGCAGAUCGAGUACUACUCCGGCGUGUACUCCUCCCUGGCGCGCAGCCUCGGACAGGCCCAGGCCGCGACCCACCUGGCCAGGUCCAUCUUCGCCAUCACCAUCGGCAGCAACGACAUCAUCCACUACGCCAAGGCCAACACCGCCGCCACACCNNNNNNNNNNNNNNNNNNNNNNNNNNNNNNNNNNNNNNNNNNNNNNNNNNNNNNNNNNNNNNNNNNNNNNNNNNNNNNNNNNNNNNNNNNNNNNNNNNNNAGGCAGUGAGAGCAACAUAUUGUUCACAUUUAUCGGAGAUGAAUUCUUCGAGUCCGACGUUGUAACAAGUGCAUCAAACUCAUCUUUGAAACCUGCCUCAAUCAUAAAUUCAUCACAAGGCCAUUCACAUGGUUGUACCUGCGCGUCCCUUGGUUGGUAAGGAUCAGGCUCCUGAAUCGCAAGACGGGGACCUCUCUUGCUUGAGGAACCACCAUGAAAGUUUCUCCUGAACAUCUUCCUUUUCUGAAAUUUUCAGUGACCCAGAGGAACAGUGAACAAGGCUCAACUAAACUAGUAGCAACNNNNNNNNNNNNNNNNNNNNNNNNNNNNNNNNNNNNNNNNNNNNNNNNNNNNNNNNNNNNNAGCAACUAUUCCCACAAGUGCCUAGAGGCCAUAUUACGCAUCAAAACUACUUGGGACCAGCUAAAAUCAGCAUGCAAAGCUCAAGAACAUGGUCACCAAGGCAGCAAAAAUACGAGGAGUAUAAGGCACUAGAGCAAAAACUAAUUGGACUAAUGGAGGAGUCACUUACCAAGGAGUAAUUUCCUCAAAAUAGUUCGGAGAAUGGUGCUUUGAGCAAAGAGAUCGAAAAUCCUAGCAAGAGGAGCAAGAACGCGGGUUUGAGNNNNNNNNNNNNNNNNNNNNNNNNNNNNNNNNNNNNNNNNNNNNNNNNNNNNNNNNNNNNNNNNNNNNNNNNNNNNNNNNNNNNNNNNNNNNNNNNNNNNNNNNNNNNNNNNNNNNNNNNNNNNNNNNNNNNNNNNNNNNNNNNNNNNNNNNNNNNCUGGGUGGCACGGCCAGGGGGUGCCCGCACCGUCAGGGCUUGUGGCCCACUGGUACAGCCCCCAGACAAGCUCUUUGUCUCAGAAUUUUUUUAAAAUCCAGAAAAAAUCAUACAUGAUUUUCAGGACGUUCGGGAAACUUUUAUUUUCGGGGUACUUUUCUACCGGACGCUAAAACAGAAAACAGGGAAAACUAAACUAAAUCUAUCAUUUUUCUUCUAAGCAACCUAAAGUGAAAGCUUGGAACAGAGGUUUGUGACUCCUCGAUUCAUCCAUCUCAUGGUCAUCGAAAGACAAUCCGUCAAUGAGGUUGAUCAAGUCUCCUCGACAAAACUUUUCGAAUCGCAAAAGAGAACGGAGAAUUUUCGAAUAGUCACUAGGUCACCUCAAUGGGGAUGUGAAUCUCCCCAACAAGCAAAUCAUACUUCAUCUUGACACAAGGAAUAGGGCAUUCAAAGCUCCCAAAGAGAAUCAAUGAAGUCUUUUCGAUAGCAUUGAUGCAAUGUACUUGACAUCGUUUCUUCGAAAAGUGCACUGUGUGCUCAUUACCGUUGACAUGGAAAGUGACAUUGCCUUUGUUGCAUCGUAUGCUCAUUACCGUUGACAUGGAAAGUGACAUUGACUUUGUUGCAACCUAUGACAGCCCCUGCGGUGUUUAAAAAGGGUCUUCUGAGGAUGACAGUCAUGGCAUCGUCCUCGGGAAUAUCCAAGAUAACAAAGUCUGUUAAGANNNNNNNNNNNNNNNNNNNNNNNNNNNNNNNNNNNNNNNNNNNNNNNNNNNNNNNNNNNNNNNNNNNNNNNNNNNNNNNNNNNNNNNNNNNNNNNNNNNNAGGGAAAGCCAAAGAAUAUUCUCGAGUAUUAGCAGUUGAGUUGUCAAUUCAACCACACCUGAAAGACUUAGUAUCUGCAGCAAAGUUUCAGUAGCAAAGUAGUGUGAUAGCAAUGGUAGCAACGGUAACAGUAGCAACAGUGACAACAAUAGCGGUAACAGUAGCAACAGUGACAGCAGUAGCGGUAAAGUAAGUUAGCAAGGACCAGUAGGAAAAGACUCGUAGGCAUUGGAUCGGUGAUGGAUAAUUAUGUCGGAUGACAUUCAUCAUGUAACAGUUACAACAUGGGGUGAUUUGUAACUAGCUCCAGUUCGUCAAUAUAAUGUAGGCACGCAUUCCAUAUAUAGUCAUACGUGCUUAUGGAAAAGAACUUGCAUGACAUCUAUUGUCCAUCCCUCCCGUGGCAGCGGGGUCCUCAUGGAAACUAAGGGAUAUUAAGGUCUCCUUUUAAUAGAGAACCGAAACAAAGCAUUAGCAUAAAGUGAAUACAUGAACUCCUCAUACUAUGGUCAUCUCCGGGAGUGGUAUCGGCUAUUGUCACUCCGGGGUUGCCGGGUCAUAACACAUAGUAGGUGACUACAACUUGCAAGAUAGGAUCAAGAACACACAUAUAUUGAUGAAAACAUAAUAGGUUCAGAUCUGAAAUCAUGGCACUCGGGCCCUAGUGACAAGCAUUAAGCAUAGCAAAGUAGUAGCAACAUCAAUCUCAGAACAUAGUGGAUACUAGGGAUCAAACCCCAUCAAAACUAACUCGAUUACAUGAUAGAUCUCAUCCAACCCAUCACCGUCCAGCAAGCCUACGAUCGAUGAGAUUACUCACAAACGGUGAAGAGCAUCAUGGAAUUGGCGAUGAAGGAUGGUUGAUGAUGACGACGACGUCGAUCUCCCCUCUUCGGAGCCCAGAACGGACUCCAGAUCUGCCUUCCAGAGGAAGAACAGGUGGUGGCGGCGGCUCCGUAUCUUAAAACGCGAUGAACUCUUCUCCUUUUAUUUUUCCUGGGCGAGAUAGACUAUAUAGAGCUGGAGUUGGAGGCGGCGGAGCCACGAGGGCCUCACAAGCCUGCCAAGCGCGGCCAGGGGGGCACGCCUCCUAGGCUUGUGGGCUCCUGGCUCCGUCCCUCCAGGUAAUUCUUGUGCCAGUAUUUUCUACAUAUUCCACAAACAAUCCUCGUAAAUUUCCAGGUCAUUUCGAAAACUUUUAGUUCUGCGCAAAAACAACACCAUGGCAAUUCUGCUAAAAACAGCGUCAGUCCGGGUUGGUGCCAUUCAAAUCAUGCAAAUUAGAGUCCAAAACAAGGGCAAAAGAGUUUGGAAAAGUAGAUAUGAUGGAGACGUAUCAGUGAUCAAAUGUUAUUACUGCAAAAAUAAAUACGUAAAAUUCAUAUGUUGUGCUCAUAAAACAACAUACAACUAUGUAAAAUAUUUAAAUGCAAGAACAAAUGUGAUCAACAUCGCAACUAAGGUAACAAUUGACCCAACAACAUAAUGAUACCAAGCCUCUUUAUCAAUGGCAUAUUUUCUAAUAUUCCUAAUCUUUAAGCACACUUCAUCCAUCUUCAAGCGCAUUGCGUCCAUCUUCAAUCGCAUUGCAUCCAUCUUGAUCUUGUGAUCAACGACAUCGGCAACAUACAACUCCAAUUCCAUAUUCUUCUCUUUAAUUUUUUCAAUUUUUUUCUUUAAGUAAUUGUUUUCUCUUUCAACUAAAUUUUUUUUCUAUUUUUUUCUUCAAGUAACUAUUUUCUUUUUCAACUAAAUUUAACCUCUCGACAAGAGGGUCGGUUGGAGUUUCCGGUUCACAUACCUCCUAGAUAAAAACAUCCAUGUCACGUUGGUCGGCAUAAUUGUCAUAAACACUAAAUGAAACAAAUAGUUAUAAAAGAAAAUAUAGCACGUCCGAAUCAUAGGCCGGACGAGGGCCGACGUGUGUGGAUACCAAUACCAUCGCACUACAUAAUAACAAACAAUAAUGAAAGUAAGAAAUUUACACAAGUAUCUAUCUAAAUCAUACAAGUAAGAAUUUUUUCUUUUAGAAAGAAGAUAAGAACAAGAGGCUCACCAUGGUGGUGCCGGCAAUGGGAUCGGCGCAGGAGAUGGAUGAUGGUGACGACAAGGACGAGACGACACCCUACACAUGUGCAGACUCUAAGAAGUUAAUUUGAGCUCAGAUUGUGCAUCUAAAUCAAAAGAACUCCCACAUACACUCCUACACUAAAACCCACAAGCACUCUACUUCUAGAGCAUUUAAAAUUAGCUAAACUAGCGGUGAGCGAUGAAAGAAUGAAGUAGCUAACCUUUUAGAACACUUGUGUAGUUGCUGCACCACCAAACCUAGACAAAUCUUGAGGAAAAUGGAGCUUGGAGGUCGAGCUUGGAGAGGAGAAAGCUUAAGUGUGGCUCGGGCAUUUCAUCGAACACCUCAUGUGCAUGCAUAGAACGGUGAACAUAGCAGGGCAUGCACACCUCCCACAUGGCCAAAAAACAGAGGAGAGGGUGGGCAGGGGCGAGGGUAUAUAUAAGUAUCUCUUUGGUCCCGGUUGGUGGACAGAACCGGGACAAAAGACUGACUUUUAGUCCCGGUUCCACUCACCAACCGGGACUAAAGGUGCUGCUCGAGGAGUGAGGACCAUUGGUCUCGGUUCGUGUAUGGAACCAGGACCAAAGGGGUCAGACGAACCGGGACCCUGGCCCGGCCGGCGCCCUGGCCUCAUGAACCGGGACUGAUAUGGUCCCGGUUCGUAACAGAAUCGGGAUUAAAGCUCUUAUCUCGCCUCGACCAAAGCCCUGUUUUCUACUAGUGUUGAUUUUCUGCUCGGACACAUGCCACUCCUUUCUCUUCCAACGUCAUCAAAUUUGUGAAAGAUUCAUCGUUAUUUUUUCCAACAAAGUUGUAUUAUCUCAUCGUACAAACUUUCCCGGUCCCAGGUAGAGGUCAGUUGCAUUCUAGAAAAAAGCAAUGGUGCUCACUCAUGAGUGAAUCUACCAUCGAUACGACAUCUUAUGUUAGACAUUUUUAUAUGAUGACUUCAUAUUAAAAAUGGCAUCUUAAGAUACCUUAGUUUGUGCUUUGCUUCGCAUUCGAGAGGUUUUUGGAUCCACCACAGGUGAUUAGACAAGGUGCUAAGUGCAUCGAAGGACUUAUGAACUAAACUCACAUAUGCAUGUAUAUAGCUUAGCUUUUUCUAGCUAAGAUUUCUCCAUUUUAUUGUUUAGCAACAAAAUUCCGCAUGCAUAUGAUGUUUUGCAUAGAUUUACUCGUUUGACAUUGUUGUUUCUUCCUUGGGUCUCCAUGCUAUCUCUUCUUCUAAUUAAUUACUUUGCUACGUCAACUUUUUGCCGAUGUGACAUUUUUAGCACCGUGGAGCGCUGAAAAGGCCCUAAAGCACAUAAGGACAAGAACUAGCUAACUGCCCAAAAGUUUCGGUUUUGAGAGAUGCAUUACCAUGUGAACUGUGGUCGCAGAUGGUUUGAUACAAACAUGUUUGCUUGCACGUAUUUCAUAACCAUCAUCUUUAUCAUACACUUGACCAAAUUUCUCUUGGGAUGGAUGACAGCCAUAAGGUCGCCUUUUUUCCAUUGCCGCCUGUGAUUAACGACACUUUGUUUUCAUUGCCAAAGUCGGCUCCNNNNNNNNNNNNNNNNNNNNNNNNNNNNNNNNNNNNNNNNNNNNNNNNNNNNNNNNNNNNNNNNNNNNNNNNNNNNNNNNNNNNNNNNNNNNNNNNNNNNGUUGGAAUUAUGCCCUAGAGGCAAUAAUAAUAUAGUUAUUAUUAUAAUUCAUGUAUCAAGAUAAUCGUUUAUUAUCCAUGCUAUAAUUGUAUUGAAUGAAGACUUAUAUACAUGUGUGGAUACAUAGACAAAACACUGUCCCUAGCAAGCCUCUAGUUGGCUAGCCAGUUGAUCAAAGAUAGUCAGUGUCUUCUAAUUAUAAACAAGGUGUUGUUGCUUGAUAACUGGAUCACGUCAUUAGGAGAAUCACGUGAUGGACUAGACCCAAACUAAUAGACGUAGCAUGUUGAUCGUGUCAUUUUGUUGCUACUGUUUUCUGCAUGUCAAGUAUUUGUUCCUAUGACCAUGAGAUCAUAUUACUCACUGACACCGGAGGAAUACUUUGUGUGUAUCAAACGUCGCAACGUAACUGGGUGACUAUAAAGAUGCUUUACAGGUAUCUCCGAAGGUGUUCGUUGAGUUAGUAUGGAUCGAGACUGGGAUUUGUCACUCCGUGUGACGGAGAGGUAUCUCGGGGCCCACUCGGUAAUACAAACAUCACACACAAGCCUUGCAAGCAAUGUGACUUAGUGUAAGUUGAGGGAUCUUGUAUUACGGAACGAGUAAAGAGACUUGCCGGUAAACGAGAUUGAAAUAGGUAUACAGAUACUGAUGAUCGAAUCUCGGGCAAGUAACAUACCGAAGGACAAAGGGAAUGACAUACGGGAUUGUAUGAAUCCUUGGCACUGAGGUUCAAACGAUAAGAUCUUCGUAGAAUAUGUAGGAUCCAAUAUGGGCAUCUAGGUCCCUCUAUUGGAUAUUGACCGAGGAGUCUCUCGGGUCAUGUCUANNNNNNNNNNNNNNNNNNNNNNNNNNNNNNNNNNNNNNNNNNNNNNNNNNNNNNNNNNNNNNNNNNNNNNNNNNNNNNNNNNNNNNNNNNNNNNNNNNNNAUACUCUACCCUCGAAAACUGUUGCGAUCCCCUACACUUGUGGGUUAUCAGUAUUGCGUGUGCGUAGGAAUUGUUUUGUUUCCCAUGCAACGUUCCCCAACACUCUCCUCUCCUCCGGUCUGCCCUCUACCUCAUGUCCUCGUCCUCCACGCGAGACGCAAGGCUGCCGGAGUACCUCCUGCAGCCAUGGAGCCUAACGGUGAGGAGGCGAUUCACUCCAGCGCGGAUGCAACUCCGACGGAUGGGGGAGGAUUUGAAGAAGAAGGCACUGGUAGUGGUUCUCGUGCGUCGACGCCUUCUCCUACCUCCAUGCCCCUACGUCUUCAGUCACCAUCAACGGGGAAGGUUACCUGGCGCCACUCCUCUCGAUCCUUUGUGUCCGGUUACAAGAUGGGGCGUGCUCGUGGCUGUCGCGGUGCUACACCUGCAACGGCGGCGACCAGCACCCAGCGUCGUCCAACACCCACUCCAGCAACGAGAAGGGCAGCAAAGCGUCCAAUUUGGUGAAGAGUUCAUCUGUUUUUAAAAUGUGUUGAUUAGAUCUGUUAAUGAAUGAUUGAGUGUGUUGAAUAGUUAAUUGAUCUAUUAUUGGAUGACUGAAUUUGCUCAUUAGAUUAACUGAUAUGUUUCUUAAUUAACUAGUGUGUAUCAUACAUUCAUGCUUGUAUCUCUGUUGUUCAUACAUUCAUGUUAAUGAAUGACUGAGUGGUUUGGAUGGCUAUUUUUGUUGUGCAGCGGUACAAGCAAUGGUCAAAGCCAAGUAGAUGAGUCCAUGCAUGACACAAGUCACACAACAACACCAAUGGAUGAAUAGGGAGAUCAUANNNNNNNNNNNNNNNNNNNNNNNNNNNNNNNNNNNNNNNNNNNNNNNNNNNNNNNNNNNNNNNNNNNNNNNNNNNNNNNNNNNNNUAUGAUGUGGAAGUGGUGGAGGUGCAACCUUCUAAGCGCAAGCUCACAUCUAAUGUUUGGUUGGAAAUGAAGAAGAUGAGGAUCAAUGGUGAAUGGAAUGCCAAGUGUAACUGGUGUCACAAGGUACUUACCGCGGGAUUGAGGAAUGGACCUAAGCAUCUUAAUUUGCAUCUUAAGAUUUGCACUCUUAAGAAGUUGAAGACCAAGGGAGGUAAAAAUUUGAGUCAAUCCUCAUUGAAGGUGAGUGCUGAAGAGGAUGGGAAAGUGAGCAUGGAGAGCUAUACUUUUUAUCAAGANNNNNNNNNNNNNNNNNNNNNNNNNNNNNNNNNNNNNNNNNNNNNNNNNNNNNNNNNNNNNNNNNNNNNNNNNNNNNNNNNNNNNNNNNNNNNNNNNNNNGACAACAUCAGACGUCAGACAGUAAUACAAGAAAAAGCGAUAAACCUAAGACAAUUGGGUGCACUCGACAAUUUAUACUCACUUCAUUCGGAGGAGGGUUGUCCUCACGGAAGGGCUUCACUCGCCGAGAUCCUCUGGGAUUAUCGCAGGCGCCUGUGAUGUUGAGGACCCACGACGCCACCAGCUCCCCGGUCACGCACUCGGGGUUAGUCCGAGUGGAGUCCUCAGGCCCCGUGUAGUGCCACAUGGCAUGGUGUCGAGCUUGCAAAGGCUGGAUACGCCGACCCAGAAAAACAUCCAGCAAAUCUAUGCCGGUGACUCCCUUUCGGACGACCUCUACAAGCGCAUCGACCAGAGGCUGGAUCUGGAUCUUCUCCAUCUUCGUGAGCACGAGCUUCCUAGGCGGAGCCGGUCGGUCUAAGCUAAAAGGCAGUAGUCCAGUGGCGGCAUUCGGGCCAGCAACGUCCUGGCAGUAAAACCAAGUCGACUGCCAGUUCCUAACGGAUUCAGACAACUGAAGAGCGGGAUAGCUACUUUUACUUUUCUUUUGGAAGCGUAAGCCUCCGCAGAGCUGGAGGAGGUGAGUUUUGUCAUUCGACUGGCUCAGCCUUUUGAUGGUUUGAGAUCUAGCAGAGAAGAUGUGCUGAAAAAGCCCCCAAUGGGGAGGACAGCCGAUAAAACACUCGCACAGCACGACGAAGGCGGAGAGAUGAGCUAUUGCAUUGGGAGGAAAAUGGUGGAGUUGUGCCCUGAAGUGGUUCAUUAUACCUCUGAAGAAGGGGUGAGGAGGCAGAGAGAAGCCUCGAUGCACGUGACUGAGCAGCAAGACGCGCUCCCCCUCCUGGGGCGCCGGCUCGGUCUCGCCCUCCGCCGGCAACCUCCACGUCUUGUGCUCGAUCAUGACAUGCUCCACCAGCUCCAGCAUGUCCUCCUCCGUCAUCGUGGAGGGGAGGAAAUCCCCCUGGAUCCAACCCGCCGGCAGUGCUUGUUGCCGCCGCUGAGCAGGAGCCGCCGCCUUCCCCUUCUUCUUCCGUGCCUUGAGCUUGCUCGUUUGCCCCUUUGUCAUGGUGGAGGCUGCUGACCCGCAAGGAAGAAGGAGAAGGAAGGAGCUUGAGAUGCGUAGGAGGUGACGAGAGAAGCGGGGCAAGUGCGAGCUAUCAGGCGAGUGCAACGAAAAACCCUCGCUGUAGAGGUUUAAAUAAGGUUCCGACUGNNNNNNNNNNNNNNNNNNNNNNNNNNNNNNNNNNNNNNNNNNNNNNNNNAAGGUUCCGACUGGGUCACUAGCAGGCGGCCCCGAAAUCUUAUCCCCCGACCGGUUGCUGCGAUAUUAGUGGAAGAGAUAAAGGCGCAGAAAUCGAGGUGGCAGAUAUUACUCGAUUACGAUGUCGUCAUCCCCACCGAGCGCGCGGCAACCGAAAUUUGAGGAUCCCGGAAAAUCCGCCGCUGCCAGUUGACUGGUCACGUCAAAAGAUACCGCGAAAGCACUCGGUCCCUGACGGUUCGUUUCGCAAAUACAUCCACUCGGAUCACUAGUCAAGAAGAUAAAAUGGAUCGAGGCAAACAACGACAAAGUCGCAUCCGUACCAGUCGGAUCCGUACUCCAAGCAUCGCUUCGUCGUUCCAACCCGAAUCCAUUCGGGGACUAAUGAUGGGGUUAUAGUCCUAGGGUAGGUUGAUAGGCCUACUAGCAUUAAUAUGGUGAUUGAUGGGGUUAUAGUCCUAGGGUAGGGUCAUAGGCCUGCCCUGUGGGGCCUACCCAAGGACCACCCUUCAUAAGGGACAAGGCCCUUAGUCAGUUCCGACUGAAUUAAGGACUUCCCAUCAUCCAGUCGGUGACGAUUCCUCUAUCAUCCAGUCGGAGAUGAGCAUUCGGAGUGUAUCAAACUUACCGACUGGAUUCCACUCUGUACAUCGUAACCCCCCUGGAGGACAACGGUCAUACGUUUCCAUGUACCUUUAUUAGCAUUUAAGGCAUACGUUACCUGUAACGUAUGCAAUUAUUCGCCACUACUCCACCCCUGUGCACCGAACCGUUAUGAAGGGUAGCGCACUCUAUAUAAGCCACCCUUCUCCACUUGUGCAGGGGUUAGCAAUUCACUGUAANNNNNNNNNNNNNNNNNNNNNNNNNNNNNNNNNNNNNNNNNNNNNNNNNNNNNNNNNNNNNNNNNNNNNNNNNNNNCCCAAGAGCACUGAGACGUAGGGCUUUUACCUCCGCCGUAGAGGGGCCUGAACUAAUACAACCUCGCCGUAGCUAAGGCUCUGCCCAUCCUUUCGUACCCUACACAUCUACUGUCAUACUUAUACCCACGACAGUGAUAUAACAAGGAACCCAUGCUUUCACAUGUAAGCAUCUACACCUGCAACUAGCAACGCUAACAACAUGGUUAAGCAAGCAGUAACAUAGCCAAUCAGUGGUNNNNNNNNNNNNNNNNNNNNNNNNNNNNNNNNNNNNNNNNNNNNNNNNNNNNNNNNNNNNNNNNNNNNNNNNNNNNNNNNNNNNNNNNNNNNNNNNNNNNGCAGACGUAUCCGGCCAGUUGCCACAUAGGAUUAACGCUUCAUAUGUUACUUUUUUUUCUUUGUUCUUUCCCUCUCUUCAUCAACAUCAAGUAUAUGCAUGUAACCGAACGUAUGAAAACAAAAUAUGGUUGGACACUGACCGGACACUUUCACAUAUGUUUAAGUGGUCAAAUUUUCCCGGUCCGACCUACAGUUGUAGAUGCCCUAACCAUCGCAAAAAGAUGUGAUUGUAGGAAAGAAAAAUACAAUAGCCGUGGAUGUGUGUACUAGCAGUAGUGUACUAGACUGCGCGGCAAGCGUGGGUCAGGAUGAGCAAUGUUUACAAAUAGGAAAACAUGACGACAGUUCGGCCGAGCGCUCGGCGUCGUUCGUAUUGUUGGAUUAGAUAAGGAUCCCACGCCCUUGACUGCAGCACCCACACGUGCCUCAUGGGCUCCACGUAACGCUCCCUUCUAGCCCAACCUUGUCCCCUCACACGAUGUGUUCUUCAGCCAUCUCUUUUUUCUACAAACACAUGUAGGAAAUCUGUGCAUCAUCACUACAGGGAGCUCCCCCCAUCCCUUUUUUUUGGCUCAAUGCCGGUGAGCCCGGCCGCGCGCCUUCGUAGAGCUGCCGUGGAACCCGCUCCGUCCAUGCAUCUAGCUGCACUCAGAUGAGCAACCUCCAACUUGCAAGUUGUAACCGACGAGUCAGAAGAUGCAACCAUAAUGGAUUUUUGCUACUAGCGGCGACAGAUUUGCUACAUACAUCACGGCUGAUCCGCGAGCUACUACGACGGUGUUUUUUUUGUUGUUGCAACAGUCCUCGGAUUUUGCUACUACAAGAGAUGGAUUUUGCUACAACCAUAGUGUUGGAGCUGUGACCCGGGACGACGAUGACGAUGUUUGCUACAACCUCGUUGAAUUUUGCUACUACUGGUGAGGAAUUUUGCGACAUCCAUCAUGACGGAGCCGCGACGGUGGCAGCAACGAUUUUGCUACAACCGUCGUUCUUUUUUACUAUAACCGGCGAUCUUUUUUUGCUACAUCCACACAAAGGCAUUGACUCUUUUUUGAUCAUCGCUCACGCAACCUCGUGCAGCAAGCGUCAAUGACAAGGGGGCGGCAACGACGCAUCAAGGUGCUGCAACCACGGAGCCCGACGACAUGAGUUGCAACUAAUCAACGUGUAGCUGCAACNNNNNNNNNNNNNNNNNNNNNNNNNNNNNNNNNNNNNNNNNNNNNNNNNNNNNNNNNNNNNNNNNNNNNNNNNNNNNNNNNNNNNNNNNNNNNNNNNNNNGGGGUGCUCCAACUAGUCCAUCACAAAUUACCACAAGCCGCGUAGAAAUCCUCCAUCACGAAGCUCGCGAUCUCGUCGGAUUCCCUAGUGGAAAACCUCAACUCUGAGAUUACCCAAAGCAUCACCGGAAUCCCGAUGCACAAGAUAUCUCGUCAAAGGUAAAACUAAUCCAGCAAGGCCGCCCGACGUGUCGACGAUCCCGAUAGGAGUCGCGUACCUCGUUCUCAGGACACGACGGAUAAGCGACGCGUACAAGUGCCAAACCUCGAGUUUCCUCGCGGUGGCCCCGCACAGUGCUCUGUUUUGGACCAACACUCAUGAGGAGCACUGGUCCGGGGGUUGAUUAAAUUAGUCCGCGGGUGUCGGCGGGUCCCUAUGCAAUUUUUAUUAGGUGAUUAGGCAAAUGUAGUACCAAUGUUGGGCCUUGCCAGACCAGCUUUAAUCUAAAACAAAUUAUCAAGGGGGUCCCCAUUACGAACGUUGGGCCUUGCCAGACCAGCUUUAAUCUAAAACGAAUUAUCAAGGGGGUCCCCAUAAUAACCACGAUCGUGUUAGGAGCGCUCGUUUAUGGAACAUAACACCGGUAGCCGAAACUAAGGGGGCAAAGGUGGAACAAAACACCAGGCUAGAAAAGGGCCGAGCCUUCCACCUUUUACCAAGUAUAUAGGUGCAUUAAAUUAAAUAGCAAUUAAUAUGGUGAUAUAACAAGGAACCCAUGCUUUCACAUGGAAGCAAUGCACCUGCAACUAGCAAUGCUAUCAACGGGGUUUAAGCAAGCAGUAACAUAGCCAAUCAGUGGUUUGCUAGGUCGAACAGGUUGAAGGUAUUCAUGGCAUUGUUGAGAGGCUGAUAUUUAACAUGUGGUAGGCAACGAGACAUAUCAUGACAUUGUUGAGAGGCCGAUAUUUAACAGGUGGUAGGCUACGAGACAUAAUUGAUAGAAGCGAUAAAACCAGCAUGGCAAUAAUAGUAAUGGUAUCUGGGGAAAUGGUCAUCUUGCCUGAGAUCCUGCUUGGAAGAAGAAUGCCUCAGUGAAGCAGNNNNNNNNNNNNNNNNNNNNNNNNNNNNNNNNNNNNNNNNNNNNNNNNNNNNNNNNNNNNNNNNNNNNNNNNNNNNNNNNNNNNNNNNNNNNNNNNNNNNCGAGGAAGCACGUCGUGGCACUCAACUCAACUACCCAUGUCGCUUUUGUGUGCAGAUCUGGAUUACCAUGCGCUAAAUCGGCUUCUGGUCGGUCGUCAUGGGCUCGAUCGAGCGUGCGUGCGUGUUCUCUCCCCCUCUCCGCCGCGAAGGCCGGUGACGGACAGCGAGAGCAUUCAUUAACUACAGUUGAUCGUUUUCUCCAUUGAAUUCCGUCUUUAUCACAGCUGCAGCACGCAGCUGCCCGUGACGUGCGAACAUGGAUCCAGUCUUUUCUCCCGGAUCAUGGAUAUCUCGCGUGGGCUCUUCACGGUUUUAAUUCGGUUUUAGUCGCCACCUGGCUUGCUGGUCCAUGCACGGAAGCUGUUGGAUCGUUGAACCAUCAUCAUCAUCAUCAUCUUCUUCUUCUUCUUCUUCUUCUUCUUCUUCUUCUUCUUCUUCUUCUUCUUCUUCUUCUUCUUCUUCGUGGCAGGGGAGAGAAUAGCAGAAAGGGGCAGAGAGAGGAAGGCGCCGCUAUGUCAAUGCCGUGGGCGAUGACCGUAUCCGUCGUGGACAAGGUGUGGGAGGUCCUGGCGGCGUGGGUGUCGUCGUGCCUCGCCGGCGCCACCGCCGUCGCCCGCGCCUUCCGGACAGGGGACCUCGUCGGAUCCUUCCGGCCCGGCAUCUGACACUCCUCGCUGCCUCCCUUCGUGCAGGUAGGUGACCAUACAUCCCUGAACUUAUCCAUGCUCCUCUAUGGUUCUUCCUGAUCAUGCUCAUGCAUGGACACUCGUAUCUCCGACUCUCCAUGCUGUAAUUUAUUUUAGUUCCCACAAAGCUCCUGUUCUCAGCCUUGAUUUUGGAACUUAUUUUGUUGGUUCGUUUCUUCCUUCCAUCCUAGUAUUUCACAUGACUCGACUUGGUCUUGAUCUGCCCGUCUUGUUGCAGAUCGGUCGCUUCCAUUGCUACGGCGCUGCUCCUGUCGAUCAAGCGCGGAGCUCUCGAUCCGUCAGGUCGUUGUAGCAACAUCAUUGUUUUUUGUUUAGUUUAGUUUAGUUUAGUUNNNNNNNNNNNNNNNNNNNNNNNNNNNNNNNNNNNNNNNNNNNNUUUAGUUUAGUUUAGUUUAGUUUAGUGCGUGUCUAUUAUAUCGCGCGGUGGCAGUGUAACAUUGGACGGCAUUAUUCUUCUUCUAUUUUUAUUCUUUCAUUGGUGUACAUAACAAAUUAAUAAUACUAGUGGUGAUCUCGGAAAUGAGUGGAAUGGUUCAGUGAUUAACUUCUGUUGUAUACCAAAAAUGGACAUCUUGCAAGCAUUAUCAAAGCUUCUGGGUGGUCGAUGAAAACCAAGAACGCCCGGCCAGGGUACAUGAUGUUAUCCUGAUCAGUUUUGACUAUAUUGUUUCAUAUACAGAACUUAAAUUGUUCAUAAAUGAACAAUUCAACAGUAUCAACACUAGGAAAUAGAUCGGUACAUAAAUGCUAGGAUCAUCUUUUAGUAGCACCGAACAUAAGCAUAGGAAUGAUGUUAAUUAAGCCCCCNNNNNNNNNNNNNNNNNNNNNNNNNNNNNNNNNAGGAAUGAUGUUAAUUAAGCCCCCGUUCCCUAGCCAAUUUACUCUCCAAUUUGCUAACAUUACCGACAGUAAUUGAAGAUCUGAAGUUAUGGGUCAGAUUCUUUAAAAAAACUAGGUCAACCAGUGAGAGUAACACCGACAAAAGAUAAAAAAGGAAAGAAAGCAUGGAUGAACAAGAAACACAAAAUGUUAUGAGCAAUCAUUAUCUUAAGAAAUGUGUAACUUACCAUAGUCAUACACGCCACAUAGACUGUGCAUAUAUUAUUGGGUUAAUUUCAUUCUUACCCCCAAAAUGAGCCGAAGUACCCCGUAAUGUAUGUCACUUUGGCUCAUUUUGGGGUAAAAAUGAAAUUAACUCUAUAUUAUUUAUGCAUCAUUGUCUUUGGAACAUUAUAGCUGGUUCAUCUCCCAUUUCUAGGGUUUGUCUCCUCUAGGCGAUCGAUCACCCUGAGUCCAAUCCACCAGCGACCUUCCCCCGCUGCUACCCAACCGAUCCCCGUUAUCGUUCCCUUGUCUCUUGGUUGUUCCUCCUUCGCGACCACUCUCUUGGGCUGGGUAGAUGGCGACGACUUCAGAUGCAAACUCUGCAACAAAAGAGAGCUCUUAUGGUGGCCAUCCUGGUGAUCUAGGUGACUUCUUCAACAUGCUUGAGCUCCACGAGGAUGUGUUUGACAAUCUUAGAUGAGGGAGAAGAGGAUCUCCAAGAGGGGUUUUGUUGGCUAGCCCUAGCUAGGGUUCAAAUAGCGAAAAAUUUCAGCCAAACCACGGUAUUCCAUGACAUGUGUUCAAUGAGGAAGCUCACUCAAAUUGUGAGAUUUAGAGCAAUCGGUCCCAAUCACUUAGUAGUUCAGGUGUAAUGCUUGGGAGAUUGGGAAUGAAUAGUGGAUCAAGGGCCUUGGCUGUUUCGCAAUUGAGUCGUCCUGCUUAGUCCGUAUUAUGGGUUCUCUAAUGCGUAUGAGAUCGAGAUUGUUCGUAUGCCUAUAUGGCUACACAUACACAAGCUACCCGAUGGUUACUGCAAGAAGGGGUUGAUUGAGAAACUGCAAAGAAAUGNNNNNNNNNNNNNNNNNNNNNNNNNNNNNNNNNNNNNNNNNNNNNNNNNNNNNNNNNNNNNNNNNNNNNNNNNNNNNNNNNNNNNNNNNNNNNNNNNNNNUUUUGUUAUGUAUCUCAAUAGGGCGGACCUGUUUGAGGUUCAUGCCAGUGGGGUCACUCUAAGUGAACCCACUAGGUGUAGUCCCCGAGACCGUUGUCGACUGCUUGCGUCGGCAGGGGUCUGAAGAACUUCGAGUUUUUCUUGUUGUCCUUGUUGAAUGUGUCUGACCGUCUCUUCCGCUGACUUGCAGAAGACUUGCGAGAUGGGAUCGGCGUACGACACCUUGAGGGGUGAAAAGAUUCAGUUUGUUGCAAAACUGGAUGCAGCAAUGCUCGCCUUGGUUGGUCUGAAGGGUGUUCUGGUUGAACGAGAGAAGUCUUUGGAGGAGUCCCGUGAGGCAAGCAAGGCAUUGGUGGCCGAAAUGGAGAAAAUGGGUAAACAAAGAACCGAGCUGAUGGGACAGAUGCAUGUGAUGAACAGGCGGUGCAUAGCACAAGAGAAUUACGUCAGUGACUGGGCAAGCAAGAUGAUUGUGCUUCUCGGUGGUAAGUUCUGUUUUCCCGAGUGCUUCUUGACUGUGUAUUUUAUUUUGUGCUUACUUUUUGCUCGUCCUGUCUUUGCAGAUGUUUGCAUGGACGCUGAGGCUGAAGCAGCUGACGUUGAGCGGUCGAUUCUUCCGAACGUUCCACUCGGCGAGGACGCCAAUCGAGACAUGCUCCGAGCGCACAUUCGCCUGGGCAAAGUGGGAACUUUCAUCGGUCGAGUGAGAGAGGUCGUCGGCCGAAUCGACAAGGAGCUUUGGCCUGAAGACGAGUCUCGGCAAGAGAUGGAAGGUUUGAUGACUCGGCUGGAGAAGGUCCCGAACCGAGUGCAGGCGUGUAAGAAGUCUGCGGCUUGCUGUGGUGCGGAUGUCGCUCUGUCGCUGCUCCGAGUGCACUGCAAGGAGGCGCGCGAAGAGAAGAUGAAGGCAUUGCAAGUCGCCAACUCCAAAAAGCUUUGAUUCGAAGAUUUCAUGGAGACCUUCCUUGAGAGCGCCACUCGCAUCGCAGACGGGAUCGACCUCGACACUUUCGUGGAGCCUGCCAGUCCCAGUGCCAGUCCUGACGAUGUUUAAGAAAACUUUUACCUCGGUAUGCCGAGUGUUAGUUGUAUGAAACUUUGGCCACUGCUGUUGGCUGUCACAUUCGUGGUUCGGUGUGGAUAAGCUUGAUCUACACCGAACCAACUAUCUUUAGGCGAACUUUGAAUUUGAAUCGAAUCCUAUGCUCUUCUUUUGCCAAAGAGUUGUUGACACGAUUUUGGCUCGUGGUUUUUGUUUGGCGUUUCUUGGUGAAGCCAAUGGCAAACAUGCGGAGCAUGUAAUUGUCAGUUGUCUUGACAUCUGCGUGAGCCUCACUGAGGGUCUGCUGAGUCUCCGAGUGGAUCUGUAGGAUACACUCGAAGGCAAUUGUGUACUUAGGCGAUUCGUAAUCGCGGCUAAGUCUUCGAGUGCGACUGUAAGGUCGUACUCGGAGCGAGUUGUUACUCAUGUAAUUGUCAGUUGUCUUAACAUCUACAUGAGCCUCAAUGAGGUUCUGCUACUCAUGUAAUUGUCAGNNNNNNNNNNNNNNNNNNNNNNNNNNNNNNNNNNNNNNNNNNNNNNNNNNNNNNNNNNNNNNNNNNNNNNNNNNNNNNNNNNNNNNNNNNNNNNNNNNNNCCUCGUUUGAAUUAGUUGUCAACUAGAGAGUUGAUCUUGGAUGUUUUGUUUAGCCCCUGGUAUUUUUGGUUGCAAUAGAAAUGCAUGUUUAGGAGUUGUUUGCUUGGUCUCAAGUUGCUAGAAAUAGUGCUGAUUUGGAGGAGCUGAAAUAUUUCUAAGUCUGGAAUCUGUUAUAUUUUGUUGCUGUCUUGUCUUGCUUGCAUCUUGUGAUCUGUAGCUCUUUUGAGGUUGGUCCAAUGGAGUUAGUUGUACCCCUUGUGUUUCUCUAGCAUGCUGUAAAGUUUCAUGCCAUUUGGAGUCAUGUAUCUAUAGGUUUUGCUGCUGUCAAUAUAGCUUCAGAUGGAAAACUGCACUUUCAUGAGGUGUAAUUUUCACUACGUCUAAAAUAGUGUGUGAGAUGCCAUUUUGUGUCUUCUUCUCAUGAGGUGUAAUUUUCACUAAGUCUGAAAGAGUGAGUGAGAUGCCUUUUUGUGACUUCUUUUCCUAGUGAUCCAUGAUGCCAUGCUAGUUGUUGUUAGUUGUUUGUAGUAGUGCUUCUUGCCCUAUUUCGUGCCAUGCCUUGCUUGAGUUUAUUGGAGUUGUGUAGCUCGUAGUUGUGGGGCAUAGAAAGNNNNNNNNNNNNNNNNNNNNNNNNNNNNNNNNNNNNNNNNNNNNNNNNNNNNNNNNNCUAUGUGGCUGAUUUUGACAGAUUGUAGUGAUUUCUUGAUUUGCUCGUAUCUUUUGAACCGUAGCUCCGUUUUGAUCGUGCCCUACAUGAAACUUGCUUAGAAUCUUGUGUAGUUUUAUUUUCUCUUGCUGUUCGUAUGUUUUGAAGUGCUCGUAGCCAUCGUUGCACACAUAUUGCAUUUAUGCCAUCAUAUCUUGCGGUGCUUGUAUCUUUUGAACCGUAGCUCCGUUGGAGAUGUUCUUUAUGUGUAGAUUGCUUGUCAUGACACGUGGAAUCACGUGAACCUAUUUGUUUUGCUGUUUAACAACUAAUUAAAUGCAUUAGUUCAGAUCUGGACAGAAUUGUAAAUUAACAUGUGAGGUCGUCUCNNNNNNNNNNNNNNNNNNNNNNNNNNNNNNNNNNNNNNNNNNNNNNNNNNNNNNNNNNNNNNNNNNNNNNNNNNNNNNNNNNNNNNNNNNNNNNNNNNNNAAUUUAGAAAAAACUUUCGACCAGUAACCCCCAAGGGCCGGGUCAUCAGUAAAAAGAUGAGCCGGGUCUUGAUAUUGUAUAAUUUCAUCUGAAAAGAAAAAAUUAUACAUUAGCCCCCAAGUGUCAGGGAUAUUGCUUGCAAUAGUUCUGAGACUUGCCCCUUUGUUUGUACUUUCAACAGGAAACUCUUGCUCAGACUGAAUCGGCGCUUGGCGAAUUAAAGAAAAACUUAUAUGGUGAGCAAGAUGCUCGAGCUAAGUCAGAGGAGAAGUAUCAAUUGGUCCUGGCUGAGCUGGAAAAACUCAAAGCCGGUUUGAAAAGAGCUCAAGCUGACCAAGAUGCUGCCACAAAAAGAGCAGAGAAGGCUGAAGCCAGGCUGGCUACUGUGCAACAAGAAUUGUCCGGCUUGAAGCAUCAUAUCUCAAACAUGACGCAAGCCGUCUUUGGUAAACUUACUCAAACUUUUGAUCUUUUCUCCCUUUUUUUAUAUAAAUAACUCUUAUUGUAAGUCGCUGAUUAUCAUGACCCCUUACACAGGUCCGAGAGCCGCCAACCUUCAGGAAGACUGUGUGCUGAUGCUAAAGGCGAUUUACACGCUGACAGAGCAACUGUACACCGGCAGUGUUUUAACUGUUAAAGCUGUGAUGGGUGCCAAAGAGCCUAUAACUUCCGUAAAGAAGGUGCUUGGCUGCCUAUCCACGCUUCCCCCUCAGAUUGGCGAGCUAACUCGGUCAGCCGCCCGAAAGGGGGUUCUGACUGCCUUGAGUCGCUGCUUGGCGUAUGCUCCAGAGAUCAACCCGGAAGAGGUAGCGGCAGGCUUUCCUCAACUCAAAGAUGAUGGUUCAGAAUUCGUUGAAGAGGACUAUCAACGUGUUGUCAUGGACUCCCGACUGGCAGCAACCCAACUCGCAGCAAGUCUGGAUUUAUCAAAGUAUCAGGCUGCUUAUGAUAGCAAGAACAAGAAAGUCAACCCGCCAACCUUUGUGACGACCAGUUUAACUCCUCGGCGACCCAAGAACCCUUUUGACUUGGAAGCAGACCUGGCAUCAAUCCUGACUGAUGAAGAUGACUUCGCAGCUCUGGCCAAGUUUAACUGGGUACUGGGCGACUUGCAAAUUGAGGUCGACCAGAGCUCGCAGCAAAAUGAUCCGAAGGCGCCAACAGAAUAAACCUCAUCGAUUUGGCCUGAGAGCCAUGUAAUAGGUCUUUUUCAUAAGUCGAUACUGUUUUUGUGAUACUCUCGAAAGAAUCUUUAUAUCGCCCUUAAGGCGAUUUGAAAUAUUUGACCCGUCAUUUGAGAAUCCUUUAUAAUGCUUAAUCCGCCAUGGAUGAAGUGAUUCUGAUCAUCAACCUGAUUUAGGCUUUGAAAACAUCAUAUGUGAAACCAAAUAAAUGAUAACAAAUAUUUUCAAGAGGAAUCAAAAUAGAAGGUUUUGAAAACCCUCGAGGCUAUGCCACGAAGGAUAAUACAAAACAGCAAUCUCGUCGGCUCAUAAGGUCGCGACAGGAUGGGGCGAGUCAGAAAGCUCGAGCACACACCCACAAUGAUGGUUUCGUCGGCUCAUAAGGUCGCGACAGGAUGGGGCGAGUCAGAAAGCUCGAGCACACACCCACAAUGAUGGUUUCGUCGGCUCAUAAGGUCGCGACAGGAUGGGGCGAGUCAGAAAGCUCGAGCACACACCCACAAUGAUGGUUUCGUCGGCUCAUAAGGUCGCGACAGGAUGGGGCGAGUCAGAAAGCUCGAGCACACACCCUAAAUGAUGAUGGUUUCGUUGGCUCAUAAGGUCGUGACAGGAUGGGGCGAGUCAGAAAGCUCGACCACACACCCUAAAUGCUGGUUUCGUCGGCUCAUAAGGUCACGACAGGAUGAGGCGAGUAAGAAAACUCGAGCACACACCCUAAAAUGCUGAUGGUUUCGUCGGCUCAUAAGGUCGCGACAGGAUGGGGCGAGUCAGAAAGCUCGAGCACACACCCUAAGAUGCUGAUGGUUUCGUCGGCUCAUAAGGUCACAACAGGAUGGGGCGAGUCAGAAAGCUCGAGCACACACCCUAAGAUGAUGAUGAUUUCGUCGGCUCAUAAGGUCGCGAUAGGAUGGGGCGAGUCAAAAAGCUCGAGCACACACCCUAAGAUGAUGAUGAUUUCGUCGGCUCAUAAGGUCGCGAUAGGAUGGGGCGAGUCAAAAAGCUCGAGCACACACCCUAAGAUGAUGAUGAUUUCGUCGGCUCAUAAGGUCGCAACAGGAUGGGGCGAGUCAGAAAGCUCAAGCGCCACCCUAAAAUGCUGGUUUCGUUGGCUCAUAAGGUCGCAACAGGAUGAGGCGAGUCAGAAAGCUCGAGCACACACCCUAAGAUGAUGAUGAUUUCGUUGGCUCAUAAGGUCGCGACAGGAUGGGGCGAGUCAGAAAGCUCGAGCACACACCCUAAAUGAUGAUGGUUUCGUUGGCUCAUAAGGUCGUGACAGGAUGGGGCGAGUCAGAAAGCUCGAGCACACACCCUAAGAUGAUGAUGAUUUCGUCGGCUCAUAAGGUCGCGACAGGAUGGGGCGAGUCGGAAAGCUCAAGCGCCACCCUAAAAUGCUGGUUUCGUCGUCUCAUAAGGUCGCGACAGGAUGAGGCGAGUCAGAAAGCUCGAGCACACACCCUAAGAUGAUGAUGAUUUCGUCGGCUCAUAAGGUCGCGAUAGGAUGGGGCGAGUCAAAAAGCUCGAGCACACACCCUAAGAUGAUGAUGAUUUCGUCGGCUCAUAAGGUCGCGAUAGGAUGGGGCGAGUCAGCGCCACCCUAAAAUGCUGAUUCUGUCGGCUCAUAAGGUCGCAACAGGAUGACAAAAUUGUUCUUUUAAAGAAGAAGCCCCCAAGUCGGGGAGUAUUUUUAACUUUAUUACUUCAUAAUGAAACUGAAAAACUUACAAAAUGCAGAGCUUAAGAGCUCAAGUGUAAUAAGGCCGCAGGUGGGUAAUAUUCCAGGAGCGAGUUGACUCAGCCUCCGUGGUUGGCCGGUCAGGCCGGAGAUCCACCAAAUAAUAAGAGCCAUUGCGGAGAUUCUUGCUGACGACGAACGGCCCUUCCCAAGGUGGUGACAACUUAUGCAUGGCUGCACGAUCUUGUAUCAACCGAAGAACCAAGUCGCCUUCCUGAAAGGUCCGACUCUUAACCCGGCGGUUGUGAUAACACCGUAGAUCCUGCUGGUAGAUAGCUGAACGGGCCGCAGCCAGGUCACGUGCCUCCUCUAAGGCGUCCAAAGAGUCUUGACGCGCCAGCUCAUUGUCUUGUUCCACAUAUGCGGCUACUCUAGGUGAGUCAUGCCUUAUAUUAGUAGGAAGGACAGCUUCUGCUCCGUAGACCAGAAAGAAAGGGGUGAAACCCGUGGACCGGUUCGGGGUAGUCCGAAUACUCCAUAGUACUGAAGGUAAUUCUUCAACCCAACACCCUGGGGUUUUUUCCAGGGGAACCAUGAGUCGGGGCUUAAUUCCUCGCAAAACCUCCUGAUUCGCCCGCUCCGCCUGCCCAUUAGAUUGUGGGUGAGCGACUACAGAAACAUCAAGCCGGAUAUGUUCUCGACGACAAAACUCCUGCAUCGCCCCUUGGGACAAGUUAGUACCAUUAUCAGUAAUGAUACUGUGCGGAUAUCCAAACCGUAAAAUCAACUUCUUCAAGAAUUUGACCGCUGUUUCCGCAUCGCAAGCUCCAAUAGGUUCCGCCUCAACCCACUUGGUGAACUUAUCAACCGCCACCAGCAGAUGGGCCUUCUUGUUAGAGGACAUUUUAAAGGGGGCGACCAUGUCAAGCCCCCAGACCGCAAAAGGCCAAGUGAUGGGGAUCAUUCUUAAUUCUUGAGCCGGCACAUGAGCCUGUCGCCCAUAACGCUGGCAUCCUUCACACCGGCGAACUAUAUCUUCUGCAUCUACAUGAGCCGUCAGCAAAAGAAACCAUGACGGAAAGCCUUUGACACCAAAGACCGUGACCCGGCAUGAUGCCCACAGUCUCUGGAAUGAAUGUCAUUUAAGAUUAUGCAUCCUUCUUUGGAGGAAACGCAUCGCUGAAAAACUCCAGAGGCGCUCCGCUUAUAUAACUCGCCAUUGAUGAUGACCAUGGAUUUGCUGCGACGAAUGAUUUGACGAGCUGAAACUUCGUCUGCUGGUAACUCGCCCCGAGCGAGAUAAGCCAGAUAAGGAAGAACCCAAUCCAGCAUGACGUGGAGAGCCGCCACGAGCUGAGACUCAGGAUCUGGUAUUGCCAAUUCCUCCUCCGAUGGUAGAAUCACGGAUGGUUUAUGCAAGAUAUCCAGAAAAACAUUGGGAGGAACUGGCUUUCGCUGGGAGCUAAGUCGUGAGAGGGCGUCAGCUGCCUCGUUGAGGCGCCGAUCAAUGUGGUCCACCUGAUAACCAUGAAAAUGACCCGCCACAUCAGACACAGCUCUUCUGUAAGCCGCCAUCAUGGGGUCCCGAGAAUCCCAGGUACCUGAAACUUGUUGUGCCACCAAAUCAGAGUCGCCAAAGCAUCUGACUCGCGUUAGAUUCAUCUCCUUGGUGAGUCGCAAGUCAUGAAGCAAAGCUUCGUAUUCCGCCGCAUUGUUAGUGCACGGAAACAUGAGUCGGAGAACGUAACAGAAUUUAUCUCCUUGAGGGGAUACCAACACCACACCAGCCCCCGAGCCUUCCAGCUGCCUAGAUCCAUCAAAGUAAAUAGUCCAGUAAGUGAGAUGAGGCCUAUCUUCCGGAGCCUGCAACUCCGUCCAGUCGUUGACGAAAUCAACUAAAGCCUGAGACUUGAUGGCUGUACGGGGGGUAUAUUGUAUGUGAUGCGGCCCAAGUUCUAUUGCCCACUUGGCAAUCCGCCCUGUUGCCUCCCGAUUCUGGAUGAUGUCCCCAAGGGCGGCAGAGCUAACCACUGUGAUAGGGUGUUCUUGGAAAGAAUGCUUAAGUUUUCGACUCGCCAUAAACACCCCAUAUACCAACUUCUGCCAGUGUGGGUACCGCUGCUUGGAAAGAGUUAACACCUUGCUGAUAAAAUAUACCGGGCAUUGCACUGGGUAUUCCUUCCCUUCCUCCUUUCUUUCAACGACCACUGCCACACUUACUGCUUUGGAAUUUGCCGUGAUAUACAGAAGCAUGGGCUCUUUUUCAGUCGGGGCGGCCAGGACCGGCGGGUUAACCAAUUGGCGUUUCAGGGCUUCGAGCGCCUCGUCUGCCUCAUUCGUCCAAACAAACCGAUCAGAUUUCCUUAAUAACUGAUAAAGAGGAAUCGCCUUCUCACCCAGGCGACUCACAAAACGACUUAGGGCCGCAAUGCGACCCGCCAGUCGUUGAACUUGAUUAACGUUCGCCGGCUUUCCAAGGGAUGUAACUGCUUCGAUCUUGUCCGGGUUAGCUUCAAUGCCGCGCUCCGAUACCAGGAAACCCAGCAAUUUCCCUGCAGGCACACCAAAAACAUACUUGGUGGGAUUUAGCUUCAUCUGAUAUACCCGUAGAUUAUCGAACGUUUCCUUGAGAUCCUCCAGUAGUGUCUCCCCCUGGCGGGUUUUGAUCACAAUAUCGUCGACAUAGGCAUGGACGUUGCGACCGAUUUGGUUGCGGAGGCAAUUCUGGAUGCAGCACUGAUAAGUCGCCCCCGCACUCUUGAGUCCAAAGGGCAUGGACACAUAACAAAAAGCCCCGAAGGGGGUUAUAAAGGCUGUUUUCUCUUGAUCCUUGACGGCCAUCUUGAUUUGGUGAUAUCCUGAGUAGGCGUCCAAAAAGCACAAUCGUUCGCAUCCCGCCACCGAGUCAAUGAUAUGGUCGAUGCGGGGAAGAGCGAAGGGAUCUUUUGGACAAGCUCUGUUGAGGUCUCUGUAGUCAAUGCACAUACGAAAGGUACCGUUCUUCUUGAGUACCAAAACCGGGUUAGCCAACCAUUUGGGGUGAAAAACUUCCACGAUGAAUCCGGCGGCUAAAAGACGGGCAACCUCUUCCCCAAUCGCCUUGCGUCGCUCCUCGUUAAAUCUGCGAAGGUACUGCUGGAUGGGUUUGCUCUUUGGGUCAACAUUAAGAUGGUGCUCAGCGAAUUCUCUCGGCACACCAGGCAUGUCAGAAGGUUUCCAUGCGAAGAUGUCCCGAUUCUCACGGAUGAAUUCGAUGAGCGCGCUUUCCUAUUUGGGGUCCAGACCUGUCCCAAUGGUGAACUGCUUGGAUGAAUCGCCAGGAACGAAAUCGAUUGUCUUAGUGUCAUCCGUUGGCUUGAACUUGAGGGGCGACUCAGAAUCUGUAGUCGGCUUCUUUAAGGGUGACAUGUCCGCUGGGUCAACAUUGGCCCGAUGGUGUUUGAGCUCUUCCGCAGUGCAGGCGACUUCCGCACAAGCCGCGUCCCCUUCUUCACAUUCCUUUGCAAUCCUUCUAUCUCCAUCAACCGUGAUAGGUCCUUUGGGACCAGGCAUUUUGAGCUUGAGGUAAACAUAGCACGGGCGAGCCAUGAAGUGGGCAUAACCCGGCCGCCCAAACAACGCAUGGUAGGGGCUUUUCAAUUUGACCACCUCGAAAAUCAGCGACUCCGACCUGUAAUUUUGCGCAGUUCCAAACGCCACUGUGAGCCUGACCCGGCCUAUGGGGUAGGCCGACUUGCCCGGUACGAUUCCGUGGAAAACCGUGGUUGAAGGCAUCAGGUCCUUUUCCAAUAGGUUCAUCCUUUGGAAAGUGUCAAAAUAUAAGAUAUUGAUGUUGCUGCCACUAUCCAUUAGCACUUUGGAUAGGGUGUAACCCCCAACUUGGGGAGCCACGACCAACGCUAAAUCGCCUGGGUUGUCAACUCUCGGCGGGUGAUCCUCCCUGCUCCAUGUUAUGGUUUGCUCAGACCAAUGGAGGUAUCUCGGAAGCGCCGGUUCAGAUACACUGUACGCCCGGUGACACACCUUCUUAUCGCGCCUGCAAGCAUUGGUGGUGAAAACAUGAUAUUGCCCAUUACUUAACUGUUUGGGGUUGCUGCGGAAACCCCCAUUAUCGUCCUGACCCUGCGGAGCCCCCUGUGGGGGUGGCUGCUGAAAGGCUCCUGGCGGGUUAUACCGCCGCUGGUGGUGCACCGGGUAUUGGCCGCCGCCUGGCUGUGGGCCUCCCUGAGCCCCCUAUUCGGGAAAGCCGCCGAAGGGAUUCUGUCGUUGGUUGGGUGCGGUGAAUUUCUCCUGGCGCUGGUCCGGAUCAUCGUUUUGACUUUUCUUGAUCGCCUCCGCCCGAAACUCCCGCAUUACGAAGCAGUUCUCCCAGGAGUGAGUCGCCGGACCGUCUGCCGUGGCAUGGUGCGGGCAAGGGCCUUUGAGUAGCUCUUCAUAGUUACCCGGCCUCUUCCCGCUAAACCCCCUAUUUUUCUUCUGGCGUUGGUUGCCGUUGUUGGCGUUGGUAUUGGCGACUAAGUCUGAGGGCUCUUCUUGCGGUCUUCGCUUGCCAUUGGCCCCUUGAUUGUGGCGGUUACGUCCCUGGAACCGGGUAUGAUUUUUGGAUGACUCGCCCUUUUUGGGCGAAUUAGCCUUACCGUCCUCACCAGGAUCUUUGGUGUCAUCUGCCUCAGCGUACCUAGUGAGGGUGUCCAUCAGCUCUCCCAUGUCUUGGACCUUUCGCUUGAGUCGCCCCCAUUUUUGCACCAAGGGUUCGUAAUGGCAAUUCUGCUCGAGGAUCAGCACAGCUUGAGCCGCCGUAAUACCAUCUGACGAAUGGAUAAUUUCUGCAACCCGUCGUGACCAAUGGUGAGCCGACUCAUCCGGGCGCUGAACACAAUGCUGUAGAUCGACGAUCGUCAUCGGACGUUUGCAAGUUCCUCGGAAGUUUUUGAUGAAACGCUCUUUUAACUCGGCCCAGGUCUGGAUGGAGUUGGCAGGUAAGUUUUUCAACCAAGUGCGUGCUAACCCCUCGAGCAUCAUCGUGAAGUAUCUGGCGCAAACCGCCUCGUUCACGUCAAGCAUGUCCAUGGCGAUUUCAUAACUCUCGAUCCACGAUGCCGGCUCAAGGUCCGGGGUGUAAUUAGGCACCUUUCUUGGUCCCUUAAAAUCUUUGGGCAUCCUUUCGUUAUGAAGAGCGAGGGCCAAGCAUGGUACCCCUACUCGCCCUCCGCCCCCGACGAGGGGGACCGGGGCGUCUUGGGUGUUCGGGAGAUCCNNNNNNNNNNNNNNNNNNNNNNNNNNNNNNNNNNNNNNNNNNNNNNNNNNNNNNNNNNNNNNNNNNNNNNNNNNNNNNNNNNNNNNNNNNNNNNNNNNNNAACGCUUUGAUGAGGUGAUCAAAGCAUUUGGGUUUAUACAAGUGGUUUAUACUAGUGGAUGACAUAUUGCUGAUUGGAAACAACGUAGAGUUUUUGGAGAGCAUAAAGGAUUAAUUGAAUAAUAGUUUCUCUAUGAAGGACCUAGGAGAAGCUGCUUAUAUUCUAGGCAUUAAGAUCUACAGGGAUAGAUCAAACNNNNNNNNNNNNNNNNNNNNNNNNNNNNNNNNNNNNNNNNNNNNNNNNNNNNNNNNNNNNNNNNNNNNNNNNNNNNNNNNNNNNNNNNNNNNNNNNNNNNNNNNNNNNNNNNNNNNNNNNNUCUUGCCAGUUUUACAAGGUACGAGAUUGAGUAAGACUCAGUGCCCAACAACUGAUGACGAUAGAGAGCAUAUGAGCACCGUCCCCUAUGCUUCAGCCAUAGGUUCUAUCAUGUAUGCAAUGCUGUGCACUAGACCGGACGUUAGCGUGGCCAUAAGUAUGGCAGGUAGGUUCCAGAGUAAUCCAAGAGUGGAUCACUGGACGGCGGCCAAGCAUAUCCCGAAGUACUAAGGAGAUGUUUCUCGUGUAUGGAGGUGACGAAGAGCUCGCCGUAAAAGGUUACGUCGAUGCAAGCUUUGACACAGAUCCGGACGACUCUAAGUCGCAAACCGGAUACGUAUUUAUUCUUAAUGGGGGUGCGGUAAGCUGGUGCAGUUCCAAGCAAAGCGUCGUAGCAGAUUCUACAUGUGAAGCGGAGAAAAAGCGUCAUAGCAGAUUCUACAUUUGAAGCGGAGUACAUGGCUGCCUCGGAGGCAGCUAAGGAGGGUGUCUGGAUGAAGCAGUUCAUGACGGAUCUUGGAGUGGUGCCAAGUGCACUGAAUCCAAUAACCUUGUUCUGUGACAACACGGGUGCCAUUGCCUUAGCAAAGGAACCACGGUUUCACAAGAAGUCCAGACACAUCAAACGACGCUUCAACCUCAUCCGCGACUAUGUCGAAGGGGAGGACGUAAAUAUAUGCAAAGUGCACACGGAUCUGAAUGUAGCAGACCCGCUGACUAAACCUCUUCCACGGGCAAAGCAUGAUCAACACCAGAACUGUAUGGGUGUUAGAUUUAUUACAAUGUAAUUCGCAUGAUGAUGUGAGGGCUAGAUUAUUGACUCUAGUGCAAGUGGGAGACUGUUGGAAUUAUGCCCUAGAGGCAAUAAUAAUAUAGUUAUUAUUAUAAUUCCUGUAUCAAGAUAAUCGUUUAUUAUCCAUGCUAUAAUUGUAUUGAAUGAAGACUUAUAUACAUGUGUUGAUACAUAGACAAAACACUGUCCCAAGCAAGCCUCUAGUUGGCUAGCUAGUUGAUCAAAGAUAGUCACUGUCUUCUGAUUAUGAACAAGGUGUUGUUGCUUGAUAACUGGAUCACNNNNNNNNNNNNNNNNNNNNNNNNNNNNNNNNNNNNNNNNNNNNNNNNNNNNNNNNNNNNNNNNNNNNNNNNNNNNNNNNNNNNNNNNNNNNNNNNNNNNAUCCAAACAAAUCACCGACCCAUUGCCUACGAGUUUGUCCUGCUGCUCCUACUACUGUUGCUACUGCUGUUACUUGUCUUGCUCUGCUCCUGCUACUACUGUUGCUACUGCUGUUACUUGUCUUGCUCUGCUGCUGCUACUACUGUUGCUACUGCUGUUACUUGUCUUGCUCUGCUGCUGCUACUACUGUUGCUACUGCUGUUACUUGUCUUGCUCUGCUGCUACUGUUGCUACUACCGUCGCUUGCUACUGUUGCCACUACUGCUUUUCCUUGCCGCUGCUAUUGCUCGUUACACCGCCGUUACUCGCUACUUUGUUGUUACUACUUUGCUUGCAGAUACUAAUCUUUUAGGUGUGGUUGAAUCUGACAAUUCAACUGCUAAUACUUGAGAGUAUUCUCUCACCUCCCGUCGUGCGAAUCAACAAAUUUGGGUUGAAUACUCUACCCUCGAAAACUGCUGUGAUCCCAUGCGCUUGUGGGCUGUCAACAACAUUCUUCUAGUUUCGAUUGCCGGGGAGUACUAGCAGCAUUCUUCUGGUGUCGUUGCAAAGGGGAAGAACAGUUGGCAUCAAGUACCAUUUCAUCUCAUUGUGGAUCNNNNNNNNNNNNNNNNNNNNNNNNNNNNNNNNNNNNNNNNNNNNNNNNNNNNNNNNNNNNNNNNNNNNNNNNNNNNNNNNNNNNNNNNNNNNNNNNNNNNGGGCUCCUUGAGCCCCAAGGCAAGGCCCCCCCUCUCCCACCUAUAUAUACGGAGGUUUUAGGGCUGAUUAGAGAUGACUUUUCCACGGCAGACCGACCACAUACCUCCACGGUUUUUCCUCUAGAUCGCGUUUCUGCGGAGCUCGGGCGGAGCCCUGCUGAGACAAGGUCAUCACCAACCUCCGGAGAGCCGUCAACCAACCUCCGGAGCGCCGUCACGCUGCCGGAGAACUCUUCUACCUCUCCGUCUCUCUUGCUGGAUCAAGAAGGCCGAGAUCAUCGUCGAGCUGUACGUGUGCUGAAUGCGGAGGUGCCGUCCGUUCGGUACUAGAUCGUGGGACUGAUCGCGGGAUUGUUCGCGGGGCGGAUCGAGGGACGUGAGGACGUUCCACUACAUCAACCGUGUUCACUAACGCUUCUGCUGUACGGUCUACAAGGGUACGUAGAUCACUCAUCCCCUCUCGUAGAUGGACAUCACCAUGAUAGGUCUUCGUGCGCGUAGGAAAAUUUUUGUUUCCCAUGCGACGUUCCCCAACACCUUCUAAGUCUUCGGUCAGAGAAUUUGUCUCCAGUAUAACUGUUGGAGAAACCAGAGAUAUCACGCAAGCCACCAUAGGAAGCAUCCAUUUCCCUGCCUUACACUACAUUGCCCUCUUCAUAGGUAGGUGCAUUAACGGCAAGGGUGCACAUUGUCACCUAUGCGCUUCCGACCUUAGUAUCCUUAAGAGCGCAGUAACAGGUGACAGGAGCUUCAAUAUGGGAACUAUAAUAGCAAGGAGGCUGAAUAAAAAUGCCAGUGAGGGGGAUUUCUUUGGUGGAGUUUAUGCUACACGCUUAGCAAAUUUUCUUGGAGUAUCCAUCCGUCCAGAAGACCCUCCUCUCCGUACAGCCUACCUUGAUCGUGCCGCUCUAACAUAGUACUAGUUCCUUGAGAGAGAUCAUGGAUCCCUCCUAUACCGCUUGAUAUUUAACCGGAGCGUGUUUUCCAUAUUACCCUUCCUGCUCCUGCUUUCUUUGACUUUCAGGUAAAACGAAGAUACUACAUAACCAUAGGAGAGGCAGAGGAGUAUGAGAGGGAGGCGACUGCUGCUCGACUUCGUGAGGCAGCUAUUCAGGCAGUGGCUGCAGCGAUCCCGUAUAACACCCAUUAUGAUUUUGGGUUUCGCCAGGAUCAUCUUUGGGAGUAGACCAAGCUAGGCCAAAAGCCUAAGCUUGGGGGAGUACGUGUUCUCACCGACUUUACAUUCAUGCUUAUGCUUUCACUUUGUUAGCCGGUGUUUACACUUUGCCACUGUAUUAUCCAUGCUAGUUUAUUUUCGUUUUCUUGUUUUCUAGUUUUGUGUCCUUUUGAGAAAACCCAAAAAGAUUUUUCUUUCUUCUUUUGCUUGUUGGGAGCUUUCCCGUGUAAAUAGUUUUAUUUUUCUUUGUGUCAAGGUAGAAGAUAUUGGUUACCAUGUUUAUUGGUUCUUACAUGCUUACCUGUUUAGCUUUCAAAGAGCCAUAUUACUUUGUCUUCUCCUUUGUGUUUGCCUGCAGAUUCAGCUUAGUCCAAUGCUCUUAUUAUCGUUCACAUCGUUCGAUCGUGCAAAUGAAAGGCAACAAUGAUGAUAUAUGAUGAAGUGACUGAGACUAAAAAGCUGGUAUGAACUCUAGCUAUUUUGUUUUUGUAAAUAUGACUAGCUUGUCAACCCAGAUUUAGCUUUGUUGUGAGAGAACCAUGUUUGCAAUGACAACUUAGAGAUCAUAGUUUUUGAUGCCAUGCUUAUUUAGCUGAGAGCUUAUAAUGGUUUGUCUUGAAUGCCAACAUAGAUUUUGAGAUGACUAUGAUGUAGUAUGAUAGGAUGGUAUUCUCCUUUGAAUGUUUCAAGUGGCUGGACUUGGCGCAUGUUCAUGCAUGUAGUUGAAACAAAAUCAACAUAGCAUCUAUGAUGUUCGUGUUCAUGGUGAUUUAUAUCAUGUUCAUGCUUGCAUUCAAUGUUAGUCAAACUCAUUGCAUCUUGAUGACUGUUGUCGCUCUCUAGUUGGUCGCUUCCCAGUCUUUUGCUAGCCUUCNNNNNNNNNNNNNNNNNNNNNNNNNNNNNNNNNNNNNNNNNNNNNNNNNNNNNNNNNNNNNNNNNNNNNNNNNNNNNNNNNNNNNNNNNNNNNNNNNNNNAUAAUAAUAACUAUAUUAUUAUUGCCUCUAGGGCAUAAUUCCAACAGGACGGGCAUGGGACGACACCUUACACAUGUGCAGAAUCUAAGAAGUUAAUUUAAGCUCAAAUUUUGCAUCUAAAUAAAAGGAAAUCCCACAUACACUCGUACACUAAAACCCACAAACCACUCUACUUCUAGAGCAUUUGAAAUGAGCGAAACUAGCAGUGAGAGAUGAAAGGAUGAAGUAGCUAACCUUCUAAAACACUUGUGUAGUUGGUGCACCGCCAAACCUAGACAAAUAUUGAGGAAAAUGGAGCUUCGAGGUCGAGCUUGGAGAGGAGAAAGCUUAAGUGUGUCUCGGGCAUUUCAUCGAACACCUCAUGUGCAUGCAUAGAAGGGUGGCAACAAGAGCAUGGCAUGCAUGCACACCUAGGCCAAAAAACAGAGAAGAGGGUCGGCAGGGCGCGGGUAUAUAUAGGCAUCUCUUUGGUCCCGGUUUGUGGCCGGAACCGGGACAGAAGACUAACCAUUAGUCCCGGUUCCAGCCCCCAACCGAGACUAAUGCUUCGUGGCACGCCACGUGUCAGUCACUCGAUCUUUAGUCCCGAUUUUAGGGACGAACCGGGACUAAUGCAGCGAACCUAAUCAGGACUAUUGCCCCGUGAGGCUCUGGCAGCUCGAACGAGGACCAAUGCCUCACAUUGGUCUCGGUUUUACGUGGACCGAGGCUAAUGGGAUUUGGGCCUCCGACCGAAAGCCUCAUUUUCUACUAGUGUAUACUAGUCCUGUAGGUACUCGACUAGUCAAUUCACUUGAGUCCUAUGACAGCUCGAGUGCGACCGAAAUGCCAACUAGAACACUCGCCUAAGCUCUUCAUUUGGACGAUAUUUCAACUCUGACAAAAACGACUUAUGGUGGAAAGUGCUUCUUUCUAUGGCAGGUAGGACUCUAAGGAGUUCGCCAAAGUUUUCCAUGACACAGGCGAGGAAGGGGGGCAUCGAGCUGGAGGAGCCCCUUAUCAAGGAUCAACUCAUGGAGUUGUGGAUGUAUAUGACUAACAUCUAUUUUGACUCGUGGUUCCACAGUUUCUUAGGACAUGUAAGCUAUAUAUGUUCAAUUUAAUUUUGGCACCAUCAUUGGAGUAAAUCAAUGAGACCUAAAAAUGAAAUUUAUCUUAAAGGCAUGUGACAAAAAUAGGUGCGACAAGAACGGUGAUGGGAUGCUCAUUGAAGACAAGGUCAAGGAGGUGGAUACGACGAUGAUGUCUGAUAUGUCUCCAACGUAUCUAAUUCUCCAAACUCUUUUGCCCUUGUUUUGGACUAUAAUUUGCAUGAUUUGAAUGGAACUAACCUGGACUGACACUGUUUUCAGCAGAAUUGCCUUGGUGUUAUUUUUGUGCAAAAAUCAAAGUUCUCCAAACGUCCUGAAAAUUUACGGGGAGCAGUUUUGGAAAAUAUCAAAGAUAUAUGCGCCAAGUUCCACCUCAGGGGGUGGGCCAGUGGGCCACAAGCCCCUCCUCCGCCACCACCCCCCUGGUGGCGGUGGGCAGACUUGUGGGGGCCACAGGCACCUGCCGCCCCCAACUCCAGCUCUAUAAGUUGUCUUUCGUCCCAGAAAAAAUAAAAAGAGAAGUUUUCAUUGCGUUUUCGAUACGGAGGCGCCGCCACCACCUGUUCUUCAUCUGGAGGGCAGAUCUGGAGUCCGUCUUGGGCUCCGGAGAGGGGAAAUCGUCACCAUCGUCAUCAUCAACCUUCUUCCCUCUCAAAUUCCAUGAAGCUCUUCGUCGUUCGUGAGUAAUCUAUUCGUAGGCUCGCUAGGCGGUGAUGAGUAGGAUGAGAUCUAUCAUGUAAUCGAGUUAGUUUUGAUGGGGAUUGAUCCCUAGUAUCCACUAUGUUCUGAGAUUUGAUGUUGCUACUACUUUGCCAUGCUUAAUGCUUGUCACUAGGGCCCGAGUGCCAUGAUUUCGGAUAUGAAAUUAUUAUGUUGCCACCAAUAUAUGUGUGUUUUAGAUCCGAUCUUGCAAGUUGUAGUUACCUACUAUGUGUUAUGAUCCGGAACCCCGGAGUGACAAUAACCGGAACCACUCCCGGUGAUGACCAUAGUUUGAGGAGUUCAUGUGUUCACCAAGUGCUAAUGCGUUGGUCCGGUUCUUUAUUAAAAGGAGAACCUAAAUAUCCUGUAGUUUCCUUUUGGACCCCGCUGCUACGGGAGGGAUGGACAAUAGAUGUCAUGCAAGUUCUUUUCCCUAAGCACGUAUGACGACACACAGAAUGCAUGCCUACAUCACAUUGACGAACGGGAGCUAGCCACAUAUCUCUCAGUGUUAUAGCUCUUGCAUGAUGAAUAUCAUCCAAACAAAUCACCGACCCAUUGCCUACGAGUUUGUCCUACUGCUGUUACUUGUCUUGCUCUGCUGCUGUUACUACUGUUGCGACUGCUGUUACUUGUCUUGCUCUGCUGCUGCUACUACUGUUGCUACUGUUGUUACUUGUCUUGCUCUGUUGCUGCUACUAUUGUUGCUAUUGCUGUUACUUGUUUUGCUCUGCUACUAUUGCUACUACUGUCGCUUGCUACUGUUGCUACUUGCUACUGCUGUCACUACUGUUGUUCCUUCCCACUGCUAUUGCUCGUUACACUGCUACUACCUGCUACACUGUUGAUUCGCCAGACCGUUGACGGGAAUUGACAACUUCCGUCGACGCGGCAACGGAGGCGCCAUUGAUACAAUUGUUAGGAAUAGUCUGCCGUCAACAGAUCGUUUCUGACACUGUUGUUAUCAUACUACUUUGUUGUUACUACUGUGCUUGCAGAUACUAAUCUUUCAGGUGUGGUUGAAUCCGACAAAUUCAGCUGCUAAUACUUGAGAGUAUACUCUCACCUCCUGACUGGCUUACCUACAAAUUUGGGUCGAAUACUCUACCCUCGAAAACUGCUGCUAACCCACGCGCUGGUGGGCCAUCAACAACAUUCUUCUAGUCUCAUUACUGGGGAGUGCUUUCAGCAUUCUUCUGGUGCCGUUGCAGGGGAAGGUUUGUUGUCAUAAGCAUUCGUCUAGCUAACGCCAGAGAUUGCAGGAUCAACCCUUUUCUGGAGCCAUUGCCAGGGAAGCACAGCUGACGUCAAUGUCUUCAUACAUGUAUUCAUAAGCCGAUUGUGGAUCUUGGAAGUUUACAACAAUUCAAGAACUGUGCAUGCAUAGAGAUACUAUGACAAGAAUCUCAAGCUAAGAUUUAGUUUUGGUAAUAAAUUUUGUUGCAUGUAGCAAUGCAUGGGCUUUUGACUAGUAUAUAUACCAAAAGUGCUAGCCCAGGCAAGCAUGCGAGUUAAAGACAAGUUAUCUACUAGUGGUAGAUGGUGACAUGAUAGAAAUAUGGCGGACUGAACACAUGCACUUGACUAGAGCGCUCACUCCAGACNNNNNNNNNNNNNNNNNNNNNNNNNNNNNNNNNNNNNNNNNNNNNNNNNNNNNNNNNNNNNNNNNNNNNNNNNNNNNNNNNNNNNNNNNNNNNNNNNNNNACAUGGUAUAUCACUUAAGUGUUGGUAAUGCAUCCUGCUACUGCAACAAAAGACCUUUCAACGGCGCCAAAAAUAGGAGUGUUGCUUGAUACUCCUCAGCAACGGCACCAGGAAUCCUUCUGCUACGGCUACACCUUAAGGACUUCCUAGGCAAAUAUGCAAAGGAUUCCCCCCGUGGCCUUGGAGCCUUGCGUUGGUGUUCCCCUCGAAGCGGAAAGGGUGAUGUAGCACAGCGGUGGUAAGUAUUUCCCUCAGUUUAAGAACCAAGGUAUCGAUCGAGUGAAGGAGUAUCACAAGAGCCUGCACAAACACAAAAAGCUUGCUCCCAACGCUAUAAAGGGGUUGUCAAUCCCUUAUAGAUUGUUCGCCAAGUGAGAACUGAAAGCAACAAAGUAACAAAGUAAAGUAAAAGCAAAAGUGGAAACGAUAGAUGUGAAUAGACCCGGGGGCCGUAGUGUUUACUAGUGGCUUCUCUCAAGAAAGCAAGUAGACGGUGGGUGAACAAAUUACUGUCGAGCAAUUGAUAAAACCGCGCAAAGUCGUGACGAUAUCUAUGGCAAUAAUUAUAUCUAUAGGCAUCGCGUCCAAAUUCAAGUAGACCGAUACUUUCUGCAUCUACUACUAUUACUCCACACGUCAACCGCUAUCCAGCAUGCAUCUAGUGUAUUAAGCAUGAUGACAUGAUGUAGAUGGACAAUCUCAUAUCUACGACAGAGCCCACCUUGUUACCCUUGAUGGCAACUACACGAUGUGUGCCUUGCUGCCCCUACUGUCACUGGGAAAGGUCACCACACGGUAAGAACCCAAAACCAAACACUUCUCCCAUUGCAAGAAUCAUAGAUCUAGUUGGCCAAACAAAACCCAAGACUCGGAGAGACUUACAAGGAUAUCAAAUCAUGCAUAUAAGAAAUCAGCAAAGACUCAAAUAUAUAACAUAGAUAAUCUCAUCACAAAUCCAUAAUUCAUCGGAUCUCGACAAACACACCGCCAAAGAAGAUUACAUCGGAUAGAUCUCCAUGAAGAUCAUGGAGAACUUUGUAUUGAAGAUCCAAGAGAGAGAAGAAGCCAUCUAGCUACUAACUACGGACCCGUAGGUCUGAAGUUAACUACUCACGAGUCAUAGGAGGAGCGAUGAUGAUGAUGAAGAAGCCCUCCAACUCCAAAGUCCCCUCCGGCACGGCACCGGGAAGGGUCUCCAGAUGAGAUCUCGCGGAAACGGAAGCUUGCGGCGGCGGAAAAGUAUUUUCGUGGCUCCCUUGAAUUUUUUUCUGAUUUUUAGGGAAUAUAUAGGCGCAAGAUCUAGGUCACGGGGCGCCAAGGAGGCCACAAGCCUGCCCACCGCCCCCUGGUGGCGGAGUGGGGGCUUGUGGGCUCCCUGUAGCCCUCCUAGCUUGGCCCACAAGCCCCCCGAUCUUCUUUCGUUUGGGAAAAAAAUAUUUCGGGGAUUUUAUUCCGUUUGGACUCCGUUCCAAAAUCAGAUCUGAAAAUAGCCAAAAACACAGAAAAAAAACAGGAACUGGCACUUGGCACUGAAUUAAUAAGUUAGUCCCAAAAAGGAUAUAAAAGGUACAUAAAACAUCCAAAGUUGACAAGAUAACAGCGUGAAACCAUCAAAAAUUAUAGAUACGUUUGAGACGUAUCAAGCAUCCCCAAGCUUAACUCCUGCUCGUCCUCGAGUAGGGAAGUGAUAAAGAAUGAAUUUUUGAUGCUUUCAUGCUACCUAGCAUAGAUGUCCUUUGUAACUCCUCUUAUGUGAUGUGAAUGUUCAGAUCCAUUAGAUUCAAAACAAUAGUUUGCUAUUGAUGUGGAAACAAUAAUAAUUCAAGCAAACUAGCAAGGUAAUCAUGAACUUUCAAAAUAACAAGGCCAAAAGAAAGUUAUCCCUACAAAAGCAUAUAGUCUCGCUAUGCUCUAUCAUCAUGGCACAACGAAUUUAAAUCAUGCACAACCCCGGUAUUGGCCAAGUAAUUGUUUCACACCUCUACUUUCUCAAACUUUUUCAACUCUCACGCAAUACAUGAGCGUGAGCCAUGGUUAUAGCACUAUAGAUGGUGUGGAGUGUGGUGGAGGUUGCAAGACAAAACAAGGAGAAGAUGGUCACAUUAACUAGGCAUAUCAAUGAGCUGUGGAGAUGCUCAUCAAUAGAUAUCAAUGUGAAUGAGUAGGGAUUGCCAUAUAAAUGAUGUACUAGAGCUAAGAGUAUGUGAAAGCUCUUAAAGAAAACUAGUGGGUGUGCAUCCAACUUGCUUGCUCACGAAGACCUAAGGCAAUUUUGAGGAAGCGUAUCAUUGGAAUAUACAAGCCAAGUUAUAUAAUGAAAAAUUUCUACUAGCUAUAUGGUGGUGACAAAACGAGAAACUCUCAAUCAUGAAGAUCAUGGUGCUUAAUAUGCACAAGUGUGGAAAAGUGGUAACAUUGUCCCUUCUCUCUUUUUCUCUCUUUUUUUAUGGUGGGCUCUUUGGCCUCUUUUUUUUGGUGGGCUUCUUUGGCCUCUUUUAUUUCCUCACAUGGGACAAUGCUCCAUUAAUGAUGAUCAUCACACUUUCAACUCAAAACUUAGAGCAACGAUGACUCUAUAUGGAAUGCCUUCGGUAGUGUACCGUGGCAGUGAUCUAGCAUGGCAUAGACAUUAAUGGAAACAUCAUGCUAGAUAUCUUAUGAUCAUGCAAUGGCAAUGUAGACGUGAUGGCACAUGUCAUGGUGGUAGCUGCAUGGCAAUAUAUCUCGGAAUGACUUUGAAAAAGCCAUAGUAGGUAGGUAUGGUGGCUGUUUUGAGGGAGGCUAAUGGUGGGUUUUGUGCACCGGCAAAAGUUGCACUGCACUAAGAAGAUAGUGAUGGUGGAAGGUGAAAGUGAAUCUAAACCAUGGACUCAACAUUAGUCAUGAAGAACUCAUAUACUUUUUGCAAAAGUUUCAUUAGUAAUCGAAACAAAGCAUUCAACGCAUACUCCUAGGGGAAGGGUUGGUAGGUAUAAACCAUCGCGCGAUCCCGACCGCCAUGCAAAGGAUGACAAUCAAUAGACUAAUCAUGCUCAGAUUUCAUCACAUAGCGGUUCACCAUACGUGCAUGCUACGGGAAUCACUAACUUCAACACAAGUAUUUCUAGAUCCACAACACCUUAUUAGCAUAACUUCAAUAUUACCACAACCAUAUCUCAAAACUAAUUGAGAGGAAUCAAACUUCUCUAACUAUUCAAUGCACAUGAAGGUGGAAGUUUUCGUAUACCUUUGGAUAACUACCCCUUUUGAGACUACUUUCAAAGCAUAGAUCAACUACCAAGCCACGCACCGUUGUGCUCUAAAAGAUAUAAGUGAAGCACAUAGAGCAAAAGUAUCUAGCUCAAAAGAUAUAAGUGAAGCACAUGUGAGCUGAAUUGUCUACCAAAAGAUAUAAGUGAAGCUCGACAAAAUCACGGUGAGUGCAUGUCUCUCUCUUUAGGUGUGCAGAAAGGAUGAUUGUGACACAAAAAAUAAAAGACUCCUACGAUACAAGACGCUCCAAGAAAAACACAUAACAUGUGGUGAAUAAAAAUAUAGCCCCAAGUAAUGUUACCGAUGGAUUGAAGACGAGAGAGGGGAUGCCUUCCCGGGGCAUCCCCAAGCUUAGGCUUUUACGACAUCCUUGAAUCUCUUGGGGUGCCUUGGGCAUCCCCAAGCUUGAGCUCGUGCCACUCUUUAUCUCUUUGUCCAUAAGAACUUCACCCAAAACUUGAAAACUUCACAACACGAAACUUAAACAGAAACUCGUGAUAACAUUAGUAUGAGAAAGCAAACCACCACUUCCUUAGGUACUGUAGCAAACUUAAAUUCUACUUGUGCUGAUGUUGGGUUACUGUAUUUUCAAUCUUCCAUGGCUAAUACCCCCUGAUACUAUCCAUAGUUUCAUCAAAAUAAGCAACCAACACAACAAAAACAGAAUAUGUUAACAGCAGACCAGUCUGUAGCAAUUUGUAUAUUUCGUAUACCUCUGGUACUUCAACAAUUCUGAAAAAUUACGACAGUCUGAAGAAUUUGCGUAUCAAUCAGAAGCAAAAAGAAUCAACUCAAAAUCUCUUACACAAAAAACAAUGAAAAUUCUUUUCGUGAGCAGAAAGUUUCUGUCUUUUCCAGCAUGACCAAACGAUCAUCCCCAAGACUAAUCAUAACGGUUUUGCUUGGCACAAACGCAAAAAUAAACACAAAAAACACAAUCAUAACAGAAUUAUGAAAGUGUGGAAAACACAAAACAAAAAUAAAAAGGGUAGAUUCGUUGGGUUGCCUCCCAACAAGCGCUUUUGUUUAACGCCCUUAGCUAGGCAAAAGGUGAUGGAAUCACGUAUAGUCAUCUUUGGUGCUCAAACCAUAAGUAGCCCUCAUCAUAGAUUCAUAAGGCAAUCUUAUUUUCUUUCUAGGAAAUUGCUCCAUGCCCUUCUUUAAAGGAAAUUGAAAUCUAAUAUUCGCUUCCUUCAUAUCGAUGAUAGCACCAAUAGUCCUUAGGAUAGGUCUACCAAGAAUAAUGGGACAUGAAAGAUUGCAAUCUAUGUCAAGUACAAUGAAAUCCACGGGUACAUAGUUCUUAUUUGCAACAAUAAGAACAUCAUCGAUCCUCCCCAUGGGUUUCUUGACAGUAGAAUCCGCAAGAUGCAAAUUAAGAGAACACUCUUCAAUCUCAUGAAAACCAAGAAUAUCACAUAAAGACUUUGGAAUCGCGGAAACACUAGCAUCCAAAUCACACAAAGCAUUGCACUCAUAGUUUUUUAUCUUGAUUUUGAUAGUAGGUUCCCACUCAUCAUGAAGUUUUCUAGGUAUAGAGACUUCUAGUUCGAGCUUCUCUUCAAGAGAUUUCAUCAUAGCAUCUACGAUAUGCGCGGUAAAGGCUUUGCUUUGGCUAUAAGCGUGUGGAGAGUUUGCAAUGGAUUGCAUCAAAGAAAUGCAUUCAAACAAGGAGCAAUUAUCAUAAUUGAAUUCCUUGAAAUCCAAAGUGGGAGUUUCAUUACUACCCAAAAUUUUGAUUUCUUCUACUCCACUCUCCACACCUUUAUCAUCAAGAUAGGUGGACUCCGAAUCAUUGGGGCGUUUUUCAACCAAAGUGGAUUCAUAUCCAGCCCCUCCAUAAAUAGGUUUGACACGCGAAAACAAAGAUUCAAGAGGAGACACACCAAGCACUUUAAGAUCUUCGUGAUUUGCAUCACUAGAACGCACCCUUUUAAACCAUUCAUGCCUAGCGCGAAUUUGGACGGUUCUUUCUUUGCUCUCAUUCAUGGAGACACGCAUAGCUUUCAAAGUUUUAUCCAAGUUGACCUUGGGAGGAGCUCAUCUAACUUUCAAAGCAUCAAUAUCACAAGACAUCAUAUCAACGCUUUUAGCCAAAUCGUCUAUUUUGAGUAGUUUUUCCUCUAUGGACGCAUUGAAAAUCUUUUGAGAGUUGAUGAACUCUUUGAUAUUACUCUCUAAAUCAGAGGAUAAUUUGUUGUGAUUUCCAUAAGUGUUGUUGUAGGAAUUGCCAUAAUUGUUAGAGGAGUUACUAGGAAAAGGCCUAGGAACAUAGUUUCCUCUAAAAGCAUUGUUGUUGCCAAAAUUGUUCCUACCAACAAAAUUCACGUCCAAACUAGCGUUGCUACUCUCAAUCAAAGAAGAUAGUGGCAUGUCAUUAGGAUCUACAGUAGCGUUUCUACUAGCAACCAAAUUCAUCAACUCGUCCAUCUUAGCACUAAGCGAGUUAAUCUCUUCUAUAGCGUGUACCUUUUUGCUAGCAGGUGACCUUUCAGUGUGCCACUGAGAGUAGCUGGUCAUGAUAUUGUCUAGGAGUUUUGUAGUGUCUCCUAACGUGAUUUCCAUGAACGUUCCACCUGAGGCGGAUUCCAAGAUAUUGCGAGAAGCGAAAUUCAAGCCAGCGUAAAAGAUUUGUAUAAUCAUCCACAAACUCAAGCCAUGAGCGGGACAAUUUCUAAUCAUAAGCUUCAUCCUAUCCCAAGAUUGUGCAACGUGUUCAUGAUCAAGUUGCUUGAAAUUCAUGAUAUCGUUACGUAAGGAGAUGAUCUUAGCCGGCGGAAAAUACUUGGAUAUGUAAACAUCUUUGCACUUAUCCCAAGAAUCGAUACUAUUUUUAGGCAAAGAAGAAAACCAAGUUUUUGCGCGAUCUCGCAACGAGAAAGGAAAAAGUUUCAACUUAAUCACGUCAUUAUCCACAUCUCUUUUCUUUUGUAUAUCACAAAGCUCAAUGAAGGUAUUGAGAUAGAAUGCGGCAUCUUCACUAGGAAGGCCAGAGAAUUCCUCUUUCAUAACAAGAUUCAGCAAAGCUGCGUUGAUUUCAUACGAUUCCGCACUAGUGGCGGGAGCAAUCGGAGUACUAAUAAAAUCAUUAUUAUUGGUACUCGAGAAGUCGCAAAGUUUGGUAUUUUCAGCCAUGAUGACUUCAACAAACAAACAAGCACACAAGCAAGCAAGAAAACCAGCAAAGGAAACGGCAAAGGCAAAAGAAAACGGCAAAGGAAAAAAGGCAAAUGAAAACGGCAAAUGUGAAGUGGGGGAGAGGAAAACGAGAGGCAACUCGCAAAAAAGUAAAUGCAAGAGUUGAGUUUGUGAGACCUACUUGGAUAGAUCUCUCCUCCCCGACAACGGCGCCAGAAAUUGGCACGUUGACGGGAAACUAUUCUCAACGUGAUCCUCCUCACCGGCAACAUCGCCAGAAAUACUUCUGCUACUGCAACAAAAGACCUUCCAACGGCGCCAGAAAUAGGAGUGUUGCUUGAUACUCCUCAGCAACAGCACCAGGAAUCCUUCUGCUACGGCUACGCCUUAAGGGACUUCCUAGGCAAAUAUGCAAAGGAUUUCCCCCGUGGCCUUGGAGCCUUGCGUUGGUGUUCCCUCGAAGCGGAAAGGGUGAUGUAGCACAGCGGUGGUAAGUAUUUCCCUCAGUUUGAGAACCAAGGUAUCGAUCCAGUGAAGGAGUAUCACAAGAGCGUGCACAAACACAAAAAGCUUGCUCCCAACGCUAUGAAGGGGUUGUCAAUCCCUUAUAGAUUGUUCGCCAAGUGAGAACUGAAAGCAACAAAGUAACAAAGCAAAGUAAAAGCGAAAGUGGAAAUGAUAGAUGUGAAUAGACCCAGGGGCCGUAGUAUUUACUGGUGGCUUCUCUCAUGAAAGCAAGUAGACGGUGGGUGAACAAAUUAUUGUCGAGCAAUUGAUAGAACAGCGCAAAGUCGUGACGAUAUCUAUGGCAAUGAUUAUAUCUAUAGGCAUCACGUCCAAAACAAGUAGACCGGUACUUUCUGCAUCUACUACUAUUACUCCACGCGUCGACCGCUAUCUAGCAUGCAUCUAGUGUAUUAAGUCCAAAAGAACAGAGUAACGCCUUAAGCAAGAUGACAUGAUGUAGAUGAACAAUCUCAUAUCUACGACAGAGCCCACCUUGUUACCCUUGAUGGCAACUACACGAUGUGUGCCUUGCUGCCCCUACUGUCACUGGGAAAGGUCACCACACGGUAAGAACCCAAAACCAAACACUUCUCCCAUUGCAAGAAUCAUAGAUCUAGUUGGCCAAACAAAACCCAAGACUCGGAGAGACUUACAAGGAUAUCAAAUCAUGCAUAUAAGAAAUCAGCAAAGACUCAAAUAUAUAACAUAGAUAAUCUCAUCACAAAUCCAUAAUUCAUCGGAUCUCGACAAACACACCGCCAAAGAAGAUUACAUCGGAUAGAUCUCCAUGAAGAUCAUGGAGAACUUUGUAUGGAAGAUCCAAGAGAGAGAAGAAGCCAUCUAACUAGUAACUACGGACCCGUAGGUCUGAAGUGAACUACUCACGAGUCAUUGGAGGGGCAAUGAUGAUGAUGAAGAAGCCCUCCAACUCCAAAGUCCCCUCCGGCAGGGCACUGGGAAGGGUCUCCAGAUGAGAUCUCGCGGAAACGGAAGCUUGCGGCGGCGGAAAAGUAUUUUCGUGGCUCCCUUGAUUUUUUUUCUGAUUUUUAGGGAAUAUAUAGGCGCAAGAUCUAGGUCAGUGGGGCGCCAGGGAGGCCACAAGCCUGCCCACCGCCACCCCCCCCCCUGGUGGCGGAGUGGGGGAUUGUCGGCUCCGUGUAGCCCUCCUGGCUUGGCCCACAGGUCCCCUGAUCUUCUUUCGUUCGGGAAAAAAUCAUUUCGGGGAUUUUAUUCCGUUUGGACUCCGUUCCAAAAUAAGAUCUGAAAAGAGCCAAAAACAAAGAAAGAAACAGGAACUGGCACUUGGCACUGAAUUAAUAAGUUAGUCCCAAAAAAGAUAUAAAAGGUACAUAAAACAUCCAAAGAUGACAAGAUAACAGCGUGAAACCAUCAAAAAUUAUAGAUACGUUUGAGACGUAUCAAGCAUCCCCAAGCUUAACUCCUGCUCGUCCUCGAGUAGGGAAGUGAUAAAGAAUGAAUUUUUGAUGCUUUCAUGCUACCUAGCAUAGAUGUCCUUUGUAACUCCUCUUAUGUGAUGUGAAUGUUCAGAUCCAUUAGAUUCAAAACAAUAGUUUGCUAUUGAUGUGGAAACAAUAAUAAUUCAAGCAAACUAGCAAGGUAAUCAUGAACUUUCAAAAUAACAAGGCCAAAAGAAAGUUAUCCCUACAAAAGCAUAUAGUCCAUCAUAUGCAUGCGGAAUUUUGUUGCUAAACAAUAAAAUGGAGAAAUCUUAGCUAGAAAAAGCUAAGCUAUAUACAUGCAUAUGUGAGUUUAGUUCAUAAGUCCUUCGAUGCACUUAGCACCUUGUCUAAUCACCUGUGGUGGAUCCAAAAACCUCUCGAAUGCGAAGCAAAGCACAAACUAAGGUAUCUUAAGAUGCCAUUUUUAAUAUGAAGUCAUCAUAUAAAAAUGUCUAACAUAAGAUGUCGUAUCGAUGGUAGAUUCACUCAUGAGUGAGCACCAUUGCUUUUUUCUAGAAUGCAACUGACCUCUACCUGGGACCGGGAAAGUUUGUACGAUGAGAUAAUACAACUUUGUUGGAAAAAAUAACGAUGAAUCUUUCACAAAUUUGAUGACGUUGGAAGAGAAAGGAGUGGCAUGUGUCCGAGCAGAAAAUCAACACUAGUAGAAAACAGGGCUUUGGUCGAGGCGAGAUAAGAGCUUUAAUCCCGAUUCUGUUACGAACCGGGACCAUAUCAGUCCCGGUUCAUGAGGCCAGGGCGCCGGCCGGGCCAGGGUCCCGGUUCGUCUGACCCCUUUGGUCCUGGUUCCAUACACGAACCGAGACCAAUGGUCCUCACUCCUCGCGCAGCACCUUUAGUCCCGGUUGGUGGGUGGAACCGGGACUAAAAGUCAGUCUUCUGUCCCGGUUCUGGCCACCAACCGGGACCAAAGAGAUACUUAUAUAUACCCUCGCCCCUGCCCACCCUCUCCUCUGUUUUUUGGCCAUGUGGGAGGUGUGCAUACCCUGCUAUGUUCACCGUUCUAUGCAUGCACAUGAGGUGUUCGAUGAAAUGCCCGAGCCACACUUAAGCUUUCUCCUCUCCAAGCUCGACCUCCAAGCUCCAUUUUCCUCAAGAUUUGUCUAGGUUUGGUGGUGCAGCAACUACACAAGUGUUCUAAAAGGUUAGCUACUUCAUCCUUUCAUCUCUCACCGCUAGUUUAGCUAAUUUUAAAUGCUCUAGAAGUAGAGUGCUUGUGGGUUUUAGUGUAGGAGUGUAUGUGGGAGUUCUUUUGAUUUAGAUGCACAAUCGAUCCCAUCGCCGGCACCACCAUGGUGAGCCUCUUGUUCUUAUCUUCUUUCUAAAUAAAAUCUUACUGGUAUGAUUUAGAUAGAUACUUGUGUAAAUUUCUUACUUUUAUUAUUGUUUGUUAUUAUAUAGUGCGAUGGUAUUGGUAUGCACACACGUCGGUCCUCGUCCGGCCUAUGAUUGAGACGUGCUAUAUUUUCUUUUAUAACUAUUUGUUUUAUUUAGUGUUUAUGACAAUUAUGCCGACCAACGUGACAUGGAUGUUUUUAUCUAGGAGGUAUGUGAACCGGAAACUCCAACCGACCCUCUUGUCGAGAGGUUAAAUUUAGUUGAAAAAGAAAAUAGUUACUUGAAGAAAAAAAUAGAAAAAAUUAAAGAGAAGAAUAUGGAAUUGGAGUUGUAUGUUGCCGAUGUCGUCGUUGAUCACAAGAUCAAGAUGGAUGCAAUGCGAUUGAAGAUGGACGCAAUGCGCUUGAAGAUGGAUGAAGUGUGGUUAGAGAUUAGGAAUAUUAGAAAAUAUGCCAUUGAUAAAGAGGCUUGGUAUCAUUAUGAUGUUGGGUCAAUUGUUACCUUAGUUGUGAUGUUGAUCACAUUUGUUCUUGCAUUUAAAUGUUUUACAUAGUUGUAUGUUGUUUUAUGAGCACAAUAUAUGAAUUUUACGUAUUUAUUUUUGCAGUAAUAACAUUUGAUCACUGAUACGUCUCCANNNNNNNNNNNNNNNNNNNNNNNNNNNNNNNNNNNNNNNNNNNNNNNNNNNNNNNNNNNNNNNNNNNNNNNNNNNNNNNNNNNNNNNNNNNNNNNNNNNNNNNNNNNNNNNNNNNNNNNNNNNNNNNNNNNNNNNNNNNNNNNNNNNNNNNNNNNNNNNNNNNNNNNNNNNNNNNNNNNNNNNNNNNNNNNNNNNNNNNNNNNNNNNNNNNNNNNNNNNNNNNNNNNNNNNNNNNNNNNNNNNNNNNNNNNNNNNNNNNNNNNNNNNNNNNNNNNNNNNNNNNNNNNNNNNNNNNNNNNNNNNNNNNNNNNNNNNNNNNNNNNNNNNNNNNNNNNNNNNNNNNNNNNNNNNNNNNNNNNNNNNNNNNNNNNNNNNNNNNNNNNNNNNNNNNNNNNNNNNNNNNNNNNNNNNNNNNNNNNNNNNNNNNNNNNNNNNNNNNNNNNNNNNNNNNNNNNNNNNNNNNNNNNNNNNNNNNNNNNNNNNNNNNNNNNNNNNNNNNNNNNNNNNNNNNNNNNNNNNNNNNNNNNNNNNNNNNNNNNNNNNNNNNNNNNNNNNNNNNNNNNNNNNNNNNNNNNNNNNNNNNNNNNNNNNNNNNNNNNNNNNNNNNNNNNNNNNNNNNNNNNNNNNNNNNNNNNNNNNNNNNNNNNNNNNNNNNNNNNNNNNNNNNNNNNNNNNNNNNNNNNNNNNNNNNNNNNNNNNNNNNNNNNNNNNNNNNNNNNNNNNNNNNNNNNNNNNNNNNNNNNNNNNNNNNNNNNNNNNNNNNNNNNNNNNNNNNNNNNNNNNNNNNNNNNNNNNNNNNNNNNNNNNNNNNNNNNNNNNNNNNNNNNNNNNNNNNNNNNNNNNNNNNNNNNNNNNNNNNNNNNNNNNNNNNNNNNNNNNNNNNNNNNNNNNNNNNNNNNNNNNNNNNNNNNNNNNNNNNNNNNNNNNNNNNNNNNNNNNNNNNNNNNNNNNNNNNNNNNNNNNNNNNNNNNNNNNNNNNNNNNNNNNNNNNNNNNNNNNNNNNNNNNNNNNNNNNNNNNNNNNNNNNNNNNNNNNNNNNNNNNNNNNNNNNNNNNNNNNNNNNNNNNNNNNNNNNNNNNNNNNNNNNNNNNNNNNNNNNNNNNNNNNNNNNNNNNCCCUUGUGUCGAAUCAACAAAUUUGGGUUGAAUACUCUACCCUCGAAAACUGUUGCGAUCCCCUAUACUUGUGGGUUAUCAAUCACUACUGUACUUUGGGUUUAAUGUGAUGAUGAACUUGUAUUAAUUUUGUCAUUUCUCUAUUCAUGAUGUUCUGCAAUGGUUUUUGAUAUACUUAAUUUCAUAAUACAGAUGAAGCGCCAAUGGAUGUACGGUGAACGAUACACUUCGGAGUAGCUACUGCCGAGUUCCUUGUUUAUCAGUAGCGCAUAUUAUGAGGCCUGCGCUACUGCUAAGGACAUUAGCAGUAGCGCUGGGAGGCAUCCAGCGCUACUGCUUAAUAGUAGCAGCGCUUUCUACUUUCCAGCGCUACUAAUAGGCUCCUACCUAUAAGGUUUUUCCUAGUAGUGCUUAUCUCUAUUGUGUUCCAUCUCCUCUCCUCUUCAAGGAAAAACUCAAUGCAGUUUACGAGUAGCACGCUGCCACAUCUUUACCAUCUCCACAUAAGUGCCCUUCACCCACACCGCUUUCAAGAGUUUGAUGAUCAUCGCCUCGCCGUAUUCAGCGAGAGGUCACCACCUCCGCCGCGGCCACUGCCACCACUCUAGAAUGUGUCUUGCUGCUCGAAGGUCGUUGAUGGUAGACAGGCCUACCUUUGAAGGGCCUCAUCGCCCCUUCAGAUCUGCAUCUGCCAUUGAAGUGGAAAAGCUCGAGCGGGGUGGUCUGUGCCGCUGGAAGUAGAGGAUGUUUUGAUGCAGGAGAAGAAAGGAAGCAUGGCAGAGAAGGUAUUAACCACCCUGGGUCUUUACAGGCUGGUGGAAACAUGAAUGGUCCACUUAACCGCUCCGAUAAGAUCUUCAUGUUUCAGCUCAAUCGAGCCGUUGUGGACAUGUGGGGUCUAACACUCAAUUAAUGGUGUCCCGCGAAAUGCGGGGCACGAUCUUUGUUUUGAUAAGACAUGCCAAGAGUUUCCUCAAAUCGUUGUUCGAGUAAGUUAUGACCGAUAUGCACAAUGUCAUUAACAUGACGAUUCGGGAAAAGUUAUCAAUACCUUGUUUCAGGAUUGGUCUAUGGUUUAGUCCUCGGUGCUCAGGUAACCACUUUGGGCAAAAGAAGGUGCCACACAGAUGACUAGAGAACUGUUCAACUCAUUUGUCGAGCCGAAGUCUGAAGAAGAUUGUCCGAUAAAGAACCUUAUGCUCGGCAUCGAAGACUAGUUCAAGGGAUACUCAAGGAGUCCUGGACUAAGGGGUCCCACUUGAGGUGGACUAGUCCCUAGGCUGAGCUCGAGGCCCACCGUGGAGGAAGGAUUUCAGAGGUCCACUAAAGGAUUGUGAGCAUAUCAGAUUCUACCAAAGACUUGGCGUGCACUCCAGGGAAAGGAUGAUUCGUUCGACAUGUAAUCCAUAGAUGGUAUCCAACAUUCAUGUAACCCUAGAUACUACUGGUGCCUACAUAAACCGUGGGGUUUAGCCCAUAGACGACACCCAUAUACACAACAUCAUAACCCCUAGGGUUUAGCCCACAAACUCACAAUCUCGAGGUAGAUCAACUCCGUAAUUGCUACAUCAUCAAUACAAAAAAGAGCAUGACAUAGGGUUUUACCUUCAUUGAGAGGGCCCGAAUCUAGGUAAAAACCUCAUGUUCUUUGUCUCGUGUUACCGUCGAUCCAAUCUCAUAGCUCGGGCCCCCCUACCCGAGAUCUGCCGGUUUUGACAUCAACACUGGGCGUGGCCCGUUUCAUUUGGUGUUGUAUCCGAGACGAUCAUUGUUCUAGCUAAAAGCGAGUGAAAUACCUAUUUGUCGUAUUUUGCGUCAAACUGUUAACGAAUUGCACAUCACAAGCGCGCGAGCAAGCGAUUCGGCAGGCCCAUCUAGAGUUGUACAUGUACAUCUUUCACGUUCUAGUUUUGGGAAUCUAGGGUUCACAGUGUUUUAUCGUUUUUGGGAACCUUCUAGAAGGUUCACCUGUUUUUAUAUUUUCCUUUUUCCCUUUCUUGUUUUGUUUUUGUAUCUAUUUAUUUUCCUUUUUCUUUUUAAUUUUUAAUUUUUGUUUUUUGUUUUAAUUUCAGUUUUUCUCUUUCUUUUUGUCACUUCCAUGUUUUUUAUUUUUCAUGUUUCUUUUUCUUGAAAAUUUCAAAUUAUCUUUGGAAUUUAAAAAAUCUCACUUUCAAAUUUGUUAGCACUUUGAAAAAAAAAAUUGUUUCAGAAUUUAUUUAGGAAUUUCAAAACAUUUAGCCACUUUCUAAAUUUGUUCACAAUUUUCAAUAAAAAUCAUGUUUACAAAAAUGUUCAAGACUUUCAAAAAAUGUUCUUGCUUUCAAAAACUGUUCAUAGUUUCAAAAACGUUCAAGCUUCAAUAAUUUUUCAGGAAUUUCAGAAAAGUUCUAGUCUUCAAAUUUUGUGUACAAUUUCUGAAGAUGGUCUUGUUUCAAUAAAGGUUUGGAAAUUUCAAAAAAUCUUGUUUUAAAAACUUGUUCGGAGCUUCUGAAAAAUGUUCGUGUUUCCAAAAAUGUGUAGAAAUUUCACAAAGAAAAUAACUGUUUCAACAUUUCGUUCAUAAUUUAGUAAAAUGUUCACAUGUUCCAUAUUUCGCCCGAAUUUUAAGAAAACUUAAAAACACAUUUUGUUCGCAUUUUCUGUAUAUAUAUUUUUUGCUCAAAUAUUAAAAAGUUCCUUUUUCCAAAAAAAAAUCAAAAUUCAAAAAAUGUUCGUGAUCUUAGAAAAUAUUCAAAAAUUUCAAAAAAUGAUUGUGUUUUAGAAAAAAAACGUAUUCAAUAAAAAAAUUCAUAUAUUUAUAAAAACAAUGUGUCAUGUUUUGAAGAAAUAUUCGUAAAUUUGGUAAAAAUGUUCGCAAAAUUCAUUCAAAAUUCAAAAUAAAAAUAAGUUUUGCAUAUUUGAAAAAAAAUGCCCGUGUUUGCAUUAAAGGUUCAAAUCUGGGAAAAAACUUUCAUUUUUUAAUGUUUACAUUUAUUAAAACCAUUUCGAAAUUUGAAAAAUGUUCGUUUAAAAAAUGCAUUAGGUACCGUAACUAUGUCGGUCACUAUAGUAUGUCCCUUUGAGGUUAUAGUUCUUAAAACAUCGGCCAUGUGGGUGCCACGAGAGCUGAUCGGGUUUGUUGGCAAGCAACGUGCUCACAACCGCGCGAGGUCACGGAUUUGAUGCCUAGCAAGCACAUGACUUUUUUUUAUUUUUGAUCCCAUGCUGGAAUGCAUGUUCAUUAUUGGACCGUCUCAGGGUGGACUCCCCCCGUGCGUUUGCUCGAUAAUAUGCCGCAGAACGCGAUAUAUAGGAGGUCCCGAAAGCGAGACAUAGACGCGUCCAUCAUAGAUAAGAAAUUACAUAGAGGUAAAGGAAGACUCAACUUAGCCCAAUAUUCAUUUGGAAAUUGACUAAUAGCCCACUUAUCUCAAAAUAUUGGGCCGCAACUAAUUGCAUGAGUGAGAAGAACUUUUUUUCGAUUGAAGUGGCAUCCGGCGUAAGUGAGAUGUGGGACAGUGAUCGUGGCAAAGUAGAUUUGAGCUAGAGGUGGAGUGCACUAUCAAACAUCACAUCCGAUGUCACGUUGUUUCUCGAGUGCCGCUCCGAUUUGGUUCCUCCUUCCUCACUAUCCCCGUCCUUCCUUACAAAGGAGGCAUGCACGCGCGUAUGUGGGGGAAGGGAAGAAAGCUUCGGGUCGUUCCAUCGAUUUGCUGCCUCGAGCCAAAUUUAAUUAUUACCCCACCUUGGCCCAAGAACUUGGGCCUGCAACUAAUCGGGGGAGUGAUAAGAACUUUUUUUGUUCAAUUAAAGUGACACAUGACAGUCCCUAAUCGUGUGCAAUGUAGUGGUGCCUAGGAAAAGCAAUCCAUACACGUAAGCGCGCGUACAACGCUGAUAUCUUAACAGUGCACGUAAGAUGAAUGUUGAGGUGGAGAAAAAAAGAAAGCAGAAAAAAUAAAACAUACAUCUUCCCUUAAUUAAGAGAUGGUCUCUUAGCAACAAAGCUCUCAUCAAAUUUUUAGAAACUAACACAUAUGCCCAUACAAUGCAUUGAGAGGGAAACCCGUUGGUUACAUGCGAGCACAAUGUCUUGUAGCAAAUCCGCUAUGGAGAAAAUGGUAUUUGUCUAGUUCACCAAAACAAUUAAUAUUGCAACAUCCAAGUGGUAUGACCCGGUGACAGAGAGGUGUAUCAGACAUACAUGAAUCAUAUAUGCAUGUGCCUUCCAAAGGGGGAGAAAUUGAUUACGUGGAAGCACAACGUCACUAUAAAUAUGCCCAUGUGAUGAAACGAAUAUAAGGGCAUUUCUAAUUGAACCCCAAUAAAUAGAGGAGUAUACGAUGGAGUAAACCCUUAGUGGAGUAUUUUAUAUCAUUAAGAUUUGACCAGACCUAGCCGAUCCCCUAUAUUUAACGGAGUAAAUGUCUGCUUUUUUCUAAACUUUGCAAUUCUAGUAGACAUUGCAACUACAUAUUAGUAGACAAAUAAAAAUUAAACAUAAAUUUGAAUGUUCAAGCAAAUAACGAAUAGAGUUUGCAAAACAAAUUUAAAGUUUAAAAACCAAAUUAUUCAAAUUUAAACACGCCGAAUGGUCCAAAUUUAGCAAAUAGCAUGUGAUAGAACAACUAGGACUCGCUAUGACAUUUGCUAGUGAUGCUCAAUAAAAUAUUCUUGAAGUUGAGCAUGAACUUUUCGAUUCUCGAUCUCGCAAAGCUCUUCAAAGAAUGCCAGGAUCCUAUUCGGAUCAUACUCUAGCUCAACCGGAGCCCCGUUGGCCAUGUACCGAAAGUACUCAUGCAUAUCACUCUCGUCUUUAAUGAUCAUGGUAUGCAAUAUGAUGCAACAAAUCAUGAUCCUCCAUUUAACCUUGGAGCUCCAAUACUCGACAAGGUCACGAACAAUUGCAAAGCGCCUCUAUAGCACACUGAAAGCUCUCUCCACAUCUUUCCUAGCAGCUUCUUCAGAUUGGGCAAAGUAAUAUUUUUGUUAACUUUUGGAAGUAGAAUUGUUUUGACCAAGAUGGCCCAUUGUGGAUAGACGCCAUCCCCAAGGUAGUAACACAUCAAGUAGUUGUGCCCAUUGACCGAGUUGUUGCAAGAAGGAGCAUAUCAUGUAAUAAGCCUAGAAAACAAUGGUAAUCUCGACAACACAUUCAAGUCAUUGUGACUUGUGAGAGCCAGGCAAACAAAAGAAUGAAUGUCAUAUCCAAAGAUCCUUCGUUGCAACUGCCUCAAGAAUGAUCAUUGGAUUGUUGGUGUGGCUUUUGUACUAACCCUUCCACCCUGUAGGACAGUUCUUCCAUCUCUAGUGCAUACAGUUAAGUGAUCCAAGCAUCCCUGCCAUCCUCUUGCGUCAGUCUAUGUCAUCAGCAUCUGGGUAUCUUCCUCUGUGGGUGCUCUCAAGUACUCGGGGCCAAAGACAUCGAUCCCUACUUUCGUGAACCUUUGAAUGGCUUCCAAGAUUGUGUAUUCACCAAUGCAGACAUAGUCAUCAAUUGCAUCGACAGAACACCCAUAUGCCAAGAAUCGAACAGCCGCAAUGCACCUCAUUAAUGGGCUUUCACUUAUCUGUCCACUUGCAUUUCUCCAGAGCUUGAACUAGUUAUCAUACCUCUCAACGACUUUUGCAAUGGUCAAAGAAAGACUUGUGUGCAUCCGAAAGCAUCGAUAAAAGUACUUCUCCAGAUAGGUUAUAUUUGGAUCAAAGGAAUCUCUCAUGAUCUUGGCAUGACCCUCCGCUCUAUGAUGGGUGAUGUGUAUGCAGCUAAACUAGGGUCAUUUCUUAGGCAGCCGAAUAUCAUAAUUGAAAACCAUGUAUAAAACGGUUUCAAAGUCAUCAUCGUCUUCUUCCACUUCGAAUGACGACGAGUCCUCGAAGACUAUCUCCCUCAACAUCUUGGUAUACAAUUCAAACGGCUACAUUCAAACCGAACGGCUUGGUUAAAAAAGAAACAGAAAAAAAACUAACCUAGGGAAUUCGUCAAAGACUUGCAGUGGGGUGGUGGUGCACCAGCCGAUCGGUGUGGUUUACACCUAAACGGAAGGUGGUAACGCGUGUGAUGACCUAUAGCGGUGUGGAAGCAAGGUGAGAUGCAGCGGCUGGCAGAAUAGGAAGAAGCUUUAAGCAAUUUGACGAAUCAACAAUGGCGACGGCAACAACGUUUCACCUUGAUUCCAGCGAAGGCGACGGGGCUGAACAAGCUCAAGGCAACGAGGUAGUGACGGGGCCGGCGAGUAGUCGCCGGGAGGCGCACCGGCGAAGAUAGAAUGGUACCGGGGGCGGGGGGUGGGGGCGCGAGGGAGAGGCACGAAUUUUACUCAGCCGCUAAGCAGUGAAGUAUAUUUAGGAAAAGGAUCGGCAAGGUGCCGGUUAAAGGAGUGAAACCGAAUUUUUACUCCUCCAACCGGUUAUAGGGCAUCGGUUAAAAAUGACUUGAAUAAAUUAUGCAUGCUUAAAUUUAAUAUGAAUACACAAGCAUCACAUAAUCGAUAAUUUGUUGUUUCCCUGCAGGUCAUCGGCGCUUAUGUAGGAUAUUUAGGCUGGUGAACCAUAACCACGUUUGUAUUUUUUCAAGCGAGGAGUAAUCAUUCGUUUCAAGCCGGCAGUAUCAAUCACUAAUAGUUUGUUAGGUCUAUGAACAACACGACCCAGUGCCCAUAUAUUUGAACAACACUUGGAAGUCUUGGGCGCCUCUCAGGGUCAAGAUUUUCCUAUGGCUGGCGCUGGCAGAUGUUGGACGGCCGACAGCUUGGCGCGUUGUGGCCUUCCCCACGCGCCUUUCUGCUUGUUCUGCGACCAGGAACCGGCCGGAGAGGAUAUGCAACACCUGCUGGCCGGUUGCUCCUUCUCGCAACAAGUUUGACAUGAGAUCCUCUCUCGGUGCCAUGCCAUAGUCACCCUGCCCAACUCGGACUGCGAUUUUCGCGAGUGGUUUUCCGCCUCCAUACAUGACUUGCCGAUCGCUCUUCGCCGUGGGCUUGCCACAAUCAUCGUCCUCGCUACUUGGAGACUCUAGAAGUUGUGCAAUGAUUGUGUGUUCAACGUCGACAGCCCUUCCGUCAACAGACUCUCUGACAGGUGCUCCUUGAUUACAUCAAGGAAGACCCCCGCGCUUGGGUGCACGCCGGGGCCAAGGGCCUUGGCCAACUGAUUGACGAGACGUAGAGUUUUUCAUUUUGGGUGCGCCCUUGUUCAUCUCGUUCACAGCAUCUCAUUUGCGCAUAUCCUCACGAGAUCAACCCUGUAACCAUUUUAUUCGUUUCCAUCUAUCAAUGCAAUGAUACGCAUAUUUUUUGUGUAUUCUCCAAGAAAAAUAUUUGCACUUACACUUUCAAAGAAUCUCCAAUCAUAUAGACGCACACACAUGAGCACAUAACCUUUCUUAGCUUCUUUGCAUCAAAUUCAACCAACAAUUCGAAUGUGAUAUCAUGGAGCCUGCAAAGCACCUCCACUUUAUAUGCGAAGGAUCCCGCUUAAUUAGCUCACACCCGGAAAUGAUGUUGAUGUAUAUAAAUUGGUGAGAAUUUGUUAAAAGGAGCCAUGUGAGACUUUUCAACACGAAAUAUGCAUACGCAUUAAUACCGCAAUGUGUCACUCCUCGAAAGCAUAGUUAGCUUUGUCUGGGGAAGGCCUUUCGAGAUCAGCAUAUGGUCAUUUGAUGGCAGAGAUAAAGUUCAUUAUGCAACAGUGAGAGUUUAUUCUCAUCAAAAUCAAGGGUGAGCAAAAUAGGGUGGUAGAUUGAUUGAUGCCGUAUGGUCGAGUAGAAAGUGGUAUUAUUGUAUGGCUAUGUAGCGCAUCAUCGUGUAUAGAGGAUCUUUUACCUCUCAAUUGUAACCCUAAUACGAUGAAAUAAAACUCUUUUCAGUAAAAGAAAAUACUGCAAUGUGUUAAUUUUUCUUUUUACGUUGAUGGUGCAUGCGCACGCUGGUCAAACUGGCCCAACAGUUGGAGUGCAGGCCGAAGCACAAUCCCCUUUAUUUUUGGACGCCCCUAUGUACGCGAGACAGAGGCAAGCCUCACGCCAGGGGAGCUCUAUAUUGGCCAGCCCAGCUGCGCGGGAGGCUACAACCUCAUUUUCCUGUUUUUUAUGUCUUUUGUUUUAUUUAUUUAUUUAUUAAAUUUUGUUUAUACUUCAAAAAAUAGUAUGAAAAAAUUACAAAAAAAACAUUUGAAAAAUGUUAAGCAACCUUUAAAAAAUGUCAAAUGUGUAUAGAGAAAAUAUUUACCAAUUAUAUGAAAAAUGUAUUAUAAAAUUUAACAUGUAUUUAAAAUAUUAAUCAAGCACUUGAAAACACAUUUGAAAAAUGUUAAUCAAGCAUUUUUUAAAUGUCAAAUGUGUAUAGAAAAAAUGCUGACCAUGUAUUAAAAAUUAAUGAAAUGUUUGGAUAAUGUAUAUAAAAUGUUUAAGCAAGCAUUUGAAAAAAUGUUGAAGAAGUAUUUGAAAAAUAUUAAUCAAGCAUAUGGAAAAUGUUUAAAAUGUGUAUAGAAAAAAUGUUGACCAUGAAAAUGAUGAUUGUUUUUAUCAUGUAUAUAAAAAUAUUAAUCAAGCAUUUGAAAAAAUAUCAGACAUGUAUUUGAAAAUGUUAAUCAAGCUUUUGAAAAGUGUUAAAAGUGUAUAGAAAAAAUGUUGAGCAUGUAUUAAAAAAUGGUGAAAAAAGUUGAUCAUGUAUAUAAAAAUAUUAGUAAAGAAUUUAAGAAACAUGUUGAACAAGUAUUUGAAAAUAUUAAUCAAGUAUUCUAAAAAAAUUAAAUGCGUAUAGGAAAAAUGUUUACCAUGGGUUAAAAUAUUGUAAACUUGUAUUGAACAAGUUAAUCAAGAGUUUCAAAAACAAUACGGAAUGUGUAUAGAAAAAUGUUGACCAUGUAUUUAAGAAAUGUUAAUCUGGUAUCUGAAGAAAACCAAAAAAACAAGAAAGAAAGAAAGAAGACCGAAAAAACAAUGAAAAGAAAAGAGAAGACAGAGUGAAAACUGAGAAAGGAUAUGAAGAAAAUCAAAGAAAGAUAAUGAAAAAAUAAAGAAAAGGAAACCAAUAAGAAUUGAGAAAGUGGAGAAAAUAAUAAAUAAAACUAAAAAACCCUGAAAAACCAGUGAAACCCUAGAUGUUUUCUCGUCAAGUAUGCUCAUGCCUCGAUGCCUAAAGCAUCUCCAACAGCCGCGCUAAACUAGCGCCGCGCCGCAAAAUAGCCCGUUUUAGCGCGCGCGCAACGCGGCGGGUAGCUCCAGCGGGCGCGCAAAAACGGCGCGCGCGGCAUAUGCAGUUCACCGCGCUGGUCGAAACGCAAUCGCGCGCCGCUUAUUUACUGCAACAGCUCCCGCGCGCUGGACUCUCCCGCGCUCGCUCCUUCACUCUCGCGCGCUCGCUCCUCCACUCUCUUGCGCUCGCUCCCCACUUCCACCCCCAUCCGGUCGCGCCGCCGCCGCCGCUAGCGCCCCCCGGCGACCGUUCAGGCGCUUCCCCGGCCUAUCCCCGUGCCGCCGUCGCCGCCCGCGCCCCCCGACGACCGUUCAGGCGCUUCCCCGGCCUAUCCCCGUGCCGUCGUCGCCGCCCGCGCCCCCCGGCAACCGUUCAGGCGCUUCCCCGACUAUCUCCGCUGUCGCCGCCGGCCGCGCCCCCCGGCGAUCGUUUAGGCGCUUCCCCGGCCUCCCCGCGCCGUCGCGCUUCCGCCCCACCCCCUCCUAGUCCCGCCGGCCCUCGCGCGCCCCCGUCGUCCGAGGAACAGCGCCCGAGCGCUCGCUGCCGCAGCGCGCCCGCAAGGUGUUCGACAAAACGCCUACAAGGUAUGUAUUGCUCAAACUUAUGAAUUUGGUGCAUGUUUUGAAUUGUAGUUUUUAUAGUAUAGUAUUGAACAUUGUAGAUGAGUUCGUCGUAUGAUUCUUCCGAAGAAGAAUUUGAUAUGGAAGAGGAGGAGGAUCUUGCAAUGAUCCUAGCUAUGCAUAUCAAUAAAAAACCGAAGCACGGUGGUUCGGUUAUGGGUUGGGAGAAAAUUUGGAGAGAUAGGAUUGAUGCCCAUAACAGAUUGAUGAAGAACUAUUUUGUGGAGAAUCCCACAUACCCGGAGUCGUAUUUUCGUCGCCGGUUUAGGAUGAGCACUCACUUGUUCAAGCGCAUUGCAGAGAAACUAGCGAGCCAUGACCGGUUUUUCCAGCAAAGGAGGAAUGCUGCCGAGAGCUCGGGCAUAGAGAGCUCAGGCAUAGCACCUUUCUGAAGGUGACAGCCGCUUUGCGUAUGUUGGCAUACGGUAUCCCGGCUGAUCUAGUUGAUGAUCACUUGGCUAUGGGUGAGGGCCAAGCCAUCAUGUGUGUCAAGCGCUUUGCAGUGGGAAUUGUGCAAGUGUUUGGCGAGGAGUAUUUGAGAUCUCCCACUGCUGAAGACGUCACAAGGCUAUUGGCGAUGAACAAGGCUCGCGGCUUUCCUGGCAUGCUUGGCUCAAUAGAUUGCAUGUAUUGGAGUUGGAAGAAUUGUCCAAAGGCAUGGCAUGGGCAAUUCCACGACCAAAAAAGGGUUACACUAUAAUCCUUGAAGCGGUGGCCGAUUAGGAGACUUGGAUUUGGCAUGCAUUCUUUGGAAUGCAUGGAUCUUUGAAUGAUAUCAAUGUUGUCAACCGGUCACCACUGAUGAAUAAGAUUGCAGAUGGUGAGUUGCCACCGGUGCAGUUUGUAGCAAAUGGUCGUACGUACAACUAUGGCUAUUAUCUAGCGGAUGGCAUCUAUCCAAAGUGGCAAACCUUUGUGAAGCCGUUGAAAAAGCCGGAGGGUAAGAAAAAUCUUGAUUUCCACAAUGUUCAGGCGGCGGCUAGAAAAGAUGUGGAGAGAGCAUUUUGGAUUUUGCAAGCCCAAUUUGCUAUUGUGAGAGGACCGGCUAGAUUUUGGGAUCAAAAAUGCUUUGGUACAUCAUGCACGCUUGUGUGAUCAUGCACAACAUGAUCAUCAAGAAUGAGCGUGGCCAAGAUUUAGACUACUCACAGUAUGAGCUCUUGGGACAUCCCGUGCGAGUGCGACGGAGGGCUAAAAGGGUAGCCCGUUUUGUUGCCUCCUAUGAUGCCAUUCGGCGCCCCACAACGCACAAUAAACUUUAGAAGGAUCUGAUUGAAGAGUGGUGGGCAUGGCAUGGACGAGAAAGAGCAUGAUUUCUGCAUUCGACAUUGUAUUGUUCAUGAACUAUUGGUUGUGUUUAUUGCAUUAUUUGUUGUACUAAACGAUAAACUAUUAGUUUGAGUUGUAAUGACUAUUUAUUGUUGAUUUAUUUUGUUUAUUUGAUCAUUUUUGCAUCUAUUUUUUGAAAUGUAUAUGUGGUUUGUGCGUGCUGCGCGCGCUGUAUUUUUGGGCGCUGCUGGAGCGGCGCGCGCGCUGCAUUAUAGCGCGGCCGUUGGAGCCAGCGCCUAUCCCCGCGCUAAAUCAGCCGAAGCGCGCGCGGCAAACACAUUUUUUGGGCGCAGCGCGAAGCGCGGCUGUUGGAGAUGCUCGAGGCAUGGUCACUACUACGUCCACCAUGCUAGAGCGGCGGGCUAGCCGUGUCGGUGGUUGGCCAUGGUACGGACUCUAUGGAUAUGGGGCUCCUGAUUGAAUGCGUCCGGCAAAACGGAGCUCGUCGGGACCUAAAGAGGAGGAGAUGCCGCUGGUGGAAGCGGAGGGAGUGUGGCGUAUGGGGGUCAGGGAGGUCUCGCUGCUGGGUCACGGCUGCUGCAACACGAGGAGGAAAGAAUGUUUCGACGCACGGAGGCCCGCGGAAGUGGCGGCUGUUGCACCCUUGCUUGAGGAUCAGGUGAAGUCAAGGUCGUUCUCCCUCAUCCAGAUAGCCAGUACCAUCGGAUCCGCUCGCCGGGUUGGAUCACCCCCGGAUGUGCACAUGGAGUUGCGAGGGGUCUGUCGUCGCUGGCCUCGCCGCCGUCGCUUGCCUAGCGUGAGGCUUUCCCUCUGCUAGGGUUGGUCGCAUGGAGGGUUGUGGGCCGUUUGUUCUAGGUUUUCAUCGGAGGGAGCCCGGGGUGUUGGAUGGGAGGCCCAACCAAGUUUUGGUUUUUGUUUCAUGGACUUAGCGGCUCGGCCUGCCUUGAUGACCCGUGAAGCGCAGCCAACGGUGGCUGAUGCCACCGAUCGCUUCCUUAAGUGGUGGUGGGUGUCUAGGGAUGGCCCAUCCACUCACUUAUGGUUUGAAGCCGCAAUCAGAGACAUCGGGAGAGGAGCUAACACCGCUCACAAGAUCCACUGUUCUCGCGCGCUCAUCCUCGAGGCCUCGCUCGCGGCCAUGGAUGUGAUAGGGCGGCUGGCAAGCAUGCGUUCGAGGAGCAUCAUGCUGAUUACGUGACCUACACAUGGAGAGGGAUAUGUUGAAUUAGAUGUUGGGGGUAGAGGGCAGCCGCAAGAGGGGUCGAGAGGACGUGUUCCCCUUCUUCCAGGUGAUCAAUGCCCAUGGGAUCCCGAGGACAACGGUUGCUUCCUGGUGCCCUCCUUGCGCCACUUCAGGCGGUUGAGGUGUCCAGAGAGGGGCGACAAUGACUCGCGUUGGUCGGACUAGGCCCAAUAAAGAGAUGCCGGGGACACUGCUUGGGAUAGGGAUAAAGGGAGCCUUGAGGACGACCAGUGUGGGAAGGGGGAUUUGGAUACUCCAAAUGUGCUUCCCCUCACGACGACACAUUGUUGGAAAUAUGCCCUAGAGGCAAUAAUAAAUUAGUUAUUAUUAUAUUUCUUAGUUCAUGAUAAUCGUUUAUUAUCCAUGCUAUAAUUGUAUUGAUUGGAAACACAAUACUUGUGUGGAUACAUAGACAAAACACUGUCCCUAGUAAGCCUCUAGUUGACUAGCUCGUUGAUCAAAGAUGGUCAAGGUUUCCUGGCCAUAGGCAAGUGUUGUCACUUGAUAACGGGAUCACAUCAUUAGGAGAAUCAUGUGAUGGACUAGACCCAAACUAAUAGACGUAGCAUGUUGAUCGUGUCAUUUUGUUGCUACUGUUUUCUGCGUGUCAAGUAUUUGUUCCUAUGACCAUGACAUCAUAUAACUCACGGACACCGGAGGAAUGCUUUGUGUGUAUCAAACGUCACAACGUAACUGGGUGACUAUAAAGAUGCUCUACAGGUAUCUCCGAAGGUGUUCGUUGAGUUAGUAUGGAUCAAUACUGGGAUUUGUCACUCCGUAUGACGGAGAGGUAUCUCGGGGCCCACUCGGUAAUACAACAUCACACACAAGCCUUGCAAGCAAUGUAACUUAGUGUAAGUUGCGGGAUCUUGUAUUACGGAACGAGUAAAGAGACUUGCCGGUAAACGAGAUUGAAAUAGGUAUGCGGAUACUGACGAUCAAAUCUCGGGCAACUCACCAACCGGGACUAAAGGUGCUGCUCGAGGAGUGAGGACCAUUGGUCUCGGUUCGUGAGUNNNNNNNNNNNNNNNNNNNNNNNNNNNNNNNNNNNNNNNNNNNNNNNNNNNNNNNNNNNNNNNNNNNNNNNNNNNNNNNNNNNNNNNNNNNNNNNNNNNNNNNNNNNNNNNNNNNNNNNNNNNNNNNNNNNNNNNNNNNNNNNNNNNNNNNNNNNNNNNNNNNNNNNNNNNNNNNNNNNNNNNNNNNNNNNNNNNNNNNNNNNNNNNNNNNNNNNNNNNNNNNNNNNNNNNNNNNNNNNNNNNNNNNNNNNNNNNNNNNNNNNNNNNNNNNNNNNNNNNNNNNNNNNNNNNNNNNNNNNNNNNNNNNNNNNNNNNNNNNNNNNNNNNNNNNNNNNNNNNNNNNNNNNNNNNNNNNNNNNNNNNNNNNNNNNNNNNNNNNNNNNNNNNNNNNNNNNNNNNNNNNNNNNNNNNNNNNNNNNNNNNNNNNNNNNNNNNNNNNNNNNNNNNNNNNNNNNNNNNNNNNNNNNNNNNNNNNNNNNNNNNNNNNNNNNNNNNNNNNNNNNNNNNNNNNNNNNNNNNNNNNNNNNNNNNNNNNNNNNNNNNNNNNNNNNNNNNNNNNNNNNNNNNNNNNNNNNNNNNNNNNNNNNNNNNNNNNNNNNNNNNNNNNNNNNNNNNNNNNNNNNNNNNNNNNNNNNNNNNNNNNNNNNNNNNNNNNNNNNNNNNNNNNNNNNNNNNNNNNNNNNNNNNNNNNNNNNNNNNNNNNNNNNNNNNNNNNNNNNNNNNNNNNNNNNNNNNNNNNNNNNNNNNNNNNNNNNNNNNNNNNNNNNNNNNNNNNNNNNNNNNNNNNNNNNNNNNNNNNNNNNNNNNNNNNNNNNNNNNNNNNNNNNNNNNNNNNNNNNNNNNNNNNNNNNNNNNNNNNNNNNNNNNNNNNNNNNNNNNNNNNNNNNNNNNNNNNNNNNNNNNNNNNNNNNNNNNNNNNNNNNNNNNNNNNNNNNNNNNNNNNNNNNNNNNNNNNNNNNNNNNNNNNNNNNNNNNNNNNNNNNNNNNNNNNNNNNNNNNNNNNNNNNNNNNNNNNNNNNNNNNNNNNNNNNNNNNNNNNNNNNNNNNNNNNNNNNNNNNNNNNNNNNNNNNNNNNNNNNNNNNNNNNNNNNNNNNNNNNNNNNNNNNNNNNNNNNNNNNNNNNNNNNNNNNNNNNNNNNNNNNNNNNNNNNNNNNNNNNNNNNNNNNNNNNNNNNNNNNNNNNNNNNNNNNNNNNNNNNNNNNNNNNNNNNNNNNNNNNNNNNNNNNNNNNNNNNNNNNNNNNNNNNNNNNNNNNNNNNNNNNNNNNNNNNNNNNNNNNNNNNNNNNNNNNNNNNNNNNNNNNNNNNNNNNNNNNNNNNNNNNNNNNNNNNNNNNNNNNNNNNNNNNNNNNNNNNNNNNNNNNNNNNNNNNNNNNNNNNNNNNNNNNNNNNNNNNNNNNNNNNNNNNNNNNNNNNNNNNNNNNNNNNNNNNNNNNNNNNNNNNNNNNNNNNNNNNNNNNNNNNNNNNNNNNNNNNNNNNNNNNNNNNNNNNNNNNNNNNNNNNNNNNNNNNNNNNNNNNNNNNNNNNNNNNNNNNNNNNNNNNNNNNNNNNNNNNNNNNNNNNNNNNNNNNNNNNNNNNNNNNNNNNNNNNNNNNNNNNNNNNNNNNNNNNNNNNNNNNNNNNNNNNNNNNNNNNNNNNNNNNNNNNNNNNNNNNNNNNNNNNNNNNNNNNNNNNNNNNNNNNNNNNNNNNNNNNNNNNNNNNNAUAGCAUAAGUAGCACGACAACCCCGAGGGCAACACGUUGAUGGAUGAUCAUGGUGUGGCGCCGGUGACAAGAAGAUCGUGCCGGUGCUUUGGUGAUGGAGAUCAAGAAGCACGUGAUGAUGGCCAUAUCAUGUCACUUAUGAAUUGCAUGUGAUGUUAAUCCUUUUAUGCACCUUAUUUUGCUUAGAACGACGGUAGCAUUAUGAGGUGAUCUCUCACUAAAAUUUCAAGACGAAAUUGUGUUCUCCCCGACUGUGCACCGUUGCUACAGUUCGUCGUUUCGAGACACCACGUGAUGAUCGGGUGUGAUAGACUCAACGUUCACAUACAACGGGUGCAAAACAGUUGCGCACGCGGAACACUCGGGUUAAGCUUGACGAGCCUAGCAUGUGCAGACAUGGCCUCGGAACACAUGAGACCGAAAGGUCGAGCAUGAAUCGUAUAGUUGAUAUGAUUAGCAUAGAGAUGCUUACCACUGAAACUAUUCUCGACUCACGUGAUGAUCGGACUUGAGAUAGUGGAUUUGGAUCAUGUACCACUCAAAUGACUAGAGAGAUGUACUUUUUGAGUGGGAGUUCUUAAGUAAUAUGAUUAAUUGAACUAAUUGUCAUGAACAUAGUCUAAUGGUCUUUGCGAUUUACGAUGUAGCUUGCGCUAUAGCUCUACUGUUUUUAUAUGUUCCUAGAGAAAAUUUAGUUGAAAGUUGAUAGUAGCAAACUUUGCAGACUGAGUCUGUAAAACCGAGGAUUGUCCUCGUUGAUACACAGAAGGCUUAUGUCCUUAAUGCACCACUCGGUGUGCUGCACCUCGAGCAUCGUCUGUGGAUGCUGUGAACAUCCGACAUACACGUUUCUGAUGACUACACGAUAGUUCAGUACAAAAUACUUAAUGGCUUAGAAGCAAGGCGCCGAAAAUGUUGUAAAACGUCACAGAACAUAAGUGAUGUUCUAAAGAGAUGAAAUUGUGAUUUCAUGCUUGUGCCCUUGUUAAGAGGUACGAGACCUCCGACAAGAUUCUUUGUCCACAAAGUAAAGGAGAAAGGCUCAAUCGUUGAGCAUGUGCUCAGAUUGUCUCAGUACGACAAUCGCUUGAAUCAAGUGGGAGUUAAUCUUCCAGAUGAGAUAGUGAUAGUUCUCCAAAGUCACUGCCACCAAGCUGUGAGAGCUUCGUGAUGAACUAUAACAUAUCAAGGAUACAUACAAUGAUCUUUGAGCAAUUCGCGAUGUUUGACACUGCGAAAGUAGAAAUCAAGAAGGAGCAUCAAUGGUUGAUGGUUUGUAAAACCACUAAGUUUCAAGAAAGGCAAGGGCUAGAAGGGAUACUUCGUGAAACGGCAAAACAGUUGCUGCACUAAUGAAGAGACCCAAGAUUAAACCCAAACCCGAGACUAAGUGCUUCUGUAAUGAGGGGAACAGUCACUGAGGCGGAGCAACUCUAGAUACUUGGUAGAUAAGAAGGCUGGCGAAAGUCGAAAUAAGUGUAUUUGAUAUACAUGAUGUUGAUGUGUACUUUACUAGUACUCCUAGUAGCAUGAGGGUAUUGGAUACCGGUUCGGUUGCUAAGUGAUUAGUAACACGAAAUGAAAUCUACGACAUAAACGGAGACUAGCUAAAGGCGAGGUGAUGAUACGUGUUGGAAGUGUUUCCAAGGUUGAUAUGAUCAAACGUCGCACGCUCCCUCUACCAUCGGGAUUGGUGUUAAACCUAAAUAAUUGUUAUUUGGUGCUUGCGUUAAGCAUGAACAUGAUUGGAUCGUGUUUAUUGCAAUACGAUUAUUCAUUUAAAGAGAAUAAUGGUUACUCUAUUUUCUUGAAUAAUCACCUUCAAUGGUUUAUUGAAUCUCGAUCGUAGUGUUACACAUGUUCAUGAUAUUGGAGCCACAAGAUACGAGUUGAUGAUGAUAGUACCACUUACUUGUGCCACUGCCGCUUGAGUCAUAUUAGUAUAAAUUGCAUGAAGAGACUCCAUGCUGAUGGAUCUUUGUACUCACCUGAUUUCGAAUCACUAGUGACAUGCAAAUCAUACCACAUGAGCAAGGCCUUGUUUUUCAUUGAGAUGAAAUAAGAUAGUAACUUGUUGGAAGUGAUACAUUUUGAUGUAUGCAGUCCAAUGGGUGCUGAGGCACGCAGUGGAUAUCAUUAUGUUCUUACUUCAUUGACGAUUUGAGUAGAUACAGGAGUAUUUACUUAAUGAAUCACAAGUCUGAAAUGUUGAAAAGUUCAAUUCCGUUUCAGAGUGAAGUUCGUCGUAACAAGAGGAUAAACUGUCUAUGAUAUGAUCAUGGAAAUGAAUAUCUGAGUUACAAGUUUUGGUACACAGUUAAGACAAUGUGGAAAUUGUUUCGCAGUUCAUGCCACCUGGAACAUCAUAGUGUGAUGAUGUGUCUGAACGUCAUAGCCACGCACUAUUUGGUAUGGUGCAUACUAUGAUAUCUCUUAUCGAAUUACCACUAUCGUUUAUGGGUUAUGCAUUAGAGACAACCGCACUCACUUUAAAUAGGGCACCGCGUAUUUCCGUUGAGAUGACACAGUAUAGACUGAGGUUUAGAGAAACCUAAAUUGUCGUUUCUUGAAAGUUUGGGGUUUCGACACUUAUGUGAAAAAGUUUCAGUCUGAUAAGCUCGAACCCAAAGCGGAUAAAUGCAUCUUCAUAGGAUAUCCAAAACAGUUGGGUACAUCUCCUAUCUCAGAUCCGAAAGCAAAGUGAUUGUUUCUAGAAACGGAUCCUUUCUCGAGGAAAGGUUUCUCUCGAAAGAAUUGAGUGGGAGGGUAGUAGAAAUUGAUGAGGUUAUUGAACCAUCACUUCAACCAGUGUGUAGCAGGGCGCAGGAAGUUGUUCAUGUGGCGCCUACACCAAAUUGAAGUGGAAGUUGAUGAUAAUGAUCAUUAAGCUUCAAAUCAAGUUACUACAGACCUCGUAGGUCGACAAGGUCGCGUACUGCUGCAGAGUAGUACGGUAACCCUGUCUUGGAGGUCAUGUUGUUGAGCAACAGUGAACCUACGAGUUAUGGAGAAAGCGAUGGUGGGCCCAGAUUCCGACAAAUGGCUGGAAGCCAUGAAAUCCGAGAGAGGAUCCAUGUGUAAAAACAAAGUGUAGACUUUGGUAGAACUACUUGAUGGUCAUAGGACUAUUGAGUAAAAUGGAUCUUUAAAAGAAGACAGACGAUGAUGGUGAUAAGUCACUAUUAAGAAAAGCUCGACUUGUCGCAAAGAUGUUUUCGACAAGAUCAAACAGUUGACUAUGAUGAGACUUUCUCACUCGUAGCGAUGCUAAAGGUCUGUUAGAAUUAUGUUAGUUUUUGAUGCAUUAUUUAUGAAAUAUUGCACGUAGGAUGUCAAAACAUUGUUUUCUCGACGGUUUCCUUGAGCAAACAUUGUAUGUGAUACAACCAGAAGGUUUUGUCGAUCCUAAAGAUACUAGCAAGUAUGCAAGCUCCAGUGAUCUUUCAAUGGACUGGUGCAAGCAUCUCGGAGUUGGAAUAUACACUUUGAUGAGAUGAUCAAAGAUUUUGGGUUUGUACAAGGUUUAUGAGAAACUUGUAUUUCCAAAGAAGUGAGUGGGAGCACUAUAGAAUUUCUGAUAAGUAUAUGUGAUUGACAUAUUGUGGAUCAGAAGUAAUGUAGAAUUUCUGUAAAGCAUACAAGGUUGUUUGAAAGGAGUUUUCAAAGGAAUACCUGGAUUGAGCUACUUGAACGUUGAGCAUCAAAGAUCUAUGGAGAUAGAUCGAAAGCGCUUAAUGGAAGUUUCAACAAGAUGCAUGCCUUGACAAGUUUUGAAGGAGUUCAAAAUAGAUCAGCAAAGAAGGAGUUCUUGGUUGCGUUGUGAGGUGUGAAUUUGAGUAAGACUCAAAACCCGACCCCGGCAGAAUAAAGAGAAUAGACGAAGGUCGUCUUCUAUGCCUUAGCCGUAGAAUCUAAAGUAUGCCAUGCUGUGUACCGCACCUGAUGUGUGCCUUGACUCAAGGUAUGUUGAGAGGUACAGAGAGUGAUCCAUGAUUGAAUCACUAGCAGCGGUCAAAAUUUAUCCUUAGUAACUAAUGGACUAAGGAAUUUUUCUCGAUUAUGGAGGUGGUUAAAGGGUUCGUCGUAAAGGGUUACGUCGAUGCAAGCUUUGACACUAAUCCGAAUAAUUAUGAGUAGUGAAACGGAUUCGUAUAGUAGAGUAGAUAUUUGGAGCAUUUCCGAAUAGCACAUAGUAGCAGCAUCUAUAAGAUGACAUAAAGAUUUGUAAAGAACGCACGGAUCUGAAAGUUUCAGAACAGUUGACUAAAACCUCUCUCACGAACAAAACGUGAUCAGACCCCAUAACUAUAUGGGUGUUGGAUUCGUUGGAAUCACAUGGUGAUGUGAACUAGAUUAUUGACUCUAGUGCAAGUGGGAGACUGUUGGAAAUAUGCCCUAGAGGCAAUAAUAAAUUGGUUAUUAUUAUAUUUCUUAGUUCAUGAUAAUCGUUUAUUAUCCAUGCUAUAAUUGUAUUGAUUGGAAACACAAUACUAGUGUGGAUACAUAGACAAAACACUGUCCCUAGUAAGCCUCUAGUUGACUAGCUCGUUGAUCAAAGAUGGUCAAGGUUUCCUGGCCAUAGGCAAGUGUUGUCACUUGAUAACGGGAUCACAUCAUUAGGAGAAUCAUGUGAUGGACUAGACCCAAACUAAUAGACGUAGCAUGUUGAUCGUGUCAUUUUGUUGCUACUGUUUUCUGCGUGUCAAGUAUUUGUUCCUAUGACCAUGAGAUCAUAUAACUCACGGACACCGGAGGAAUGCUUUGUGUGUAUCAAACAUCGCAACGUAACUGGGUGACUAUAAAGAUGCUCUACAGGUAUCUCCGAAGGUGUUCGUUGAGUUAGUAUGGAUCAAUACUGGGAUUUGUCACUCCGUAUGACGGAGAGGUAUCUCGGGGCCCACUCGGUAAUACAACAUCACACACAAGCCUUGCAAGCAAUGUAACUUAGUGUAAGUUGCGGGAUCUUGUAUUACGGAACGAGUAAAGAGACUUGCCGGUAAACGAGAUUGAAAUAGGUAUGCGGAUACUGACGAUCAAAUCUCGGGCAAGUAACAUACCGAAGGACAAAGGGAAUGACAUACGGGAUUAUANNNNNNNNNNNNNNNNNNNNNNNNNNNNNNNNNNNNNNNNNNNNNNNNNNNNNNNNNNNNNNNNNNNNNNNNNNNNNNNNNNNNNNNNNNNNNNNNNNNNNNNNNNNNNNNNNNNNNNNNNNNNNNNNNNNNNNNNNNNNNNNNNNNNNNNNNNNNNNNNNNNNNACAGCCCACAAGUACCCAAUGCGCCAAGAGAAGAAAAAUCAAGAGGAAAGAAAAAAAAAAGAGGAAGGAGGUGGGAAGGAAGGGGGACUCCUCCCACCAAACCAAGUCCAACUCGGUUUGGGGGGGGAGUCCUCCCCCCCUUGGCUCGGCCGACUCCUUGGGGGUCCUUGGACCCCAAGGCAAGGCCCCCCCUCCCUCCUCCUAUAUAUAUGGAGCAAUUAGGGCUGAUUUGAGACGACUUUCUCACGGUUGCCCGACCACAUACCUCCAUAGUUUUUCCUCUAGAUCGCGUUUCUGCGGAGCUCGGGCGGAGCCCUGCUGAGACAAGAUCAUCACCAACCUCCGGAGCGCCGUCACGCUGCCGGAGAACUCUUCUACCUCUCCGUCUCUCUUGCUGGAUCAAGAAGGCCGAGAUCAUCAUCGAGCUGUACGUGUGCUGAACGCGGAGGUGUCGUCCGUUCGGUACUAGAUCGUGGGACUGAUCGCGGAAUUGUUCGCGGGGCGGAUCGAGGGACGUGAGGACGUUCUACUACAUCAACCGCGUUCACGAACGCUUCUGCUGUACGAUCUACAAAGGUACGUAGAUCACUCAUCGCCUCUCGUAGAUGGACAUCACCAUGAUAGGUCUUCGUGCGCGUAGGAAAAUUUUUGUUUCCCAUGCGACGUUCCCCAACACACAUGCUACAACUAUGGAGGAACGAGCAUUACCAAGCGAGGUGCCACUUCCUGGCGAUCUGCUUCACCUGUAAGGAGGGCCACACCUUAUCCGUGUACCGCAAAAGGAUCCAGAAACCAAAGCUUUUUAUGUACGGUUUUGGCACGAGAGAGUUGGGGGUUUACCUUCUAGAAGGGGGCUCGGACGUGGCGGAGGUCACAAUUCCAAAUGUGGCCUCAAUCACCAUCUUCAAGGGGACGGCUUCACUGGAAUCAUUAGCGUUGGACCUGGUUGGCCUCGACGAAAGCUAGUACUGGCACAUUAAGAGGGUGAAGCCGAAUAUGUUCAUGGUCGUCUUCCCUUCCAAGGAAUUCUUCAGGAUCACCAGGAAUAGUGGGACCAUAACCACGUCGUGAGCAAGUUGAAAUCCAUGGUGCGUUACCCGCUCGCUAAGCCUUUGGUCACCUCUAGGCUAAAGGAAACCUAGAUCCACAUCUUUGUCGUUCCUUAAAGGGUCUGCAGUGUUCCGCUGAACUCCGAGUUCAGCAAGAAUGUUGAUGGCUUGAGAAUUUGCGAUGUUUUCAUAGUAAUUCCCAUUUAGUUUUGUUGUUUUUUUUAUUCUUCGAAUACUUAUAAUGCUAAUCCAACAAAAGAGGGGAAAUUUUGCUUUGUUCUUUGGAUGGCAGGAAAUAACAUAUUUGGAAGGAAACCACAGGAGAUUGCUUCAAAUCAAUCCAAUUGGAGCAACUUUCCUGAAGAGAGUUUGUCAAUAGGCACACCAGAGUGAAAGACGACGUUCCAUACGACCGCACGCGCUCACUUGAGCGAUCAUUUAGAGUGCCCAGAACUCCUCCUCGUUUAUAGAAGCAACUUUCGUGAAGGGACCACAGGGAGAAGAGAACCCUAGCCGCCGCCAUACGAUCUAGAACAGGAGAAGACAGGAUGUGAAGAACUCACGAGGGUCAUCAUAGUCUUUAGUCCUUUCAUCCCCAUCAUCAUCAACACUUCCUUUGCUAUUAUAAGAGGGAUUGGAACUUGUAAUCUAUACUCCAUCUCAUAUGAGAUCAAGACUAUUUGAGUACUGAUACGUCUCCAUCGUAUCUACUUUUCCAAACUCUUUUGCCCUUGUUUUGGACUCUAAUUUGCAUGUUUUGAAUGGAACUAACCUGGACUCACGCUGUUUUCAGCAGAAUUGCCUUGGUGUUAUUUUUGUGCAGAAACCAAAGUUCUCCAAACGUCCUGAAAAUUUACGGGGAUCAGUUUUGGAAAAUAAGAAAAAUAUCUGCGCCAAAUUCCACCUGAGGGGGUGGGCCAAUGGGCCACGAGCCCUGGCUCCACCACCACCCCCUGGUGGCGGUGGGCAGGCUUGUGGGGCCCACACGGCUCUGCCGCCCCCAACGUCAGGUCUAUAAGUCCCCUUUCAUCCCAAAAAAAAUAAAAAGAGAAGUUUUCAUCGCAUUUUCGAUACGGAGGCGCCGCCACCACCUGUUCUUCAUCUGGAGGGCAGAUCUGGAGUCCGUCUUGGGCUACGGAGAGGGGAAAUCGUCGCCAUCGUCAUCAUCAACCUUCUUCCCUCUCCAAUUCCAUGAAUCUCUUCGUUGUUCGUGACUAGUUUGCCAUGCUUAAUGCUUGUCACUAGGGCCCGAGUGCCAUGAUUUCAGAUCUGAAAUUAUUAUGUUGUCACCAAUAUAUGUGUGUUUUAGAUCCGAUCUUGCAAGUUGUAGUUACCUACUAUGUGUUAUGAUCCGGCAACCCCGGAGUGACAAUAACCGGAACCACUCCCGGUGAUGACCAUAGUUUGAGGAGUUCAUGUGUUCACCAAGUGUCGUGGUUUUGUCACGGCAGAUGUCCUCGUGAAAGGACUUAGUACUGGAGCCAUCGCACCUUGGUGGCGACUCAAAGGGGUUAAGCGGGAGAGACACGGCGAUUUACCCAGGUUCGGCCCCUCGUGAGGAGGUAAAAGCCUACGUCCUGCUUUGGUUUGUAUUGAUGUGGUUUCGAUUACAAGGAGGGUGUAACUCGCCGAACCUAGCACUCGAUGAUUUCUAACUUGCCCUCUCCUUCCCUGGGACUCGCCUUUAUAUACAGGUCAAACCCUUAAGGUUUACAAGGAUACUUUCCUUCCUACAAAUCGUGACCCCUGUAGUCUCUAAGUCGCCCUCUUUCAAAGCUUGGAGACCUUCCAGAAAUCAUAAACCGCCAUACGGCCUUGAUCCGGCCAGGCCAAGGCCCAAAUCACUGUUUAGGUGAAUCGCCUGAUUGGUGACCCGGCCCAACUAGGGCGGGUUAUUAACAGGUAAUAUCCCCAACAUUAGGCCCCAGAUUGACUUGAACUCUCUUCAUGCCAAUACUUCUGCUCAGUUGAAGGCGAUUCAUUCUUCAGUUUUCUCCAUACGUCAAAAAUUGUAACCCGCCAUCUGGCACCGAAAAAUCUUUAAGUCGCCGAACCAUUUCCUGUUGGCAUCUUCUUAUCCCUCGAUUUUCGGGAAGACUGACAUAAUCCCAACGGAUCCUGGUGCAUCGUUAUCCCAAAAUCUUCGGAACGCUAUUAUGGCGAAUCUUUUCAUUCCCCGGCGGUUCCUGCUCACGGCGCCUCGAUUCCAGCGCCCGCCCUGUUAAAUAGAUGGGAGGGGACAGGACUGGUGCUUCCCACCUACCAGUCUCGUCAAUCUCCUCCCCAUUAUCACAGCGAGGAAGUCUCAUCGCCUCCCGAGAGCUCCGCCGCUGACCGCACGUUCCUUCUUCAUCCGAGAGGCUUUGGCGUCGCCCAUAGAUCUUCGCCGUCGUCAAGCUUCGCACCGCGCCCGAUCCGUCCACCGCCAUUGACCACCGCAUCGUCGUCGACCGUCUCGUCGCUCGCCAAGAACUCCGCCGUCGUCGAAGAUCUCUUCGCUCGACGGGACCUCCGUGCUUCUCCAACAACCUCCGUCACUGUCGGCCUUUUCCGACCGAAAGCAUCAGGUUAGGCCACCGCCCAUUUAAGAGCAGAUCUAAUCUCCGUUCGAAGCUCCAGUACUGCCAUGUUCUUGAUGUUCUUCACGAGCAUUUGUUGCCUAUCCUGGACUGAUUAGCACAAAUGUCGACGAGAUAGCCAAUGCUUUGAAUACCUUCAUUUAUCCGCUCUUACUUGCGAAUCUAGAGUAAUGUUUCAUCAAGCGAAGGGCAUCACCUUGCCCUAGUAAUAAAUUGCUGCAUCGAGCCACUUUUCUCAUGUUUUUUCAUCUGUCUAGUAGAUCCAUAAUUUACCUACUGUUUUGCAAAAAGUUGUUUGUAGUCUUCACAUUUUGAUGUUUUGAACGAACGUCUCCAUCAUCUUUAGAACGCAGCUCUCUUAAAUAACCAAAUUUCGUAAGUCGCCAUAGCAACCCAACUCGGCUCUUGAUAUGGCGGGUCAAGUUUUUCCCUCAGUCCGUGGACAAAUUACUUGGCGAGUUAAAUGAACUUAUUUCACCCCUUACAGUAGAUGUUCGAGGCGUGUAAAUUCAUCCAUACUUCACUUCUUUGUAGCAUGGGCGCCGUCUUCAAAAGUGACUGGCUUCCUACCAAAGUCAACGACACCAUACUAGCAGACUAUGUGAAAACGGGCAACUUGGACCCUCAGAAUGUUAUCGGCUGGCGUACCGGGUUCGAAGAGGAUCUCCCCAACCCCAAAGAAGGGGAGAUAGUCGUUUUCGUUGAACACCUGGAGCGAGGUUUUAAGCUGCCCGGACCGAAGUUUCUUAGAGACGCCAUGGCUUUCAUGAACGUCCGCCUCCAGGAUCUGGGACCUAACUCGAUAAGUAACCUAUGUCAAUUCCAAGUGUUCUGUGAGGCUUAUCUGCGGAUUGAACCCUCUGUCCCCUUAUUCUGGCACUUUUUCCAUCUGAAUCGCCAAACGGAAUUUCACAAUGGCCCCAGCCUGGAACUCGGCGGUGUCAACGUCCAGCGCCGCAGGGAUAGCCCAUUUCCCUCACUCGCCAUGCCCAGCCAUCCCAAAGGUUGGGGCGAGUCUUGGUUCUAUUGUCAAGAGACCUCACCUGCAGGCGAAAACAAGCCUCUGGGCUAUAGAAAAGAUCGCCUUCCAAUGAACUUCAAGCUUCCAGACAAGCUCACCGAGGAGGAGGAAUCAGAAUUCAUCCCAGUAUUGUCCGAGUUAAGAUCUUUGACAAACAAUGGCCUUACUGGGGUUGACCUGAUCCGCUGCUGGGUCGAAUGGCGCAUCCUCCCUCUGAGUCGCCGGGACGGGCUAAUGUGCGAAUUUGAUGGCACCUUAGAUCAUCCUCAAUGUUAUUUCCAUACGGCUUUAACAGAAAAGGAUAUCGUCACCAUCAUCAAGAAACUGACUGGCGAGCCUCCGGGAAAAUGCGGCCAAAUCGGCCUCAAGCCUUUCUGCAAAAUUAAUCCGGUGCCCAAGGUGAGCAAAUCUAACCCGCCUUUUGUCUUUACUUCUUAUGUUUCACUUGUAUUGUGGUUUUUGUAACAUAUGCUAUUUCAGAAAGGCGAUAAAUUUUGGUCCAAGAAACCCAAAAGGCCAGCCAUGAGAAAUGUUAAGCCGCCCUUAAAGAAAACCAAGGGCAAGGGCAAAGCUGCUGCGGCUGAGCCAUCCGAAGUCGAUGAGUCUCAAGUCGGCGAUGCACUUUCGGAGGUAAAAACCUAUCCUAUUUUCACUCGCCAUCCACAACUUGUUAACUUUGUAUUUAUAUCUCUGCCUCUCUUGAAUAGAAUGAAGACAACGAAAGCCAGGAGGACUCUGUUGAGGUAAUUUCUGUUUCCUCCGAUUCAUCUCCUUCUCCACCUAAGCCGGCCAGGAGAAUUUGUGGGGAAGUUCCCUUCUCACACCCAAAUGCUUGUUUGGACCCAAAUUUCCUACUGAAGAAAGCACAGCAUACUUCAAAUCGGAAAACCCGAAGUCAUUCCGGUGAUCUGGUGUCCGGCUUACCACCAACGAACAAGAGGAAACCAAACGAGGUACUUUAUGAAUAACAAUUCUUCCUGUUUCUUUGGAUCACGUCUGUAACCUGCCUAUAUUUUUGAUGUAUAAUUCUUGCAGAACUCUCCUCCUACAUCUGGCGACUCAGUGAUGUCGACACUUCCGCCAAUGAUUCGAGUCCCUGGGUAAGUCUUUUGAUAAUCUUACUCUGAACCUGAGGGUAAUAAACUUUAGUUUCCUUAAUGCGCUUCUCCCUUCUUUUAGGGCACAGGCCAAGAAAAGGAAAACCAGCGGACCCACUCCUGUCGCAACUUCAGAGCCCAUCAAAGAGUCAGUGCCGAUUCAGGACAACCCGGACCAAGGCGAGCCCGAAAAUCAAAUGGAUCUUCCCAACUCGCCCAAGGAAACAAUGGAUGCCCCUAAGCCGCCAAGUCCAUUGAUGACAACAGAAGACCCGGAUGCUGUAGUUAUUACUGGUACCGGCUUCUCCAAACCGGCGGCAACGGUUUUGUCAAGGCAUGUGGCAUCCUCCUCUCAAACCAUUCCUGAGUCUGGACUCUCCAAGGAUAAGCUUUCUGAAUAUGAAAAUCUGGAGUUCAAGGAGCUCUGCUCUGGUUUUGCAAGUCGCCUGGAGGUGAGUUAUGAGAUGGAGAAAAGCCUGCUGCGGAUGCUAAAAAACAAACAUGAGGUAAGUUUUGUUAUAUUAUAUUACUCCCAUUAACCCCCAAGGGCCGGGUCAUCAGUAAAAAGAUGAGUCAGGUCUUGAUACAUUUAGAAAAAACUUUCGACCAGUAACCCCCAAGGGCCGGGUCAUCAGUAAAAAGAUGAGCCGGGUCUUGAUAUUGUAUAAUUUCAUCUGAAAAGAAAAAAUUAUACAUUAGCCCCCAAGUGUCAGGGAUAUUGCUUGCAAUAGUUCUGAGACUUGCCCCUUUGUUUGUACUUUCAACAGGAAACUCUUGCUCAGACUGAAUCGGCGCUUGGCGAAUUAAAGAAAAACUUAUAUGGUGAGCAAGAUGCUCGAGCUAAGUCAGAGGAGAAGUAUCAAUUGGUCCUGGCUGAGCUGGAAAAACUCAAAGCCGGUUUGAAAAGAGCUCAAGCUGACCAAGAUGCUGCCACAAAAAGAGCAGAGAAGGCUGAAGCCAGGCUGGCUACUGUGCAACAAGAAUUGUCCGGCUUGAAGCAUCAUAUCUCAAACAUGACGCAAGCCGUCUUUGGUAAACUUACUCAAACUUUUGAUCUUUUCUCCCUUUUUUUAUAUAAAUAACUCUUAUUGUAAGUCGCUGAUUAUCAUGACCCCUUACACAGGUCCGAGAGCCGCCAACCUUCAGGAAGACUGUGUGCUGAUGCUAAAGGCGAUUUACACGCUGACAGAGCAACUGUACACCGGCAGUGUUUUAACUGUUAAAGCUGUGAUGGGUGCCAAAGAGCCUAUAACUUCCGUAAAGAAGGUGCUUGGCUGCCUAUCCACGCUUCCCCCUCAGAUUGGCGAGCUAACUCGGUCAGCCGCCCGAAAGGGGGUUCUGACUGCCUUGAGUCGCUGCUUGGCGUAUGCUCCAGAGAUCAACCCGGAAGAGGUAGCGGCAGGCUUUCCUCAACUCAAAGAUGAUGGUUCAGAAUUCGUUGAAGAGGACUAUCAACGUGUUGUCAUGGACUCCCGACUGGCAGCAACCCAACUCGCAGCAAGUCUGGAUUUAUCAAAGUAUCAGGCUGCUUAUGAUAGCAAGAACAAGAAAGUCAACCCGCCAACCUUUGUGACGACCAGUUUAACUCCUCGGCGACCCAAGAACCCUUUUGACUUGGAAGCAGACCUGGCAUCAAUCCUGACUGAUGAAGAUGACUUCGCAGCUCUGGCCAAGUUUAACUGGGUACUGGGCGACUUGCAAAUUGAGGUCGACCAGAGCUCGCAGCAAAAUGAUCCGAAGGCGCCAACAGAAUAAACCUCAUCGAUUUGGCCUGAGAGCCAUGUAAUAGGUCUUUUUCAUAAGUCGAUACUGUUUUUGUGAUACUCUCGAAAGAAUCUUUAUAUCGCCCUUAAGGCGAUUUGAAAUAUUUGACCCGUCAUUUGAGAAUCCUUUAUAAUGCUUAAUCCGCCAUGGAUGAAGUGAUUCUGAUCAUCAACCUGAUUUAGGCUUUGAAAACAUCAUAUGUGAAACCAAAUAAAUGAUAACAAAUAUUUUCAAGAGGAAUCAAAAUAGAAGGUUUUGAAAACCCUCGAGGCUAUGCCACGAAGGAUAAUACAAAACAGCAAUCUCGUCGGCUCAUAAGGUCGCGACAGGAUGGGGCGAGUCAGAAAGCUCGAGCACACACCCACAAUGAUGGUUUCGUCGGCUCAUAAGGUCGCGACAGGAUGGGGCGAGUCAGAAAGCUCGAGCACACACCCACAAUGAUGGUUUCGUCGGCUCAUAAGGUCGCGACAGGAUGGGGCGAGUCAGAAAGCUCGAGCACACACCCUAAAUGAUGAUGGUUUCGUUGGCUCAUAAGGUCGUGACAGGAUGGGGCGAGUCAGAAAGCUCGACCACACACCCUAAAUGCUGGUUUCGUCGGCUCAUAAGGUCACGACAGGAUGAGGCGAGUAAGAAAACUCGAGCACACACCCUAAAAUGCUGAUGGUUUCGUCGGCUCAUAAGGUCGCGACAGGAUGGGGCGAGUCAGAAAGCUCGAGCACACACCCUAAGAUGCUGAUGGUUUCGUCGGCUCAUAAGGUCACAACAGGAUGGGGCGAGUCAGAAAGCUCGAGCACACACCCUAAGAUGAUGAUGAUUUCGUCGGCUCAUAAGGUCGCGAUAGGAUGGGGCGAGUCAAAAAGCUCGAGCACACACCCUAAGAUGAUGAUGAUUUCGUCGGCUCAUAAGGUCGCGAUAGGAUGGGGCGAGUCAAAAAGCUCGAGCACACACCCUAAGAUGAUGAUGAUUUCGUCGGCUCAUAAGGUCGCAACAGGAUGGGGCGAGUCAGAAAGCUCAAGCGCCACCCUAAAAUGCUGGUUUCGUUGGCUCAUAAGGUCGCAACAGGAUGAGGCGAGUCAGAAAGCUCGAGCACACACCCUAAGAUGAUGAUGAUUUCGUCGGCUCAUAAGGUCGCGACAGGAUGGGGCGAGUCGGAAAGCUCAAGCGCCACCCUAAAAUGCUGGUUUCGUCGUCUCAUAAGGUCGCGACAGGAUGAGGCGAGUCAGAAAGCUCGAGCACACACCCUAAGAUGAUGAUGAUUUCGUCGGCUCAUAAGGUCGCGACAGGAUGGGGCGAGUCAGAAAGCUCAAGCGCCACCCUAAAAUGCUGAUUCUGUCGGCUCAUAAGGUCGCAACAGGAUGACAAAAUUGUUCUUUUAAAGAAGAAGCCCCCAAGUCGGGGAGUAUUUUUAACUUUAUUACUUCAUAAUGAAACUGAAAAACUUACAAAAUGCAGAGCUUAAGAGCUCAAGUGUAAUAAGGCCGCAGGUGGGUAAUAUUCCAGGAGCGAGUUGACUCAGCCUCCGUGGUUGGCCGGUCAGGCCGGAGAUCCACCAAAUAAUAAGAGCCAUUGCGGAGAUUCUUGCUGACGACGAACGGCCCUUCCCAAGGUGGUGACAACUUAUGCAUGGCUGCACGAUCUUGUAUCAACCGAAGAACCAAGUCGCCUUCCUGAAAGGUCCGACUCUUAACCCGGCGGUUGUGAUAACACCGUAGAUCCUGCUGGUAGAUAGCUGAACGGGCCGCAGCCAGGUCACGUGCCUCCUCUAAGGCGUCCAAAGAGUCUUGACGCGCCAGCUCAUUGUCUUGUUCCACAUAUGCGGCUACUCUAGGUGAGUCAUGCCUUAUAUUAGUAGGAAGGACAGCUUCUGCUCCGUAGACCAGAAAGAAAGGGGUGAAACCCGUGGACCGGUUCGGGGUAGUCCGAAUACUCCAUAGUACUGAAGGUAAUUCUUCAACCCAACACCCUGGGGUUUUUUCCAGGGGAACCAUGAGUCGGGGCUUAAUUCCUCGCAAAACCUCCUGAUUCGCCCGCUCCGCCUGCCCAUUAGAUUGUGGGUGAGCGACUACAGAAACAUCAAGCCGGAUAUGUUCUCGACGACAAAACUCCUGCAUCGCCCCUUGGGACAAGUUAGUACCAUUAUCAGUAAUGAUACUGUGCGGAUAUCCAAACCGUAAAAUCAACUUCUUCAAGAAUUUGACCGCUGUUUCCGCAUCGCAAGCUCCAAUAGGUUCCGCCUCAACCCACUUGGUGAACUUAUCAACCGCCACCAGCAGAUGGGCCUUCUUGUUAGAGGACAUUUUAAAGGGGGCGACCAUGUCAAGCCCCCAGACCGCAAAAGGCCAAGUGAUGGGGAUCAUUCUUAAUUCUUGAGCCGGCACAUGAGCCUGUCGCCCAUAACGCUGGCAUCCUUCACACCGGCGAACUAUAUCUUCUGCAUCUACAUGAGCCGUCAGCAAAAGAAACCAUGACGGAAAGCCUUUGACACCAAAGACCGUGACCCGGCAUGAUGCCCACAGUCUCUGGAAUGAAUGUCAUUUAAGAUUAUGCAUCCUUCUUUGGAGGAAACGCAUCGCUGAAAAACUCCAGAGGCGCUCCGCUUAUAUAACUCGCCAUUGAUGAUGACCAUGGAUUUGCUGCGACGAAUGAUUUGACGAGCUGAAACUUCGUCUGCUGGUAACUCGCCCCGAGCGAGAUAAGCCAGAUAAGGAAGAACCCAAUCCAGCAUGACGUGGAGAGCCGCCACGAGCUGAGACUCAGGAUCUGGUAUUGCCAAUUCCUCCUCCGAUGGUAGAAUCACGGAUGGUUUAUGCAAGAUAUCCAGAAAAACAUUGGGAGGAACUGGCUUUCGCUGGGAGCUAAGUCGUGAGAGGGCGUCAGCUGCCUCGUUGAGGCGCCGAUCAAUGUGGUCCACCUGAUAACCAUGAAAAUGACCCGCCACAUCAGACACAGCUCUUCUGUAAGCCGCCAUCAUGGGGUCCCGAGAAUCCCAGGUACCUGAAACUUGUUGUGCCACCAAAUCAGAGUCGCCAAAGCAUCUGACUCGCGUUAGAUUCAUCUCCUUGGUGAGUCGCAAGUCAUGAAGCAAAGCUUCGUAUUCCGCCGCAUUGUUAGUGCACGGAAACAUGAGUCGGAGAACGUAACAGAAUUUAUCUCCUUGAGGGGAUACCAACACCACACCAGCCCCCGAGCCUUCCAGCUGCCUAGAUCCAUCAAAGUAAAUAGUCCAGUAAGUGAGAUGAGGCCUAUCUUCCGGAGCCUGCAACUCCGUCCAGUCGUUGACGAAAUCAACUAAAGCCUGAGACUUGAUGGCUGUACGGGGGGUAUAUUGUAUGUGAUGCGGCCCAAGUUCUAUUGCCCACUUGGCAAUCCGCCCUGUUGCCUCCCGAUUCUGGAUGAUGUCCCCAAGGGCGGCAGAGCUAACCACUGUGAUAGGGUGUUCUUGGAAAGAAUGCUUAAGUUUUCGACUCGCCAUAAACACCCCAUAUACCAACUUCUGCCAGUGUGGGUACCGCUGCUUGGAAAGAGUUAACACCUUGCUGAUAAAAUAUACCGGGCAUUGCACUGGGUAUUCCUUCCCUUCCUCCUUUCUUUCAACGACCACUGCCACACUUACUGCUUUGGAAUUUGCCGUGAUAUACAGAAGCAUGGGCUCUUUUUCAGUCGGGGCGGCCAGGACCGGCGGGUUAACCAAUUGGCGUUUCAGGGCUUCGAGCGCCUCGUCUGCCUCAUUCGUCCAAACAAACCGAUCAGAUUUCCUUAAUAACUGAUAAAGAGGAAUCGCCUUCUCACCCAGGCGACUCACAAAACGACUUAGGGCCGCAAUGCGACCCGCCAGUCGUUGAACUUGAUUAACGUUCGCCGGCUUUCCAAGGGAUGUAACUGCUUCGAUCUUGUCCGGGUUAGCUUCAAUGCCGCGCUCCGAUACCAGGAAACCCAGCAAUUUCCCUGCAGGCACACCAAAAACAUACUUGGUGGGAUUUAGCUUCAUCUGAUAUACCCGUAGAUUAUCGAACGUUUCCUUGAGAUCCUCCAGUAGUGUCUCCCCCUGGCGGGUUUUGAUCACAAUAUCGUCGACAUAGGCAUGGACGUUGCGACCGAUUUGGUUGCGGAGGCAAUUCUGGAUGCAGCACUGAUAAGUCGCCCCCGCACUCUUGAGUCCAAAGGGCAUGGACACAUAACAAAAAGCCCCGAAGGGGGUUAUAAAGGCUGUUUUCUCUUGAUCCUUGACGGCCAUCUUGAUUUGGUGAUAUCCUGAGUAGGCGUCCAAAAAGCACAAUCGUUCGCAUCCCGCCACCGAGUCAAUGAUAUGGUCGAUGCGGGGAAGAGCGAAGGGAUCUUUUGGACAAGCUCUGUUGAGGUCUCUGUAGUCAAUGCACAUACGAAAGGUACCGUUCUUCUUGAGUACCAAAACCGGGUUAGCCAACCAUUUGGGGUGAAAAACUUCCACGAUGAAUCCGGCGGCUAAAAGACGGGCAACCUCUUCCCCAAUCGCCUUGCGUCGCUCCUCGUUAAAUCUGCGAAGGUACUGCUGGAUGGGUUUGCUCUUUGGGUCAACAUUAAGAUGGUGCUCAGCGAAUUCUCUCGGCACACCAGGCAUGUCAGAAGGUUUCCAUGCGAAGAUGUCCCGAUUCUCACGGAUGAAUUCGAUGAGCGCGCUUUCCUAUUUGGGGUCCAGACCUGUCCCAAUGGUGAACUGCUUGGAUGAAUCGCCAGGAACGAAAUCGAUUGUCUUAGUGUCAUCCGUUGGCUUGAACUUGAGGGGCGACUCAGAAUCUGUAGUCGGCUUCUUUAAGGGUGACAUGUCCGCUGGGUCAACAUUGGCCCGAUGGUGUUUGAGCUCUUCCGCAGUGCAGGCGACUUCCGCACAAGCCGCGUCCCCUUCUUCACAUUCCUUUGCAAUCCUUCUAUCUCCAUCAACCGUGAUAGGUCCUUUGGGACCAGGCAUUUUGAGCUUGAGGUAAACAUAGCACGGGCGAGCCAUGAAGUGGGCAUAACCCGGCCGCCCAAACAACGCAUGGUAGGGGCUUUUCAAUUUGACCACCUCGAAAAUCAGCGACUCCGACCUGUAAUUUUGCGCAGUUCCAAACGCCACUGUGAGCCUGACCCGGCCUAUGGGGUAGGCCGACUUGCCCGGUACGAUUCCGUGGAAAACCGUGGUUGAAGGCAUCAGGUCCUUUUCCAAUAGGUUCAUCCUUUGGAAAGUGUCAAAAUAUAAGAUAUUGAUGUUGCUGCCACUAUCCAUUAGCACUUUGGAUAGGGUGUAACCCCCAACUUGGGGAGCCACGACCAACGCUAAAUCGCCUGGGUUGUCAACUCUCGGCGGGUGAUCCUCCCUGCUCCAUGUUAUGGUUUGCUCAGACCAAUGGAGGUAUCUCGGAAGCGCCGGUUCAGAUACACUGUACGCCCGGUGACACACCUUCUUAUCGCGCCUGCAAGCAUUGGUGGUGAAAACAUGAUAUUGCCCAUUACUUAACUGUUUGGGGUUGCUGCGGAAACCCCCAUUAUCGUCCUGACCCUGCGGAGCCCCCUGUGGGGGUGGCUGCUGAAAGGCUCCUGGCGGGUUAUACCGCCGCUGGUGGUGCACCGGGUAUUGGCCGCCGCCUGGCUGUGGGCCUCCCUGAGCCCCCUAUUCGGGAAAGCCGCCGAAGGGAUUCUGUCGUUGGUUGGGUGCGGUGAAUUUCUCCUGGCGCUGGUCCGGAUCAUCGUUUUGACUUUUCUUGAUCGCCUCCGCCCGAAACUCCCGCAUUACGAAGCAGUUCUCCCAGGAGUGAGUCGCCGGACCGUCUGCCGUGGCAUGGUGCGGGCAAGGGCCUUUGAGUAGCUCUUCAUAGUUACCCGGCCUCUUCCCGCUAAACCCCCUAUUUUUCUUCUGGCGUUGGUUGCCGUUGUUGGCGUUGGUAUUGGCGACUAAGUCUGAGGGCUCUUCUUGCGGUCUUCGCUUGCCAUUGGCCCCUUGAUUGUGGCGGUUACGUCCCUGGAACCGGGUAUGAUUUUUGGAUGACUCGCCCUUUUUGGGCGAAUUAGCCUUACCGUCCUCACCAGGAUCUUUGGUGUCAUCUGCCUCAGCGUACCUAGUGAGGGUGUCCAUCAGCUCUCCCAUGUCUUGGACCUUUCGCUUGAGUCGCCCCCAUUUUUGCACCAAGGGUUCGUAAUGGCAAUUCUGCUCGAGGAUCAGCACAGCUUGAGCCGCCGUAAUACCAUCUGACGAAUGGAUAAUUUCUGCAACCCGUCGUGACCAAUGGUGAGCCGACUCAUCCGGGCGCUGAACACAAUGCUGUAGAUCGACGAUCGUCAUCGGACGUUUGCAAGUUCCUCGGAAGUUUUUGAUGAAACGCUCUUUUAACUCGGCCCAGGUCUGGAUGGAGUUGGCAGGUAAGUUUUUCAACCAAGUGCGUGCUAACCCCUCGAGCAUCAUCGUGAAGUAUCUGGCGCAAACCGCCUCGUUCACGUCAAGCAUGUCCAUGGCGAUUUCAUAACUCUCGAUCCACGAUGCCGGCUCAAGGUCCGGGGUGUAAUUAGGCACCUUUCUUGGUCCCUUAAAAUCUUUGGGCAUCCUUUCGUUAUGAAGAGCGAGGGCCAAGCAUGGUACCCCUACUCGCCCUCCGCCCCCGACGAGGGGGACCGGGGCGUCUUGGGUGUUCGGGAGAUCCCGGCCCGGCGGGUUCUGUUCAGGCGGGUUGUCAUGUGGGACGUGUCGCGGACCGCUGUUUACGGCGGGCUGGUCCUCUGGACGGCUCCUGGUGUAACUUUCCUAGGGGGUGGAAUGCAACCUCUCGAGGCUAUGGGGGAACUGGGUGUUUUGAACCACCGCCGUCUUCAACAUCUCGAUGGCAUUCCUUGCUUCUAUCUCGGCAGGAGUGUUGCCAUGAAUCGGAANNNNNNNNNNNNNNNNNNNNCGGAAGAGAUUCCAGAUGGCGAGUUGCGGCAAGGACAUUGUCCACCAAGUUGGAAAAGUGGCCUUGAGGCGUCCGGAAUCGGGGAAUGCGAUCCUCAGCCGGCUGAACCGGCGGGUUAGGUGGGCGACCCGGCCCUCCCCCCGGGGCGGCUCCCGACCCAGGGGUUCAUGGAGUGUCGAACAGGCAGGUCGGGUUAAGGUCAUGGGGCAGGCGACCCUGGUGUCUCCGUUGAUGGACGGCGUCAGAUGCGCGCUGCUGUCUCUCGAGCCGCCAGUUGUUAAUGUUUAAACGCAUCCUUUCGGCCGUAAUUUGAGCUUGCCGAGUCUCGAUCCUGGCGGUCUCCACCUCGGCGUCCCGAUGAGCCUUUGCCACUGCCUCUUUGAGUUUCGCCAACUCCGUGUUUAUCUCCUCCUGGUUUUCUGGUGUAAGGGGAGUCGCCAUCAGCCUUGUGAUCUCCGCCGCUAAAUCCACCAGGACUGCGGCCGGGCUUCUGGACGUCUCGCCGGCUCCCUUGCCUCCGGUAGGGUUUUGUGUGGGUUGAGUCGCCCCUGCCAUGUAGAUGGCGAUCUGGCGGCGGGUUCGGUCAAGGACUUCGGGGUCCAUGGCCAGCGACAAGCCCCCAAGACAAUCCCCAUGCAGAGACCGGAUUGAAUCUGAAUCGCCCAUGGAUGAUUCGUCAUCAGAGUUGACCGGUGUAGUUUCCUGAGUCGCUGAGCGCUCUGGCUUGUCCGAUCCCUGCGUGAACCCCACAAAGACCGGGCGAGUCAGAUUUUGCGUUAUCACUGGGUGGACGUACCUGGCCGGCUCGACGAUGUCGGUGGAGAUGUCCGGCUCACGCACGGAUGAUCCGAUCAUGCCGAUGAAGAUGUUGAUCUUGCCGAAGAGGACCCUGUAACCAGAUUCAAUUGAAUCCGCUUCAGGCCCCCAUCGCUGGUUGUCGAUGUAGGUUUUCCCGCGGCGGCUCCGUGUCAUGAGUCCCAUCACGUAACUCCCAAACCCUGGUAGAGCUCCCUUUGAGAACUCAACUCCACCGUGUGUAGGCCCCACGGUGGGCGCCAACUGUCGUGGUUUUGUCACGGCAGAUGUCCUCGUGAAAGGACUUAGUACUGGAGCCAUCGCACCUUGGUGGCGACUCAAAGGGGUUAAGCGGGAGAGACACGGCGAUUUACCCAGGUUCGGCCCCUCGUGAGGAGGUAAAAGCCUACGUCCUGCUUUGGUUUGUAUUGAUGUGGUUUCGAUUACAAGGAGGGCGUAACUCGCUGAACCUAGCACUCGAUGAUUUCUAACUUGCCCUCUCCUGCCCUAGGACUCGCCUUUAUAUACAGGUCGAACCCUUAGGGUUUACAAGGAUACUUUCCUUCCUGCAAAUCGUGACCCCUGUGGUCUCUAAGUCGCCCUCUUUCAAAGCUUGGAGACCUUCCAGAAAUCAUAAACAGCCAUACGGCCUUGAUCCCGCCAGGCCAAGGCCCAAACCACUGUUUAGGUGAAUCGCCUGAUUGGUGACCCGGCCCAACUAGGGCGGGUUAUUAACAGGUAAUAUCCCCAACACCAAGUGCUAAUGCGUUGGUCCAGUUCUUUAUUAAAAGGAGAACCUUAAUAUCCCGUAGUUUACUUUUGGACCCCGCUGCCACGGGAGGGAUGGAUAAUAGAUGUCAUGCAAGUUCUUUUCCCUAAGCACGUAUGACGACACACAGAAUGCAUGCCUACAUCACAUUGACGAACGGGAGCUAGCCACAUAUCUCUCCAUGUUAUAACUGUUGCAUGAUGAAUAUCAUCCAAACAAAUCACCGACCCAUUGCCUACGAGUUUGUCCUGCUGCUGCUACUACUGUUGCUACUGUUGUUACUUGUCUUGCUCUGCUGCUGCUACUACUGUUGCUAUUGCUGUUACUUGUCUUGCUCUGCUGCUACUGUUGCUACUACUGUCGCUUGCUACUGUUGCUACUUGCUACUACUAUCACUACUGCUUUUCCUUGCCGCUGCUAUUGCUCGUUAGACCGUCGUUACUCGCUACUUUGUUGUUACUACUUUGCUUGCAGAUACUAAUCUUUCAGGUGUGGUUGAAUCUGAAAAUUCAACUGCUAAUACUUGAGAGUAUUCUCCCACCUCCCGUCGUGCGAAUCAACAAAUUUGGGUCGAAUAAUCUACCCUCGAAAACUGCUGCGACCCCAUGCGCUUGUGGGCCGUCAACAACAUUCUUCUAGUUUCGAUUGCCAGGGAGUGCUAGCAGCAGUCUUCUGGUGUCGUUGCAAAGGGGAAGAACAGUUGGCAUCAAGCAUUUUUCUGGCGCCGUUACCGGGGAGGUAUUGCUAUAUUCUCUGAGUCACUUGGGAUUUAUAUCUGCUGAUUACUAUGAAGAAUCUGAAGGAUCCGAAGACCAAAGUCUUGCCCUCAACUACGAGGGGAGGUAAGGAAUUGCCAUCUAGCUCUGCACUUGAUUCACCUUCAGUUAUGAGUAAGUUUGCGACAUCACCUCCUGCUAGAAAUCUUGAUAUGUCGCAUGUGCUUGAUGAUGAUUAUGAUGCUACUGCUAGAGAUGCUAUGCUUGAUACUAUGCCUGAUGAUACUAUGCUUGAUACUAUGCCUGAUGAUACUAUGCUUGAUACUAUGCCUGAUGAUACUAUGCUUGAUACUAUGCCUGAUGAUACUAUGCUUGAUACUAUGCCUGAUACUACUAGAGAUGCUAUGCUUGAUACUGCUAGAGAUACUAUGCUUGAUACUGCUUUGCCUGAUGAUGCUAGAGAUGCUAUUUUGCCUGAUGAUGUUAUGCUUGAUACUGCUAGAGAUGCUACUUUGCCUGAUGUUCCACUAGGAGUGUUCCUUGAUGCUCAUAUUGCUAGAGUUACUGCCAAUGCUCGUGAUGCAUCUGAUACUGUCGAUACUAUUGAGAUAGAACCUCCUUUUGCUCCUGCUAGAUCUAGCUCUCCUAGAUAUGAAUUGCCUAAUAUACCUGAGGCUUACGUUAUGGAGGGAGAGAUAGCUGAGGAUUUUCUUGCGUGUAAGGAUGCCUAUGAUGCUGAGAAAUUACUUCUCAAGUGGAAGGAAAAAUCUCGGGAAGCUAAGAUGAAAUAUCACCCGAAGUUUGCCACUUCACCUAUCUUUAUCACCGAUAAGGAUUAUGAAUUUUGUGUCGAUCCUGAGAUAAUCUCUCUAGUCGAAUCUGAUCCUUUUCACGGUUAUGAGUCUGAGAUGGUCAUAGCCCAUCUUGCCAAACUACACGAUAUAGCCAACCUUUUCACUAAUGAGGAGAAGAUCCGCCACUACUAUAUCCUUAAGUUGUUUCCUUUCUCUCUAAAGGAUGAUGCUAAAGCCAGGUUCACCUCUCUUGCUCCUGGAUGUGUGUGUAGUCCCCAGGAGAUGGUCUAUUACUUCUGUGAGAAAUAUUUCCCUGCCCAUAAGAAGCAAGCUGCCUUGCAGGAAAUAUACAACUUUGCUCAACUCCAAGAAGAGAGUCUUCCACAAGCUUGGGGAGGCUCGUCCAGCUACAGAAUGCUUUGCCUGAUCACCCUCUUAAGAAGAACGAGAUACUUGAUAUCCUCUAUAACGGACUUACCGAUGCCUCUAGAGACCACCUAGAUAGUUGUGUCGGUUGUGUUUUUAGGGAACGAACUGUAGAACAAGCUAAGACCCUACUCAAUAACAUCUUGAUCAACGAUAAUGCUUAGACUAUUCCCGAACCACCUCCUAAGCCAACUCCUAAGAAAAGAGGUAUUCUAUUCCUCAGUCCCAAAGAUAUGCAAGAAGCCAAGAAAUCUAUGCAAGAGAAAGGCAUUAGAUCUGAAGAUGUCAAAAUCUACCACCUAUCGAAGAGAUCCAUGGUCUCGAUAACCCGAUACAGGUAGUAGAAGUGAAUUCUCUGUGUAGGUUUGAUGAGAGUGAUAUUCCUUUUGAUAAACCUGCUAGCCUAUGCUUUGAUGAAUUUGACAACUUUGUUGCCAAACAACAGAGUUUCAAUGAUUAGUUUAGCAGACAUUUGGAACAAAGUACUCGUAUUCUUAGCCAUUUAAGUGCUUGUGUAGACAGAAAUGUCAAUGAUCUGAAGCUUCUGAGUAAACAUGCCUCUAUGAUUACUACUCAGGUAGAACAAGUACUUAAAGCUCAGAAUGACUUGCUCAAUGAAUUAAAUGACAACUCUGUUAGAGUCAUUACUAGAGGAGGCAAAAUGACUCAGGAACCUUUGUAUCCUGAAGGUCAUCCUAAGAGAAUUGAUCAAGAUUCUCAAGGAAUCAAUGCUGAUACACCCAGUCAUCCUAAGGAGAAGAAGAAGGAUGAUAGAAACCUACAUGUCAGUUCACCAAAUAUUGUCACACCUGAAGAACCUAAUGAUAUUUCUGCGUCUGAUGCAGAAACACAAUCUGGUGAUGAACAUGAACCUGGUGACAAUCUGGACAACGAUGUUCAUAAUAAUGCUCAACCUAGCAAUGAUGAGGAUGUGGAGAUUGAACCUACGGUUAAUCCUGAUAACCCACAACCUAAGAAAUACGAUAAGAAUGACUUCACUACUAGGAAGCAUGGUAAAGAAAGGGAGCCAUGGGUUCAGAGACCUAUGCCCUUUCCUCCUAAGCUGUCCAAGAAAAAGGAUGAUGAGGAUUUCGAGCGCUUCGUUGAGAUGAUAAGACCCAUCUUUCUGCAGAUGCGGUUAACUGAUAUGCUCAAGAUGUCUCCGUAUGCCAAGUACAUGAACGAUAUCGUGACUAAUAAACGGAAGAUACCAGAUCUUGAGAUCUCCACCAUGCUUGCCAACUACACUUUCAAGGGUGGAACUCCUAAGAAACUUGGUGAUCCCGGAGUGCCCACUAUACCUUAUUCCAUUAAAGGAAACUACGUAAGAACCGCCUUAUGUGACCUUGGAGCCGGUGUUAGUGUUAUGCCGCUCUCUCUUUAUCGUAGACUUGAAUUGGAUAAGUUGACACCCACUGAAAUUUCUGUGCAAAUGGCCGACAAAUCAACUGCUUUCCCUAUCGGCAUUUGCGAGGAUGUGUCUGUUGUGGUUGCUAACACCACUAUCUUAACAGACUUUGUUAUCUUGGAUAUUCCCGAGGACGAUGCCAUGGCUGUCAUCCUCGGAAGACCCUUUUUAAACACUGCAGGGGCUGUUAUAGAUUGCAACAAAGGCAAUGUCACUUUCCAUGUCAACGGUAAUGAGCACACAGUGCACUUUCCAAAGAAACGAUAUCCAGUACAUUGCAUUAAUGCUAUAGAAAAGACUUCAUCGAUUCUCAUUGUGAGCUUUGAAUGCCCUCUUCCUCGUGUCGAGAUGAAGUAUGAUUUGCUUGUUGGGGAGAUACAUAUCCCCAUUGAGGUGACUUAGUGGCUAUUAGAAAAUUCUCUGUUCUCCCUUGCGAUUCGAGAAGGUUUUGUCAUAAGGACUUGAUCAACCCCAUUGACGGAUUUCUUGCGAUGACCAUGAAAUGGAUGAAUCAAAGGGUCACACACCUCUGUUUUAAAGCUUUCAUUUUCUUUUGCUUGGAAGAAAAAUGAUAGAAUUAGUUUAGUUUUUCCUGUUUCCUGUUUUAGCGUCCCGGAGAAAAAUACCUGGGAAAUAAAAGUUCUCUGAUGGUCCUGAAAAUUUAGUAUGAUUUUUUCUGGAAUUUUUGAAAAUUUCUGGGCCUCAGAGCUGUUGGGUAACGUAGCAUAAAUUCAAAAUUUUCCUACGCAUAUUCAGAUCUUCCUAUGGAGAGACCAGCAAUGAGAGAGGGGUAAGAGCAUCUUCAUACCUAUGAAGAUCGCUAAGCGGAAGCGUUGCUAGAACGCGGUUGAUGGAGUCGUACUCGCAGCGAUUCCGAUCUAGUGCCGAACUACGGCACCUCCGCGUUCAACACACGUGCAGCCCGGUGACGUCUCCCGCACCUUGAUCCAGCAAGGAGGAGGGAGAGGAUGGGGAAGAACUCCAGCAGCACGACGGCAUGGUGUCGAUGGAGAGACGAGGUCUCCCGGCAGGGCUUCGCCAAGCACCGGCAGAGAGGAGGAGAAAGAAGGGCAGGGUUGCGCCGAGGGAGAGGGAAAAGGCUAAUCUCCAAUGGCCAAAAGUGCCCACUAUAUAUAGGGGGAGGGAGAGGCUGCGCCCCCUUGAGGGUUUCCCUCUUCAGGGGGGGAAGCCCUAGAUGGGGGCUGGUGCGGCGGCCAAGGGGGGGAGGAGGGGUGUGGCGCACCCCUGGUGGGCCUUAGGCCCACCUGGCUUAGGGUUUGCCCCCCCUUUUCUCUUCCCCACGCAUUGGGCUGAGUGGGGAAGCGCACCAGCCCACCUAGGGGCUAGUUCCCUUCCCCACUUGGCGAGUGGGGAGGCGCACCAGCCCACCUAGGGGCUGGUUCCCUUCCCCACUUGGCCCACCUUACCUCCCAGGGUCGUUGCCCCCCUUCGGUGGACCCCCGGGGCCACCUCCGAUGGUCCCGGUUGUCCCGGUACGUUACCGGUGAUGCCCGAAACACUUCCGGUAUCCGAAACCAUCCGUCCUAUAUAUCAAUCUUUACCUCCAGACCAUUCCAGAGCUCCUCGUGACGUUCGGGAUCUCAUCCGGGACUCCGAACAACUUUCAGUAACCUCGUAUAACAAUUCCAGAUAACCCUAGCGUCAUCAAACCUUAAGUGUGUAGACCCUACGGGUUCGGGAGACAGGCACACAUGACCGAGACGCCUCUCUGGCCAAUAACCAUCAGCGGGGUCUGGAUACCCAUGGUGGCUCCCACUUUCUCCAUGAUGAUCUCAUCGGAUGAACCACGAUGUCAAGGAUUCAAUCAAUCCUGUAUACGAUUCCCUUUGUCUGUCGGUAUAGAACUUGCCCGAGAUUCGAUCGUCGGUAUACCUAUACCUUGUUCAAUCUCGUUACCGGUAAGUCUCUUUACUCGUUCCGUAGCAUGUCAUCGUGUGAUUAACUCCUUAGUCACAUUGAGCUCAUGAUGAUGUUCUACCGAGUGGGCCCAGAGAUACCUCUCCGUCACAAGGAGUGACAAAUCCCGAUCUCGAUUCGUACCAACCCAACAGACACUUUCGGAGGUACCUGUAGUGCACCUUUAUAGUCACCCAGUUACGUUGUGACGUUUGAUACACCCAAAGCACUCCUACGGUAUCCGGGAGUUGCACAAUCUCACGGUCGAAGGAAAAGAUACUUGACAUUAGAAAAGCUUUAGCAUACGAACAAUACGAUCUAGUGCUAUGCUUAGGAUUGGGUCUUGUCCAUCACAUCAUUCUCCCGAUGAUGUGAUCCCGUUAUCAAUGACAUAUAAUGCCCAUGAUCAGGAAACCAUGAUCAUCUAUUGACUAACGAGCUAGCCAACUAGAGGCUUGCUAGGGACACAUUGUGAUCUAUUUAUUCACACAUGUAUUACUGUUUCCUGUUAAUACAAUUAUAGCAUGAACAAUAGACGAUUAUCAUGAACAAGGAAAUAUGAUAAUAACCAUUUUAUCAUUGCCUCUAGGGCAUAUUUCCAACAGUCUCCCACUUGCACUAGAGUCAAUAAUCUAGUUAUAUUGUGAUGUAUCGAACACCCAUAGCAUUAUGGUGUUGAUCAUGUUUUGCUCGUGGAAGAGGUUUAGUCAACGGGUCUGCAAUAUUAAGAUCCGUGUGUACUUUACAAAUAUCUAUCACUCCACUCUGGACAUGGUGCUGGAUGGAGUUGUAGCGGCGUUUGAUGUGCUUCGUCUUCUGGUUAAACCUGGGCUCCUUGGCUAUGGCAAUGGCCCAAGUGUUAUCACAGAAGAGUGUCAUUGGACCCGACGCGCUUGGAACCACUCCAAGGUCGGUGAUGAGCUCCUUCAUCCAAAUUCCUUCAUGAGUUGCUUCUGAAGCAGCUAUGUACUCCGCUUCACAUGUAGAUGCUGUCGCGACUUCUUGCUUGCUGCUGCACCAGCUCAAUGCCCCACCAUUCAACACAUAUACGUAUCCGGUCUGUGACUUAGAGUCAUCCGGAUCUGUGUCGAAGCUAGAAUCGACGUAACCCUUUACGACGAGCUCUUCGUCACCUCCAUAAACGAGAAACAUUUCCUUAGUCCUUUUCAGGUACUUGAGGAUAUUCUUGACCGCUGUCCAGUGUUCCAUAUCGGGAUCACUUUGGUACCGCCCUGCCAAGCUUAUGGCAAGGUUUAUCUCACGUCUGAUACACAGCAUGGCAUACAUUAGAGAGCCCACGGCUGAUGCGUAGGGGACAGAACUCAUCUUCUCUCUAUCUACUGCCGUGGUCGGCGACUGAGUCUUACUCAAUCUCACACCUUGCAAAGCUGGCAAGAACCCUUUCUUUGAGUUUUCCAUAUUGAACUUCUUCAAUAUCUUGUCAAGGUAUGUACUUUGCGAAAGACCUAUGAGGCAUCUUGAUCUAUCUCUAUAGAUCUUGAUGCCUAAUAUGUAUGCAGCUUCUCCAAGGUCCUUCAUUGAAAAACUUUUGUUCAAAUAGGCCUUUAUGCUCUCCAACAUCUCUAUAUUAUUCCCCAUCAAUAAUAUGCCAUCCACAUACAGUAUGAGGAAAGCUACAGAGCUCCCACUCACUUUCUUGUACAGACAUGCUUCUCUGUAAACCUGUAUGAACCCAAAUGCUUUAAUCACCUCAUUAAAGCGAAUGUUCCAACUCCGAGAUGCUUGCACCAGCCCAUAGAUGGAGCGCUGGAGCUUGCACACUUUGUUAGCACCCUUAGGGUCGACAAAACCUUCUGGUUGCAUCAUAUACAACUCUUCCUUAAGGUUCCCGUUAAGGAACGCUGUUUUGACGUCCAUUUGCCAAAUUUCAUAAUCAUAAAAGGUGGCAAUUGCUAACAUGAUUCGGACUGAUUUCAGCUUCGCUACGGGAGAGAAAGUCUCUUUGUAGUCAAUCCUUGAAUUUGUCGAAAACCCUUUGCGACAAGUCGAGCUUUGUAAACGGUUACAUUACCGUUUGCAUCAGUCUUCUUCUUGAAGAUCCAUUUAUUUUCUAUGGCUCGCCGGUCAUCGGGAAAGUCCACCAAAGUCCAUACUUUGUUCUCAUACAUGGAUCCUAUCUCGGAUUUCAUGGCUUCAAGCCAUUUGUUGGAAUCCUGGCCCGCCAUCACUUCUUCAUAGUUCGAAGGUUCACCGUUGUAUAACAACAUGAUUUCCAUCACAGGGUUGUCGUACCACUCUGGUGCGGAGCGUGCCCUUGUGGACCUUCGCGGUUCAGUAGUAACUUGAUCCGAAGCUUCAUGAUCAUCAUCAUUAACUUGCUCUUCAGUCGGUGUAGGCGCAACAGGAACAACUUCCCGCGCUGCGCUACUAUCCUAUUCGAGAGGGGGUGUAAUUACCUCAUCAAGUUCUACCUUCCUCCCACUUACUUCUUUCGAGAGAAACUCUUUCUCUAGAAAGGAUCCGUUCUUGGCAACAAAGGUUUUACCUUCGGAUCUAAGAUAGAAGGUAUACCCAAUUGUUUCCUUAGGGUAUCCGAUGAAUACGCAUUUCUCCGCUUUGGGUUCGAGCUUUUCUGGUUGAAGUUUCUUCACAUAAGCAUCGCAGCCCCAAACUUUAAGAAACGACAACUUAGGUUUCUUGCCAAACCAUAGUUCAUACGGUGUCGUCUCAACGGAUUUAGACGGUGCCCUAUUUAAAGUGAAUGCUGCAGUUUCUAAUGCGUAUCCCCAAAAUGAUAGCGGUAAGUCGGUGAGAGACAUCAUAGAUCGUACCAUAUCUAAUAAAGUGCGAUUACAACGUUCAGACACUCCGUUGCGCUGCGGUGUGCCGGGCGGCGUCAGUUGUGAAACGAUUCCACACUUCCUUAGGUGUGUGCCAAACUCGUGACUCAAAUAUUCUCCUCCACGAUCGGAUCGUAGACAUUUAAUUUUUCUGUCAUGUUGAUUCUCAACCUCACUCUGAAAUUCCUUGAACUUUUCAAACGUCUCAGAUUUGUGCUUCAUCAAGUAGAUAUACCCAUACCUACUCAAAUCAUCGGUGAGAGUGAGAACAUAACGAUAACCACCGCGAGCUUCAACGUUCAUUGGACCACACACAUCAGUAUGUAUUAUUUCCAAUAAGUCGGUUGCUCUCUCCAUUAUUCCUGAGAAUGGAGUCUUAGUCAUCUUGCCCAUGAGGCACGGUUCGCAUGUGUCAAAUGAUUCAAAGUCAAGAGACUCUAAUAGUCCAUCAGUAUGGAGCUUCUUCAUGCGUUUAACGCCGAUAUGACCAAGGCGGCAGUGCCACAAGUAUGUGGGACUAUCAUUAUCAACUUUGCAUCUUUUGGUACUCACACUAUGAAUAUGUGUAACGUCACGAUCGAGUUUCAUCAAGAAUAAACCAUUCACCAGCGGAGCAUGACCAUAAAACAUAUCACUCAUAUAAAUGGAACAACCAUUAUUCUCUGACUUAAAUGAGUAGCCGUCUCGCAUUAAGCAAGACCCUGAUACAAUGUUCAUGCUUAAAGCUGGUACUAAAUAACAAUUAUUAAGGUUUAAAACUAAUCCCGACGGUAGAUGUAGAGGUAGCGUGCCGACGGCGAUCACAUCGACCUUUGAACCAUUCCCGACGCGCAUCGUCACCUCGUCCUUGGCCAGUCUCCGCUUAUUCCGCAGUUCCUGCUUUGAGUUGCAAAUGUGAGCAACAGCACCGGUAUCAAAUACCCAGGAGCUACUACGAGCGCUGGUAAGGUACACAUCCUGAUCAGCCGUAGCGGGUGGUUCAUCUCCUAGCGCAGCAUUAAGGACAUAAUCCUUCUUUCCAGCUUGUAAGAUUAGCUUAAGAUUACGAGCCCAGUCUACAAAGUUGCUUCCAUCAUCUUUCAACUUAGCUUUCUCUAGGAACGUAUUAAAAUUGAGGAUGACACUAGCGUGAGCCAUGAUCUACAACACAAAUAUAUUCAAAGUGGACUUUAGACUAUGUUCAAGAUAAUUAGAGUUCAACUUAAUCAAAUUAUAUGCUAAACUCCCACUCAAAAAGUACAUCUCUCUAGUCAUUUGAGUGGUUCAUGAUCCACUUACACUAUCCCAAGUCCGAUCAUCACGUGAGUCGAGAGUAGUUUCAGUGGUAAGCAUCCCUAUGCUAAUCAUAUCAACUAUAUGAUUCAUGAUCGACCUUUCGGUCUCAUGUGUUCCGAGGCCAUGUCUGCACAUGCUAGGCUCGUCAAGCUUAACCCGAGUGUUCCGCGUGCGCAACUGUUUUGCACCCGUUGUAUGUGAACGUUGAGUCUAUCACACCCGAUCAUCACGUGGUGUCUCGAAACGACGAACUGUAGCAACGGUGCACAGUCGGGGAGAACACAAUUUCGUCUUGAAAUUUUAGUGAGAGAUCACCUCAUAAUGCUACCGUCGUUCUAAGCAAAAUAAGGUGCAUAAAAGGAUUAACAUCACAUGCAAUUCAUAAGUGACAUGAUAUGGCCAUCAUCACGUGCUUCUUGAUCUCCAUCACCAAAGCACCGGCACGAUCUUCUUGUCACCGGCGCCACACCAUGAUCUCCAUCAUCAUGAUCUCCAUCAAUGUGUCGCCAUCGGGGUUGUCGUGCUACUUAUGCUAUCACUACUAAAGCUACAUCCUAGCAAAAUAGUAAACGCAUCUGCAAGCANNNNNNNNNNNNNNNNNNNNNNNNNNNNNNNNNNNNNNNNNNNNNNNNNNNNNNNNNNNNNNNNNNNNNNNNNNNNNNNNNNNNNNNNNNNNNNNNNNNNUGCAAGCUUGUGGGGCCCAUAGGGACCCCCUCCACUCAUUCCAGCUCCCAGCCUCUUCUUCCACCUCCAAAAAAAAUUGUUUCACAGCACAAACCCGUGUUCUUGCUCAUUUGGCUGUGAUUUUCGAUCUCCUUGCUCAAAGCACCAUUCUCCGAACCGUUUUGGGGAAAUUACUCCUUGGUAAGUGACUCCUCCAUUGGUCCAAUUAGUUUUUUCUCUAGUGCUUUAUCCUUCGCGUAUUCUUGCUACCUUGGUGACCCUGUUCUUGAGCUAGAAAUGUUGAUUUUAGUUGGUCCCAAGUAGUUUUAGCGCGUGAUACGGUCUCUAGGCACUAGUAGGAGUAGUUGCUACAAGUUGGGUUAAUCUUUAUUCACUUUUCUUUCGAAGUCUCUAAAAAUUUCUGAAUUUUUCAGAGCUAGAAAGAGGAAAAGAUGAAGAGGUUCUUGAGAGGCUCUUCAAGCCGUAACCCCAAGGAGGAUGAGAAGAACCACCCCAAGUACGUAGUCCCUCGAGUUACAGAAGUUCGAGCGUGCGAGUGGCCAAGUGAUGAAUUUUUGCGCGCCGCCGGACUUUAUGAAGACUUUUAUUACUUGGUGGAGAACGCAGGUCUUACUGCGUUCGUUGCAGAUAAGUGCUCACAAUACCUCCUCCUCACCAAUAUUUUCGUUCAAAGCUUCAACUUUUAUCCGAGGAAGAAUCCUCCCAUGGUUGAGUUCAUGAUAUACGAUGUUCCCCAGUGCAUGACACUACAGGAUUUUUGCAAUGUAGGAAAAUUACCUUAUGUUGGGGAUAUCCGUGACCCUCGUCCACAGGACUUGGAGGAUUUCAUUGGUACUAUUGCUGUUGGAGAGGAGAGAGGAGUGUCUUGCGCUAGAAUUGCUAGCAUACAUUUUCCUGUGCUUCGGUACUUCUCACUAUUUGUGGAAGAAUGUUUGAUUGGACGUGGGGAGGCUGGAUCACUUAGUUCUCUAGACCUUGCGGUUUUGCACGAAGGCCUUUAUAACAAUAAGAUUUAUAGCCUAGGUGCUAUAGUGGCCCAGCGGUUGAACAUCAACCGUUCCAAGUGUGUCGUCUAUGGAGGUAUCUAUGCUACCCGUCUUGCGAGACACUUUGAGAUACCCAUUAGACUGGGAGAGUAAGGAGCGAUGCUUCUCCCUAAGAAAUAUAUGGAUUAUGACAGCAUGGUUCGCCAUGAUUUUCUGGAUAGAGAUGCUAGUAGACAGGUGAUUUAGAACCUGGUAUUUAGUCAGGGUACUCGAGAGACUAUUACUUUGCCUGCUCCUUCUUUGUUCGAUCUUCAUGCAGGCAGGUACACUAUUAUGCCCUCGGACAUCUACGCAUAUUGGGGCUUGGGCCAACCACAGGCGCCCGUGCCCGAACCGCCAGUCGAGUACCAGACGCCAGUUUAUCAGUGGGAGCUAGAGGAGCUCACACAGCAGUGGCAUCCACAGUCUGCUCCGGAGUAUCCUGGAGCUGGUUAUUUCCCACCUUGGGAGUAGACCAAGCUAGGCCAAAAGCCUAAGCUUGGGGGAGUACGAGUUCUCACCGAUUUUACAUUCAUGUUUAUGCUUUCACUUUGUUAGCCGGUGAUUACACUUUGCCACUGUAUUAUCCAUGCUAGUUUAUUUUUGUUUUCUUGUUUUCUUGUUUUGUGUCCUUUUGAAGAAAACCCAAAAAGAUUUUUCUUUCUUCUUUUGCUUGUUGGGAGCUUUCCCGUGUAAAUAGUUUUCUUUUUCUUUGGGUCAAGGUAGAAGAUAUUGGUUCCAAUGUUUAGUGGCUUUUUCUUGCUUACCUGUUUAGCUUUCAAAGAGACAUAUUACUUUGUCUUCUCCUUUGUGUUUGCCUGCAGAUUCAGCUUAGUCCAAUGCACGAGCACUCUUAUUAUUGUUCACAUCGUUCGAUCGUGCAAAUGAAAGGCAAUAAUGAUGAUAUAUGAUGAAGUGACUGAGACUGAAAAGCUGGUAUGAACUCUAUCUAUUUUGUUUUUGUAAAUAUGACUAGCUUGUCGACCCAGAUUUAGCUUUGUUGUGAGAGAACCAUGUUUGCAACGACAACUUAGAGAUCAUAGUUUCUGAUGCCAUGCUUAUUUAGAUGAGAGUUUAUAAUGGGUUGCCUUGAAUGCCAACAUAGUUUUUGAGAUGACUAUGAUUUAGUAUGAUAGGAUGGUAUUCUCCUUUGAAUGUUUCAAGUGGCUUGACUUGGCGCAUGUUCAUGCAUGUAGUUGAAACAAAAUCAACAUAGCCUCUAUGAUGUUCGUGUUCAUGGUGAUUUAUAUCCUGUUCAUGCUUACAUUCAAUGUUAGUCAAACUCAUUGCAUCUUGAUGAUUGUUGUCGCUCUCUAGUUGGUCGCUUCCCAGUCUUUUGCUAGCCUUCACUUGUACUAAGCGGGAAUACUGCUUGUGCAUCCACUUCCAUAAACCCAAAAGUUUUUCCAUGAGAGUCCACCAUACCUACCUAUUUGCGGUAUCUACUUGGUGUUCCAAGUAAAUUUGCAUGUGCCACUCUCUAAACCUUCAAGAAAUAAUCUGUUUUGCAUGCCCGAACCGCUCAUGUGGUGACAGAGGGCUAUUGGUAUCUGCCAUGCUAGGAGUGUUAUCCUCGACAUGUGUUUAUUCACUGUCAUUCAUGAUAAAGGUGUCGGUAAUUGGAAUUCCCAGUUCCACGCUUAAAUCAAAAACAUAACUGUAAAACAAGACUCCCCCUGGAUUGAUGUUAGUAUGGACGGUACCCGAGGAUUCGGCUAGCCGUGGAGUGUGAUUGAUUGGUGGUGGGGGAGUUAAAACUUUACUUUUCUGUUUGGGAACCGCCUAUAGCAUGAGUAGCAUGGAAGAUAUUGAGAACUCUUGGUCAUUGCGUUGACAAUGAAAGCAUGCCACCCAAAAUUAUUAUCUCUGUUUUCAAAGCUUGAGCUCUGGCACCUGUGCAAAUCAAUGCUUCCCUCUACGAAGGGCAUGUCUAUUUAUUUUCCUGUUGAGUCAUCCUCCUCUUAUAUAAGCACCAAUUAGAGAGCACCUCUGUCAUUUUUAUGCUUUGCUUUUGAUUGAUAUUGAGUAUGACUAUGACUGGAUCUUGGUUGCUAUGAAUUACAAUGUUUAGUCAGCCCUUGAUCUUUGAAAGUGCUCUGCAUUUAUGUUUUGCAGUCUCAGAAAGAGCUAGCAAGAUACCACCUAUUCAUAUUGCUUCAUGCUUGUUUUGACUGAAGUGUUGGUAUUUGAAACUCAUUAUUAUUUGCUCGUUAGCUGAUUAUGCCAUUGAUAUUAGUUUACCGUGAGACCUUUGUGUCAUUUGCUUAUGUGGUUAACUUGUGAUCUUGCUGAAAUUCUGGUUAUGAGUUAGACAUAGUUGCAACAACAAGAUCAAACAGAGUUUGUCAAAGUUUUUCUUUCUCUCUCAGUUUGUCAACUGAGUUGCUUGAGGACAAGCAAGGUUUUAAUCUUGGGGGAGUUGAUACGUCUCCAUCGUAUCUACUUUUCCAAACUCUUUUGCCCUUGUUUUGGACUCUAAUUUGCAUGAUUUGAAUGGAACUAACCUGGACUGACGCUGUUUUCAGCAGAAUUGCCUUGGUGUUAUUUUUGUGCAGAAAUCAAAGUUCUCCAAACGUCCUGAAAAUUUACGGACAUCAUUUAUGGAAAAUAUGAAAAAUAUCUGCACCAAGUUCCACCUAAGGGGGUGGGCCAGUGGGCCACAAGCCCUGGCUCCGCCACCACCCCCUGGUGGCGGUGGGCAGGCUUUGUGGGGCCCACACGGCUCUGCCGCCCCCAAUUCCAGCUCUAUAAGUUCAUUUUCGUCCCAGAAAAAAUAAAAAGAGAAGUUUUCGUCGCGUUUGCGAUACGGAGCCGCCUCCACCACCUGUUCUUCAUAUGGAGGGCAGAUCUGGAGUCCGUCUUGGGCUCCGGAGAGGGGAAAUCGUCACCAUCGUCAUCAUCAACCUUCUUCCCUCUCAAAUUCCAUGAAGCUCUUCGUCGUUCGUGAGUAAUCUAUUCGUAGGCUCGCUAGGCGGUGAUGAGUAGGAUGAGAUCUAUCAUGUAAUCGAGUUAGUUUUGAUGGGGAUUGAUCCCUAGUAUCCACUAUGUUCUGAGAUUGAUGUUGCUACUACUUUGCCAUGCUUAAUGCUUGUCACUAGGGCCCGAGUGCCAUGAUUUCAGAUCUGAAAUUAUUAUGUUGUCACCAAUAUAUGUGUGUUUUAGAUCCGAUCUUGCAAGUUGUAGUUACCUACUAUGUGUUAUGAUCCGGAACCCCGGAGUGACAAUAACCGGAACCACUCCCGGUGAUGACCAUAGUUUGAGGAGUUCAUGUGUUCACCAAGUGCUAAUGCGUUGGUCCGGUUCUUUAUUAAAAGGAGAACCUAAAUAUCCUGUAGUUUCCUUUUGGACCCCGCUGCUACGGGAGGGAUGGACAAUAGAUGUCAUGCAAGUUCUUUUCCCUAAGCACGUAUGACGACACACAGAAUGCAUGCCUACAUCACAUUGACGAACGGGAGCUAGCCACAUAUCUCUCCGUGUUAUAACUGUUGCAUGAUGAAUAUCAUCCAAACAAAUCACAGACCCAUUGCCUACGAGUUUGUCCUACUACUGUUGUUACUUGUUUUGCUCUGCUGCUGUUACUACUAUUGCUGUUUCUGUUACUUGUCUUCCUCUGCUGCUGUUACUACUAUUGCUGUUUCUGUUACUUGUCUUCCUCUGCUGCUGUUACUACUAUUGCUGUUUCUGUUACUUGUCUUCCUCUGCUGCUGUUACUACUAUUGCUGUUUCUGUUACUUGUCUUCCUCUGCUGCUGUUACUACUAUUGCUACUGAUGUUACUUGUCUUGCUCAGCUGCUAUUGUUGCUACUACUGCCGCUUGCUUCUGUUGCUACUUGCUACUGCUGUCACUACUGUUUUUCCUUGUCGCUGCUAUUGCUCGCUACACUGCUGCUACGUGCUACAAUUUUGGUUCGCUGGUCAUUGACGAGAACUGACAAUUUCCGUCAACGAGGCAACUUGGCGCCAUUGAUACAAUCGUUAGGAAUAGUCUGCCGUCAAUAGAUCGUUUCUGACACCGUUGUUAUCAUACUACUUUGCUGUUACUACUUUGCUUGCAGAUACGAAUCUUUCAGGUGUGGUUGAAUCUGACAAAUUCAGCUGCUAAUACUCGAGAGUAUUCUCUCACCUCUUGUUUGGCGAUCAACAAAUUUGGGCCGAAUACUCUUGUUGGGAACGUCGCAUGGGAAACAAAAAAUUUCCUACGCGCACGAAGACCUAUCAUGGUGAUGUCCAUCUACGAGAGGGGAUGUGUGAUCUACGUACCCUUGUAGACCGUACAACGGAAGCGUUAGUGAACGCGGUUGAUGUAGUGGAAUGUCCUCACGUCCCUCGAUCCGCCCCGCGAACCGUCCCGCGAUCAGUCCCACGCUCNNNNNNNNNNNNNNNNNNNNNNNNNNNNNNNNNNNNNNNNNNNNNNNNNNNNNNNNNNNNNNNNNNNNNNNNNNNNNNNNNNNNNNNNNNNNNNNNNNNNGUAUGUGCUUUGUGAAAGUCCUAUCAGGCGUUUUGAUCUAUCCCUGUAGAUCUUAAUGCCUAGAAUGUAAGCAGCUUCUCCUAGGUCCUUCAUAGAGAAACUUUUAUUCAAGUAAUCCUUUAUGCUCUCCAAAAACUCUACGUUGUUUCCAAUCAGCAAUAUGUCAUCCACAUAUAAUAUUAGAAACGCCACAGAGCUCCCACUCACUUUCUUGUAAAUACAAGAUUCUCCAACCACUUGUAUAAACCCAAAUGCUUUGAUCACCUCAUCAAAGCGUUUGUUCCAACUCCGAGAUGCUUGCACCAGUCCAUAAAUGGAUCGCUGGAGCUUUCACACCUUGUUAGCAUUCUUAGGAUUGACAAAACCUUCGGGUUGCAUCACAUACAAUUCUUCCUUAAGGAAACCGUUAAGGAACGCAGUUUUGACAUCCAUCUGCCAGAUUUCAUAAUCGAAAAAUGCAGCUAUUGCUAACAUGAUUCUGACGGACUUAAGCAUCGCUACGGGUGAGAAUGUCUCAUCGUAGUCAACUCCUUGAACUUGUGAAAAACCCUUUGCCACAACUCAAGCUUUAUAAAUGGUCACAUUGCUGUCAGCGUCCGUCUUCCUCUUAAAGAUCCAUUUGUUCUGAAUAGCCUUACGGCCCUCAGGCAGUACCUACAAAGUCCACACUUUGUUCUCAUACAUGGAUCCUAUCUCGGACUUCAUGGCUUCUAGCCAUUUGUUGGAGUCUGGGCCCACCAUUGCUUCUUCAUAAUUUGCAGGUUCAUUGUUGUCCAACAACAUGAUUGAUAAGACGGGAUUACCGCACCACUCUGGAGCAGCACGUGGUCUCGUCGACCUGCGUGGUUCGACANNNNNNNNNNNNNNNNNNNNNNNNNNNNNNNNNNNNNNNNNNNNNNNNNNNNNNNNNNNNNNNNNNNNNNNNNNNNNNNNNNNNNNNNNNNNNNNNNNNNUGUGAGCUGAAUUGUCUACCAAAAGAUAUAAGUGAAGCUCGACAAAAUCACGGUGAGUGCAUGUCUCUCUCUUUAGGUGUGCAGAAAGGAUGAUUGUGACACAAAAAAUAAAAGACUCCUACGAUACAAGACGCUCCAAGAAAAACACAUAACAUGUGGUGAAUAAAAAUAUAGCCCCAAGUAAUGUUACCGAUGGAUUGAAGACGAGAGAGGGGAUGCCUUCCCGGGGCAUCCCCAAGCUUAGGCUUUUACGACAUCCUUGAAUCUCUUGGGGUGCCUUGGGCAUCCCCAAGCUUGAGCUCGUGCCACUCUUUAUCUCUUUGUCCAUAAGAACUUCACCCAAAACUUGAAAACUUCACAACACGAAACUUAAACAGAAACUCGUGAUAACAUUAGUAUGAGAAAGCAAACCACCACUUCCUUAGGUACUGUAGCAAACUUAAAUUCUACUUGUGCUGAUGUUGGGUUACUGUAUUUUCAAUCUUCCAUGGCUAAUACCCCCUGAUACUAUCCAUAGUUUCAUCAAAAUAAGCAACCAACACAACAAAAACAGAAUAUGUUAACAGCAGACCAGUCUGUAGCAAUUUGUAUAUUUCGUAUACCUCUGGUACUUCAACAAUUCUGAAAAAUUACGACAGUCUGAAGAAUUUGCGUAUCAAUCAGAAGCAAAAAGAAUCAACUCAAAAUCUCUUACACAAAAAACAAUGAAAAUUCUUUUCGUGAGCAGAAAGUUUCUGUCUUUUCCAGCAUGACCAAACGAUCAUCCCCAAGACUAAUCAUAACGGUUUUGCUUGGCACAAACGCAAAAAUAAACACAAAAAACACAAUCAUAACAGAAUUAUGAAAGUGUGGAAAACACAAAACAAAAAUAAAAAGGGUAGAUUCGUUGGGUUGCCUCCCAACAAGCGCUUUUGUUUAACGCCCUUAGCUAGGCAAAAGGUGAUGGAAUCACGUAUAGUCAUCUUUGGUGCUCAAACCAUAAGUAGCCCUCAUCAUAGAUUCAUAAGGCAAUCUUAUUUUCUUUCUAGGAAAUUGCUCCAUGCCCUUCUUUAAAGGAAAUUGAAAUCUAAUAUUCGCUUCCUUCAUAUCGAUGAUAGCACCAAUAGUCCUUAGGAUAGGUCUACCAAGAAUAAUGGGACAUGAAAGAUUGCAAUCUAUGUCAAGUACAAUGAAAUCCACGGGUACAUAGUUCUUAUUUGCAACAAUAAGAACAUCAUCGAUCCUCCCCAUGGGUUUCUUGACAGUAGAAUCCGCAAGAUGCAAAUUAAGAGAACACUCUUCAAUCUCAUGAAAACCAAGAAUAUCACAUAAAGACUUUGGAAUCGCGGAAACACUAGCAUCCAAAUCACACAAAGCAUUGCACUCAUAGUUUUUUAUCUUGAUUUUGAUAGUAGGUUCCCACUCAUCAUGAAGUUUUCUAGGUAUAGAGACUUCUAGUUCGAGCUUCUCUUCAAGAGAUUUCAUCAUAGCAUCUACGAUAUGCGCGGUAAAGGCUUUGCUUUGGCUAUAAGCGUGUGGAGAGUUUGCAAUGGAUUGCAUCAAAGAAAUGCAUUCAAACAAGGAGCAAUUAUCAUAAUUGAAUUCCUUGAAAUCCAAAGUGGGAGUUUCAUUACUACCCAAAAUUUUGAUUUCUUCUACUCCACUCUCCACACCUUUAUCAUCAAGAUAGGUGGACUCCGAAUCAUUGGGGCGUUUUUCAACCAAAGUGGAUUCAUAUCCAGCCCCUCCAUAAAUAGGUUUGACACGCGAAAACAAAGAUUCAAGAGGAGACACACCAAGCACUUUAAGAUCUUCGUGAUUUGCAUCACUAGAACGCACCCUUUUAAACCAUUCAUGCCUAGCGCGAAUUUGGACGGUUCUUUCUUUGCUCUCAUUCAUGGAGACACGCAUAGCUUUCAAAGUUUUAUCCAAGUUGACCUUGGGAGGAGCUCAUCUAACUUUCAAAGCAUCAAUAUCACAAGACAUCAUAUCAACGCUUUUAGCCAAAUCGUCUAUUUUGAGUAGUUUUUCCUCUAUGGACGCAUUGAAAAUCUUUUGAGAGUUGAUGAACUCUUUGAUAUUACUCUCUAAAUCAGAGGAUAAUUUGUUGUGAUUUCCAUAAGUGUUGUUGUAGGAAUUGCCAUAAUUGUUAGAGGAGUUACUAGGAAAAGGCCUAGGAACAUAGUUUCCUCUAAAAGCAUUGUUGUUGCCAAAAUUGUUCCUACCAACAAAAUUCACGUCCAAACUAGCGUUGCUACUCUCAAUCAAAGAAGAUAGUGGCAUGUCAUUAGGAUCUACAGUAGCGUUUCUACUAGCAACCAAAUUCAUCAACUCGUCCAUCUUAGCACUAAGCGAGUUAAUCUCUUCUAUAGCGUGUACCUUUUUGCUAGCAGGUGACCUUUCAGUGUGCCACUGAGAGUAGCUGGUCAUGAUAUUGUCUAGGAGUUUUGUAGUGUCUCCUAACGUGAUUUCCAUGAACGUUCCACCUGCAGGCGGAUUCCAAGAUAUUGCGAGAAGCGAAAUUCAAGCCAGCGUAAAAGAUUUGUAUAAUCAUCCACAAACUCAAGCCAUGAGCGGGACAAUUUCUAAUCAUAAGCUUCAUCCUAUCCCAAGAUUGUGCAACGUGUUCAUGAUCAAGUUGCUUGAAAUUCAUGAUAUCGUUACGUAAGGAGAUGAUCUUAGCCGGCGGAAAAUACUUGGAUAUGUAAACAUCUUUGCACUUAUCCCAAGAAUCGAUACUAUUUUUAGGCAAAGAAGAAAACCAAGUUUUUGCGCGAUCUCGCAACGAGAAAGGAAAAAGUUUCAACUUAAUCACGUCAUUAUCCACAUCUCUUUUCUUUUGUAUAUCACAAAGCUCAAUGAAGGUAUUGAGAUAGAAUGCGGCAUCUUCACUAGGAAGGCCAGAGAAUUCCUCUUUCAUAACAAGAUUCAGCAAAGCUGCGUUGAUUUCAUACGAUUCCGCACUAGUGGCGGGAGCAAUCGGAGUACUAAUAAAAUCAUUAUUAUUGGUACUCGAGAAGUCGCAAAGUUUGGUAUUUUCAGCCAUGAUGACUUCAACAAACAAACAAGCACACAAGCAAGCAAGAAAACCAGCAAAGGAAACGGCAAAGGCAAAAGAAAACGGCAAAGGAAAAAAGGCAAAUGAAAACGGCAAAUGUGAAGUGGGGGAGAGGAAAACGAGAGGCAACUCGCAAAAAAGUAAAUGCAAGAGUUGAGUUUGUGAGACCUACUUGGAUAGAUCUCUCCUCCCCGACAACGGCGCCAGAAAUUGGCACGUUGACGGGAAACUAUUCUCAACGUGAUCCUCCUCACCGGCAACAUCGCCAGAAAUACUUCUGCUACUGCAACAAAAGACCUUCCAACGGCGCCAGAAAUAGGAGUGUUGCUUGAUACUCCUCAGCAACAGCACCAGGAAUCCUUCUGCUACGGCUACGCCUUAAGGGACUUCCUAGGCAAAUAUGCAAAGGAUUUCCCCCGUGGCCUUGGAGCCUUGCGUUGGUGUUCCCUCGAAGCGGAAAGGGUGAUGUAGCACAGCGGUGGUAAGUAUUUCCCUCAGUUUGAGAACCAAGGUAUCGAUCCAGUGAAGGAGUAUCACAAGAGCGUGCACAAACACAAAAAGCUUGCUCCCAACGCUAUGAAGGGGUUGUCAAUCCCUUAUAGAUUGUUCGCCAAGUGAGAACUGAAAGCAACAAAGUAACAAAGCAAAGUAAAAGCGAAAGUGGAAAUGAUAGAUGUGAAUAGACCCAGGGGCCGUAGUAUUUACUGGUGGCUUCUCUCAUGAAAGCAAGUAGACGGUGGGUGAACAAAUUAUUGUCGAGCAAUUGAUAGAACAGCGCAAAGUCGUGACGAUAUCUAUGGCAAUGAUUAUAUCUAUAGGCAUCACGUCCAAAACAAGUAGACCGGUACUUUCUGCAUCUACUACUAUUACUCCACGCGUCGACCGCUAUCUAGCAUGCAUCUAGUGUAUUAAGUCCAAAAGAACAGAGUAACGCCUUAAGCAAGAUGACAUGAUGUAGAUGAACAAUCUCAUAUCUACGACAGAGCCCACCUUGUUACCCUUGAUGGCAACUACACGAUGUGUGCCUUGCUGCCCCUACUGUCACUGGGAAAGGUCACCACACGGUAAGAACCCAAAACCAAGCACUUCUCCCAUUGCAAGAAUCAUAGAUCUAGUUGGCCAAACAAAACCCAAGACUCGGAGAGACUUACAAGGAUAUCAAAUCAUGCAUAUAAGAAAUCAGCAAAGACUCAAAUAUAUAACAUAGAUAAUCUCAUCACAAAUCCACAAUUCAUCGGAUCUCGACAAACACACCGCCAAAGAAGAUUACAUCGGAUAGAUCUCCAUGAAGAUCAUGGAGAACUUUGUAUUGAAGAUCCAAGAGAGAGAAGAAGCCAUCUAGCUACUAACUACGGACCCGUAGGUCUGAAGUUAACUACUCACGAGUCAUAGGAGGAGCGAUGAUGAUGAUGAAGAAGCCCUCCAACUCCAAAGUCCCCUCCGGCACGGCACCGGGAAGGGUCUCCAGAUGAGAUCUCGCGGAAACGGAAGCUUGCGGCGGCGGAAAAGUAUUUUCGUGGCUCCCUUGAAUUUUUUUCUGAUUUUUAGGGAAUAUAUAGGCGCAAGAUCUAGGUCACGGGGCGCCAAGGAGGCCACAAGCCUGCCCACCGCCCCCUGGUGGCGGAGUGGGGGCUUGUGGGCUCCCUGUAGCCCUCCUAGCUUGGCCCACAAGCCCCCCGAUCUUCUUUCGUUUGGGAAAAAAAUAUUUCGGGGAUUUUAUUCCGUUUGGACUCCGUUCCAAAAUCAGAUCUGAAAAUAGCCAAAAACACAGAAAAAAAACAGGAACUGGCACUUGGCACUGAAUUAAUAAGUUAGUCCCAAAAAGGAUAUAAAAGGUACAUAAAACAUCCAAAGUUGACAAGAUAACAGCGUGAAACCAUCAAAAAUUAUAGAUACGUUUGAGACGUAUCAAGCAUCCCCAAGCUUAACUCCUGCUCGUCCUCGAGUAGGGAAGUGAUAAAGAAUGAAUUUUUGAUGCUUUCAUGCUACCUAGCAUAGAUGUCCUUUGUAACUCCUCUUAUGUGAUGUGAAUGUUCAGAUCCAUUAGAUUCAAAACAAUAGUUUGCUAUUGAUGUGGAAACAAUAAUAAUUCAAGCAAACUAGCAAGGUAAUCAUGAACUUUCAAAAUAACAAGGCCAAAAGAAAGUUAUCCCUACAAAAGCAUAUAGUCUCGCUAUGCUCUAUCAUCAUGGCACAACGAAUUUAAAUCAUGCACAACCCCGGUAUUGGCCAAGUAAUUGUUUCACACCUCUACUUUCUCAAACUUUUUCAACUCUCACGCAAUACAUGAGCGUGAGCCAUGGUUAUAGCACUAUAGAUGGUGUGGAGUGUGGUGGAGGUUGCAAGACAAAACAAGGAGAAGAUGGUCACAUUAACUAGGCAUAUCAAUGAGCUGUGGAGAUGCUCAUCAAUAGAUAUCAAUGUGAAUGAGUAGGGAUUGCCAUAUAAAUGAUGUACUAGAGCUAAGAGUAUGUGAAAGCUCUUAAAGAAAACUAGUGGGUGUGCAUCCAACUUGCUUGCUCACGAAGACCUAAGGCAAUUUUGAGGAAGCGUAUCAUUGGAAUAUACAAGCCAAGUUAUAUAAUGAAAAAUUUCUACUAGCUAUAUGGUGGUGACAAAACGAGAAACUCUCAAUCAUGAAGAUCAUGGUGCUUAAUAUGCACAAGUGUGGAAAAGUGGUAACAUUGUCCCUUCUCUCUUUUUCUCUCUUUUUUUAUGGUGGGCUCUUUGGCCUCUUUUUUUUGGUGGGCUUCUUUGGCCUCUUUUAUUUCCUCACAUGGGACAAUGCUCCAUUAAUGAUGAUCAUCACACUUUCAACUCAAAACUUAGAGCAACGAUGACUCUAUAUGGAAUGCCUUCGGUAGUGUACCGUGGCAGUGAUCUAGCAUGGCAUAGACAUUAAUGGAAACAUCAUGCUAGAUAUCUUAUGAUCAUGCAAUGGCAAUGUAGACGUGAUGGCACAUGUCAUGGUGGUAGCUGCAUGGCAAUAUAUCUCGGAAUGACUUUGAAAAAGCCAUAGUAGGUAGGUAUGGUGGCUGUUUUGAGGGAGGCUAAUGGUGGGUUUUGUGCACCGGCAAAAGUUGCACUGCACUAAGAAGAUAGUGAUGGUGGAAGGUGAAAGUGAAUCUAAACCAUGGACUCAACAUUAGUCAUGAAGAACUCAUAUACUUUUUGCAAAAGUUUCAUUAGUAAUCGAAACAAAGCAUUCAACGCAUACUCCUAGGGGAAGGGUUGGUAGGUAUAAACCAUCGCGCGAUCCCGACCGCCAUGCAAAGGAUGACAAUCAAUAGACUAAUCAUGCUCAGAUUUCAUCACAUAGCGGUUCACCAUACGUGCAUGCUACGGGAAUCACUAACUUCAACACAAGUAUUUCUAGAUCCACAACACCUUAUUAGCAUAACUUCAAUAUUACCACAACCAUAUCUCAAAACUAAUUGAGAGGAAUCAAACUUCUCUAACUAUUCAAUGCACAUGAAGGUGGAAGUUUUCGUAUACCUUUGGAUAACUACCCCUUUUGAGACUACUUUCAAAGCAUAGAUCAACUACCAAGCCACGCACCGUUGUGCUCUAAAAGAUAUAAGUGAAGCACAUAGAGCAAAAGUAUCUAGCUCAAAAGAUAUAAGUGAAGCACAUGUGAGCUGAAUUGUCUACCAAAAGAUAUAAGUGAAGCUCGACAAAAUCACGGUGAGUGCAUGUCUCUCUCUUUAGGUGUGCAGAAAGGAUGAUUGUGACACAAAAAAUAAANNNNNNNNNNNNNNNNNNNNNNNNNNNNNNNNNNNNNNNNNNNNNNNNNNNNNNNNNNNNNNNNNNNNNNNNNNNNNNNNNNNNNNNNNNNNNNNNNNNNGAUUGCUGUUUUGUAUUAUCCUUCGUGGCAUAGCCUCGAGGGUUUUCAAAACCUUCUAUUUUGAUUCCUCUUGAAAAUAUUUGUUAUCAUUUAUUUGGUUUCACAUAUGAUGUUUUCAAAGCCUAAAUCAGGUUGAUGAUCAGAAUCACUUCAUCCAUGGCGGAUUAAGCAUUAUAAAGGAUUCUCAAAUGACGGGUCAAAUAUUUCAAAUCGCCUUAAGGGCGAUAUAAAGAUUCUUUCGAGAGUAUCACAAAAACAGUAUCGACUUAUGAAAAAGACCUAUUACAUGGCUCUCAGGCCAAAUCGAUGAGGUUUAUUCUGUUGGCGCCUUCGGAUCAUUUUGCUGCGAGCUCUGGUCGACCUCAAUUUGCAAGUCGCCCAGUACCCAGUUAAACUUGGCCAGAGCUGCGAAGUCAUCUUCAUCAGUCAGGAUUGAUGCCAGGUCUGCUUCCAAGUCAAAAGGGUUCUUGGGUCGCCGAGGAGUUAAACUGGUCGUCACAAAGGUUGGCGGGUUGACUUUCUUGUUCUUGCUAUCAUAAGCAGCCUGAUACUUUGAUAAAUCCAGACUUGCUGCGAGUUGGGUUGCUGCCAGUCGGGAGUCCAUGACAACACGUUGAUAGUCCUCUUCAACGAAUUCUGAACCAUCAUCUUUGAGUUGAGGAAAGCCUGCCGCUACCUCUUCCGGGUUGAUCUCUGGAGCAUACGCCAAGCAGCGACUCAAGGCAGUCAGAACCCCCUUUCGGGCGGCUGACCGAGUUAGCUCGCCAAUCUGAGGGGGAAGCGUGGAUAGGCAGCCAAGCACCUUCUUUACGGAAGUUAUAGGCUCUUUGGCACCCAUCACAGCUUUAACAGUUAAAACACUGCCGGUGUACAGUUGCUCUGUCAGCGUGUAAAUCGCCUUUAGCAUCAGCACACAGUCUUCCUGAAGGUUGGCGGCUCUCGGACCUGUGUAAGGGGUCAUGAUAAUCAGCGACUUACAAUAAGAGUUAUUUAUAUAAAAAAAGGGAGAAAAGAUCAAAAGUUUGAGUAAGUUUACCAAAGACGGCUUGCGUCAUGUUUGAGAUAUGAUGCUUCAAGCCGGACAAUUCUUGUUGCACAGUAGCCAGCCUGGCUUCAGCCUUCUCUGCUCUUUUUGUGGCAGCAUCUUGGUCAGCUUGAGCUCUUUUCAAACCGGCUUUGAGUUUUUCCAGCUCAGCCAGGACCAAUUGAUACUUCUCCUCUGACUUAGCUCGAGCAUCUUGCUCACCAUAUAAGUUUUUCUUUAAUUCGCCAAGCGCCGAUUCAGUCUGAGCAAGAGUUUCCUGUUGAAAGUACAAACAAAGGGGCAAGUCUCAGAACUAUUGCAAGCAAUAUCCCUGACACUUGGGGGCUAAUGUAUAAUUUUUUCUUUUCAGAUGAAAUUAUACAAUAUCAAGACCCGGCUCAUCUUUUUACUGAUGACCCGGCCCUUGGGGGUUACUGGUCGAAAGUUUUUUCUAAAUUNNNNNNNNNNNNNNNNNNNNNNNNNNNNNNNNNNNNNNNNNNNNNNNNNNNNNNNNNNNNNNNNNNNNNNNNNNNNNNNNNNNNNNNNNNNNNNNNNNNNAUAUUUGUAUGAGUUUUUCCAUGAACAACGUUUCCAUAAAUAUAAGUUUUCGUUAUUUUUUUACCAACAAGUAUUUUUUUCGAAAGGCUGUCUCUUAGGAUCCGAUUCAUCAAAAAAGUUAGAAAAGAGUUGCCUGGUUACCGAAAAGUAAUUGUGAAAUAACUAAUAAAAAGCGAAUGACGGAGACGAUGCCAAUAUCAAAGACGAUAAUGUAUUGUAAGAGAGGAAUUGUUUGUCUUAUACGCGAUUAUAUUUACAUGCUAGAUGUUUUAUUUUGACAGAUGAACCAGACACCGUCAAGUAUUGCAACUUGGGGUGUAGGGCUUCCAUGUGUGACUACAUGGUCAACGCAGGUAAAUAAAAUUCAUCUGGUAUGUGUAUUCCUGUAAACUAAUUGAAAAGGCUACUUCUUGACACAUAAUAUGCUAUAUAUUUGGGCACCAGCUGCUGACGACGAAGAAAUGAAACUCUAUUUGGAAAAUUGUGGUGAUGCUUGUGUCAAUUUCUGCAACGGUGAUGCUGGCCUCACAUCCCUUACUGCCUAAUGAUGUGUAUCCAUGGUCUGAGAUUUCACAGGGCAAGGUGUGUCUGACCUUUGCGUUCAAUAAAAUUGGAUCCCAUCGAGAGUAUCCAAACCAGUGUGUCAACCUGUUUUAUGUGUGUGUAUUUCCAUUCCUUGUUCGAAUAAAAGCCGUCAUAAUGAAUGCCAUGUUGCUGCCGUGAAGUACCGCCAUGACUGAGAUAAAAU